UAUAAUUGAGCUAGAAUACUUUUACAAGUAUCACCCCUUUGGUGCUAUUAGGUUUUUAGCCCUUGGAUCUACUCCUUGAUUACUAAUAGCCCUUGGAUCAAACACUAUUUCAUCUACCACCACCUACCACCAUCAUCCCAACCCUACAUUUCUCUAUCCAAGAGUUAAAAACUCACAAGCACCAUCCUUUUGAUGCUUUUAGAAGUAUUCUAGCUCAACUAUAUAUAUAUAUAUCCUCAAUAUUUGUUGUCACGUGGUAAGUUUUUCUUUACCCUCACUAGCAUGUGACUUUUCUUAUUUCCAUCACUAAAUUUUUAAUAUACAUUUUAACGGUCCAAUUAACCAAACUUUCAAUUAGUGCAUUUAAAUGGUCUCACUAUCUUUCCUCCACUAUACUUUCAAUUAAUAUAAAUGAUUUCACUACCAAACUUCCAAUUAGUAUAUUUAAAUGGUCCUACUACUAUCUACGAUCCUAAUCUCUCUAUGUCUAAUUAUUCAUCAUAUUCACUAAAUUUUCAAUAUGCAUUUUAACGGUCUCAUUAAUCAAACUUUCAAUUAAUGCAUUUAAAUGGUCUCACUACCUUCCCUCCACUACUUUCAAUUAAUGUAAAUGGUUCCACCACCAAACUUCUAAUUAGUAUAUUUAAAUAGUCCUACUACUAUCUAGUAUCCUAACCUCUAACCUCCAAUUAUUCUUCAUGACGUCAUGACCCCUUUUCCUCCUUCCAUCGAACUUUCAAUUCUUUAUCUCCGAUUUGUUCAUUAAUUCUUUAUUUAUCAUUUUUAGCUACACACUAUCGCCUCCUCCCCUGCCCCCCCCCUCGCCUUCUCUCUCUCUCUCUCUCUCUCUCUCUCAUGUGCACCCAAUUCUUUCUUCCGCCACGGUCGGAGAGAUCGUCGUUGCCGUCAUUAUCAACAUUGCAGGAAAAGGCAUCGUCGGGUUCAUAUCUACCGCCUACAAUGAGAUACAUUUAGUAGAUGUGCCAAAUGAGAUCCACAAAAAAAUAUUUAAUAUUUUAUUAUUAUUAAUUACUAUUAUGAUUUCUAUUCGCUGCAAAGCGCGGGUCUUUUUACUAUAGUGUAUAUAUAUAUAUAUAUAUAUAUAUAUAUAUAUAUAGAGAGAGAGAGAGAGAGAGAGAGAGAGAGAGAGUAGGGCUAUAGAAUACUUGUAAAAAUAUCAUGGGGUUAACUUUGUGUUAUUAGCACUUUUUUGGAAGAUGAGUUGAAAUAUGGUGGCGUUAGGUGGUGGAGGUGGAAUAGUUUUUUAAUCCAAGGACUAUUAAAUAAUCAAAAAUUAAUCUAAAUGCUUAAAACCUAAUAGCACUGUGAUGUGAUACUUGUAAAAGUAUCAUUAGCUCAAAACUCUUUCUCUCUCCUCUCUCUCCUAUCUAUAUAUAUAUAGUACACAUAUAUAUAUAUUUCUUCAAUAAGGUGUCCAAUCAAAAAGACGUUUGUGGGGAAAAAAAGCAGCCCACUGUCUAUCUGAAUCUCUGACAAUAAGCAGCAAAAGUAUAAUUACUAGUUAUCACUAAAUUUAAAUUUAGCAAGAGUGCUACAUAAUUCUGCCAAUUUGCAUAAAAAAAUUCACAUUAUUCUUGACUUUUGAAAAACCGGGCCACCUUUUUCGAUUUGCAAUCGCUAGCUUUUUCACAGUGCAAACGACCAAAAUAUCUCAUAUACUUUUUCGUCUUUCCUCUUUUCUCUCUCUCUCUCGUUUAUGUCGUUCUUAUUUUUUUCUGCGCCGAAUAAAUAGCGGAUCGAACCGUCGCCUCCCUCUCUCACGACCUCAUCCUCUUCACCCUUGCUCCUCACUCACCCCUUCCACCGCGCCCCGACCACCUCCUCCUCUCCCCCCGCCGCCGGCCUGACCACCCCACGAACCCGUUCGUCUCCGUCGCCGUCCGAGCCCACCAUGGCGGCGACGGCCCCAUUUGCCGCCGUCACCCGUCGUUCUCUCGUCGCCUGAGCCGCUCUCCGCCGCACGUCGCUCGUCAGCUGUCGUUGGCAGCGGCGGAUGAAGAGGCUUGCGGACAGUUCGCGCGGCGGCUGAGCGUAGCGACUCCGGAUUGGCGCGCGGUGUGCUCUGCCGGCACUGCCGUCACAGGCGUCCGCGUUCGCCUAACUACAUCUCGCCAUCGCGCAAGCCAGCCGGACCUCUGUCCAGCUGCUGCUAGAGUUCGCGCCGUUAACCGAUCCCCCCACUGAGCCCGGCGCGGCCGACCCCCCGGCCGCUUGAGCGUCGCGGCGGCGGGGGAGGCCUGAUCGCGGCUGCUCUUGGCGCGGGCCAAAGGCGUGCGGCCCGGUCGGCGGCGGAGUUGGUCCCGGUGCAACAAGCGCGUCGGCGCAGGCACGCUGCGGCUGCUCUUCUCUUCUUCAUAGUGUAAUGGUGCACCAUCUACACAUUAAUGGUAAAGGUGCAACCAUUAAUGUUAAUGGUGCAAUGGUGCACGCAUUACACAUUAAUGGGCGUGGCUGGCGACGGCAACGGAGAACGGUGACGCGACGAAGACUCACGGUGGGGUACGAGGCUCACAAGGGAGUACGAGGAGAGAUUGACGGUGACCGAGCGCGUCGCAAGGGGCGGUACUGGCUAUCGCGACCGGCUGACGCCGAUGAGCCGACGGUGGGCUGGCUCGCGCGGCGGCGGGGGAGAGAAGGGGCUCGUACAGCGGACUUCGCUGAAACGGGAACGAUCGGGAACUCUCGAGCCUGAGCUUGACGAGGAGCUUGCUCCGCCCCUGGGCACUUCGUGACCGACGCGCGGCGGUUUCGCAUUUGGAGGCUAGGUAGGACGCGGACUUUGCGGCUGCCUUGAGGAGGCGACGGGGAGUGAAAGGGGCUUUGAUGAGUGAAAGAAAGAGGAGAAGAGAAAAGGUAGCGAGACGACGGUAGGUGGCUCGGCGGCGGCUGGCGGGAAAGGAGGAGGGUUCGGCUUGCGGAGGCGGAGGAGGGGCUCGGCGGCGGGCUCGAAAAAAGAACGAAAAAAAAAUAUAUAAUAAGGGUAUUUUGGUCAGUUUACUGAAAAAACGGACCGAAUCUGCAAAAACGAAAAAAGUGAUCCAAUUUUGCAAAAGCCCAAAAUAAGUGGAUUUUUUAUGCAAAAAGGCCUAGAUUCUUCAAAGUGCUGGCCUAUUAAUUAAUUCACUUAACGUAAAUUAUGGUAUUAUAUGAAUAAAUAUGUCAACAUAUUAAGAACCAAUAGACAUUACUUUUUUCUUAAGGAUACCUGUUUAUUUUCCGUUAUUAUCCAUCGUGAGAUUUUUUUUUUUAAAUCAGCCUUUUUAAUAUCAAUUUUUCACUAUUUGUCUACAGUGAUGUGUUGACGACAACUUAGCAAAAUCGACAAAAACUUCAACUGAAUGGCGAUUUGCAUCAAAAAGACUGUUUAUGUUGUUUUCUCCUGCUAACUUUUUAGAGUUAGCUGAUAGAUAAGGACACUAAUGUUCAAAGAGGUGUAAGAUAUAAACUGGCGCUAAAAUAUUAAUUAUUACUUGUAUAGAAAUAAUAUUUAGUGUCCACUUUUUUUCGUUAGAUGCCUUGAGUUUACUAUACGGUAGUUAUAGAUUCAAGAGCUAAAGAGUUAAUAGUAAAUAUUAUGUAUCUACUAUAAAUAGUAUUCUACCUAGACUUGUGAGAUAUAUAUAUAUUCUUUUUUCUGUAUAAAUUACAAAGCCAAGUCCUUUCUUAGCAGUUUGGUGCAGUCUCUCUCUUUGCAUGAGGCCUUAAGUUAGAUUAUUUGUAGUACUAGCUAGCCAGUUUCAGUAAUCUUUGAUGCUCUUUUUGAGACACUCUGAACACUGCUUAGUUCGGUAAGAUCUUUCAUUUAACUAAUUAACAUAACUUACAUUGCAAUAAAUAGAAAAUGAGAAAGAAAUAGGGGGAAAAGAGAAAGGUUCAGAGCCUAUUUCAAAGUGGCCUAUAAAUAAAUCUAUAAUAAUUGAGAGGUCCCCAAACGCUCUGAUGCUGCACGCUUUACCUCAUAGAAUUGAUCAAAAGGAAAAAAAAAAGAAAAAAAGAAAAAAAAAAAAANAUAAAUCUAUAAUAAUUGAGAGGUCCCCAAACGCUCUGAUGCUGCACGCUUUACCUCAUAGAAUUGAUCAAAAGGAAAAAAAAAAGAAAAAAAAAAAAAAAAAAAAAAAAGAAAGAAAAUUAAAAAGAAAAAAAAAGUACCAAGUGUCCAACACUUUUUUAGGAAUCUCCAUUCAAAGGAAAUACAUGCACUUCAUUUUUUUUUUAAAAAAAAGAAAGAUAAAAAGAAAAACUAACCUUCUAAUUAAGAGGCCGUGAUUAGAUAAAUUACACACAAUACAUUGCAAAAAGAUAGAAAAUGAGAUCCAUAAUAGUAGUCUCUAUACAUACACAUAAAUUACCAUAGCUAGAUAGAUAGAUAGAUAGAUAGAUAGAUAUAUAUAUAUAUACACAUGCAUCAAUUAAUAAACCUUCUUAGAGAAAAUGGUUCUUAGAUUAAACAUACUCCCAUUCCCUCCACCACCAUCACCACCACCACCGCCACCGCCACCGCCGCCACUAUCACCGCCAUCACUGCCGCUACUAGUGUUGCCGCUCCUCCGACCACUGCCUCCGGCCCGGCACCCCGCCGGGUUCGGGUACCCGAUGCAGGUGUUCACGUUCAAAUUUAGCACCCGAACUCCGCCCCCGCCACCGCCUCCCGAUCCUUUCUUGCUGCUGCUGCUGCUGCUGUCGGCACCGUUUUCAUCGCCGCCGCGAAUAUUUGAUUUCUCUAAUUCUUGGCUGCUCUUGCUCUUGCUCUUUUUCCGCAGCUGCCAUAUCGUCACCGGGCCGGUCCGGCCGAGGUGGAUGCCGCCGUUGGGCCCGACGCGGCUCACGCGUGGGGCCCACCUUCUUAGGUUUGUGGUGGCGGUGGCGGUGGCGGUGGCGGUGGCAGCAGGCGGCUUGGCGGAGGACUCUCCGCAGGAGCGGCUGCGUGAAAAGGGCCAGAUGUUGAUGUUUAUCAGCUCCGCGUGGCUGCCGGCACUUCCCCUCCUCAUCUCCUUACCGCUGCUGCUGCUAUUAUUAUUAUUAGUAGUAGUAGUAGUAGUAUUACUAGUAUUGCUAGUAUUGCUGCUGCUGCUGUUAGUGGUGCUGCCGCUGCUGUUUCUUCUUUCUCUCUCCUCGAGCUUUCGCUCUCUGGCGAGCUUGAAUAGCUCUCUCCAGAUGCUGUAAGAGGCGAUCGGGGGAGGGGAGGAAGGGGGAGGAGGGGAGACGAAGUGUGGUGGGUGUUGUUGCGGAUUCGGUGGUGGUGGUGGUGGUGGUGGUGGUGGUUCUUCUUGUUUUGCUUCUCCUCCUCCUCCUCCUCCUUCUUCUCCUUCCUCCUCGUCUUCUUGUUCAUGGUGUUGUUGGGAUGCGUUUGUGUUGUCGGUGGUGGCGGUGGUGGUGGGGUUGGGUUGGGAGGGGAGGGAGAGGAGGUGGAGGGGGAGGAGGACGCCGUCGACGAAGAGCUCGUCGGCGGUGAGGAACGAAGGGAAAAAUGAGGAGGAGGAGAGGUCGGCGGCGGCGGCGGCGUUAUUAUUAGUAGAAGUAGUACUAGUACUGCUGUUGCCCACCAUCGACCAGAAUUCGAAGUCGGCGGAGGCGACGCAGUCGCUGCCGCUUUUCCGAGGGGAGCACUGUUCCUCUUCUUCUUCUUCUGGUGAUGUUAUUAACUCCAUUUCUUCUUCUUCUUCUUCUUUUUUCCCUCUUCUUCUUCUUCUUCUUUCUGGAGAGAUAGAUAGAGAGAGAGAGAGGAAGUGGAGAGAUGAGGGAGAAAGAGGGGUUGAAUAGGGAACUAAGGUCCCGUUUGGUUCGGGUAUAAGCAAGAACUAGCUAUUAUAGGGAUAGGUACAAGUAUGGGGAUAAGAAAAAUAGCGUUUGGAUGAAAAUUGGGUUGUUCCCGAGGAUAAGAAAAAUAUUAGAAAGUUUUAUAUAGAAAAUAGAGGUGUUGGUGGGGAUAACCGAGAACUACUAUUCUCGGGUAAAAAAUUAGCGUUUGGGUAUAAAGGGAGGGAUAAGGGCCUAUCCCUAUCCCUAUUCCCAAACCAAACGGUGCCUAAGGGUUGAAUAGGGAACUAACUGGGAGGAGGUGAUGACUCCUCCAAUACGGGGUAGGAGGGAAAUUAAGAAACAAGGGAGAGAGAGAGAGAGAGAGAGAGAGAGAGAGAAAAAGAAAGGGAUGGAUGAGAAGAGGAGCUAUAAAGUUAUUGCAUGUGGAUGGAUGGAUCAUGGAUGGAUCAGUGGAUGCAGUUGUAGAGAGAGGAGGGGAGGGGAGGGGAGGGGGAGUUAUCUUUAGAGAGAGACGUGGAAUUAUUGCCUGCGCCUGGUGCUUCCGUAGGCCCGUCUCAUACUCUCAUGCAUGUGCUGCAUCAAUCAUCCACAGUUUCAAAACUAAAGACUCUCUCUCUCUCUCUCUCUCUAUAUAUAUAUAUAUAUAUAUAUAUUAAAAAUAAAAGUAUUAAGCAAAUCCAAAAUUAAAAUUUUUGACAAUUUAUUAUAUACUUAAAAGAAUUAAGCAAUCCAAAAGCACAACCCUAGGGAAAGGAACAUAUAAAAUAAUAAUUCUAAGUUACAAGAACUCCCCAUUCAAAAUGUAUGAAUUCUGGCAUGUAAGUUUUUCGCAUAUAAUAAAAGCACAUUUAUUGAAUACGGUUCUGAUUUUAAGGCCCCUUUAGCAGUGCGUUGCAUGAGAUGUUCUCAUACGCCGAGUACAUGCAACAGUUUACACGCAGAGAGAGAGAGAGAGAGAGAGAGAGAGAGAGAGAGAGGGAUGGAUCAGUGGCCUUGGUACCAUGUUGUGUUGUGGGGACUGUCCCCGCUGUUUUCUGUGUCUGCUGCUGAUAAUUAUUUAGGAAGUCUUAUAGUGAUCUGCUGCAGGGCAGAGUGCAGUCACUGUAACUUAAUAUGCGAAAAUUACUACCUGGACAUGACCCACCACGUCAAUGUUUCACCCCUAGUUUUAAAGAAUGGAUGAGAGAGUUAGGUGGCUACGGACCGGGUCCAGUCACUCACAUCUCACAACUCCUCAGCGUUCAAAUUCAUAGUAAUCCAAGUCGAGUUUUCAAUGUCCUAACAGGGCAGCUUCAAAUCCAAAAAAAAAAAAAAAAAAAAAAAAAAAAAAAAAAAAAACUCUAAAGAUAAUAAUUAGUAAAACUCCAAAAGCUGUCCAAGCGUAAGAAAUUUGCAUAUUCUCAACAACCAAAAAGCCUUUCUGUUUACUACAUCAACUCCGUAGAAUAAUUACUGAGUUGGUAUCCGAGGUUGUAAAUUCGAAUCUUAGUUGAUUCACAUUCGCAGCUAAAUUUAUUUCUAAAUGAAAUAAACGAAACGAAUAGCAUGUUACCUUAUUUCUGGAAAAAAAAAAUUUCUCCAAAGCCUCCGUUUGGUUCGGGGUUAAGAAAAAAGCAGCUAUUCCAGGGAUAGAGUUAAGUUCAGGAUUAAAGUGGAGUUAAAGUUUUUUUUUUGUUUGGUUGGGAGUUAGAGUUAGUCUAGAAUAAUAAAAAAUAAUGUUUGGUUGGGUAUGUGGGAUAAGAAUAUAAUGAUUGAUAAAAAAGGAUAAUGAUUGGUUGGAGUAUGUGUGAUAAGAAAGAUAGUGAGUUAUUAUGAAUAAAAAAUAGUGUUUGGUUGGAGUUUGGUGGGGUUAGAUGGGAUUAGCUAACCCCACUUAUUUUUUAGAAUGUUUGGAAAUAAAAUGAGGGUUAAAGAAUUAUUCCACCCUUUAACUCCCAACCAAACAAAGACAAGGGUCUCAUCAGAUAUUUAUACACUUAUUUAAGGUUUUUUUUUUUUUUGUCUGAAGAGGGUUAUUAUUAUUCACCAUGUGAGUGACUAGGGCAGGUAUUUAAUUGGUUGGGCGGCACAUUGAAAAACACCCAUAGUUAAUUCUUCGCGGUUGUUUAUUUUAAUUUUUUUUAUAGCAAUUUAUGAUGAUAGUACGUCUUUAUAUACGAAUCCAAGGAAAAAAGAGAAAGAAAAAAAAAAAGAGAAAACUAAAAUGCAACGACCACAUUGCUGAUGUGAUGUCCUUUAACCCAUCAAAAUACUCCCUUUGGAUUCACCUAAUCCAUCUUGAUUUUUUAAAAAUACUCCAUUAUAAUUUUUCUCUCAAAAAAGAGACAUAAUUGGUUAAUUACAGAAGAUGUAAUGUAGCUACGGCAUGGUAGAUUUCCUCGUGGACCUAAGAUUACUCUUUUGCCCGGGAAAUUUUUGUUAUUGGUUCAUACCCUGUAUCGAUAAAAGGUCCUUGAAUCAGCACUCCGGAUGGAUGUUGAAACUCUUAUUAAAAAAAAAAAAAAAAAAAAAAAAGCCCACAUCCGGUUUCAAUAGCAUAUUCAGGCAUCAAAUGAAUCAAAUCAGCUGCUUUUAACCGUGCAUUAGUAUAAUUUCCACGCAUAAGAAAAAUCAACCAUAAUUACAUACGUUUGUGUGAGAUUACAGAGGGGUGUUUAUUUUAGGCUAAAUUAUAAAAAAUCUCUGUCAAUACCUGAUUUUGUACUUUUCUCUCUAUCAUUCAAAAACCUACACUUUACCUUCUUAAAAAAAUAAAAAAUAUUCACCUUGAUCCCCGCUAUCAGUGUUUCGUUAAAGUUUCGUUUAUAUUUUAUUUUUUAUAUCCAAAGUACUUCUGAAACCCUCAUCUUUCCUCACCAACCCCGGCCGCUUCUCGCCCUCGCCCACCUUUUUGUCCAUGCCUACACACACGCUCUUGCCCACCCCUUUGUCCAUGCCCACACACACGCCCUUGCCCUCCUCCACCGUCUCACCCUCGCCCACCUCUCCAUUUAUACCCACUCGGAUCUUUCUUCCUACUGUCGUCGAAAUGAAGGAAUGACGAGGAUGCUAGAGGAGCGGAGGAGCAGAUGAAAAAAAUAGAGUCGAAGUUGGGGUUGAGAAAGACGCGAUGAAUGGUAGAGAGGCUGCGGCUGAAAAGAAGAGGCUUCGCAUUAGGAAAAAGACGAAGAGAAUGAAGAGCAAUUUGAUCAUUUUAUCACAGCGUAUUUUCUAUAAAUAUUUUUUAUUUUUUAAGAAAGUAAAGUAUAGAUUUUUGAAUGACAGUGAAGAAAAAUAAAAAAAACAAAUAUUGACCGAAAGUUUUAUGUAAUUUAUCCUUUAUUUUAUGAUCUUAAAACUUCGGAAAAGAAGCAUCACCUUCAUUGAGCAACUACGUGAUGCACCACAUGCAGUGAUGUAGACGCACCCCGUACCCGGCCCACCCAAAUUCAUGGGAAGCAUCCAGCACAACGGAGACAAGGGAUACAGUUAUAGCAUCCCAACAGCCUAUCACGUACCGCCGCAUCGGAUGAUGGUCCGCCAACUAAUUUCCGAUAUGAGCUAUCUUCUUUGUGGGGAAUAUGCUUCCUGUCCAGCUCUAUUCAUCCUAAAACCCUAAAAUCCAGAACACAAACACACGCGCACGCAUGCGCGCGCGCGCACACAUGUAUGCACACAAGCGUGAUAUCCCACCAGAAAAAGGGACAAAGAGCAAGAGGAACUGCUGCAAAAUGAGAAGUGCAUAUGCUCUUCUUCGUUGCGGAUCCCCAUUGAGAUUGAUAUUAACACAGGUAAUGAUAUUAACAAAACAAAACUUUACAAUCGAUGGACCAGAUACAUUGAAUGCAGUAAAGUCCACUCACCGAAUAGUGACUAGGUUGAUUGUGCCUGAUCGGCCAACUGCUCUCUCAAUAUCAUCACCUCCCAAAAAACAGUAUGUCGUUAAGGAUUUCGACAUCUCAGAUUCCCAAGUUUCAGGAAUUUAAGCCGGACGAGCUUUCUGCUUCCGACUGCAAUGUUUAAAGAUAACAAGCACGAGAGAUUCUGCAUUCACAAGGGAAUUGAAAAGGAAUUGAAUAUAGAAUGAGGCAGAAUGAAAUUCUGAACAAGUAAAAGAACAUUCUAUGUUGCAUAACUAAAGAGAUGAUAGAGUAUUUCCAAUGAUAUCUGCAGGAGGGUAAUUAAAAAAGACUUAACGGACAGAUCAACUCAAAAGAAAAUAAAAGAGAAGCUUCCAUUAGUCCGGAAUCAGCUUAGAAGAAGUUAAUAUAGUGAUUUCCAGAAGAUGGUUGGUGAAAUCUAACCUCAAAUUUACUAAGCACUGAUAUAGCUUUUUCAUUUUUUUUAAAAUUCCUUUACAAAGAUCAUAACUACAAAAGCGAGUGCUACCUAACUGAUUCAAUGAUUCUAAUGUAACUGCUUGGGAAGCCAAAUCAAAUGGUCUUUCAGCCGCCUGACUUACACACAUAUCCAUCAAACUAAAAAAAUCAGCAAGUUACCAAUUUACGGUGCUUGUGUAUGCCAACCACAAAAGUAGAGAGCAAGAAAGGAGUAACUGAAGACUGCAGAUUUGGACUCUAAUUCAAAUAUAAUGGAAAAACUAAUUGCAGCCCCCACCAAUUGAGAUAUAUAAAAUGGCACCUAACCCCAAUGAUUUUAAACAUGCGGUCAGAGAGAGAGAGAGAGAGAGAGAGAGAGAGAGAUGAGAUUUUAAAUCCACUAUUCUCACUCUUGUAACAUGACAAGAAGAACAUUAACUUACAUCUAAAAGUUAAAUCCAAUAAGCACUCAAUUACAAGCAAAAAGGAAUGGAUGUGUGAGAGGACUCUUUCAUUAGUGUGUUUCUAAUUCUACAACACACACACACACACACACACAGAGCAUGAAGCAUUGAGGGGGCAUUUAGUCUUUCUCUUUCUACCCUUUUUCCUGUCGGAAUCGCCGACGGGAAACAGAUGCUAGGAAAGAUUAUUAUUGUGUGUUCACAAAGAUUUCAAAAUAUAGCCCAUUAGGAUUCCGAGCAACACGACCGCCAACAUGAACGUGAAGGAGAAACCUCCGUGUUGUUUACCGACCUCUCGCCUCAAAAGCUCCUGCACGCAUUUGGCUUUUAAGUAAAUGAGACUGUAAAUGCAAGGGAAGUGAUACUUUCAUGCUACAUAAGUACACAUAUAUUUUCAACAAUCACGGAAAACAAAGUUACCCGAGCUACAAUAUGCGGUUUUGCUUUACAUCCCAUGACAAAUUAAAGAAACCUGAAUUGGAAGACGUGCAACCACAUAGCUGUCUUUGCUAAAAUGUAAAUGCUUGGAGGAUUGACAUUAGUCGCAGAAAUGGCCCUUAAAGAGUAAGUUCUAGCAGUGGUGUUUACUUCAAUUUAUAGCCUCAUUAAGGCGGCAACAAUAAUUUCUUCAUUAAUACUGCAUUGAGUCGGAAGCUGAAACCUCUAAUUCUAAAACCUCUAAUUCUAAGAACUAUAAGCGAAAUUUGUAAGAAAAAACUUCAGAUGUUUGGAAUGGCCAGGAAUGAGUUAUGCAUCCAGCGACACUUACUGUCUAUGGUUGAUUAUCUAGCCAUCCAAUAAUGCCAGAAAGAAGCCUCUCCAGCAGAAGAAUUUAGUCAUAUAUUUAAUAUCAAGCAUAACAUAAACAAUGCGCGAUACAGUUAUCAUUUGUAGGAUGGCCUUUCCUUACAAAUACUUGUAUUGGUUGUCGAAAGGGGGUUACCAAGGGGUACAUAGUUCUACAUAGAUGCGGAGGAGGAUCGUAUGGAAUAAGUGUACGUUCAACUAGGAGAUCAAAUCAAAUGAAAUACAAAGAAGAUAAAUUGCAGCAACAUAUAUGCGCCCAGUAUGCUGAAAGGAAAUCGAUUGCAGGAAACCAGAUAAUUGACGCCGUUGAGAUGGUGAAAAUAUGUUGCAGAUAGACUGGUACGUCAUUAUACAGCAUACGAGAUCUACUUAUCAAAUAAGAGUUAAAAUAGGUUAGAAAAGAACGAAAGCACACGAUCGAGCUAGCCCUAGCUUGCUCGUGUUCGGCGCGUUGAUAGCUCUAACUGUAUAUAGCAUGAUGUGAUAUAUCUGCUACACAGAAAACUUUCUCCUCCAACAUACCCUUAAUUUUUUAAUUUUCUUCCAACUUAAUUUUCACAUAGUAGAAGAUCGAACUGACAAUCUAAUUUACUGUUCUUGAGCCAGCUCAUAUUCGGCAAGCACAGCACAAUUUUGAAUUUUCAGCUCGAUACUUUAACGAGCUAGCUCGUGCUAGGCUCUUAAUGAAUGAGUACACACGAGCUGGCCCUAGCUCGCUCGUGUUCGGCUCGUCGACAUCUCUAACUGCGUAGUCCGAUCCUACGUGGCGCCUCUACAUUUGUUUCAUUCAUCCGAGCCUAUCUCCCUCCCUCUUCUCCCACCGAGCCUCUCUCCUUCCCUCCACUGCGAGCUGGCCCUCUCUCUUCACACCCUCUCUCUCUCUCUCUCUCUCUCCCCUCCCUUUCUCUCUCUACCUCCCUCUCCUACACUCUCUCUCUCCACACCCAUCCCUCCUCUUUCCCUCUCUACUCGGUCUCUCUCACUUCCCCACUCUCUAGAUCCCCUCUCACCCCUCUCCUCGGGGGUGCGGGCGCGGGGCUUGAGCGAGGGCGGGCGCUGGCGCGAGCAGGAGGCCGAGCGGGAGGGCGUUAGUUUUUGAGCCUCUAAUGGGUUUGGUUCAAGCACUAGACCCCAAGUUACUAUAUAUGGUAGGUUUAACAGUCCCAAGUUGGGAUGGUCCACUGGUAUUUUUUAAAGGAGAACAUGACCUGUUUGAUUCCCUCUUAACUAGCCCCUACAUGACUUCGGGACCUGCUAGGUGUUUCUAGGUCCAUAAUAUAGUACAGGAAGAAAAAAACACCUACAGGAUAAAGUCAAUCCAGCAUUAUAUUGGCUGCUCUAAAUACUUAGUUGCAUUUGUUUGCAAGCAUCUGGACCCAAAAAUAUUUAUGCAGUGAGGAAAUCCAAGGACAAUUCCACAGAUUAUAUCCUCUCCACAGUAGUUUCCACAACAAAGAUUAGAUUGCUGGAGAAUUCCCGCAGCAGUGAACCGCAGAAGCUACGGUAAAUAAGAUUUGACUCUAUUAACAUAUGAACUCAGUUUAGGGACAAGACCGACCAGACACGGGCACCUAUAACACCCAAAAACCUGCUCGACCAAAUCAAAAUCUAACUCAAGUAAAAGCUGAUCAUCUUCUAGAUCAACAAGGGUUGCAACAAAUUGGUUGAUUCUGGAUUUUUAGACAUCCUGCAGAUCUGGACUUAAUCGUAAAUGUGAUGAGCUAAAGCAGGAGUGAGAUCAUUAACUAUAAUUGUACGACCACUAAAUACCUUUGAGUAGAAUCUUGAAGACAUCAAUAAGAGAAUUAAUAUAAUCACAUAAACAAAUUUUCAUAGUUUCAAACAAUCUAAUAAAAGCUCCAGAGGAGUAAAUUUCCUAUUUCAUAAGCCUCUUUUCUUUAAGUGGUUCCUUGGUAUCUGAAGAAACAAAUAUAAUACUAGUUGAACUGAAGCAGAAAGUUACCAAGUGAUUUCUAGAGGAAAAUAUGAAUAAUCAGCAAUGCAAAGACAAAAAUCAUUUUAUCCACAGUAAAUUGUACUUUAUAUCCAUACAAUACAACAGUAUACUGCAAUGUUAAAUUGAAUGGAUAUGAAUACAUACCGUAACUCAUGGAGGUCCAUCCUGAUAUUAUGAAUCAGUAGUCUUUCCUUCACAAUAGUCAUUAAGCUCACAAUCUUUAUCAGAAGCUAUACGCUGCAUAGCAAAUAAGAACAUAGAAAGCAUGCAAGAUCAAUGUUCUAACAUACAAGAAAAAAAAAACCCAGCGUUUGCAAUGAAGAGGAUAUACUUCAGGCAAUCAUAGCAGACAAAAGACUUGCUCCCAUCCAUUUAUAGGAAUUAAAAGAGUAAACAAAAAUAUAGGAUAAGAAACAUGAAUUAUUAGAAAAUGUAGAAUUUACCAUUCUUUUGCUGAUAUAUGGUUGUAUCUUGAAUGAUACUUCAGAUGCUACUUCAGGGUGAUUUUUGUCCCCAUUGAGCUUAUGCUUCUCCUUCUCAAACUCUCUUUUGGAUUCCCUUCUAGUGCCAGAUUGCCAAACUCGACCAAAAUUUGGGAGCCAAUUAGCAUCACAAAUAUUUGCAGCAAUUUCGCCUCUCUUCUCCCUUUCUAUUUCAGCUCUUCUUUUUUCUGCCCAUGCAGCUCCUACACGUUUAGGGUUCAAUUUCCGCUUCCCUUUCUGGGCAGAGGCUGAAGAAGAGCUCUUGAGGCAUGUUACUCCAUUCACUAAGUUUCUCUCAUUUUCUUCACUUGCAUCUAACCAGGGAGGCAAAGCACCACUAUGCACAUUUUCUUUCAAGCCUUCAGAAGGCAAUGCUAUUGGAGUCAAACCUUUCACAACUAAAACAGAAUUCAUUCAUCAGUUGCAACUGCAAUACUGCAAGAAUAUAUCCUGCUAAGAAAUAGGAAAACUGGAAAUCUAAAUAAAGAUUGUGAAGAAAUCAAUACCAGCACUAAAGUCACCCCUAGAAUCACUGCUUUGAUCCUGUAUAAAACAAUAAGUUCAUUUGCUUGUAACAUUCAAAGGAAGAAGCUCAUAUCAUACACCUCAAAAUUAUCGUAUCAGACCAGAAAAGCAUCAAAACUAUUAAAAGUAAAGCUGUAGAAUCAAUAUGUCAGUAGAUUUUUUCCUUUUUUAGGGAUAAGAUAUCUUAUGUUAAAGGCAAGCUUCUAUUAACAAUAUAAGAUCUCCUGAAGUAUAUACUGCCAUCUAUAACGUGAACUAAAUCAAACAUGAACAGGAUAGAACAAUCAAAAAUCAUAUCUAGAAUUAGUUCCCAAAGAAUCAGCUUUUGCUUAUCGACUAGAAAAGCUACUCUAGUAGUUGGAUCAAACAGGCAGUAAGUAUAAUCCAAAUUUAACGCUCUCCAUAGAAUGACUUCUCUUAUGCCAUUUGCAUAUGAGACUUGAGAUCACAUGCCUAUUUUAUUCUCCAACAUUACCAUUCCAUCUUAGUGAGUUCUCAAAUUAUAGAGCCCCUCAUAAUUGCCAAAGAAAGGUUUUCCAAUCCUAAAUAGAAGACAGACAACUUCCAUAUCCUUUACAUCUAAAUGUACUAUUUAUCACCCAAAAAAAGAGGAGAAAGUUGAACUUAAAGUGGAACAAUCAUGUCAAAUCCACAGGUGACUUCGUGAAUACAAUCUCAAUAAGCACAUACAAAAGGAUAUUUUAUACAUUUUACAAAACAAGAAUAUUUACCAUUCCUCUUCUUGCAGACCAACCAAAUGAUGCUUUACCAUUAUUAUUGCAAAGACUAGCAGGUUGGUUACCUGAGACAUAAUACCAAACAUGAAAAGUUAACAUCAAAUGAUGAAAUUAUUGGAAAGUUAACAUGAAAAGAGAAGUUAAGAUGUUGAAUACUAAACAAUCAUCACAAGAACAUAAAUAAUUUGCACUCACUUUGGUAACUUCCAGCCCAACUUUGCGAAGCAUGUGUAUACUGGAGACUGCUAUAUUCCUGUACGCUAGCUGUGAAAGGAGCAAAGUAGGGAACUUGUCCAGUAUUCGAAGUUCCACUAAACUCCUCAUUGGUAAGACUUUGUAAAGGCAUAACACAAUGAGAAACAUUUGAACUAAAUGACUGGAUAUAACUUUGUGCAUAAGUAUCCAUAUUGUUAGAGGUAAGUUCAUUUUGGAUAUCUAUUGACUUUGAUGGCCCCGGCGAUGGUCCAAUUGGUCCUUCACUUAGUGUCUGAGCUGCACUCUUUAAUGCUUCACAGCCUUUCUCCCACUGCAGUUCCAUAAUCAUCACCACAUAAUUAAUAUACUCAAAAUAAAUUUAAUUUCUUCAAAUUAGGGAAAACUCCAACACAAAUCUAGCCACUUAACUCGCUGACUUUGUCAAAUAAUUAUCAUGAUUAUACAAAAAAGAAACAAUUUCACUUAAAAUCCUUCUUAAACAAUGAUAUAUGUCUGAAAAAGAAUAUAAGAAAGUAUAUGCACAUAACCCAUAAAAAAAACUCAGCAUUGAGGAAACUAUUUCCAUGAACUACAUGAAGUCACAAUAGUGUCCUUAGAAAACAAACUAACUUUACAGUCAUCGAGUAUCUAAUUAGCAUCCAUUAUGAGCUAGUUUCACUUACUUUACGGUCAUAGAGUAAAGUUACUUAACAAGCAUUAAAUUUACUUGAUGCAAAUAAACACCAAGAUCAAGCUAGCUUCUUCUUUAGAAAUUUCAGAGGCCAAAAAUCAUUAAAAAAAUUACUUCAAAUUGAAUCAUGUGCUCACCUUGAGCAGCUCCACUUCCGAAACCCUAAACGAAUCAACCCGAUCCAUCCCUCCCCCAUGCUUCUGCAGGAAAUCCCUCACGUUCCUCAGAUGUUCCUCGCUUGCCAGAUGAUGGAUCGCGUUGCUACUGCGGAUAACCAACCACAACAACCAAAACGACGAAACACUAGAAACCCUCAUCAAACACGGAAUCUCACAAAACCCUAAAUCCAGGAGCAUCGAGAAGUGGGGAGGCGUACCAUGCGAAGGCGCUGCCGAGCUCGCGGAGGUCGAGGGCGCAGAAGGGGCACUAGAGGCGGUUGAUGUGCGCUUGCUUCGAGCAGAGAGGGGACGGAUGGCGGAGGAAGAAGCGGAGGUCGGAGAGCUUGGCACGGAAGCGGGAGAGGAGGGCGGAGACGGCGCGGAGGUGCGAGGGGAAGUACCUGUGGCGGCGCCCAUGUGCGUGGUUCACCCUGCACACCUCGCACAGCUCGAAGGAUCCCUCCUCCGACGAUCGCUUCGCACCCUUCUCCGCCAUUGUCGACGAUGGAGAGAAAGAAAGGGGUUAGGUAGAAAACGCGGAACGGAGGAGGAGGAGGGGGAGACGGGAACCCUUCCCCGUCUCCUUGUUUAGUAUAUAUGUAGGCCCGCGCUGCUGCGAAAAAUUUAUGUAAUAUUUAAAAUUUAAAUUUUUAAUCUUUAUUUUUAUUCUAAAAUUUAAAAUUUAUAAUUUAAAAAUUCUAAAAUUUUUCUGUUUUAAAUUUUAAUUUUCAAAAUUCAAUAUUUUACUGCCCACGGAUCAAAAAAUUUAAACUUUAAUGUAAAAUCAAAAAAUUUAAAUUUUAAAUUUAAUUUUUAUUAUUUGUAUGUGAUCUAAAAUCAUACAAAAUAAAAAAAAAGGUUAGAAAAGAGAAAAAAAAAAAGGAAAAUGAAACAUAGAGAAGAUGCUGGAGAAAAUAAUAAAAAUAAAGUGACUGCAAAGCUACCAGUGAAGAUCAUGGCCGUGGGAUGCGGAUUUAGCGGCGAUGAUGAUGAAGUUGGAGUUGAUCUUGCUAUCUCCGCCAUGUUUUUAGCGAUCUGAGCUCUCUUUCUCUCUCUAGGUCGAUGUUAGAGAGAGACGCCGCAAAGUCAAUAGAUUUCGUUUUCUCACAGAUGGUUGUAAACUCCACCUCUCUUUCUCUCUCUCUGUGUGUGAGUUGUGUUAAGUGGUCAAUAUUAUAAAACUAAAAUUUAUGUUUAAUACAUAUAACCUACACUAUUUAAAAAUUAUAUGUAAAACAUUUUAUACUUUAAAUUUUUAUGAUGAAAGAGAGUAGAAUUAGAUUGNGGAAAAAAAAAGUAAAAAAAACAUAGAGAAGAUGCUGGAGAAAAGUAUAUACAAAACACAUAUAAAGUUGGCCCGGUCCAGCACAAAUACCGCCCAAUUCGCUCGAGCCAGCGUCCGCGCCGGCUCGCCCCACGCCGGCGACCACCCGCACCUCUCGACUCCGCCUCUCGGCUCUAGCGCCGGCGCCGUCCGCGCCAGAACCGAAGUUCGCCCCCGCACCCGCAGCAGCGCGAGCCCGCGCCCGCGCCUCCGCCUCCCGCUACCGCCCGCCCGCGGCUCCGCCUCCUGUUGCCGAGCGCUCGCGCCGCCCGCUCGCUCUGGGGAGAGGGGGCGAAAGAGAGAGAGAAGGGGGGAGGAAAAGAGGGGGAGAGAGAGAGGCGUUGAGAGAGAGAGAGAGAGACGUUGAGAGAGUGAGAGACAGAGAGGCGGUGAGAGAGGGAGAGAGAAAGAGAGAGCGCGGCGGUUCGAGAGGGAGAGAGAGAGAGGAGAGAGAGAGAGGCGAGAGAGAGAGAGAGAGCGGCGCUUUGGACGGGUGGGGGAAGGGAGUCAUCCGAUGAAAAAAUGGGCGGCGCAGAUUGAUCCAUGUUGAAAGGUUGGCUUUGGAGUUUGGAGGGACAAUAAGAGCCUGUCACGUGGCAGAAUAGAAGUCCCAAAUAGAUAAAUUAUAUAGAUAAUAUAGAUAAUAAUAAUAUACGUAUACAUAUACAUAUAUGUAUAUGUAUAUAUUAUAGAGCGCUCCUCUUAAAGCACGUGGCGUUUGCACGACUCCCAAAGCACUAGGUGCUAAGUAGGCCGGGAUGUUGGCCGGGCUCAAUUGAUUCGUUAAAAUUGGGCCGGGUUGGCCCGGGACGGGCCAGAUUUAGUAUUUUGCUGGUUUUUCUCGUACGUCAACUUUAGUGGGAGUUCUUUUACAAUUUUAAAUUUUAAUAAACCAGUACAUUGAACAUUGGAUUUUACAAAUAAAAAAAAAAAACCCCUUUACUCCGCAAAAGCUGAGGUUACAUAUGGUUGAUAAUAAAUUGAAUUUCUAGUUAUUUGAUUUAUCUUCUUUUUUUUUUCGAAUAAGUAGUAUUGUUCAUUUUUAGCGGUAAUUUGAUGGAGAAGUUUCGAAGUUAAAAAAUAUACAUACAUUAUACAUACAGAUAUAUAUUGUAAGUAGGUGUGACAAUAUAUGACGAGACCGACGGUCUCUGGAGCAAGUGGCAAAGGGUUUGGUGGUUGGUAUCUGAGGUCUCAAGUUCGAAUCCUAGUUAAUUCACAUUUCCAGCUAAAUUUAUUUCUAAAUAAAAUAAAUGAAGCGGAUAGCGUACUCUCUAUCUCUUAAAAAAAAAAAAAAAAAACAAUAUAUGACGAGAUCUGAUAAAUAAACAAAUUUCGAUAUAAAAUCUGGUCUUGAAAAUCGGGUCCGAACAAAUUACUUGGUCCGAAUCAAAUUUGGGUUCAGGUCCGAGCGCGGAAUUCAUGCCCACCAGGUCAUGCAACCAAGAUUUCUAAUAACAGUUUAGAUAGCUAAAGUAAACUUUAUUAUUUUAAUAUUUAUGUUUUAUAUUUUAUUUUUAGAAUAAUGUGUUUCUAGGAAUGCCACAUUUUUCCGCUGUAGGUGUGUAAAUUUUGAAUUCAAAUUUUAAUUUUGUAGAUAUUUUAAACUUUUUCUUUAAGGUUGCGUUUUUGGUUCAGUAAGAAUUGCUUAUUUCAAAGAUAGUACAAAUUUAAGUAUAAAUAUGAAUUAGACCAAUUUUGUAUUUGGAUAAAAUUGAAUUGUUCAUGAAAAUAAGGUAAAUAGUAUUUUGAUAGUUAGAUUAGAACAAAAACAAAUAGAAGUUAUAAUUUUAAAUUAAAAAGAUUUUAUCUAAUUAAUUAACAUCAAAAUAUUAAUUGGAUUGGCUUUAUAUUUAGGUCUUAAUAGAUUUUUUUUAUUUUGGUAUAAAUAGGACACUUAUACAAAAGUGCCUAAAAAAUGUGUCUUACAAUCUAAUUUUGUUCUGUUGAAUUUAGUAAAUUAAUAAAUUUAUUAACUAUAAAAAUAUAUUAAUUAAUUAAUUAUAAAAAAAAUUAUAACUUUUUAAUUAGUUAGUAAAUUAUUUUAGUUAGAUAAUUAGUAUAGAAAUUAAUUAGAUUAGUAAAAAUAUUAUCGAUUGAUCAAUAUCAAUAUAAAUAUUAGCUUAUGGAUUAACACAUUAAAUUAUUAAUUUUUAAUUAGCGAAUUAAUUAUAAAUAAUAUAUUAAUUUCUUACUUUAUUAUUUAAGCAAUAGAUAAUGAUGAAAUAUAUUAAUUAGAUUAAUUAAUGAUUUAAUACUAUAAUUAAAAUAAAAUUUAGCCUUUAAUUAAGCUUAUUCUUAUUUCGAAACAAACGUUAAUUGCAGGAAAAAAGAUAGAAUAACAGUUUCAGACUUAUACCAACUUAAUUGUUUCAAAAAAAAAAAAGGACCAUUGUUUCCAUCUCCCAAAUUAUGUUUGGAUAUAAAAGGGGGGGAAUAAGGACUUAUUCUCCCCUUGUACCCUUUAAUCAAUCGGAUAAGGUAUUAAAAAUUGGGUUAAAGUAGGUUUGGAUCUAAAUAUAGUACAAUUAAUAUUUUGAACAGUAGAAUUGUAAAGUAUAAAUUAUUAUCCCACAUAUACACAGAGGGUUUCUGANCACACCCGAAAAAAAAAAGAAAAGAAAAGAAAACAGAGAGAGAGUCAAAUUAUAGAAUUGAUUGAGCCAUCCAACCACCAAAGAGUUGGGUCCUUUUCACUGCCUAUGUAUCUCCUCAUGUCAUGGUGCACAAACGUGGUCCAAAUACAUCUUGGGACAACUACACCUCCUUUAACCUUAACAAGCACAAAACGAAAAACAGAUGCAACUUUUAUUGUACUUGGCACACCUACGUACGUACAGUUUAAAUAUUGUUCAAUGAUAACAAAAGCACUAUUAAAUUCCUUAAAUGGCAUGGAGAGUAUUAUUUUGUUCUUUGUUUUUUUGGCAUAAGAAGCUUCCUUUCUAAGAUUAGUACCUAUAACUUACCACUAAUGUUAAUCUAUAUAUUCGUUUUGUAUUUGUUUGGACCACAAUGUGGUGGUGGUUUUUGGACCACAGUAAACGAUCGAGUACAUGAGGUGGUUGUGUUUAAAGUUAUAUUUAAUGAAUGGGGACUUGUUUUCUUAUGGUAUUGUUGAGAGUUAAUGACCAAUUAAUGUGCUCAGAUGAUUGUGUCUGUGGUCCUAUAAUAUACCAUACAUAGGUUUUAGAGAGAGAGAGAGAGAGAGAGAGAGAGAGAGAGAGAGAGAGAGAAUUUAAAUAGCUUGAUGUACCAUAGAAUGUACCCCACAAUAUCUCCUCCCCUCUCAAUUUUUACGUAUAACCUAGAUAUUGUGUCGCGUACGAUUCCAUGGCAAAGUAUAAAAAUCUAAGUUGGUAUGAGUUUUAUGAUCACACCAAUGCUGUUCUAAGUACUACGGAAAUUGAUAGACUACCUUUUGAAAUAUAAGUUUAUAUGCUAAAUUUAAAAAACAUGUAUUUGCGUUAAAAGAUAUAUUUUAACAAAUGCAUAUGUCAGAAACUUCGGUUUAGUGCAUGCGAACGGACGAUAAAUAACUUUCGGUGAAACUGAAGAGCCAUGCUGUUUAUUUUAACGAAAGUGACACAAAAUAGCAGAACUUCAGUUUCAAAUACUACCAAGCUACAUUUAGGGUACAUUUUGGUUAUAAUUAUAUGUGUAAAAACUAUGGCUCUCAUAUCAAGGACACAACUAUUAUGCUUAAGUCCAACAGUGAUAGGUUGUUCAAAGCUUUUGGAAAUGAGCAUACAUCACAUGCUUGCCCAUGCUUCUAUGGGACCACUCAAUGAGGUGUACCAUAAGGUUUUUUAUACUUGGUUUUUCAAUAUAAGUUUAACUUCUUCCUAGGUAAAUACAAGGAACUCAUUGGUUUAUGCUCUAUUAGUUAUAUUACUACUUGAUAAAAAUUUGACAUAUCCAUGAAUAUACUCUUGCCAAAUACCCUUCUCUAGGAAACUCAACUUACCUCUAUGAAUUGCAUGGUUCCUUUUAAAAGAUAUUUUGGUAAGAAACAGUAUCCCAAAACUGAAGGAAAUUGUACCACAAAAUAGUUCCUUAAUUAUGCACGUGAAAUUGAUAUAUAUUGAGAGAGAGAGAGAGAGAGAGUGAGAGAGAGUUUAGUUAACAUACUAUUGAGAAUGUAUGAAUAGUUUUUACUAUAUAUUUUUCUAUCAUUAAUUAGAUUAUUACUAUUUCACCUACCACCGCUAAAUCUUAGCAUCCAAUAAUAAAAAAUAAUAUAUGGCAAAUAUUAUUUCUAUACUAUUAAUAAUGUACUAGCACCACUUUUAUAUAUAUAUAGAGAGAGAGAGAGAGAGAGAGAGAACUAGGUUGGAAUGCUAUCAAUACACCAAGCUAUUGGUGCUAUUAGUUUUUUAGCUUUUGGAUUGAGAAAUGUGCGGUUAGGAUGAUGUGGGCCCCUAGGGUUGAGUGGGUGGUUGGUUGAAUAGUAUAAUCUAACGAAUAAAAAUAAUCAAAGAGUUAAAUCUAACGGUGGAAAACUCGAUAGUACCAAGUCCUUGGUCCUAUCAAUAGUAUCCCAGCUGAACUCUCUCUCUCUCUCUCUAUAUAUUUAUAAGCAGGAUAUUGUGCUAUUAGAAGCACAACAGCCCUUGUGCUUUUAAAUUCCUAACCAUUCAUUAAUUUUGAUGAAUGGUUAAGGUGAAAGAGAGAAGAUAAAUUGAAGAGAAAUUGGAUAUCUCAAUUUCUCUUUUCUUUAAUUUUUUUUUCAAUUUUUCUACUCUCUCUCACCCUAAUCAUUCAUUAAAAUUAAUUGAUGAUUAGAAACUUAAAAGCAAAAGGAUUAUUGUGCUCCUAAUAGCACAGUAGCCCUACUCUCUCUCUCUCUCUCUCUCUCUCUCUCUCUCUCUCUAUAUAUAUAUAUAUAUAUGAGGGAGGAGCUGAAAAUUUUACUAAUUAAACAUAUACGAACAAUUAAAUUUAUUAAAUGUUAACGGUAACCUCACACAACCUCCCCUCGUCUGCAUGAUAAUAUGAAAAACAAGUGGGAUUGAUAGGUAAAGUAUAAGAUGCGGAUUUAACCCAUUAAAUGUGAGAUUUUAGUUAUAAAACCAUUUACAAUAAAAGAUCUUCCUAGCAGGAGAUGUAUGAAUUAAUACAGAAAACACGGAAUAUAACCUUCACAUGCUAUUUUACCAACGAAAGGAAUGCAUGCAAAAUUAGGAAUUUCAUAGAUGUGCUCCAUUCCCUCAAUUUGCACCAAAUAGUGAGGCCUUACCUACUAUUCUAUGCACAGUAGUUUUAAUAAAUCGUGUCACAUUUUAGUCCUUUUAUCAUAUGGUACAUCACAACUAUUCAUAAUUUAGUGAGACCAUACAAAUAUUCCACAAGUGAUCAUGGAUCCACUUUGGAAUACGCAUGAAGAUGUAAACAGUUUGUAAGUACCAGAUGAAAAGUGCAUUGACAAAUUUACGUAUGGAGAGCUACUAUCAAAGUUGAGAUGUACCUUAGUGUUUCUUUGCUAUGUAAGUGAUUCAUUUUAGCACUGAUCCAAACUCUUCAAAAAUUGUCACAUUUUUGUUAAUGUUAAUUUUUUUUAAAAAAAAGAAGAAAAAAGGUGAUUAUUACUAUCAAUAUUGUAAAAAUAAUAAAGAAUAAAUGAGUUCUGAUUCAAAUUGACAGAAAUAAAAGGUGUGCUCAGAACAACAUGAGGGUAUAACGACGUCCAUUCUGCUUGGACAACAUUACUACUCGCUUGAAAGCUGCUUGGUACUGACUCUGUGCUGGUUUGGUCUCGCUCCUUUCCUGCAGGCCUAGAUGAUUUAUUAUUCUUACAAAAAAUUAAUGACAAAGGCUGUAUCAAAGUAUCACUUCCUACAAAGUAGCAACCGAAAAAAAUAACAAGGGCUUAGAAAGGGAACAAAAGUUUGUCCCCAGAAAUAAGACUCCUAUAAUUGUUGGUUUUGAAAAAAAAAAAAAAGAAGUCUUGAAGUAGUAUUAUUCCAACUACUGACAUUGUGGUCUUUGAUGGACCCUCUCUGUCAUUAUAAUCAAAGAUCACCAAUUUUCAUGUGGAUCACAUUCACACUUUGUUUGCCUCUAGUCAACCCAAUUGUUUGACCAUAGAUCACACCACUAUUUGGAAAAAGGAAUGGAAUCUUUGGUGGGAGCCAAUUUGGGAACUCAAUGCAAAUUAGGGCUUUCUCACAAGAAAAGUAGUGAAAUAGUGCACUUCGUUUUUGCUCCUGUUUUCAGUUAUAAUAAUGUUUAGUAGAAUAUUAAAUAUAUUAAAAAGUUGAGGCAAUUGUUUAUAUAUUCUUAAAAAGUUAUAGAUUUUUUUUUAUUUACCCCUUUAUAUGGUUAAUAUAAAAAAUAUAUUUUUAACGUUUCAACUUUUUUUCAAAUAUGUUUUUGGAGUUAAAUUAUGUUAGUGAACUAUUAAGAACAUUCGUUAUUUCUGUAAAAUUACUAUUUUGUUUUUUUCAAUAUAUACUAUUUUACACUCACCAAGUUUUUUUAUUUGUGUCAGGGAUAAAAAGUAUCUUGACUUUUUGUCCUUUUAAAUAUACUCUUUUACCAUCAUCACCAAAUUCUCUUAUUUGCUCUUAAGUUAGGAAUAAAAGAGAUAUUUUGACUUUUUUUUAACUUUAGUAGAAAUUUAAUCUAAAUUUAAUUUGAGGUAACUUAACGAAUACUGAUCGUGGGAGUAUUUUUAAAUGACGAAAAAAAUAUACGAGAGAUAUAUUUGAAAUAAAAAAAUAUAUAAAAAAAAUAUUUCAGAAGUUUUGAAUAGUAUAUUAAUAAUUAUCCCUAGAAAGUUUGAUACUUUUGUUACAGUGGGUGCUUUAACUGAUAUUUUAACCCUCAAAGAAGCUCUUCCAGUUUGUGACUCAUCUACACAAUAAAAUAUAUUUAAGCAGCAAGGUGUUUUAUAGCUAAACCAAAUGGGUCCUUAUUAAGGAUUACUUCUCUUUUUGCUUUUCGCUUUUUUUUCUUUUUUUUUUUCUGGUGAAAACUAAUAACCAUAAUCGACUGUCUCUAGAGCAAGUGGCAAAAGACUUGAUGAUUAGUACUUGAGGUCCCAAGUUCGAAUCCUAGUUGAUUCAUAUUUUCAGCUAAGUUUAUUUUUAAAUGAAAUAAACGAAGCGGGUAGCGUACCUAUCUCUCUCUCAAAAAACAAACAAAUCUUGUUCACACUUCACACAUGUCAGUGUAAGGUUGUGUUUANAAAAAAAAAAAAAAAAAAAAAAAAAAACUAAUGUAACAUGAAAAAGCAAGUCAUCUGUAAAAUGAAAAAAAGAAUUAAAGAUACUCAACUUAUUUACAUUCUUAUACAAAUCUACAUUCACAUCAUCUUCUCUCACCUCAAAAAAAACAGAAAAAAAAAGAAAAAGAAAAGAAAAAAGCUGCACAUUUUAACUUUCCCUGAAAAGUUGAAACCAGCCACAUCCUGGCCCCUUUUUGCCACUCAAUCCUCCUUAUUUAUCUCUUCAAUGCCCCCCAUAUCACUAGAAAUUUUACUGCAGCUUAACCUUUUUUUUCUCUUGUAAAUAUAAAUAAUUACUUUAUUUGAUCUAACAUUAAAGGACAACAAAACAAUCUCAUAUGUCACUCCAAGGAUUUCCUGCUUCCCAGCUCCCCUACUCCACCCCCUCUCUCUCUCUCUCUCUCUCUCUCUCUCUCUCUUCUUCAAAGUAGGUUGAAGUACACUUGGUCAUUAUAUUCUUUUUAAAAAAUAAAAAAAAAUUUUGUAAUAGUUUUAUUAUCUUGCAAUAAAAAAUUUUAAUGUGAGGGUGAGGGGGUGUUUAACUGUACAUAAAAUCGUAAAAAAUAAUUUUUUAUAAUUUUUUUGUGAAAAUAAUAUUUUAUAUUUUGUAGUAUUAGAUUCAUAGAAAAAAGUUUUUUAUUAAUAUUUAUUUGGUUGGAAAAAUUAUAUUUAUUUGGCUCAGUGGAAAAAAAUAAAUGAAAAAAUUUAUGCAGCUUGAAUUUUCGUUCUUCACUGAAAAUCGGCGAAAAAUAAAAAUACAUUAUUUUUUUUUCUAAAUCUGUAAAAAUAAUUCUUCGAAAAAAAUUUUCUACGACUAAAUAAACAUACAAAAAAUAAUUUUUCAAAAGUAAUUAUAUCAAAAAGCAGAACAAAAGCAUACUAUUGAGUAUAAAAAUAUAAAAAAUAUAAAAAUAUUUCAUAUUAUUAAAAAAUAAUAUUAGAAUUAUUUUAAAUCCCUACAGCUUUACAACGAUUUUGUAACGUAAUUAUUUAAAUCCACACCAUUCAUAUUUAACAAAGUAACAUUUUUCUAUAUUAAAACCGAAUAUAUUAACUUUUUAUUUAAUAAUAAUUUAAGUUUUUAAAGAUAAAUAAUUAUUUGGCAGGCAACUGUGAUACAGUAAUACUACCUUUUUUUUUAUCUAGGUUGGUAAUGUCAGACACUCCAAUAAGGGAAGCCAAGAAAAGUGUGACUCCCCACCAAUAAUUGUGGCAAGAGCCAAUAAUAUGCCCUUCACUUGUGCCCAACAUAUAUAUAUAUAUAUAUAAUAUAUAUAUAUAUAGAGAGAGAGAGAGAGAGAGAGAUUGUGUGUGGGUAGUAUGCUUAUAUAAGCAUGGAGCUCUUUGUACUUUUCAGUCGUUUUUAAUAUUAAAACUUUCGAAUUAAUGAUCAGCUCUAGUAGAUUUGAUUUAAGGCUAAAUUAUAGAAAAUUUUCCUAUAAUAACCCGCUUUUUCACUUUUCUUUUCCCUCCUGACAUUUAAAAACCUACACUUUGCUCUCCUGUAAAAUGAAAAAUAUUCACAUGAGGAUUACGGUGUGUAAAAUGACCAUUUUGCCCCUCGCCAUUGUCGUAUUCUUCCCCAUCUUCCUCAGUCGCCCCUUCUUUCUGCUACGAUUUCCACCUCAAUCGGCCACGAUCUCUUUCCAUUUUCUUCUCCACCUGCUCUCCUUCUCCUCCUGCACCCUCGCCGCCUUCGAUUUCGGUGACAGUAGGAGAAACCGAGAUAAGCGACAGUAGGAGAAGGGCAAAGAAGGCGAAGGCGAGGUGGCGGAGGAUGACGAAGGGGAUGUGGGUGAGGGCGAGGCAGUGGAGGACGGCGAGGCGGCGAGGCGGCAGCAAGGUGGCGAGCCGGAGGGAGGCGAAGCAACAGGAAGAUAGCGGAGGGGUAUUUUCGGAAUAAAAAUAUAUUUUUUAACGGAAACCUAACGGUAGGGGGUGAAGUGCACAUUUUUUAUUUUACAGGGGUGUAAAGUGUAGGUUUUUAAAUGUCAGGGAGGAAAAGUGAAAAAGCGGGUUAUUACAAGGGGGUUUUCUGUAAUUUAGCCUUGAUUUAAAGUAUUUGAAGUAUCUAAAAAGUAAAUUUUGUAACUUUUCGAUAUCAUUUGCCUAGUGAUCGAAGGGGCUCAAAAGCAACAACUGAAAAUAAAAAUCUUAUAAAAUGUGAUGAUAUAAUAUUAGAAUUUUUGAUCAAUUACAUUAAUCUUGUUUUAUAUAGUAUAUAAAAAAUUUUAUAUUAAAAAUUUACGUGAUUUAGAUAUUUCUACACUAUUAAACUUACAAAUGGCUUACCAUGGUUAUUAAAAUUAUUGAUUUUGAGCCCCUUGAUCACUAGACUAAUGAUAUCAAAAAAAUCACAAAAUUUAUUUUAUUGGUAAUUCAAAUACUCUAAAUAAAAUCUAAUAGAACCGAUCGUCGAUUUAAAAGUCCUAAUAUCGAAAACGACUUAAAAGCACGGAGGGCUCCGUGCUUUCAGAAGCAUACUAGUCUCACUCUCUCUCUCUUUCUCUCUUUCUAUAUAUAUAUAUAUAUAUAUAGAGAGAGAGAGAGAGAGAGAGAGAGAGAGCUAGACUGGAAUACUAUUGAUAGCAAAAGGUUCUUUUUGCUAUCAAGUUUUUAAUCCUUGGAUAAGAAAUUGUAAGGUUAGGAUGAUAUUAAUCCCUUAGGGUUGAGUGGUCCCCACUCGGUUAUAAUAUUUAAUCCAAUUAUUAUAAAUGAUGAAAGGAAUUAAUUCAAAGGUUAAAAAAUUUGAUAACAAAAAAGGUCUUUUGCUAUCAAUAGUAUUCUAGCCCAACUUUAUAUAUAUAUAUACACACACAUGUAUAUAUAAAGUUUGGCUACUAUAAUUUUAUGAAUAUAGACCCUUUUAUACUUAUAAGUUUUCGACCGUUAUAUCUUACUCCUUUGAUCGUUUCUAUCCAUUAAAUUAUACUAUUAACCAACCACCCACUCAACCCCGGACGACUACUAUCAUCCUAAUUGCACAUUUCUUUAUCCAACGGCCAAAAAUUUAAAUCUAUACUCAUUAGAGUAUAGUUACCCUAGCAUAUAUAUAUAUAUAUAUAUAUAUAUAUAUAUAUAUAUAUAUAGAGAGAGAGAGAGAGAGAGAGAGAGAGAGAGAGAGAGAGAGAGAGAGAGAGAGUUGAGCCGGAAUACUAUAUUGAUAGCAAACGAGAUCCAUUGCCACCUAUUUAUUUUCGAUGAUGGAGCCUCCAAAUCGACGAUCGACACCGUUUAACAUGAUCUAUACCACUUGAAGUAUCUAGAAAUCAAAUUUUAUACUUCUUCGAUAUUGUUCUCUUGUCCAUAAAGUAGGCGUAAAAAUGAACGGCUGAAAAUGAAUAUCCUUUAAAAAGUGAUGAUAGAAAUUUUGUAAUCAAGAUCAAGAGUAUAGAUCUUGUUUUAAAUAGUUUGAAGAAUUUUUUAACCAAAAUUCAAUUAAUUUGAAUAGCUUUACACCGUUAAACAAGAAAAUGUCUCAUAUCUACCAUUAAAAUUAUAAAUUUUGAAAUCCUUUGAUUAUUAGGUCAAUGAUGUCGAAAAGAUUUGAAAAUUGAUUUCUAGAUACUUCAAGUGGCAUAAAUCAUAUUCAACGGUGCGCAUCGUCGAUUUGAGGCUUCAUCAUUAAAAACAAAUGGAUGGCAACGGAGCCCGUUUGCUACCGAUAGCAUUCCAGCUCAACUCUCUCUAUCUCUAUGUAUAACUAGAUUAGAAUACUAUUAAUAGCACCAACUCAUUAGUGUUAUUAAGUUUUCGACCCUUGGUUAAAGCGAUGUGCGGUUAGGAUGAUAGUAAUUUUCUACUAUUGAGCGGGUGGUUGAUUGAAUAAUAUAAUUUAACAGAUAAAAAUAAUUAAAAGAUUAAAUCUAACCGUGGAAACUAUAUAGUAAGUUUAAGAAGCCCCACUCAAUAUACACGGCUCCAGCUUUAUUACCCCAGCGUCCGCUUAUGUAUUAUAUUAUAAUACAUAGGCGGACGCUGAGGUAAUAAAGUUGGAGCCGUGUAUAUUGAGGGGGCCCUUGAACUUACUGCCCACUCCAGAGUCUCCUUUUUCCCCUUCACAUUUAUUGUUCUCUUUGGAAUCCUUGUCAGGGAAUUGAAUGGUUGGAAAGCUACAGACCAAAUAAUAGUCUGCGAGUCUCCUCCUGCUGCUGCUGCAGCUGUUUCUGCAACCACUGUCUCUGUUUCUGCUCCUAACCUUCUUGGGUUUUUUUUUUUUAUUCCUAAUCUUUUCUAUUCACUCUUAUUAUUAUUAUUUAUUAUUAUUAUUAUUAUUAUUAUUAUUAUGUUGAACCCUACUUUAAUUGCCUUGAAUCUGACCAAGAUGGGCUAAUCCUGUUCUGGGUUUGUGGUUUAUUUCAUUCACCUCCCUUUAGGAAGCCCAUUUCUGGCUUUCUGAUUCUUUUCCUCCCCAUCUGGCCUGCAUUUUCUCUUUUGGGUCUUCUGAUUUUUGUCUGCUCUUGGGGUGGGGGUUUAUUAUCAAGGUGAGAUUUUGCUUGAAAUGGGGUGCUGACUGUUAACUUUUGUGGGUUUGGGUUUGUUUGUUGGCUAAGAAGAACUCAUCAUUUUUUUUUUUUUAAAAAAAAAAUCUCAUAUUCUCCCUGUCCUUUUCCUUUGAUUUUUGCUACCUAUCAUGUUUCAGGAUUUGUUAUGCUGUUCUUGUGUGAGACUCUUUCAUAUGGUUUAGAAAAAAAGAAAAAAAAGAAAAAGAUUACUUUUUAGGUGGUUGUUGGUGUGUGUAACAUUUACUAUAUUGUGAGAAGUAGCUCUUAGGAAUUGAUAGAGAGACAGGGAGGAGUUUGUGUGGGUGUGCGAGGAGAGUGACUGUAGAGCUAGAUAGAGAGAGAUAGAGAAGAGUAAAGUGUGCGACAAAUAGAGUUUGAGUGAGAUAGAGUGUUGUUGCUUUUAUGGAUUGGGAUCUAAGGAUGCCCCCCUGGGACUUGGCUGACGUGCUGAACCACAACCCCCAGCCGCCGCCCGGAUUCGGCGGCUCGGGCGGCAGCCGCACCGACUGCUCCGUCGACCUGAAGCUCGGCGGGGGGUCGGGGGAUCUCGGGCCAGCCCAUCAUCACAAAUUCCAAUCCAAGGCCUCUGUUUCCGCCGCAAUGGCGCCGCCGCCGCCGCCCUCUUCUUCCUCCUCCGGCCCGCCGAAGAGGCCUCGGACGCACGGCAGUGGCGGCCCGACCCCUUCCUGCUUGGUCGACGGCUGCAAAGCCGAUUUGAGCAAGUGUCGGGAGUAUCACCGCCGGCAUAAGGUUUGCGAGGCCCAUUCGAAGACUCCGGUGGUGCUGGUCGGCGGCCAGGAGCAGAGGUUUUGCCAACAGUGCAGCAGGUAUAAACUACCUACGCAGAGAGUUCUCGACCAAUUUGGAUUAUUUGAUCUUUGAUUCAUAUACUUAAAUCACUCAAAUUUGUUUUGUGAUAUGCUUAAACUAUUGCCAGAGUUAUUUGCUUCAACUGGAUAUGAACUUCUAAUGAAGUAGAAACCUAUCCUUUUCUAAAUUUAGAAUAUCUUUUAUAAUCUUCUGUGAUGUGUACAUGCAGUGGUUUAUAUGGGGAUAUGUUGCUCAACUAGCCACAGAUAGUUACUUCUUCAAAUUAGCAUAACAUUUCGUCACACAACUUAGUAAAAUAUAAAAAAAAAAGAAGUUUAUUUUGUUAAGGUAUUCAUUUUUUAUCAUUUUUUUUUUUUUGUCUUAGUAUGGAAGUUAGAUUAAUCAAAUCAUAACGUCGGUUAAAUUCGUUGCACUACUAAUAGUUAAUCUUUUUUUCGCCUAUUUUAUGAGUAGAAAAAUAGUCGGCAUCCUACUAUAAUGCUUGUUGGGCUUUUCACUUUAUGUGGUCCCCAAGAAUGAUAUCUGUUAUUAUUCACUUAGUUUUACUUUUCUUUCGCCUACUUUAAGGAAUGAAUUGUGACCUGAAAGGAGCUUAUACAUCGUCGUAGCUAAAUUAUCGUGAUCUUUUAUUAACAAAAAGUAAAUAAACAAACAUGUUGUAGUUUUUUACUUAAUUGUGCAGCCAGAUAGAAGUACGACGGAUUUCGACAAUGAAAAUCUGAAAAGAUAUCUCAGUUGGCUUGAUUAGAUUUUGCCUUAUGAAAUUUAUACUAUUUUGCAGAAAGCUGAAAUAUGUCAAAUGCGGUCCCGUGCUUUAUUUGCUUUACACUUCUUGGUUGUUCAUUCCUUUUUUUUUUUGUUUCCCUUUAAUUUAUGUUUCCUGGUUUAAAUUGCAACCUACGGUCUCAAUCCACGAUAACAGGGAGCAGCCAAUCUCCUGUCUGGCUUUGUACCAUCUUUCUUUUACUUUGCUCAUCUGUUCUAACUCUCUAUCGACAGUUACUACUCCGUAUAAAAAGAUAAAAUUUAUUCUUAUUUCCUUCAGCAUGUGUACGUCGGUCUUAUUCUCAAGAUUUGCAGCCUUACCUUUUGUGGGAAUUUCCAUGUGACUAUAUCCUCAUUCCGAAGUAACGGUCCUUACAAUUGUACUUAGUUAUGAUGUGCGGAUACCUGAUUUUAGCUACCGUGUCCAUAUCGGAUAUUGAGAGACAUAUCCGAGAGACACCUGUAAAUGUCUGAUAAGGGUAUCCAAUGUACUAGGAAUAUAGAAAAAUGCCCAGAUAUGUUAGGCGCACGCAAGGAAUAUGGGAGGGACUUAGGGUUGCCUUUUUCAGUCUAAUUCGUGUCAGAAUAUGGGAUGGACAGAGGGUAGCCAGGUCGACAUUCUUUCUUGACGAAUACUACUCAUGUCGGUUGUGCGUUUGGAUGACUUCUGCACCAUGGUUUAUGCUCGAUAAAUCUUAAGAUUUUGCCAGAUCAACUAUCUUUCUUGACACUCUUGUUUAUGUGACUAUGUCGCUGUACUUAGGAUCUGUAGAUAUCAAACGAUUUCUUUUUUUCAUAUGUUACCUCAGAUUCCCAGGAUAUCAAAUCCAAAGAUUUUUAAAUUUGAUGUAUUGCCAUAUCCAUACUGUGGCAAUCUUUGUCCUGCAUUUGUGUCUUGCUACAUGGGCACCUAGCUAUUGUCCCCCAUUUGUUUAUUGGAUCAAAAGAGUGGACAUGUUUGAUUGCAAUCAAAAUUGUUAAAUGCAAUCAGUGCUCUGUAUUCCUGAAGAUCAAAUAAUGGACAAUAUCCAUAACGAUACAUUCUCAUUAAUGGAUUUUUUUUAUUACUCCAUCAGUAUACAUUAUGCGCUAUUCUAACAAAGAUUAUUAAUAUGAAGCGUAAAAUUGUCGCAAUUUUCUAUUAUGUUGCUUCCAGCUGUAGCUUUUUGGGUUUUGGCUACAGCAGGUGUAGUGGAUACACAAAUAGGGUUUAUCCCUGUUUCCUCAAAAAAAAAAAAAAAAAAAGCGUAAAAUUAUGCUCGUACAACAACUUAUCUCAGCUUACAAUUAUCUUCCGAGUUGUACUGGUCUUCUCAACACAUACUGUUGAUCAUGUGAAUCGCGAAUUAUUGUGUUAAAGAUCUGUAUCUUCAGCUGCGAAGACCUUAAAUUUAUCUUCUGUUUUUGGGCUUUCUUUGAAAUUGAGAGUUCUCUCAUAGUACCAGGUAUGACUCUUUGGCAAAAGAGUCCAACAAUCUGAUAAAUAUAGUUGUUUGUGUUUCCGACAGAUUUCACUUGCUUGUGGAAUUUGAUGAGGUCAAAAGAAGCUGCAGGAAAAGGCUUGAUGGGCACAACAGGCGUCGAAGGAAGCCACAGCUGGAUCAUGUAAACUCUGGGGGCUUCUUUGUGAAUCACCAAGGUCUUUUAUCUCUGCAUUACUGCCUUAUUUAUUUGUAGUUUGUUUGAAAUCUCGAUAUUGCAGUUUCUCAAAUCAAUCUUAUGUCGAGUUUCAAUUUGAAAUAAGCUGUUAUAUUUUGAAUAUUAAACUCUUUUUGGGUUAAUGUAAGAUAUGAUUUUCAUUCGCGUGAUCUGCCACUAUUUUGCUGCUACUCUUACAUGAUUAAGAUGGUGUUUCGUAGAUGUAUCAAUUACUUCAGUUAAGAGCUUUAUCAUGUCAAAUUUUGCAAAUCUCUCACUUUACAUUUCUGAUGAAAACCAUUCUGGCUUAUAUACAGGGACAAGAUUAUCAUCAUACCCUCAGAUUUUUCCAACUGUUAGAUCCGAGCCGAACUGGACCGGGCUCAUGAAAUCCGAAAACAAUACUUCCUUUUGCGUGAAUAUGAAUCGGCAGCCUCUACACCUUAGUGAGAAUUACAACAGAGAAAGACGGCAGUUCCCUUUCCUGCAAGAACUCGGCCUGGCCCCCUUCAAGACCGUCACUCCCCCCGAGAGCAGCAAGAUGUUCUCCGAUUGUGCUCUCUCUCUUCUGUCAUCGUCGCCCGCUCAGCAACCGUCGGAUGCCAUCAAUAGCACCGCGCAGAUCGUACGACAGCCGGAUCACGACCAGAUCCCGAUCGGCCAGCCUCUCCUGUCGAGCAGCCCGCUGUACGGCGUCCCGCACCGGUUUCCGUGCUCGCAGGUGCCGGAUGGCGUGUCGGCGGCCGGGUAUUCGUGCCCGGCCGUGGCGAACGAGGCCGAGAUCCACUACGAGGGCAUGUUCCACUGCGGGAGCGAGGGACUGCCCUCCUACGGGGCCUCCCAAACACUCCCCUUUUCAUGGCAGUAGUUUGGAUUUAGUGUUUUUGUUCGUGAUUUUCUCUUUAGCUCAGUUCCUCCUCCUGCUACUCUGUUAAAAUGUCGAAAACUUGCGGAUUAUGCGGCGAUAAAAAGUGUUUCUUUUCCUCCUGAUCAUCUGUUGAAGACAGUGGGCAAGUAACUGUAGCGGCUAAAUUGUUACUAAUAUUUCAAACAGUGUGUAUCAGUUAAUUUUUCGUAACAAUGUACGGCAGCUGAUUCAGUUAUCACAUCAUCUGCAGUCUCGAACAGGUCUACUUUACUGCUUACUACUGUUAAGUGGCAUCACUUUGGGCAGAGCUUGAGUUUUUCGCUGCCGCACUAUGUAUGUGAUCCGAACCCAGGAUAUGUUGGUCCAAACAGGCUCUCAGUUGAUGCAAAAUGCACAAAUCCAAAAUUAAACAAAGAUUUAUACAUCAAAAUGAGAAAAUUCUGACUCAGAUUGACUAACUAAAUUGGGUGUUAGGAGUAUAUUGUGAUAAUGUUUUUUGGAUAAAAAUAGAAAAUUUUGAGUAGUAGUGAUAGGUAAAUAAGCAAAAGUCUCGAAAUAAUAAAUAAUUUUAUUUAAUGUAUAAAAAUAUAAAAUUUGAAAGAUUUUAAUUAUAAGAAUAAUUUAUAGUCAAUGCAUGUUUCCGUAAAAGUUGCAAAGGUGGGUCCCACCUGCUCUAUCAUUGGCCCGGCCCAUCACGUCAAAGCGAGCCCUUUUUGGCCCACAACGACGUUGCGGCCACGAAGGGCUGUGAUCUAGUUCUACGGAACACGUGUACGGUGGAUUAGUGCGAGUUCCUUCACAGCAUUUUUUGCGGGUGUCCGCACCGCAAUUUUAUUUGAAAAAGGGUUCGCUGGCACGUCACGAAAAUUCAGUGGCGAAACUUCGAAUACUUUUUCGACCAUUCAAAAUCCACCACGUCAUCUACAAACUAGAUUUUCCCUGGAGGACAACACGUGUCGAAUGUUUACUGGGUGUUUCCACUGCACGCUGUUUGGUCCUUCUUGUAGACUGAGCUGUUGUAGUCGUGUCACUAUUCGCUGUUGUCGUCGAGGGAUUCUACACUGUCACACUUGCACCACGUCAUCAAUAACAAGCCAAUCACAUUCCUUCUUUUCAAACAAAAGUACAAUAAAAAUACUUUUUUACAAUCAUGAUGGGACAUAUAUUCUUAAAAGGAUUAAUUUGAUUGGUUUGUUACGCCACGUCACUAAUAUACCCGUUGCAUUCUAGAAUUUUUCGUUGUCGUCGUGUCAUUAUCCGUUGUGGGGCCCUUCCCCCAUUAGUCGGAACAAUGGAGGGGUGAAAUGUAUGGAGAGUCCCUGUACUAUUCCACUCUUGCGAUUCCGUUCCUUUACUUUUUUGUGAACAUUUUAAUUUUUAAAGUUACCUACUAAAACGAAAGGUACAUAAACUAGUGCAAAUUUGGAAUAGUAUAAGGACUAUCCGUACAUUAUAUAUUGAACACCAAAGAGCAAAAAUGCUGCGGAGGAUAGAGAAAGAACUUGUUCCAAAGCCUAUCCACUUAUCCAUUCACAUCCAUCGACCCCUCAAUUAUAGAUCGUUUAACAUUAGCCCCUCAACCUUAAUUUUUUUUAUAUUAACAUGCACAAAUUCAAAUUUUUGUCUAAUAUUAUAAUAUUUUAUUAAUUUAUCAUAUUUUUACUUGGGAAAAAAUAGUUUAGGCUAUCGAUGUAACAAAAUUAUGUCGAACUUACAAAGGUCUGUAAUUUAAUUGGCCAAAAUAAUUCAAAAUUUUUUCAAAAGUUGGAAAUUUUAAUUACAAAAAGAUUAAUACAAUGAGAGGGGCCGUUUGAAAAUUACUUAGUAGUCGAGGGGUCUCCAUACAUUUCGCCAAAAACGAGAAAAACGAGAAGUAAUCGAAGAAAAAGUGAAAUGCUGCAGAUGCUGAGGAGGAGAGAGAAGCAUUUGCUCCCAAUCCUAUCCACUUUUCCAACAAUUCUCACCCCUCCAACUAUUUAUAUUUCUCAAAGAGACGCCUCCGUCUCGCUCUUUCUUUCUCUCUCUCCACCGCUUCGCUUGUGCGUACGCUUCUCGCUUUCUCUCUCCUAGGGUUAGGGUUAGGGUUUGCGACCUCUCGAAACCACAAGAUGCGGGGCGACGACGAGCAAUCGAGGCUCAUCUACGAGCUCUGCGCCCUCCUCUUCACCAUGCUCCGCUACCCCCACCUCGCAGUGCCCUCGGCCCCCUCCUCGUCGUCCGCCGCGGCGGCGGGGGCGCCGCUCCCUCCGCAGCCGACGAGGAGGCCGCGGCCGCCGCAGGUAUCGGCGGCGGGGGUGGCGUCGCUGCUGCUCGGGGCGUCGCUCGCGCUGAUGCUGUGCGGGUCUGUGACGUUCGUGAUCGGAUUCAUACUCAUGCCCUGGGUCGUGGGACUCCUCAUGGUGUUCUACUUCGUCGGGAUCGUCUCCAAUCUCUCCGGGAUGGGGAGGGCGAUUCUUUGCCCUAACUCACCCUCCUCCCCCAAAGAAGUCUAAGGUGAGAAAAGCUUAUUUUUCUGCGACCUUUUUACCCUUAUUACGUUGGAAUUAGGGUUAUUAUUAGUAGUCCUGUUCUCUUAAUUGGUCGUUUUUGAUGAUGAUCGCUUAAUAAGAUUUAUUUUGCUCUGAUGGUGCCAUGUGUUAUUUAUUAGUAAUUUCCUGGUGGGAAAUAGGAAUCAAUUUAUGGGCCUAUAGAGCGCUUCUAGUAGAGCUGUUGACAAAGAGAAAAGUUUUGAGCUUUUCCCUGUAGCAGGAAAGUAUUUGUUGCUCUCUGUGUUUGUUGAUUUUUUUUUUUUUUUUUUUUUUUUUUUUUUUUUUUGUAAAAUAUUGUAGCGUAUUGGCGUAGUUUUUGUUGACGAAAUUUCAUCAAUAUAUUGCUCUGAUUUCUGGGAGGAGGUUGUGAAUGUGCUUCUUGCAUUGCGUUUUCUUUGUCUAUUAGGUUUUAUUAUUAUUGUAGAUGGAUAGACGCUACAUAUCUUUUUUAGAGAUAGGAUCUUUAUCUUCUUCUAUGAGAAAAAAGUUUAUUUGGACUAACUUGACAGCUCAUUGCUUUUACGUGUGGAAAUGUCAGAGCCCUUUGGGGGUUGUGUUAAAAUACGUACAAAGCAAGUCCCUUUCUAUGGGGAGUUGUUUGGUUGUCCUUAUCUUUAAAAUUAUUGGGUCUUCAAUAGUGCUUGUUGUUAUUAAAAGAAAAUGAACCUAAAACUGUAACGCUUUUGGAGGCAACUAGGGAUAGAGUUAGAGGAUAGCACAAGUUUAGGGGUUCAUUGAAAUGGAAGUUUUUGGUUUUUUCUAGAAUAACCCGAUCUAACAGAUCAAAGAUCCUUGUAGUCUUUUGUCGGAAAACUUCAGAUAACUUCCAUUGAUAUGAGAAAUUAUAGGCUGGACAUGGUCCUCCUCGUCAGGCGCGGACCUCCUAGUGAUCUGCCAUUCAUACCAUCUCUACUUUCAAUCUUCAACAUAUUUUUGUAAAACAUAUUAUAAAUUUGAAUAUGGUUGUAACCAAGUGAUUUUGCUGGGAUUGAAAGUAGAGAUGGGAUGGAGGGCAGAUCAACUGGGCGGUCCACGGCUUAUGUGGUGGGUCAAAGUUCAGGCAAUAAUUUUCCCUUCGGGAUAGCUCUUCUUUUGCUUUUUGGCUAGCAGUUCAAAGUUUAGCAUUUUGCUCUCGUAAAAUUUUCUUUGUCAUUUCAAGCUUGAAAUGGCGCUAGGAAAAGGUUGCAAAGUGCAGCACUUUUGAACAUUGGGCUUUGUAAAGCGAAUUUUGCGCUAUAACACAGGCUUUUUGAAAGUUCUUCCGCUGUAUUUAAAACGUAGCAAUGGGGAUGCAACCAUAGUAUGUCACUUUUGUUGGCUUAUGAGCAUUAGGUCCUCAUGAGAGCCAAAUACGAACUUAAGUAGAGUAUUGUUAUGCCGUAGAUGUGGGUCUCUAAGGUUUUUCUUCCCUUUUUCCUCCGCUACAUUAAAGGCAGGAUUAGGAGGAUAAUUGAUUUAUUCCUAGUAUUGGCUAAUUAAAAGUCUUGGUGAUUAGUCUGAUGAUGAAUUUUGUAUGCGAUGUUUCACCUUUACUCUUCUCACUUGGACAUGGUUUUUAUGUGGCUAUUGAAAGUCUUGUCUCUUUUAAUAUCUAAAUAGUUUAGGGUAUUGUUUCUGAUCUAAGUCUGCUGAUAUCUGCAAUAAAAACAGAUAUUGAAAAUGUUGCUGCAGAAUUGCUUUUGACAUAAGCGUUUGUCUUUUUGCUGUAAGGGAAAAUUUAGCAACGGAAAAUUCUUUUGUUGGCAGUGACCACAUAGAGAGAGAUUAAAGAUAAUAGAGUUUCCAAAAGGAAGAGGGAGAGAUAAGAGAUAUAAAAGCCCACAAAAUAAAAGGCCAGCGGCAUAGAGAAUGGAAGACUGCAAAGUAUGUGAUGUGGAGAUGUGGCUCAACUUUUAAGACUUUUGGUGCUCUAAUCCACCUUCUGUAUGCUGACUCAUAGGCAGCACUUAGGAGAUACUUCAGGGCAGCCGGAAUGGUACUCUGUUUUGGUUGAAUAGGAUGUAUUCCUACUUAGUUCAUAUAGAAUUUUUUUCGCAUCUCACGGAAGUCAAUUACACUAGAGUAUCUAAUAGGAAAGGGUGCAGCUAUCCAUAUAGAUUUUAUUUUAGGUAAUCUUAUUUAAUUAAUGAACUAGACAACGUCGGUCCUCCUGAUUUCAGGGAUGUUGAUCCUCCUAACAGAGAAAGGUCUUAACUAACUAACUUGGAACAUAGGAAUUAUAUGAUGAAUACGCUUGAAAAGGAUUGCUAUGUUUGCUGGAAGAGUGUACCCCAAUGUAUAGGUAAUGAGUCAGCUUUUGCAAUGUGGCAGCUAGCCGGUAGCUUGUGGUGAGUUUUUCAAACUUGAUGUACGCCUUAAAUGCCGCAUUAGAAAUCUGACUCGUUAACUAUAUUUGGCGGGAUUUUCUUAGACACUUUAGAUUUCUCUUCUUGAGAAUCAGAUGUAGUCAAUCUAAGGAGCUGGUUUAGUGUCUUAUUAAAGCACCAAGUCCUUGAUGCUUACACGUUUGUGCUUGUUGGAUCCAUGAUGGAGUUUGUGGGGCACCAUGUUCAGUGUGCAUCUUUAUGCACAUUCGCAUGUGCUUUUCAUUGAUCUCCAUGCAAAAUCCAACUACAUCGAUGCAAGCACCAAGCUUGGUGCUUUUUAGAAGUUCCCAAGUCUAGGUCCAAGUUCGUCUAAAUUUUGUUUAAUCUAUACUUUGUUAGAUUGAUAGGCUUACAAUAAGUUGAAAAAAAAAAGCUUAUAAGGUUAUUAAUAUUAUGAUAUUUGGAAAUAUAGAAACAAGGGCAACAUAUGGAAUAAAAUUCUAUUUGGGUAUUCUUUACAUAAGUUAUUAUAAAGAGGGGUUAGACGUGCUUCAUCUAACUAGUACUUUGAAUGCGUACCUUCCAUUGAAUUAGAUCAUUUUUUUUUAUGAAAAAUUAUUCUUUUGUUAAAAGCUAUGGUUUCAUAGUUGGGAUUGAAAGUACUAGUUGGAUGAAGGAUAUCCGAUACCUCUUUAUAAUAUCUUCCACAAGGAGUACCCUAUAGAAUUUUUGCUCCAUGACGUCUUGGACAUAAUUUUCAGGGUCUUUAAAUUUCUCGAUAAUUUGGACCAUUGUAAUGCUUAACAACUUGAGAGAACAAAGGAAAUUUUGGAGGCUUUUCUGAUUCCUAUCAGCUUUUUUGCAUUGAACUUUUGGAACCAUCACUUUUUCUCUUUACCAUUUGCACCUACUGUAAAUAUGAAUUGAUUUAAUAUUUCUACUUGUUGCUUACCUGCAAUGGCUCAUCAAAACUUUGUUCCUAACAUUCUUCCAUAGUUUAGUCAAUUUUGUUUGUGUGUUGAUUCGAAACGGAAAGUUUGUUCAAGUUUUAUGCUACUUAGUUCCUUCAUCUGUGAGUAUGCUAUAAAUUUCAUGUUGUACAGGCUAAGCGUAGGAGGAAAAUAUUAGUGCUUUUACUAGUUACCCUUAUGAGGCAUGGAUAGAGAUGAUCAAAUCAAAAAACAUUGUGAGAUGUGCGCUCAAAUGUCAACAGCGAAUGAAUAGAGAGAAAUAUAGAGAGCUAGCUAUUCAUGACAUCUCAAAUUUUUUGACCAGCUUUUAGUUAUAAAUGAAACAAUAUUCUAGUUAGAAAAGAUUUUCCGAAUGGAUAUCAAACUAAGAUGAGUUGCUUAUCUUGGUUUACUAGUAGCUUUUCUAAACUCAUUUCUCACAUUCUAUGCUUCUUCAGCAUCUCUUCUUAUGCUACUCUAGUUGCUCAACUAAUUGAUUGAUCUUUUUAUAUAUGCAUUUAAUUUUUUCCCCUUUAGUUCCGCAAGUUCUUCGUAUCUGGUGUGUAAAAAUAAUUUGGUAAUCAUCUGUGGCAUAUUAGUGAAUCUAUUCUUUAGGUGGUUCACUUUUCUAAGUAUAAAUCACUAGAAAAAAUAUACAUCUACGUAUCUAAUAAAGUAUAUAUAAUUUCGCUUUUUCUCUCUCCAGAGUUUUAUCAACUAAAAUGAAAUUGAUCACCCUUGAUUUUUUUUCUUCUUUCUCAGGGCAGAUCUUCUCCAAACUUCCUACAACUUACAUGUCUGUGCAUACAAGGACUAGUAGCUUCCAAUGAAGCUUAAGGCGGCCCGAAUUUAUUAGCACGCCAGCAGUUUGCAUCUGCAUCAACUGAUACCCUCUCCUCUUACAGUUAACAUGGUGGUAGCCUUUCGGUUUGAUACUCUGUUUUGAAGGUCCUUGUAUUCUCUUCAUUGUAAGCUUUGUAAAUAUUGAAAUUAUCCUUCACGAAGGGUAAAAGUAAUCUGAACUUUACCCGUGUUGAUCCCCCUUGCCUUUUUUCUUGAUCGCAAUGCAAAUCGGUGUCUGAUUGUGCCCGGCUAUAUAAUUUGGGGGUAUCAUUUUGUUGUAUGUUGUGUUAAAAUCUAUAAAGUACGUGAUUCUCUCCAGUCUCUUCUACUCUUCUACUAUUCGCAUUUAUCUUGUUGGCUAUUGGCCAAACUAAUAUUGUCCUACUGUUUCUUUGUGUUUUCGAAAAUAAACAGGGAGGCCACAAAUAUUUUAUCUACUGUAAAUUUACCUCGUCGUGCAUGUAGCAGGUACAACUAGGAACUGUAUACACUCAAGAAAGAAGAGUAAGAUCAGUGAUGACUGAUGAGUGAUGAUCAUCAGGCGUAGGCGUAGACGUGGUGGCGGAGGACGAGGAUGAGGAGGGUGUAGAGGGCGAAGAAGAGGACGGCGUGGACGAGCACGGCCGGGCCGUUGGUGCGGAGGCUGCCGAAGUCGACGGCGCGGCGCGACCCGGGGGCCUCCACCAGCAGCCCCGGGGACAGCAGCACGAACAGCACCACCCCGACCGCCACCGACGCCCAAUCCGCCCUCCCCAUCUGCCCUCCCCAAUCUAGAUUUAUUCCAAUUUUUAACUAACUCUUCUUUAUUUAUUUUCCUUCUUGGAUUGAGAAUUGUGUAUGGAAUAUGGUUAGAGGUUGGAGUGCGCAGCGCAGUGAUCGUGCUCCGGAACUGGUCGCGGUGGUGGAUAUAUCAUGCAUGCGCCGCGGGCGGCGGUUGACGGCGACGUCAUCCGCGCUGAGGUGGCACCUGGAGGCGCGGGAGUGUGUGCCACGUGUAACGACGUCCUGAAUCAUCAUCACCACCACACCGCCCAAUCUCCAUUCGAACCUGGAUCCGAUCUGAAACCUUCUGGUCCGACCCUCGUCUGACAAAGUUUUACGGCUAAAUUUAAUACUUAGAAUUUUAAAUUUAUUUUAAAAUAAUAAUAAAGUCCAGAGAGUAAUUAAUAAGAUUUUUAAUGCAAAUGGAUAAUUAAGACGUCCGCUAAAAUACCAGAUUUUUUUUUGCCGCAUAAUAGUAUUUAUUUUUUUCUUUUAUUCUCUUUUUUGUAUAAAAAUUUUAUAUAUAAAAAUUAAAAUUAGAUACCAAACAAAGUAUUCAUGCGUGGAACGUGUUUUAUUUGUUUACAAUAUCCAUCACAUUUCGUCGUUGGCGCGGACCAAAAUCACGCGUUCCCAUUCUAACUACUUCAAUGCGGAUGGGUCAGAAACUCCCUGCAACGCAGAAAUCUAGACGGCCACAGCAUCACGUAACAUCCACGUGUACGGGCGAUCAUCCUCCCUUACAAAACUUUCUAUGCGAACGUUCGGACCGGAACACUCGCUGCGACAGCGACACCGUGAAUGACCUUUCUCCCGAAAAUACCCUUUUUAGUAGGAGCCGCAUGGUAUCAUUAAAUAAAGGAAAAAAAAACAAUACCCUGUCACCCACUUAGACACCCACGUCAGCGCACGGAGAUAUAGAAUGUGGGCCCACUUCAGGUUGCAAUACGUGGAAACUUUUUAUUGGUUAGUUGAAUCGGGAGUCUAUUUCCUUUGUCGUUGAAACAGCGCCCCUCUUUGAAACGGGCAAAUUUUUGGGGUUAGGAUUUAGGAAAGCAUAUGAUUCGCUUCUCGAUGGAUGUAGAACUGAUAAGUUGUUUACCACCUUAUUUGUGGACCAGCGAGUUAUCCACCGUACAUUCCAACUAUUUUUUCAAUUUUUGAUUUAACGUGCGAGCUCGAAGCGAAUCAAAAGCCCCGCUGACGGAUGACGUGGUGAACCUUGUUCAUGAUAUUGGUUUACUCCGUCCAAAUAGGAGGUAGAGAUUAGCCGAGACCCAAUCGCGAUAGAGAGAGAGAGAGACAGAGAGCCCACGUCGAUCCUUCUCUUACCCUCUCCGCUUCCUCGCCGGCGAUCGGGGAUCCGAGGCGGCGGCGGAGGAGGCGGCGCCGCCGUGCUCACGAUCGGGGCCGUGGUGGCGGGGCUUCUCUGGGGGGAUUCUCGAUCGUCGGAUCGGAGAUGGACCGCGGCGGAGGGGCGGGGAGGAGGAGCAGCUUCUCUGGGAAGAAGUUGGCGGAGAACGGCGGGGCCUUCGAUGGCGGAAGGAGGACCUCUAUCUCUCGCCCUCCGUACGAUCUCUCUCUCUCUCUCUCUCUCUCUCUCUCUCUUCCCCCUUCCUCCUCCCAAUUCUCGAUCGAGUUGUUUGUAUUAGUUCUCUAAGGUUUCGAUUUUAGUAGGGAGUUUAGUUAGUUAGUGUUAGGUUCUAGGAUCUCUUCAUUGGAUUAUGUGCGCUUAAUUCUUUAUUAAUUAGCAACUGCUCGAUAUUAAUCAGAUUGCCUUGUGACAAAGUAACUUACUGUUUCUAGUAUUUUUAUGCUACGCUUAAUUCGUUCUUGCUGUUUAUAUUGUUUUGUGUACCGAGAGUGUGAUGCUUUGGGUACUUGAAUUUAUUUUAUUUUAUUUUAUUUUAUUUUUUUAUUGAUUUGCUACUGUAAUAAGCGAGUUAUCAACAAUGGGAAAGGGCAUGUUUCUGAUUUGUGUGAAGAUUCCCUCUGUAGAAGACUAGGUUUAUGAGAUGGAUUAGUAGUAGAUAAGAGGGAUUAGUAGUAGAUAGAUUCGUAGGCGUUUAUGAGAUGGUAAAGCGUAGAGAAUAGCCUUAUCAGCUGUAGAGUAUUUGAAAUUUGUGUGAACCAAAAUUCGCAAUUUUUCACUAGGGUUCAACAGCUCUAAGUAUAUUAUGCUAGAAAAGUCCUUGUACAGAGGUAAUUCUUUGGCUUUGUUUGGAUGUCGGAAUGAGAUAUCCAUUGAUAAUUUAUGUUGUAUUAAGAUUUUCUUAUGUAACUGGAAGUCAAGACAUCCAUGAUCUUAUACGACAGCAUAUUUUGCUUACGAGGUGAUUUGUCUUAUUCCGAAAGAAAGGACUUGAAGGCUAGAUAUUGUAUCCACUAGAAAUAUACAGAAUAAAAUGUCCAUACAUCCAAACAAGGCCUUCGUUAUGGUUGGAGACAACGCUAAUGCUUUAGUUUUGGUCAUCAGAAGCUUUUUGUUCUGUACAUUCUUAGGAGCUAUAAUAGGAUGCUAGACUUGUAUAAUCAAUGAAUACUUACUUAAAGUAUGUUAUGCUCCAAUUCUUGCAUAUUUUCUACCUCAUUCUCCAUGUUGGGAAACAGGACCGGCGAGAGAACUGUAAAGAGACUCCGGUUGUCGAAGGCCUUAACAAUACCUGAAAAUACAACUGUAUAUGAGGCUUGCCGCAGGAUGGCUGCUCGAAGAGUAGAUGCUGUGUUGCUGACUGAUUCAAAUGCACUGCUUUGUGGUAUCCUUACAGACAAGGUUAAUUUAUUUCUUUUACUCCUUAAUUGAAUCUACAUUGGUUUGUUUAAGCUCAUAUUACUGAUUUUAGCUUUUCUGAUGUGAAGGAUAUAACAACAAGGGUAAUUGCCCGUGAAUUGAAGCUUGAUGAAACACCAGUAUCCAAGGCUAUGACCCGGAAUCCUGUCUUUGUUCUUUCGGAUACAUUAGCUGUGGAAGCAUUGCAGAAAAUGGUGCAAGGUUUGUGGGAUCAAAAACACAAGCACAUACUAGUUGUCUUUGUGAAAAAGGACAACUGCAUCCAACCCCCUGAGGUUCCCACUUUUGCAUGUGGUUAUCCAGACUUUUUAAAAGUUAAGAAAAGACGACCUGAACAAUGUCCAUUUGAAUCAAGUCAACCAACUACGCCCCGUUACCAUCUAUCAGUGACGAGAGCGAGCCCUUGGCCGCCAUAUGAAACCUAAUGUUUAUGUCUUAUCCUUUCAUGUGAGUCACUGCUGUUAGAAAACAAACAGAAAAACUGGUGGUUUGGUUGGUUGACUUCGGGCUUUUCGUUUUCCUUUUUUAGCUUUUGAAAGUUUGGAUGGUCACUUGUAACGAGCGCCUUUAAGGGGCUCUAAUGCAUUUAUCUCUAGUUGAAAUUUUAACUUGAGUCAAUUUUUUUAAUUGCAGGGAAGUUCAGGCAUUUGCCAGUUGUAGAAAAUGGUGAAGUCAUUGCAUUACUCGACAUAGCAAAGUGUCUUUAUGAUGCUAUUGCUCGCAUGGAGAGGGCUGCUGAGAAGGGCAAAGCCAUUGCGGCUGCUGUUGAAGGGGUGGAAAAGCACUGGGGUACAUCAAUUUCUGGUGUGUAGAAAUCUUAUAUAUUUUCUGAGGAAAAUUAAUAUUACUAUUAGUUUUAUUCAACUUAUUUUACUUUUGAAAGCUUACUAUGUUUGCCUGUUUCUUGAAUGACUUUGUAACUAUAUGCUUUCCAAAUUCUUUCCAGGUCCUCAUACGUUUAUUGAAACUCUUCGAGAGAAGAUGUUUAGGCCUUCUUUGUCUACAAUUAUUUCGGAGAAUCCAAAGUAGGUAAUAUCCUCUCAUUAAGAAUCUAUUAUAAGCCUUGAAUGAUAUAUAAAGAAGAUCGAAACAUAAAAAUUUCAAAGAUUUUCUGAUGGUGGCAUCUUAGGGUUGUUUCUGUCUCACCAACCGACUCAGUGUUAACUGCAACAAAGAAGAUGCUCGAACUGAAGAUUAGUUCAGCAGUUGUCACAAUUGAAAAGAAACCUAAAGGAAUACUAACGUAAGUAGUCCUUGCUUUCCAAUGGAUAAUGCUUUUCAGUAAAAUGUAGCAUCAGUUUAACCUCUGUUCCUAGUCUGGUCUUUACUAUCCCUCUUUUUUUUUCCUCUUUCUUUCAUCUCAGUUCCAGAGAUAUACUGAUGCGUGUAAUUGCACAAAAUCUCUCUCCUGAAUCUACUCCUGUGGAGAAGGUAACUUCCCUGCCACAUGGGCUCUCAAUUUUCAGAAAUCUUCAUAUAAUCAUCAGUUGGUACUCUAGCUGGCAAUUGGUUGCUAUAUGAUAAACUACUGUUGUUGCUAUGGUGUGAUGACCGAAAGUCGAUGUGAGAGGUUCUUAUCCACUGAUGCAGGAAUUACAAUUAUUUCUUUUGUUCUUAUCCGUGCCUGCUACAUCAUCUUGCAUAUCCUUUACAGUUAGCAAAUUUUGGCGUUAGCUAUCUUAAUUGCUGGUUUGAACAUUGACAUUUUCAGCAUUUAGCUAAUUAUCCAAUCUCUGAAUAGUAAAUUAACAGUUAUAUUAGAAAUAAAAUUCUCUCAACUUUAUUAUCCACAAAUUUUGCCUUCUUUUAUCUAUGAUAAAGAUGUUGGUCUCUUUCUCGAAGGAAAAAUUGUUUCGGUUGAUACAGCAUGUAAUGUGUCAAACACUUUUACAGGUUAUGACGCCAAAUCCUGAAUGCGGAACAGUUGACACUCCGAUUCUUGAUGCUCUUCACACCAUGCAUGAUGGGAAAUUUCUGCACUUUCCUGUUGUUGACAGAGGUUGGUUAAACAUACAAACAAGUUUAUCUGUCCUUUUUCUUCUCAUAUAUUUGCAUUUUAGCCACUUAUAUAACUCAUAUGCUUUAUACAGAAGGGAACAUUGUCACAGUUGUUGAUGUUAUUCAUAUCACUCAUGCCGCGAUAGCCACUGUAAGUUGGUGAUGUACAUUUAUCAGUUCACAUCAUUCUCUGCAACUGUCUGGGCUUUCAAGCUCUAAUUUAAUUGCUUAUUACAAACUAAUGACUAGUAGCUUGUAUAUGAUGCCUGCAAUCUUUAUUUUUCUUUUUUUUUUUAUUUUUCCUUUCAAGCUCAUCCUAUAAAGUCAUGCUAUUAUAACUCCUAAGUAGUUGCCUGCCAUCUGAAAGAAGCUAUACUUAUAGUCAUACUGUUACUAAUGGAUCCUUGAUGCUAGCAAUGCCCAUCUCCUGAAUGCCAAUAUUAGUGCACAAUCACAUCACUAUAUCUAGAUGGGAGUUCAAUAUCUGCAUUCUUCGGUUAAGUUAUUUGAUGGUCCAUAAUAGUUGGAGACUUUGAGGUCAUCAUAGGAUUUAGAAACAUUAGAACUGAGUUCGAUGUUCUCUUUUAUAAAGGUCAAACUGUAAACAAAGGAACUAUUGACUCUUACUGAGAUCCAUAAAUGCUGAAUAAUUCAUUACUCUAUGUUCAUAAUGUAUAAAGGCGGGAAGUAGCGGGGGAUCCGGAACCGAAGCAACAAGUGCAAUGAUGCAGAAGUUCUGGGACUCGGCUUUGGCCAUAGGACCUUUAGAUGAUGACGAUGAUUCUCAAAGGUUGGAAUCCUCUUGAUCUAUUUGAUACAUAUUAUUUAACACUUAAAACAUGGUUUCAUAUUUUUGACAAUCUAUUCAAUUAACCAAUUUUCAGUGAAGGAUCCAUGAAAGUGGCAUCUGAAGCCACAGAGGCAGGAAGGUCAGCAUUUUAUCCAGUGUCAGGUUUAUCGAGUACUUUUGGAUUUAAGCUCCAGGACAAACACGGCAGGAUGCAUAGAUUUAACUGCGGUAUGCUAUCCCAUUUAGAACUUUUACUGAUUAACAGAAAAAUUGGUCAAAUACUUAAAUUUGGUCCCUUAAAUUUUAUUCCGAUUUUAGUUUGUCCUAAGAUAUCCGGUUUUUGACAAUUUUGUCCCAAAGUUUGUUCUGCUUAGUAAUUAAGUCCUUUUGUUAGUCUACUUCUUGUCCUGGCUGGUGUGAUGCUGAUGCGGCAUCAGUUUUCCAAUGCUAGAUUAAUGAAAGUUCAGUGAUUAUGCGGGACAAACUUCAGGAUUUAAUUGCUAGAACUUAAACUAUGAGGAUGUAAAUGAAAUUGGGUCAUAUUUCAUCCUAAGACUUUCACAGAAUUUUCGCAUUAUUAUUCAUCAAGAGAAAUGUAAUCACCUGUUUUGUUGUUGUUUAUAUCAGAGACAGAGAGUUUGUCAGACUUGAUAACUUGCAUCCUUCAGAGAGUGGGUGAUGACAUUGAUAGGAAUAAUCUACCCCAAAUUCUGGUAUUUAACUAACUGUAAACCCAUCUCAGACAAAUUAUAAGAAUUGUGACUAAAUAUGUUUCAUCUUGAUAUUUGUUUUUGAUGAUGCUUCUUAGUAUGAAGAUGAGGACCACGACAAGGUUAUUCUUUCGUCGGACGGUGACCUUGCUGCAGCAGUGGACCAUGCCCGACAGAUUGGUUGGAAGGUAGCAUUUAAACACAUAAUUUAUUCUCCUGUUUUAUUUACAAUGAAAUGUUAGUAGUCUUAAAUUAGCAAGUCAACUCAGUGAUUCACUUGAGUCGUGCUCCCCAUUUUAUGUUAUUUGUCUUGAUUCUUUCUAGCUUUGAUUAAGUGAGGUUUUUUUUUUUCAGUAGACAUUUUAAAAGCAUAUUCUAUUAGUAAUGAUACCUUACACUUCCAAAUAGAAGAUACAAAUGGCAAAGAUAGCAUAUUAGCACUUUUUUCCUUGGAUUGUUUGAAGUAUUAACACUUUAUUUAUGCAAUUAAAUCAAGUUCACGUAGUAGUCAUUAUUUUCAAGAGCAAAUGGCUCGCGGAUUAGUGAGGAGCUAAGUAUAAUCUUCCAAACUGACCAUCUUCCUUUGAAUACUCAGUUUUUUGUAAGCCGUAUUUACUCAAUUAUUCUAAUAAACUUUCUCUGACCUCUUUCAGAGUUUAAGAUUGCACUUAGACUACAUGGGAUCCGGGAGGCGAAAGAGAGGUGGCGGGUCAGGAAGCUUCGAAUAUGCGCGCAAGGAUGCCUGGGCGUCAGCAUACAGUGCGGUAGCCGCUGGAGCAGCACUAGUCGCAGGCCUUGGUGUUAUGGCUUACCUCAAGAGAUCAGGUUGAUAGAUGAUUGCUUGCCUUUUUUCGAUUACAGCCUUCUUCUUGUUGAAAUCACACCCCACUCCUCGAAAAACCUUGGGAGAUUCAUCAUUCGAAACAGUGUAUAAAUAUAUUCCUAUUUAGAAAAAUAAUUGUGCCGGUGGCACAUACAUGGAAAUGUAAAUUGCACAGAUUUUUAAAUCGCUCACUGCAUACACGAAAUUGAUUUUGUGAUUUGAUAAUUGUGAUAUUGUUGGCCAUUGUUCUAGUAUCUCACUGUGUGUGUGUGUGUGUGUGUGGGUGUUACAAACAUAAACAACUAAAAGCAUGUAACAUAUGAGGACAUGGCUUAAAUGUUCAACAACUGCUAUAUUAACUGUUUGCCAGAAAAGGCGGAAUGGUUGUAUAAACAGUUGAGUAUGUAAUAAACAACAACACAAAAUUCUUUCGAAAAUAGAAGUGACAUCAUGGAUUUCACAGGGUAAAAAGGAAAAAUAAGUGUUUUAAUGUAAUUAUAUUUCAGAGAAAAUAGGGAAAAAAAGGGUUAGGAAUGAACUGCAAUGAGUCUACUGAGUUUGUUCCACUGUCUCUUAUGUUUGCUCAUCUGGCUUGCAAAUUUGAUUCCAACCAAUUUUCGACUCAUAUCCUCAUUCAUAUUAUACAAAGAUGGUUUCUAAAAAUUAGUACUAAUCUAGGAUCGUCGAAAAGGGAGAUGAGGUGUAAUUACAGAGAAAUGAGAUACAAUUACAUCAACCCUAGCUUUGUACCGUGCUUUAUCGCAAAAAGAGCAGGAAAGCUCUGAGAAAACAAAAAGAAUGUAGAUGAUGACAUCUGAGGCAAAAGCAGAAAAGAUUGAUUAAGUAAAGAUAUACUUCCUGUUCUGCUGCAAUGUUAAGAUUCAAAUGUCUUUAUUAAGGACUUAAAUGUUCCAGCUGCUAUAUUAACUGUUUGUCAGCAGAUAGAAUAAAUGGUUGUGGGUUGUAAACAAAUGAGCAUGCAGCUAGAAGUAACCAAAAACUUAGUAGUAAAUGUGAGGAUCAUGGGUUUCAUAUGAGUUAAGACACAAUAAAGGUCAGUAAAGAUACCCAGAGAAGUAGACAACUAAAUAAAUAAUGCACAGAUGUGGGUACGAAGGCAAUCCUUGAUACACUAAUAUAGUAAUCCGUGCGAUGCGACGAAUAGAUAAUUAAAGAAAAAAAAAAGAAAACGACAAUAAAGAAAGAGAAAACAAUGUUGGAAGAAGCGACGAUGAGAGGUGAGAUUCAUCUUACCGAUGAAGGAAGGUAACAGUCGAAAGAAGUGGAAGAGGAACAGUUCGCCUCAAUGCAGAGGUGUGAUAUGGUUCGGUUCAAGAAAAAGAAAAAGAGAAAAAUCCAAAUUUGGUUCAACUAAAAAAAGAGGAAAAAAAAAAAUGUGGAGGACUUGAGCCGGUUUGGGGGAGCUCAUACUCAACAAUAAUUGAUUCGGUUCAAACAAAGAAAGAGAAAAAUAUGUGGAGGAUUUGACCCGAUUCGGGAUGGAGCUCACAUUCAACAAUGAAAAAAAUAUUGCUAUGUGACAAAUUUAGAGAGUAUAAUAUAUAAAUAUAGAUAUUCUAAGUUAGAGCUGCUCAACUACCCACAAAUAAUUUCUAUGAAGAUCUUAUGAAACUGGAUGAUUGGACAGUUGGGGUUCAAUCAUUAAUGUGGUCUGUACUAAAUUUUCACAAAAGCAUUGUCAGUAAUGUAAAAUCCUUUUACCUUCUAGUUAAAGGUGAAAGAGAGAUUUAAAGAAGGAAACAAAAAACACCCAAUGUGACCAAUCAGAAGUGUCCGAAUUCAAACUGGAUCUCAUUCUAAAAACUGUACUCAAUGGGGCAUUAAUUUGUCAGCAGUAGAGGAUAACCUGCAAUGAUCCAGCAUAUUAAAAGUUAGUUAUCUGUUGUGUUCUGAGUGUUAGUUAAAAUAGAAAGGUUGUAUUUAUGAUUCAGAAUGUCAUUUCAACUUUUUGUUACGGCAGAUAAAAAGUGACCGUUUCUGAAAAAAAAAGAAAAAGAAGAGAAAGUAUGACCGAACAAUAUGGUAUUAAAGUGUCGCCUCGUGUCAUACCGUGUCACCAAUACGAUAAAUUUAUCUAAUUAGUGUACUUAUAAAUUUUAUUAUUAUAUUUUAAUUUUUAUUUCUUAGAUAUAAUUGUAUUUUACAUAUAAAAAAACCUACUAAUAUAUUAAUUGGUGAAUAUGAUAAACUAUAUAUAACUAAUAUUCAUAAUUAUUUGACUAAAUCUUUCAAUAUAAUAUUAUAAGAAUUUAUUAAAAUAAAAAAAAUUAAACUACAUAUGUGUCAAAACGUGCCAUUAGAAGAUCAUAUGUAUCCAUUUGCACUCGGCACGAAAGCGUGCCCGUCGCAUAUCGUGCCAGGCAAUCAACGGCACGCUCUCGUGUUACGGCACUUUAAUCCUCGCUGCUGUGUACUCUUCAUGUAUGCCCGUAUUGGUAAAUAAUCCCAAAUACUGAUAUCCAUAUAAGAAUAUCUCGACCCUGAACGUUCCCUAAAGAGUAAGUUAACGAUCUGAGAGUGUCAGAAACAUCAGCUACUGAGGAAAACAUAUUUUAGGGAGAGAGAGAGAGAGAGAGAGGGGAAAAAAAUUAGGGAUUUGAAAAUUUGAAUGUUAUCAUGUUUUAGGAUUAUGUGCAAUAGUAAAAUCUGAAAGAGAGAGUGUGUUAUGUAAAUUUAGAGUUGGGCUCAAUUGCACGGUUGUACUUAUUGGGUUUAUUUUAUAGGCCAACAAUAAUGACCCAAAUUAAAUUAAAGCCUAUAUAUAAUUAAAAUACAUUAUAUUUAUAAAUAUUAUUAUGUAUAUAUAAAAUUAGAUUGGAAUACUAUUAAUAGUAGAACGCUCUUUUUGCUAUCAAGUUUUUAACCCUUAGAUGAAAAAUUGUAGGGUCAGGGUGAUAUUAGUCGUUAGAGUUGAGUGGUCCCCCUAGGGUUGAGUGGUCCCCACUGGAUUAUAGUAUUUAAUCCAAUGGUUAGAAAUAAUGAAAAGAGUUGAUCCAAAGACUAAAAAACUGGUAGCAACAAUGAAAUUUUGCUACUGAUAGUAGCCCAGUCCAAAUAUAUAUAUAUAUAUAUAUAUAUAUAUAUAUAUAGAAUUAGAUUACUAUACUAUCUAUAGUACCGAGCUCCGGUACUAUAGUGUUUGUUUUUGAUCUUAGUAAAGCUAUAUUAACUAACUUUUUGAUGAUCAGAUGCCGAUUCUUUUCAAUUUUCCAAGAGAACCAAGAUAACCUGAAAUCACUUGUACUUUAGAAGGAUAAAAAGUGUCACGAAAAGAAUCAGAUAUAAAAAGCAAAGGUGCAAGGAACCAUUCAAUCAGAAAAGCACAAUCUGCAGGCAAAAACUUGUACAUAAAUAAAAUUGACAUAGAAGGAUGGUGGGGAUAAACUGUUUUCCUCUAUUUCAUUAUAUAAAUCACUAAUAACUUACAUCCAUCAAUUUCUUCUUUGUUGAUCGAAGAACGACUAUUUAUCUCACAUUUCAACAAAUAAAGGGUGGGGAAAAAAAAAAUGAUUGCACUCUCUGUACACUCACAUAUAUUGCUACUGAAAACCAAAAAAAGGAUUUACAAGGUCGCGAUAUCGGUGAUGAGAUCUAAAUUUGUCUCCUUGAAAAAGCGCUUCCAGCGAAUCUUGCAACUGUUGAUUUCGGUCUGUUGAGAUUUCGUAAUUUUGUGAUAUUGUACUGCAUCUAGUGUACUUGCUGAGUAAGAUAGCAAGCAGGAAAAAAAAAAAAGUACUUCUCGUCCCGGAAAUUGAUCCCUGAUAAAGAAAAUCGAUAUUAUACAAAUGAAUUCAUACAGUAACACUUGAAUGCGAACUAGGAUUGGACAACAUUUAAACCAACAAAACACAAAUAGCUAUUCUAGUGCAAAAAAAGAUACUCCAAACUACUUAAGAAUUGAAAUUUUAAAUCCCUGGUUGAGUUCCCACAGCUUGAUUAGCUAAAACAAACGUUGUUUGUCUCCAGUAGUCGGCAUUAAUACUGGACAAUUUUAUGAAAAUAGUCACGAGUUACUGCAAAGAACGACGUCGCUCUAUACCAUAUAGAAACGUGGAGGAUAAAGAGUGUUUAAGACCCAAAAAAUAAAAUAAAACCCCUUAAUGCAAUUACCAAUCUUUUAAAAAAGUUAAUUCGAAGGGUACAUUAACAAAUAACACUAUCAUCGAAACGAAAUCUUCGUAUACUCGGUAAGCCAUUUAAAUAAUUUGAACAUUAUUAGGAAGCCUGUGGUUCACUAUAUCUGUUCUCUAGUUGCAUGCACAGCUUCAGCGCCAAAAUGCAUCUAAAGAAUAUAUGGAUGAAUAGUAGUCGACUCGGGCUCUUCCUUUCCCUCGAAACCAUAUAUCAGAGUUAUUCAUUUGAUAUUUGUCUCUUUCUUCGCAUUUAUUACCAAAUUCCCAUGAGUCAAACCAGUAGAAUCAAAACGAAAAGACCAAAUUGCUUACUGUAAAAGCAAUAAAAUGAGCCGAGAAUUGCUUACCUUUUGAAAAAGUUGUAUAUACAACCAGAUCGGCAAAGAUGCAAUAGACGAAUCUCCCGCCAACAUGCUUUCAGCAUGUAUAUAAUCUACUGACUUAAUUUUUCACCGUGAUAUUGAAAAAGCGAGCGACUUCUCUGUACAACUGUUCUCCUUCGAACGGCUUCGACACAUAGCCAUCCAUUCCACAGCGUAAGCACUCCUCGUGUGUGGCCUGGAUCACAUCCGCCGUCAUGGCCAAUAUAGGAAUGUGCCAGUGCAAUUUAUUCCCACAAGCUUCUAACGAAACUUCUUUGUGUUGUAUCCGAUCAUUAAGAGUAGUUUCCAUCUCCCUUAUUCUCCUUGUAGCUUCAAAUCUGCAAUAAAAUAAAGAAAAUGAAGAGAUAUUCCUAUGGUUAAUCUGAUAAACAUGCAAUUGCAACCACUUUGAUACAAGGUAAAAACUUACAUCCUAUAUUGUUUACCGCGUUGAAAUAAGUGACAAAAGUUUCAUAACUUAAGGCAGUAGUAUAUUGGUUUUAGUAUUUAAAGUUGAUACAAUUGAAAGGUUAAAAAACAAAAAUCGUGAUGAAUUGCUGGAAAGCCCUCCACUUCUCAAUAAGGGGGUUUACUUGACCAGUUCAUAAAAAAAAAAAAAAAAAAAAAAAAAAAAAAUAGUGGACAAUAUGAUGAUAAAAAACAAAGUAAGAUAAGGUAUUUACCCAUCCAUCUCUGGCAUUUGAAUAUCCAUGAAACAAGCAUCAAAAUCGUGCGGCGGAGUCAGCAGCGCGAUCGCCUUUUUCCCAUUACUACUAAGCGAGCUACUCUUUAUCGGGCUCGAAGAAUUCGCCAAUAUAAACAGUUUCGGAAUGUCUAAUUGCCCUCCUAUCCUCAAUUUGUUCAUAAAAAUAGGCCACUGACUCGACUCCUUUAACCACGUUUCCUUGUCGACAAGCACUAUUUUCAAACCCAAAUUACCGCUUGUUAUUUUCGGAAGGACUAGACUGAAGUUCGUGGAGAAGUCGACAUGCAUACCGAGCCUUUCAAGGUGGUACUUGGUAACCUUUGCACGAGCCGGCCUGUGAUCGACCACUAAUGCAGUUAACCCUCGGAACUCAAACGAUUUAUACUCGGUUGAAUUCGUCUUAGCUCUCGAAAGUACAGCCGUGAAUGUGAAAGUAGAGCCCACUUGAGGUUUACUUGCAAAUCCGAUCUCUCCCUUCAUGAGAUUAACCAAGCAUUUGCUGAUGCUAAGCCCAAUCCCGGUUCCUCCGUGUAUACGAGAAAUCGAGGGGCCUACUUGCAUAAAUGGGGUGAAUACGCGAGAUUGGGCUUCAAAAGGGAUCCCCGCUCCGGUGUCCUCAACGGAGAUGAUGAGGUUUAUUUGGUCAGGAGAGGUGGCCGGGAAAGGCUUCUCCAACGUAGAAAACUCUUUAUUGAAUAUCUUAAACCUCUCCCAGCUUUUCCUUCUAUCUGCCACCGGAAAGCCACUUACGGUGCUCAUCGGUUGAGCUUCUGUUUCCACUUCUAAUGGGAUCAUUACCUCUUCGACAAGAUGAACCGUCAAGUAUAUGUGCCCUUUUUCCGUGAACUGUUGACAAGAAAUUGGAGCUAAAUGAACUUCUUGGACAAUUGCGCAGAACAGCUUUCAGUUUUUCAUAAUUCAGAUAGAGAAAGAGAUGCUUACUUUGAUUGAAUUUCCGAUUAGAUUUGUGAUGAUUUGCCUAAUUCUUCCCGGGUCACCGAUGAGAGUUUCCGGAACUUGCUCGGAGACGAACGCAGCCAACUAAUUCCCCAGAAUAUUGAAAAGCAAGAUUCCACAGGGCGGCCAAAAGAAAUUGCAUGAAGUUAGAAGACGAAUAAAACAACUCCCUCAUAAAUAUCGUGAUUUUACUAAACAUUUCAUCACUUCUUAUCCUUCUUCAGUGUUUCGUUUACGAUAUAGCCAUCACUUUGCUCGUGUAACCGUCGGGUUAACUUGCAGGCCUUAACUUUCAGGGCGUGAUGCGAAAAUAUCAAAAAUCACGAUAUUUGUAGACAAUUGAAAGGAGAAAUUUGAAAUUUCUAACGUACCUCUAAUUCUUUCUCUUGGGCCUUUCCGCAGAAGAGUGACAGGAUGUCAUCCAAAACGGCCCGCAGAUCAAACGGGACUGCCUCGAGCUCGAGCUUACCUGAUUCGAUCUUUGCCUGAUCAAGGACCUCAUUGAUCAGUGACACCAAAGCUUUUCCGCUAGCUUGGGCUGUUCUCACAUAAUCUUGUUGAGUUAUGUCCAAAUUCGUAUCCGUAAGCAUUUGUAGCAUCCCUGCCAAAAAUUAGAAGUUAUUACUAAGACCAUCUUCCAUAGGUCGAUAUAUAUCAAUCAGGUCAUUUAUAACAAGUUUGAAAUCGUCACCUAGAACGCCAUUCAUCGGAGUCCUGAUCUCGUGAGAAACAGUUGCCAAGAACUGCAAAGAAUUGCUUGCGUGUUAGACAUAUAAAUCUUAUAAAAGUCGAAGGGUGAAAAUUAAAUCAAGUACCUGGGAUUUCGCAACGUCGGCCGCCUCUGCCCGUUUCUUGAGCUCCAUCAUCUCGCGAUAAUCGUCUUCAACUUUCACAAUGCGGUUGACCGUGGCGUGGAAUAUGUAACCGAUGAGCAAUGCAAUGACAAGAGCUCCGAUUGAUGUUGUUAUUCCGAGCCAUGGCAAGGGCGGCUUUUGCUUGAACCUAUCAUUUAAACAAAAUCUUGUAAGGUUCUUCGUUUCUCCAUGACCAUUUUGCAAGAAAAACAAAAAAAAAAAAAAAAUCAUAACUUCUACAAUCAAACUUCCCCUCCAUAUAAAACUACGAAGCAUGGUUUCGAUAGUAAAGGAUUUACCUGCAAUGCAUCUCGUGCUUUCUUAAUGGAUCGCCAAAGUUAAGCAUGCUUUUAUGAUAUAAACCACUAGCGGUCUCAUUCGAACCAUACAUGCUGAUCUUCCCGUUGGUAGUAUCAUACACAUCGACUAUGAUGGAUUGAUUACACGCAAGUUGGUGAAGCAACUUAUCGACCAACGAUUCAAUGUCGAAAAUACCACCUAAGUACCUGUUUAAGAUAAUAGAGAAGAGAGAUGUAAUAUUUGUAUUGAAAUGAACUGAAACUUUUGCAGAAAAAUGUUUAAAGCAUAGAAAGUUGGAAAACUCACCCUAUGGCGGCUUGAAUACGUUCCGUUGGAGUCGCAUUGGAAGGAAGAUCGGAUUUGUACACUGCAUAUGUAAGAAUGACCCCUAAGCGGUUCGAUUUUACUAGUUGUAGAGGAGCAGUUAAGACACCUUUACCCGAUUCUCUAGCUCGUAAUAUGUUCUCGCGAUCUUCCUGCAUAAAGUAGACAUUGAUAAAUUGAUAUUGGACAUGAUAAGAUUAAAGGCAAAACCUAUUUGAAAAAGAAAAGAUAUAAAAACAAAGUUCUAAUCAACAAAGUUACAAGUCAAAAGAACAAAGAGACACGUAAAAGAGAAUUGGCUCUUUAUCAACUAGGCAUGUAUAUCAAAUUAGUCUGGUAUACGACGAUAACAUUUCUGCAACCGAUCAUUAGAAGAAGGAAACAAUAAUAAAUACUAACAUACAUGUCGAGAAAGAUUGAAACGAGUAGAAAUCAAUAAUCAUAACAAGAAAUUGAUAUUAAGAGAACAUGAAAAAUUUAAUCGAUAGGGUAGUUACCUUUCCGGUCAACAUAUCCAAAGAAACCACAUGUUUGUAGGCGUCUUGAGCAAAAAUAACAGGAGCAUACUCCUCGGCAGGGGGCGAUAUCUCUUGGAUCUCACGAACCCUGCCAUUUUCGCGGUUGGGGGAUUGCUUUGACGAGUACAUCUUCUUUAUAGUCCACCCUUGUUGCUUCUCAAAUUGCUCCCUCUCAGAACGCAACACCUUCACGGCAUAAGCUACUCCGCUCGUCAGUGGCCUCUCGAAAGCCGUCCUAUCGGCAUAUCUCGCGAAAGUCAUCUGCAGAAAAAUGAUCGUCAGCAACCAGCUUGUCGGAUUUCCGGAAUUAUAGAAGCUUCUACGGAAGUUCUAUUUGACUAGAAUUGUUAGAAGAAGAACUAAAGCUUCUGCUCUAGGGACUCAAAAGCUUGUUUUGAUUUUGUCACGACAACGAAAGCCCCAAAUUUCUAGUUAACCAAACGGCCCGUUUAAAUAAGCUUCUGCUUUUUGGAGUAGAGAAGCCGCUUCAAACGCUAGACAACAAUUCUCUUCGAUUAGAUUUCAAAAGCAAACAUAUAAUCGAUCUUAUUUAAGUUCUCAACAUUAAGAAAAAUAAAAGAGCCAAAUUGCUACACCUUGGAAGAGAGAGAAAGUAGAGAGAGAGAGAGAGAGAGAGAGAGAGAGAGAGAGAGAGAUUACCUGAUCAACUGCAGAGGGAUGUUUGGAAUGGUGGAAGGUAGAGACGAGGAUUGCAAGGGCUUGAAGAUGGUUCAUGCUCACAUUGAACUGGUCCUGGAGCAUCCGCGCGCGCUCGUCGCACAUGUUGGCUAGGGUUUCUCUCCUCUUCUCAUUAGCAUGGGAGCUCAUGAACAUGAAGAUCCACAAGGAACACAACACCCAACCCACAACCCACAAGAGGAGAAGCUUCCUCCACCAUGUUUCCCUCACCUUCUUAGACCCAAAGUAAUGGCUGUAGAGAUGAUUCCUCCAACACCUAAAUGAGAGGUUUCUCUUGUUUCUAAGUAAUCUAGCCUUUUCCUCCAUUACCUCAGCAUCAAUGAACCAAGUCAUGGGGAACUUGGGAAAAUCCCACCAAAAUACCAUCAAAAUUAAGGGGGAGAGAGAGAGAGAGAGAGAGAGAGAGAGAGAGAGAGAGGAGUUGGAUUGAACUGUGGCCUUCAAUGCAAGAAAAGGUUCUUCUUCUCAAACAGUUGCUUCUAUCUUAAAGAAGGGCAUGAGAAGCCCACUAUUUCAAAGGCUAAAAAAAAGGAGAAAUAGGAUGGAUAUAUGAUGGAUGUGGGGUGAAUAGUUUCAUGAGCAAGACCAACACAGCAAAAGGAUUAAAAGAUCCUCCUUUUUAGCCUACAAAUCUAACACAGUGACUGAACCACAAACCAAUCAAGAGGAGCUAAAAUCCAACCCAGAGAUUUAAAAAGAAAAAGGAGAAAGAAAAAAAAGGAGGACCUUUCAGCUUCUGCUUCCCCUGCUUCAUAGAUCCAUCUCCCUAUGCCAAAAAAAACACCCAAAAGAUCCAAACUGGAACAAAAAACAAGGGAGGGGAUCACAAACCGAGCAAUAUUUGAGGAAUCUGCAAAAUGAGAGCUCAAAUCACUGGAUCUCAACCUCAACCUCUUGUGGAUCAAACAGUGAUGAUGAAGGAAACCAAGUCCCCAUUCAUGGGCUCCUCUGGAGAGGAGGUGAACGAUGCAAAGAAAUCUAUCUUAAUGCCAAGGCCAUUAUCUAACCCCCCCCCCCUCCAACCCAAAGCAAAGAGGAUAAAAUAAUAAGAAUACAAAACGAAGGGAGAAAAGAAAAGAAACAGAGGAUGCGUAUAUCCACAAUAAACAAAGCCUCCACACUCAGAAGAAAUGGCUUGUUCUCCUCUUCACCAUCCCCAAGCAAAGAAGAGGACAAGCCCCACACGCAAGUGUCUCUGUGGCUCUUCUGUGAGCCGGGGCGCUUUGGCCCUGUUCUUAUUCUUAUGAUAGGGUGGGGGGUUGUGUGUGAGGGGGCUAAAAAUGGGGCCUUUUUAUUGCCAUAUAUAAUCUACAGUGGAACAGGGGAGGGUCCCUGCUCCAGUUCACAAGGACAAUGGAGGGUGUGAGUGUGGGGCCUCAGCAAAGGCGGGGGUUUUGGCCAAAAGAGUAGUUGGUGAGGAGAGGGUGUUCAGUGAGUGAGAGAGAUGGAGCAUUUUAUGAGAGAGAGAGAGAGAUAGAAAGAGAUAGAGAGAGAGAGAAAAAGGGGUGAAAGGGAACUGCUUUAAAGAGCCACAUUGUGGAUGAGUUGGGCAUUUGGGUUUGUGAGAUAAUAAUAAUAGCUGCUUUUGGUGUAUUCUGAUAGCAAUGUUGUGAGAUGGAUGAGGAAUGAUAAGAUGUGGGGCCUCUGUAAAGCUCCACCAUUUGAGACAGCUUAUAUUAGAGUUUAUGGAGCACAUAACAGAAUCUGGGACUCUUUUUAGUGACUCCCCAAUAAUAUGAAGUGUAUAUAUAUAAAGAGAGGGAGAGAGAGAGAGAGAGAGAGAGAGAGAGAGAGUCUAGAGAGGGACUUGUGUGCUUUGCUCUAUGUAUCUUCUGUCUACAUGGGGUUGAGAAGGGAUGUUCUUGGACAGUGUGACACUGAUGAGUUUGUGAUUUUUUUUCUUUGCUUGGAUUGCUUUGGGGGAAUCCAAGUCAUUAGUCUAUAGACUUAGAUUCUAUUAUGGAUAGUUCCUAUGUUUCCUGAUAUAAUUGACUUAGUAGUCCCCUUAUAGCUCCUAUUUAGAUGCUAAAAUAAAUUAUUCAACAAUUAUUUUUAUGGUACAAAAAAGAUUUUGUAUGUGAUUUNNNNNNNNNNNNNNNUUUUAUAAGUAUAGACCAUUUUCUACUUAUAAAUUUUUGGAUUAAUUUUCUAAUUAAUUCCUGAUUUAAAUUCAAAUUUUAAAUUUUUAUUUUUGAUGACUAAAGUGAAAAAUAAAAUUUAGAGACCAAAAUUAACAUGCAAAAAAAUGCUAAAUAGGCGAUAGCACGAUAAUAUCGUAAAAUGUUAAACCUCUUUUAACAGUACCAUUUUAUUGCGAUGAAAUCAAGAGAUUUAAAAAUUUGAUUGCAAAAAAAAAAAAAGAUUUAAGGGCAACAAAAAAAUAGUGAAAAGUUUGGGACCAAUGUUCGAUUAAUUCUUAAAUAAAUUGUUGUUGGCCCCACAACCCCCCAAAAUAAAGGGAGGCCUUCUUUAAGGUUCACAAUUUAUCUUUAUAUAUAUAUAUAUAUAUUGUAGAGUUACUAUGCUAUCGGAAGUAUAAGAGAGUUGGUGCUUCCGAUUUUUUGGCCAUUGGAUCAAACAUUGUACGGUUAGGAUGAUAGUGGUCCCUUUAGGGUUGAGUGGUUCCCAUUGGAUAAUAAUAUUAAUCCAAUGGCCAAAAAUGAUCAAAAGGGUUGAUCUAAGGGCUAAAAAAUCGGAAGCACCUACCUUAUACUUCCGAUAGCAUAGUAGCUCUACUCAUGUUGGUACCAAGUUUUCCGCCGUUAGAUCUAUCAUUUUGAUCGUUUUCACCUGUUAGAUCAUACUAUUCAACCAACCACCCACUCAACCUUAGGGGACCCACAUCAUCCUAACCACACAUUUCUUAAUCCAAUGACCAAAAACUUGGUAGUACCAAUGACUUGGUGCUAUUAAUAGUAUAUUAGCUUAGUUAUAUAUAUAUAUAUAUAUAUAAUAAAGAUUAAAUCAAGAGAUUUGAAAAUUUAAUUGUAAAAAAAAAUAAAAUAAAAUUUAAUUGUAAAAAGGAAGAUUAGGGACCAAAAUAAAAAUAGUGGAAAGCUUACGAGCCAAUGUGCAAUUAAUUUUUAAAAGAUUGUAUGUGGUACAAAAAGGUUUUUGUAUGUGAUUUAAAAAAAAAAAGAAGAGUUGAAUACUAAAUAUGGUAUCGUUAAAGUAUGUAAAAUAAUCAUAUACUAGUUAAUGACCCGCGUGAUGCGGCGGAAAGAUAUUAUUAUAGUAAAUUAUUAUAUAUAUAUAGGAAGGUAUUAUUAUAGUAAAUUAUUAUAAUAUAUAUAUAGUUCAGCUACUAUACUUUUAUGAUUAUUAGACUCCUUUCUACUUAUAAAUUUUUGAAUUAAUUUUAAGAUUAAUUCCUUAUUUAAAUUCAAAAUUUUGAAUUUUUAUUUUUGAGGACUAAAGUGAAAAAUAAAGUUUAGAGACCAAAAUUGAUAUGCAAAAAAAAGCUAAAUAGGCGAUGGCAUGAUAAUAUCAUUAAAAUCUAAAAUCUCUUUUAACAGUGCCAUUUUAUUGCGAUGAAAUCAGAGGUUUGAAAAUUUGAUUGCAAGAAAAAAAGAUUUAAAGACAAAAAAAAAGUAAAAAGCCGGGGACCAAUGUACGAUUAAUUAUUAAAUAAAUUACUGUGAAUCCCACAACUCCCAAAAUAAAGUGAGGCCUUCUUUAAGGUUCACAAUUCAUCUUUAUGUAAUAAUAAUAAAUAUAAUAAUAAUAAAGAUUAAAUUAAAAGAUUUAAAAUUUUGAUUGUAAAAAAAAAAGGAUUAGGACCAGAAUAAAAAUAGUAGAAAGCUUAUGAACCAAUGUGCAAUUAAUUUUUAAAAGAUUGUAUGUGGGCCCCCCACCCCCCCUCCAAAAUAAGGGAAGGACUCCAAAGGGCUGCCCUUUCAUGUUUAUAAAUAAUAAUAAUAAAUAUAAUAUAAUUUUUAAAAGUUUAAAUUACCAAUAAACGGUAUUAAUAUUUUAUCUUCAACAUUUUUCCCACGCUUGGACUUGAAAUUUUUUUGAUAAAUUUUGAAUUACACGGGAGAAAAAUAAAUAAGAUAAAAGACUUGGCGGGAUUUGAAUUCAGAAUAUGUUAUUCUGAUCAUGUUAAAUUAUGUAAUAAUCAUUUGUUUCAAAAAACACUUAAGAUUUUAGAAAACAUCGUUCAUUUCGAAUUACUUUAAUAUAGUAUCAAACCCGGACGUUUGAUUAUACUAUUCAUCUAUCCGAAAGUUAGAUACAUUUUUUUCUAGAUGUGCGACGGAUGUUCAUGAAUCCAAACAAGGACCUUAUUUUUCUUUCUACUAAAUUCUUUACUUCCCGAACUUGCUGUUACGUGCUUUCGUACGAAAAUCUCUCGACUGGCCAAAUGAAGCUUGGUUUAAUUUCUGGACGUAGGGUCGGGUCAGGCUCGACCCACUUUUGUUGAGCGGGUUAGAUCUUAAAUUCUAAACCCUAAAGACCAACCCAAAAAGAAAGAAAGAAAAAACUGGAUAGGUCUCUAAUUAAUUUCUAGUUGAUUCCGUCUUAGGUCCAAAUUUUUGCAAUUUGAACGAGCCAAUGGUUUGCUUGAUCUGACCACUUUUGACCACUCAGUACUGUGUGUUUUAAUACUGGCCAGGUUGAGUCCUGACAGAGUCGACCCCAUCUGAAACAUGGCUCAAUUCUUCGUUUGUCAACUUAGAUUGCAAUUUCAUCACCAAUAAUAAUCCUUAGGAAACUUCUGUUUUCUCCUGAUAUUAGGGUAUGCUUAUCUUUGUAGAUUUCGAAGAUUGGACUCGUCGUUUCGAAAGAAUUGUAUGCAUUAGUGUUUGUUCCAGUACCAAAAUCGCAUGAUCAUUCUGACGAUCCUACUUAUAACUGUAUAGAGAUCGGCCUUUCGAUUUCGACAAGAUGAGAACAAAACUCGAGUUUAUGAAACUUACAAAAUUUUUGCUCUCUUUUCGCCUUCGCCAGAGAACAUUUUGGUUUUACUUGAAAUAUACUAAUGAAAAUUUUAUAUUGAUGUGCCGAUCGAUAGGUUUUGUCAAGAACAGCGUUACAUUCGCAUCAUGUCAUCAGCAACAAGUCAAUUAUAUCUUUUUUUUGAGAGAAAAGUACAGUAAAAAUAGUUUUUCUAAUAAUCAUGGUGUAACGAGCGAAUCCAAAGAGGACAAUAUUAUUGAUAUAACUAACAUAUUCUAAACUUUUCACCCGUAGCAAUAAUAUCAACAUAUAAAUAGGAUUUGAGUCGAGACGUGCAGGCUUAUUGUAUCGCCGUGCUGUAAUAUUGGCAUACUGGUAUGCCUCUUGUCAAAAAUACAAUAAUUUUUGGCUCACUCAACUAAUGACUCUCUUUGGAAUAAACUUCGUCUUAUUAAAAUUUUAAUUAUUUUAUAACUUAAAUUAUUUUUUUAAAAUUAAAACUUUGAAUUAGAGAAUAGAGUUUGAAAAUUUCUUACUUCGUUGGCUAGCUAGUACCCCCAUCAUGUGCAGCAAUAUAUAUGUAUAGAGUUGUGCUAGAAUACUAUCAAUAGCAAACGGGUUUCGUUGCCACUCAUUUGUUUUCGAUGAUGGAGCCUCCAAAUCGACGAUCGGCAUCGUUGAACGUGAUCUAUACUACUUAAAGUGUUUAGAAAUUAAUUUUCAAAUCUUUUCAACAUCAUUUGCCUAAUGAUUAAAGGAUUUCAAAAUUUGUAAUUUUAAUGGUCGAUAUGAGGCGUUUUCUUGUUUAAUGGCGUAAAGAUAUCCAAAUCAAUUGAAUUUUUGUUAGAAAAUUCUUUAAACUAUUUAAAACAAGAUCUAUGCUCUUGAUUUUGAUUACAAAGCUCCUAUCAUCAUUUUUUAAAGAAUAUUCAUUUUCAGCCAUUCAUUUUUGUGUCACUCGAUGGAUAAGAGAACAAUAUCAAAAAUGUAUGGAAUUUGAUUUCUAAACACUUCAAGUGGUAUAAAUCAUAUUCAACGGUACCGAUCAUUAAUUUUGAGGUUCAAUCAUCGAAAACAAAUGGAUGACAAUGGAGUCCGUUUGCUAUCGAUAGUAUUCUAAUUCAACUAUAUAUAUAUAUAUAUACUAGUUAUAGUGCACGUGCAAUGCACGUAACAUUUAAUUAAAUUAAAUUUAUAUUUAUAUUUUAAAUUUAAAUAAUUAUUUAUGGUAUAAAUCUAUUUAUCAGUUAGUUUUUUUCUAAAAUUAAUUUUUUUAAUAUGUAUCCAAAAUUUAAAAAUUUAAAGUAAUUCUAAAUUUUAAAUUAAUAAAUUCAUAUUUAAAUUUAUGAAUAAAACUCAAAAUUUGAAAUUAAUUUUGAAUCCAUAAUUUGAAUAUAAAUAAUUAUUAAAGACAUUAAUUUAUUUAUCAUCCCAUCUAUUUUUCAAAUUUGAUAUAUUUUCAAGUUAAUUAAUUAUUUUUAAUUUGAAAUACUGUUUACACACCCAAAAUAUUGAAAUUUUAAUUAAUUUCAAAUUUUGAAUUAAAAUAUUAAUUCACAUUUGAAAUUAUGAACCAAAUUUAAAAUUUAAAGCUGAUUUUAUAAGCUUAUUUAAAUUAUUUUUUUUUCAAAUCUAAUUUUUUUUAGUUAGCUAAUUGAGAGAUAGUAGAUACAAAAUAUUUUUAAUGUUUGUUGCAUAGAGAUUUUCGUUUUUUUGAUAAGUAUGGAAUAUUAUUUUAUGGGACGCAUAAAUAUUUUUCGGUUAGCAAAAAUUUGGAUAAGUAUAAAUUUCUUUCUAUUCUCGCAAAUAGAAUGCAAUAUCUUUUCCGAUUAAAAAAAGGUAUGUCUGUGUCAACAACUAUUUUAAUAAUUAUCUCAAAUCAAUAUCAAUUUGUGAAUCAUAUUUACUGCAAAUUUAAAAUUUUAAAAAGUAAAUUUAUAUGUUAUAUUUUACUGAAAAAAUAUUUCAUAUUUUAAAUAUUAGUAGGUAAAAUUGAGAUAAUUUUUAUAUAUUCACUUUUAAAAAUAUAUGAUUAAAUAUUAUAUAUGCGGAAGGUAUUAUGUGAUUGAAUAUUAUAUUGGUGGCGGAUAUUACGUGUGAGAAUGAAAAUAUUUAAAAAAUGCGAAUAUUAUUUGUGAUAAAAUAUAAUAUUAUGUUGGCGGCGGUUAUUAGGAGGUAUGACACACAUAUAAAAAGUAAAAUUUGAUACGUACUAUCUAAGGGCAAUUUAGGUAAAAAAGUGACAGAUACUUAAUUCGUCAGUCAUUGGAUUAGAUCGAAUGACUAAGAAUUAAUAUAUUUUAUGAUAAUUUAAAAAUAAAAUAAAAAUUGUACGGCUGUGAUUUAUUCCAUUAAAGUUGAAUGAAUGAUAUUAUUAGUAUGUAAUUGGAAUUAUAUUAAUAGGGAUCGGCAUUUUGGGAAAGUGGAAAAAAUUUAAAACUCACGCUUUUAUAAGUAGUAUAGAUAUAUAUAUAUAGAGCUAAGCUGGUAUACUAUCGGUAGCACGGAGGCCUCCAUGUUACCAAGUUGUUUUCAAUGAUGCGACUUCCAAAUCGACGAUCGGCUUCGUUAAAUUUAAUCUACACUAUUGAAAGUAUUUAGAAACUAAAUUUCAUAAUUUUUCGGCAUUAUUUACUUAUCAAACGAGUAGUGUAAAACAACUUGGUAGCACGAAGGUCUCCGUGCUACCGAUAGUAUACCAGCCUAACUAUAUAUAUAUAUAUAUAUAUAUAUAUAGAGAGAGAGAGAGAUAGAGAGAGAGAGAGAGAGAGAGAGAGAGUUUUGUCAGAAUACUAUCGGUAGUAAACGAGCCGUUUUACUUCUUAUUUGUUUUCGAUGAUAGAGCUUCCAAAUUGACGAUCUGCUCCGUUGAACAUGAUCUAUACCAUUUGAAGUGUUUAGAAAUCUAAUUUCAAAUCUUUUCGACAUCAUUUGCCUAAUGAUCAAAGGGUUUCAAAAUUUGUAAUUUUAAUGGUCGAUAAGAGGCGUUUUUUCGUUUAACGGCGUAAAGAUAUCAAAAUCAAUUGAAUUUUUGUUAGAAAAUUCUUUAAAUUAUUUAAAACAAGAUCUAUACUUUUGAUCUUGAUUACAUGACUCCUAUCAUCAUUUUUUAAAGAAUAUUAAUUUUCAGCCAUUCAUUUUUCUGUUUACUUGAUGGAUAAAAGAACAAUAUCGAAAGUGCGUGAAAUUUGAUUUUAGGUAGUUUAAUAGUUAGAACAUAUUUAACAGAGCGAUCGUCAAUUUGGAAGCUCUAUUAUCGAAAAUAAAUUGGUAGUAAAACGCUCGUUAUAUUCGGUAUAUUCUACUUCAACUAUAUAUAUAUAUUAAUAUUAUAUAUAUAUAUAUAUAUCAAUCCUCCCAGAUUGGACAACGUCAACGUUUACAUAGCGUGAUGUCUCCGCCCGACAAAUGAGGAACGUCCAGCUGCCACAAGUGUACGCGCUGUUGUACUACGCUGGAGCAACGCGGAAGCGUUAAACGCUACGAUAGUAGGAUGUGGUCGAAUUCGAAAUUGGACCUUUAAAGUUCGAAUCCGAAUCCGCAAUAAAAAUUAAAAUCUAAUCCGAAUCCGAAUAUUUAUUUUUUUAAUAUUUAAAAUAUAUUAUAUUAAAUUUAAAAUUUUAAUAUAUAUAUAAUAUCAUAAUAUAUAUAUAUAUAUAUAAAUAUAUAUAUAUAUAUAUAGGCUUUGCCUUUAAUGAAUCUAGCUAGAGAACUAAAAUUUAAAAUAGCUGUUGAAGUCCAAAAAUAUUGUUUUUUUUUUUUCUCACGCUUAAUUAAAUUUGUGAGAUCUAAAUUCGGGGGACUACAAUCAAGGAAAAAAGAAAAGUCGAUAAAAUAUUAGUGCGUCGGUUCUCGGGAGUGCCCUGCUGUUUUUUUUAUUGUAUUUUUUAUAAUAUAUAUACCAUUCGUGUAGCAUGUCCAUUUGAAUAUUGUGCCCAAAUGUUCAAAAAUGCGAUACCAAAAUUUAAAAAACAGAAUUACUUUUAAACUCAAUUUGUUUUGUUUUUGGUUUGAACUAUUUUAGUAAAUUUUAGUGUUGGUAUACUUGACAUGUAUAAGGAUUUUAAAUACAUUAAUUUUCAGAUGAUUUCUGAGUUUAAUAUUUUCUUAAUUUAUAAAUGCAUAGUCUCAUUAUUAAAUCUUUGUUUCUUAUUUUUCCCCAGUUGUUACGACCAACUUUACCUGAGUUUUCAGUUUUCCAUAGGUAUGAACACAACAGUAGAAUACAUGACACACCAGAUUCCCAAGGUUUUCUUUAAUUUAUUUUCAAAUUUGACUAAAAAUAUUGAAAUCUAAUUUGAAAUGACGAAAAUUUCAAGAACACUAAAUUCCCCAAAAUUUCCUGAGGCUGAUUGAAGGUAUAUACUAAUCAAGAGAGAUGAAACAAUAAAAGAACUCCCACUAUGCACAAAAAAAAAAAGAAAAAAAAACUGUCAGAAACUCUAGCAAUAAAAUAAGCAAAGCAAUUUCAUUAAAAAAAGCGAAAAUAAUAUUCUUAUUGCCAUCAAAAUAUAACGUCAUUAAGGAUAACGGAAGAAAAAUAUAAAACAUUACCAGUAAUUUGUAUAUGCAAAUAUAUGCAAUAAUAAUUCAAACCAUACUAUAUGAAUAUAUUUUAAUCAUCUUUAAUUUUACCUGUAAAUUGAAGGUGUAACAGGAAAAAGUAAAAAGAGAGGAGGAGUAUAUAAUAUAUAUUACUGCCCCACUUAUGGAAUAUAUAACCACCAAGCACCAUCCAUAAAUUGGGAUGUGAAAGUGUUGGCAUCUUAUUUCCUCUUAAUUCCACACAUUUGGAAAGUUUAUAGUUAUAUAUAUAUUCAUGAGAAACAACCGUAUAAGAGUCGAGUUAUUAAACCAAAGCACUAUUUGUACUCAUAUAUAUUCUAUCAUAAUGCUUUACUCCAUCUUUAUGUGAUUAAUGAGAUACUCAAGAGGGUAUUGUUUUUGUAGGCAUAUUAUUCUUAUGAAUGCAUUAAAAUAAAAUGUGCAUAUAAAGUUUGCGUAUGUGUACACACUAUACUUGUUUGUACGUACAGAGUUUUUGUUGCAUGGAUUUAGACAAAUCUAAAGAGAAGCAUUAUCGGAUCCCACUGUAGAUACUCUCUCUUCUUCUUUCCCAUGUACAAAAGAUUUAAUUAGCUAGUUGAAGCUAUUCUCUUAUUUUUCCUUUGUUUAUGCAUUUUAAAUGAUAUGUCAUCUCAUUUAGAAUAUAAUGAUGAUAUAUAGGAUCAUUUAUCAAUGGGUUGUUUGUGGGCACGGGUGAUCAUUAUAUAAUAUAUAUAUAUAUAUAUAGCCACAUCAUAUAUAUAAAAAUAUAUACAACUUAUAUUAUAUGCACUAUAAAUAUAUAUCCGCUGGCUCCGGUGAAAUACUAAUAGGAUUAGAUGCUUUGUGAUUUAAAGUUAAUAAUUAUUAAUUUUUGCAUUUUUUGCUGGAGCGGAAAUUGGAAAAAGUUUAAGCGGAAAAUUUUUCACUACCUCUCAAAUACAUUAAUAUCAUAAAUACCUUGUAAAUUUUAAAAAUUUCAUAUAUGGCCCUGCAAAAAAAGCAUUUAAAAAUUUUCAAAAAAUGCCCUCGUAACUAUUGCUCCGUUAUGUUUAGGUAUAAUAAAUUCAAAAUGUCGAGUUUCCGAUUUUACCCUCAAUACUUUUCAAAAAACGAAUUUAUGUUUACUAACAGGAGCAAUCUAAGUUAAAUAUGAAAUUUUAAAUAUAACUAACUAAAUAAAUAAUAAACAAAGAUUUAGGACGCUAGUAUACUAAAGAAAUCACCGGAAUAAUGUAGUCUAAAUGUUAAAACAAGAUAAUGAAUAAAAGUUAGGUAUUAAAUAGUAUAAUCAUAAAUUAAUAUAGCCCUCAAAUAUUUCCAACUCAUGCGGCCAAAAUAAAAUUUCAAAUUUUAACCGUGUUAGACCGCCAUUCUAACUAUAAUUUAAUAUGACUUGACAGUGACGAGUUACAACGGCAGAGGAUGUUUUGAAAGAAGUAUGAUUUAGAAGUUAUUGAUCUAUAACGAAAAUUUUAGGGACAUUUUAUGUUAUUUUUGAAAUUUAGCGGAGCGUAGCGAUAAAUUAACCCAAAAACAAAUAGGAAACAAAUAAGGUUAAAAAGGUAAUUUCAUUAUUUUUGGAAGUAAAUGAAAAAAAAAUACUAAAUUGACGGAUGUCGGAAAAACUUAAAGGGAGCGUAUUUAUGAAAAAUAUUAUAUUUAGAGGGGCAUUUGCUGAAAUUUUUAAAGAAUUUAAAGUGUAUCAUGAUAUUUCCUCUCAAAGAUAACCUGAUAAAAACAUGAACCAAUUAAGAUUAGUCUUAAACAUAUUUCAAAUGUCCAUAUUCUCACAAAUAUUCAAAUGCAUUCAAAGUUCUUGAUUAGUUCCGUAUAUUUUUUUGGAUUCAAUAUGGCAAACUAUUAUGGAAUACGUUUCUAUUUAUGGAUUGCAUGGAACAUUCAAGAUACGCACUUAUAUAUUCUUAAGCAUUUGACUAUAUUCAAUAGAAAUUAAUUUUCUUUGUACCUACUUCUCUGAUUUUCAUCUGCACUUUUAAUCUGAACUUAAUAAGCCAUGUUUAUCAAAGCUGAUAUAGAUCCAAUAAUAACUUUUCAAAUCGUGAGGAUCCCGAAUAUAAUUUAUGUGGCAUUUAAUCGACCUCCAAAGAGUUAGAACUUAUAUAAUACUAAGAUAAGUUACUAUUUUUACGUGUAGAUUAAUUAAAUGUAUUAAAUCUGACCAAAUUAAUCAAUUAAUGAUUGUCAAAUUUAAUAAAUAUCGUUUAUGAUAAAAUUACAUACAAUAAAGAACGAUUAUACCGAUAUUUUUAAAUAUCGAUACAGAGCCACAAAAAUGUGCUCGCUCAAAUUCUGCCAUUUUUAAAAGCGUUGCUAUAUUGUGGGUUGCCUAUAUAUAGGGCGCUUAAUGAUUUGACACCCACUCCUCUUAGCAUAUGUGGGCAGAGGGACACGUGACUCGUAAGUGCCUAUGUUCCUGCGAGAUUCUCAUAGCCGACAUUAGUGCCAGAUCCCUACUCGUCAGUUGCAGCGACGGGAGGAGAAGGAGAUGCGUGAUCAAUUUUUCAUUCUUUUCUUUUCUAUUGUAAUCAGAUUCGAUUGGGCUGAGAAUGUGGUUAGUGAGUUAGACAGAAAUUUUAUUGUUUAUUAAAUUGCGACGUUUUAUAUUGUUAGGCCUUUAAGAUAUUUUUAAAAUUUUGGAUAAAUAGAACAUUUUAAAAAGGUUUUUAAAAAUUGUGUUCCUAUAAUCUAACUUUGCUUUACUGCAACACAUUUGAUUAUUAGAAACAAUGAAUUAUUGAGUGCGGGAAUACACUAGAUGUAGAUGAUAAAAAACGGCGGGUUAUUAUAGAUAGGCUGUAUAUGUCGCGUAGCACGAAGGCCUCCGUGCCUACAGGUGUUUUCAAUCAAAGCGGCUGCCAAAUCGACGAUCAGUCCGUUAAGGAUUGAUCUACACUAUUAAAAAAUAUUUGCGAAGCUAAAUUUAUAAUUUUCAAAAUCAUUUAGCUCAUGAUCAAAAUUCUUCAAAUUGACAAUUUUAAUGAUAGAGGUGAUGCAUUUGUAAAUUUAACGCGCCUUAUCAAAUAUAAUCCAAAAUCAGGAUGAAAUUUUGUAUAGAAUUUUUUUUUUACUAUUUUAGAGUAAUCAAGUACCGCCUGAUUUUAAUUCAAGUCUUCUAUUAUCAUUUUUUAUGAGAUAUUUAUUUUCGCUGUUUCAUUUUUAGACUCCUCGUUGACUAGGAUAAAUGAUACACAAAAGUAUGAAAUUAGUUUCAAAUACUUUAAAUAAUGUUAGAUAAAGCUCAAACGGAGCGAUUCGUCGCUUUGAAAGCUGCCAUCAUUGAAAACUGGUAGCACGGAGGCCGUCUCCGUGUACCGAUUAGUAUAUCUUAUAUAUAUAUAUAUAUAUUAUAUAUAUAAUAGUAGAACCAACUAGCUGGAAUACUAUUAAUAGCACCAUACUUGGUCGCUAUUAGUUUUCGGCCCUUAGAUUAAAAGGAGUGUCGCGGUUAGGGAUGAUGGCCCCUUAGGGUUGAGUGGCUGUUGGUUUAAUAGUAAAAUCUAAGGCAUAAAAAUUAAUCAAAUGGUUUAACCUCUAACGGCCAGGAAACUGAUAGCACAAGGUUGUGCUAUCAAAUAGCAAUGCGGCCGGGGGGGGAAACUCUCUCCCUCUCUUCUCUUCUCUCUCUCAUCUCUCUCUCUCUUCUCUCUCUCUCUCUAUAUAUUAUAUAUAUUAUUAUAUAUAUUUGAGCUAGAAGCAGACACAGAAAAAUUUGCGAAAUUUAGAUAUUUAAAGAGGUAUACACGUGUGUAUUAUAUUUAUUGUCUUACCAAAGCGGAACGUUAAUUAAGUAGAUUGAGUUUAACACCUGUUUAAUUUGAAGGAUUUGAGGCUGGAAAUAAAAAUCGAAAUGAUCCAUUUUCGCUGUUAGUAUUUGAUUUGAGAGAUUGACAUUCAAAUUUUUAUUUUCCGGAGGAAAAUCAAAUCCUCACAAAAUGAAUCUCUCCAUGGAGAUGGGAAUAAACUUCAAUUCCGAAAGAAAUGAAGGAAAAAAAAUAUCUUUUUUUUUCCACUAACAGUUAUUUAAAUUCAAAUAUUAAUUUUUAUUUAGUUUAAAUUAUAAUCUUAUAUUUAAAUUUAAAUUAUGGGUUGAAGUUCUAAUCUUUAAUUUUUCUUAUUUUCAAAUCUAAAUUCUAAUAUAUAAGUUUUAUAUUUAAAUUUAGUACUAAAGUUAAAAUUUGAUUUUGGACUUAAAUUUCAAUUAUAAAGUCAAUUAUAAGGUGCAAUAAAAUAAAUAGACCGAAUUUUGCAUUCAUAAAUCAUGAUUCAUGAGCUUAAGCCUUAUGGUUGAUUAAUUUGGAUCUGAACUUCUUCCUUUUCACUGAAAGUAGGAUUUUUUUCUUUUCAUUUUUUUUUAGGAUAAUGCUCUGCGUACUCUGGAGCGAAGGGAUGUCAAUGGAUACAGAUAUUCGAAAUUUUAUCUAAAUUCGAAUUCAAACAGAGUGGCUUUAUCUGAUGCUAAAUGGAUAUAAUUUCGGAUAUGAAUAUCAAAAAUAAAAGCUCGACGAAUUUGGAUUCGGGUAUGGAUUUUGAUUGUACCCGACUGGAACCCAAACCUGACCCGAAUCCGACCGAAAUCCGAAUUUAUUUUACAUUAUAUACAAUAUGUAUAUAAAUGUUUGAUGUUAUAUUUGUAUUUAUAUUUCAAAAAUUUAGAUUUAAUAUAAUAUAUUUUGAAUAUUGAAAAGAUAAAUAAUUAUUUCGGGUUCGGGCUCGGGUUCAGAUUUCGAAUUUUUUGUCGAGUUCGGGUUUAGAUAUGGAUUUUUAAAAUCUGUCGCAUUCGGGUUUGGGUUCGGAUUUGGAUUUUGGAUUUAGAGUCGAAUUUAGAUUCGGAUUUUUGAAAAUCCGCCUCGAAUCAGGCCGUUGACACUCCUACUGGAGUGUCCUUCAAAUAUUGCUUAGGAGUCAGGAAUUACACAUGACAGCUAGUGAUAUGUCCGUUCUUAUAUUUUAUAAUUCAUAUUCUUAAUUGGUGUAAUGUUCAGGCAUGGAAAAAUUCUUACGAUAUUCUUAAUAAGUCGGCAGUUGUAUAUCGCAAUUGGUGAUUAUCUUUUUUUUUUUUAUCAAAUUUAUAUUAGCGUCUAAUCAAUUAUCAACUGACACGUGUAUAAUUUCUAACUCACCAAUGACAUUCUUGGGAACUUUUUGAGAUGAAAGUAGCAUUGCUCUUUUUUUAUCCUUUCACAUGCAUCUUUAUGAAUAGUGUGUUGAUAAAUCAAAGUUAUUAUUUUAUACAAAAAAUUGUUACUAAUUGACCUUGCAAUUUUUUGGACUAUGAAUAGCAAAGCUUUGUUAGUUUGUACCUUAAAAUGGGCCCCUCCAAGUGUUGGGGAAACAUCAAACAAAGUGAGGAGGAAACAUCACCUUUAGAGAGCUUAGGCUAUGGUGAUGCUUAGUUGAGAAGAGAGUCCCUUUUUAGUUUAUUUAAUUUCCCUUUUUCAAUUAAGUUUUUUUUUUUUUUUUUUUUNAAAGCUUCUAGAAAAACCCAACAGGGGGCCUCUUUGAAAAUUUGCUCUUCUUAGAACAAAGCUAUUCAUACACCGUAUUUCAGAGUGUAUGAUUUACACUCAUCCAUCUAACGGAUGGGAUUAAUUACGAAGCGCAUCCAUUUAUGUCAUUCAUUAGAUGAACGAGUGUAAAUCAUACACUCCGAAAUGGAAUGUACAUGUUUUUUUUUUUCUAUUUAUUAAUUAGUCUUACUACAUGAGAGUUUACAUAAUAGAGAGAGGAUGAUGUAAUGUAACAUUGAAUCAUGCAUGGAGUAUUUGUAUGUCUCUACCCCAUAUCACUAUCUUGAAAGGAAAAAAAUAACACAAAAUAAAAUAAAAUAAAAAUUUUAUAUAUUUGUAGUAUGUAGUUACAAACUUUUAUUUUGACCUGAAAUUAAUCUACAAACAAAUACUUUGGUACAACAUUUGCAGACAAUUAACCAUAGAAUAAAUGAUGAAUUUUCGACGCGGGCCGGUUAUUACGCGCGUGAUCGGAGACUAUGAUCACCUGCUAAGAUGAAAAAUUUGUAUUGAAUUCACAUCACUAUCUACUAUGUAAUUAAAUAUCGAAAAAUCUUACUCAAAGAAGAGUGUAAAAUUGUUUAGCUUAGACAUGUUUGGUUAUUUAUAUGGUGCUUGGUUAUUGCAUAUAAUAUAAUUUUAUUGUUGUGAUCAAGUCGAUUUGACUAUAUAAUUAGGCUUAAUAUUAGGCUUAGCUUUAAUGAAUCUAGCUAAGAGAACUAAAAAUUUAAAAAUAGCUGAAAGGUCCAAAAAUAUUUGUUUUUUUUUUCUCACGCUUAUUAAAUUGUUGAGAUAAAUUUCGGGACUACAAUCCAAGGAAAAAGCAAAAGUCACUAAAAUAUUAGUGGUCGGUUCUCGCGUGCCCCUGCUGUUUUUUUUAUUGUAUUUUUUAUAUAUAUAUACACAUUCGUGUAGCCAUGUCCAUUUGAAUAUUGUGCCCAAAUGUUCAAAAUGCGAUACCAAAUAUUUAAAAAACAUAAUUUACUUUUACUCAAUUUGUUUUGUUUUUGGUUGAACUAUUUUAGUAAAUUUUGUGUUGCGUAUACUGUACAUGUCAUAAGGAUUUUAAAUACAUUAAUUUUCAGAUGAUCUUAGUCUAAUAUUUCUUAAUUUAUAAAAUGCAUAGUCUCCAUUAUAAAUCUUUGUUUUUUAUUUUUCCCCAGUUUUUACCGACCAAACUUUACUGAGUUUUCAGUUUUCCAUAGUAUGAACAAACGUAGAAUACAUGACACACCAGAUUCCCAAGUUUUCUUUAAUUUAUUUUUCUAAAUUUUGACUAAAAACUAUUGAAAUUAAUUAAAUGACGAAAGAUUCAAGAACACUGAAAUUCCCCAAAAUUUUCCUGAGGCUGAUUGAAGUGUAUAUACUAAUCAAGUAGGAUGAAACAAUAAAAUGAACUCUCCACAUGCACAAAAAAAAAAAAAGAAAAAAAAACUGUAGAACUCUAGCAAUAAAAUAGCAAAAGAAUUUCAUUAAAAAAAAGCAAAAGAAUAUUCUUAUUGCACAAAAUUAACGUCAUUUAAGAUAACGGAAGAAAAAUAUAAAACAUUACAGUAAUUGUAUAUGCAAAUAUAUGCAAUAAUAAUUCACAACACUACCUAUAUGAAUAUAUUUUAAUCAUCUUAAUUUUACCUGUAAAUUGAAGGUGUAACAGGAAAAAGUAAAAAAAGAGAGGAGGAGUAUAUAUAUAUAUAUACAUGCCCCACUAUUGGAAUAUAUAACUCACCAAGUCACCAUCCAUAAAUUGGAGAUGUGAAAUGUUGGCAUCUUAUUUCCUCUUAAUUCCACACAUUUGAAAGGUUUAUAUAUAUAUAUAUAUUCAUGAGACAACAACCGUAUAAGAUCUAGUUAUAAACCAAGCACCUAUUUGUACUUAUAUAUUCUAAUCAUAAUGCUUGUACUCCAUCUUUAUUGAUUAAUGGAGAUACUCAAGAGAGUACUUGUUUUUGUAGGCAUAUUAUUCUUAUGAAUGCAUUAAUAAAUGUGCAUAUAAAGUUUGGUAUGGUGUACACACAUAUACUUGUUUGUACGUACAAGAGUUUUUUGUGCAUGGAUUUAGACAAUCUAAAGAGAAGCAUUUUCGGAUCCCACUGUAGAUACUCUCUCUUCUUCUUGUCCCAUGUACAAAAGAUUUAAUUAGUAGUGAAAGGAUUCUCUUAUUUUCCUUUGUUUUAUGCAUUAAAUGAUAUGAUCUCAUUUAGAAUAUAAUGAUGCAUAUAUAGGAUCAUUUAUCAAUGGGUUGUUUGUGGGGGUGAUCAUAUAUAUAUAUAUAUAUAUAUAUAUAUAUAGCCACAUCAUAUAUAUAAAUAUAUACAACUAUAUUAUAUUGCACUAUAAAUAUAUAUCCGUGCUCCGGAUUGAAAUACUAAUAGGAUUAAUGCUUUGUGAUUAAAGUUAAUAGAUUAUAAUUUUUUGCAUUUUUUGCUGGAGGGAAAUUGGAAAAAAGUUUAAAGGGAAAAUUUCCUCACUACCCUUCCAAAUAGAUCUAAUAUCAUAAAUACCCUUUAAAAUUUUAAAAUUUCAUAUAUGCCCUCAAAAAAGCAUAAAAAUUUUCAAAAAUGCCCUCGUAACUAUUGCUCCGUUAUGUUUAGGUAUAAUAAAUUCAAAAUGUCGAAUUUACCGAAUUUACCCUCAAUACAUUUUCAAAAUACCGAAUUUAUGUUUAGCUAACAGAGCAAUCUAAGUUAAAUAAAAUUUUAAAUAUAACUAACUAAAAUAAAUAAUAAACAAAAAUUAGGAGCUAAGUAGUACUAAAGAAUAUCAGCGAAUAAUGUUAGUCUAAAUGUUAAACAAAUAAUGAAUAAAAGUUAGGGAUUAAAUAGUAAAUCAUAAAAUUAAUAUACCCUCCAAAUAUUUCUCAACUCAUGGGCAAAAUAAACAUUUCAAAUUUUAACCAGUGUUAGACCGCCAUCUAACUAAAUUUAAUAUGACUUGAAGUGACGGAGUUACAACGGCGAGGAUGUUUUUGAAAGAAAGUAUGUAUUUAGAAGUUAUGAUAUAACAAAAUUUAUAGGGACAUUUAUGUUAUUUUUGAAAUUUAGAGAGGUACCGAUGAAAUUAACCCAAAAACAAAUAGGAAACAAAUUAAGGGUAAAAAGGUAAUUUCAUAUUUUGAAGUAAAAUGAAAAAAAAAUACUAAAUUGACGGAAGUCGGAAAAACUUAACAGGGAGGGUAUUUAUGAAAAAAUAUUAUAUUUAGAGGGGCAUUUGUGAAAUUUUAAAAAUUUAAAGGGUAUUCAUGAUAUUUCAUCUCAAAGAUCAACCUGAUAAAAACAUGAACCAAUUAAGAUUAGUCUUAACAUAUUCAAAUGAUCCAAUUCUCACAAACAUAUUCAAAUGAUCCAAAGUUUUGAUUAGUUCCGUAUAUUUUUUUGAUCAAUAUUGGUCAACUAUUAUGGAAUACGGUUUCUAUUUAUGGAAUUGCAUGGACAUAAGAUACGCACUUAUAUAUCUAGGCAUUUGACUAUAUAUCAAUAGAAAUUAAUUAUUCUUUGUACCUACUUCUCUGAUUUUCAUCUGCACUUUAAAUCUGAACUAAUUAAGCAAUAGUUUAUCAAAGCUGAUAUUAGAUCCCAAAUAAUUAACUUUCAAAUCGUUGAGGAUGCGAAUAUAUUUAUGUGGCAUUUAAUCGACCAUCCAAAGAUUAGAACAUAUAUAAUACUAAGAAAGGUACUAUUUAUUAUAGAUUAAUUAAAUUUAUUAAAUCUGACCAAAUUUAAUCAAUUAAUGUUGGUCAAAUUUAAUAAAUAUCUUUAUGAUAAAAUCACACUACAAUAAAAACGAUGUAUAGCGAUAUUUUUAAAUAUCGAUACAGAUCACAAAAAAUGCUGCUCGCUAAAUUACCGGCACUUUUUAAAAGCGUUGCUAUAUGUGGGGUUGCUAUAUAUAGGGCCGCCUUAAUGUUUGACACCCACUCCUCUAGCGAUAUGUGGCAGAGGGACACGUGACGUCGUAGUGCUCUAUGGUUCCUGCGAGAUUCUCAUAGCCGAACAUUAGUGCCAGAUCCCUACCUCGUCAGUUGCAGCGACGGAGGAGGAGAAGGGAGAUGGUGAUCAAUUUUUCAUUCUUUUUUCUUUUCUAUUUGUAAUCAGAUCGAUUGGGCUGAAUGUGGUUAGUUGAGUAGAGAAAUUUUUUAUUUUUUAUUAAAUUGGACUUUAUAUUUAGGCCUUAGAAGAUAUUUUUAAAAAGUUUUGGUAUAAAUAGAACAUUUAUACAAAAGUGUUUUAAAAAUGUGUUCCUAUAAUCUAAUUCUGUUAUACUGUCAACACCAUUUGAUUAAUUAAACAAUGAAUUAUUGAGUGGGGAAUCACUAGAUGUAGAUGAUAAAAAACGGCGGGUGUAUAUAUAUAUAGGCUGAUAUACUGUCGGUAGCACGAAGGCCUCCGUGCUACCAAGUUGUUUUCAACAAAGCGGCUUCCAAAUCGACGAUCAGCUCCGUUAGACUUGAUCUACACUAUUAAAAAUAUUUGGAAACUAAAUUUUAUAAUUUUUCAAAAUCAUUUAGCUAGUGAUCAAAAGGUCUCAAAAUUGACAAUUUUAAUGAUAGAUGUGAUGCAUUUGUAAAUUUAACGGUAUAAAAUAAUCCAAAUCAGAUGAAAUUUUUAUAGAAUUUUUUUUUACUAUUUAGAGUAAGAUCAGUACCUCUGAUUUUAAAUUCAAGUCUUCUAUUAUCAUUUUUUAUGAGAUUUUUAUUUUCAGCUGUUCAUUUUUAGACUCCUCGUUGACUAGGAUAAAUGCAUACUGAAAAGUAUGAAUAUUAGUUUCUAAAUACUUUAAUAUGUUAGAUAAAGUCAACGAGCGAUUCGUCGCUUUGAAAGCUGCCAUCAUUGAACCAACUGUAGCACGGAGGUUCCGUGCUUACCGAUAGUAUACUCUUAUAUAUAUAUAUAUAUAUAGUAUAUAGUAUAAUAGUAGAACAACUAGCUGGAAUACUAUUAAUAGUCACCAAUACGUUGGUCGCUAUUAGUUUUCGGCCUUAGCAUUAAAAGGAUGUGCGGUAGGGAUGAUGGCCCCUUAGGGUUGGUGGCGUGCGCGGUCCCUGGUUUGUUAUAGUAAAAUCUACAGGAUAAAAUUAAUUCCAAAUGGUUAACCUCUACGGCCAGAAACUGAUAGCACGAAGCGUUGGGUGCUUCAAUGAGCAUGCGGCCGGGAACUCUCUCCCUCUCUCUCUCUUCUCUCUCUCUCUCUCAUCUCCUUCUCUCUCUCUCUCUAUAUAUUAUAUAUAUUAUUAUAUAUAUUUGAGCUAGAAACUAUCGUAGUACGAGCCGUUUUCUACUGAUUUGCUUUUCGACUGAUAGCAAUUUCAAAUGACGAUCGGCAUCCGAUUGAACAUGAUCUAUACCACUUGAUGUUUAGAAAUCAAUUUCAAAUCUUUUCGACAUCAUUUGAUUAGAUGAUCAAAGGGUUUCAAAAUUUGUAAAAUUUCACAGGUCGUAAGAGCAUGUUUGUUUAACGGGAGUUAAAGAUAUCCAAAUGAUGAAUUUUUGUUCAGGAAAUUCUUUAACUAUUUAAAACAAGAUCUAUACUUUUGAGUUUGAUUACAAGACUCUUCAUAUUUUAUAAAGAGUAUUUCAUUUUCACCAUAUAUUUCGUCUGUUCACUUGAUGGAUAAAAAGAUAAUAGUCGAAAGUACGUGAAUUUGUUUCUAGCUAGUUUUGAGGUUUGGAUCUAUUUUAACGGAAGUCCGAUCGUCAAUUUGGUGAAGCUCUAUCAUCGAUAACAAAUCGGUACUAUAUAGUCGUUUACUACCGUUAGUAUUCUAGGCUCAACUCUCUCUCUCUCUCUUCUCUCUUCUCUAUAUAUAUUAUAUGUUAUAUAUAUUAAUAUAAUAUAUAUAUAUAUUAUAUAUAUAUGAGUUCGGCUACUAUACUAUCGAUAGUACCAAGCCCUUGAUACUAUUGAAUUUUUAACCGUUAGAUUUAUCUUUUGAUCAUUUCCAUCCGUUAGAUUAUACUGUUAAACCAACCCCCACUCAACCCUAGGGGACAACUAUCAAUUUAACCGGAGACAACUAUUAUCCUAACCGCACAUCCUUUCACCCAACGGCCGAAAACUCAAUAGUACCAAGGACUUAGUACUAUUGAUAGUAUAGUAGCAUAAGUCUAUAUAUAUAUAUAUAUAUAUAUAGUUGAGCUAGAAUACUAUCGAUAGCUAAUAAGCUCCGUAGCCAUCCAUUAGUUUUCGACGAUAGAGUCUCCAAAUCGACGAUCGGCACUGUUGAACACGAUCUAUACUACUUGAAUUAUUUAUAAAUCAAAUUUCAAAUGAUUUCGACUUCAUUGACCUAAUGAUCAAAAUGUUUCAAAAUUUGUAAUUUUAAUGAUCGAUAUGAAGCGUUUUUUCGUUUAAUGAUAUAAAAAUAUCCAAAUGAAAUAAAUUUUGGUUGGAAAAUUCUUUAAACUAUUUAGAAUAAAAUCUAUACGCUCGAUCUUGAUUAUAAGAUUCAUAUAAUUACUUUUUAAAGAAUAUUCAUUUUUAUCCGUUCAUUUUGUGUCCACUUGAUGGACAAGAGAACAAUAUCAAAAAGGUAUAAAAUUUUAUUUCUAAAUGCUUCAAGUAGUAUAUAUCAUAUUCAACGAUGCCGAUCGUCGAUUUAGUAGUUCCAUCGUCGAAAACAAAUGGGUGGCAACGAAGCUCAUUUGCUAUCGAUAGUAUUCCAGCUCAACUCUCUCGUUCUCUCUCUCUAUAUAUGUAUAUGGUAAAUUGUAUUGUUACCCCCUGAACUUUUGGCGAAGUUUGACUUUACCCCUCGAACUCCUAAAAUGGAUAUCAAACAUCCUAAACUCUAAUAUUUCAUUCAUGUUAUCCCUUCCGUCAGUUCUUUGUCAAGCUCUGUUAAUCAAAAACUGACGGAAAGAGUAAAACGAAUGAAAUUUUAGAGUUCAGGAUGUUAGAUGUUUAUUUUAGGACUUUAGGGGUUUAAAUGAAACUUGUCAAAAGUUCGGGGGGUAACAAUGCAAUUUAUUCCUAUAGCAUUCUUGACUAUAAAUUAUUUUUUUAUUUUUAUAUUAAAAAUUUCUAAUUGGCUGAAAUGAAGUACAAAAAUUUUAUUUAAGUAUAUUUUCUAGAACAAUGCUUCUAAAGAUAAAAAGGACAAACGGGUAUUACAGAAAAUUAACUGAGAAUUAAAAUCUCUAUAUCCGAGUCGGGACACCUAUUGUAAAUCAACAAUAUUAGCGAGUACACAAGGACAGUAGAGUGUUCGAGUAUCAUAGGUAGUUAGUAUCGCUAUUUUCUUAUCUUUAAGUAACUCUAAUUCAUUUAUUUCGCUUUUAUUUUAUUACAAUAAAAUGCAUGUAGGAUAAAUUAUGAUAUGAUUUAUUUUAGGAUAAAAUAUAUAUAAAUUCAAAAUCAAGUAUGAACACUAACUUGAGGGUUAGUAGUCAAUCUAUAAGUAAUAUAUUAUAAUAAAAUAAUUUAUAGUCAAAAGUCCUCUACAGGGUAAAUUGCACGGCUAACUCCUAAAUUUUUGACGAGUUUCACUUAACCCCCAAACUCCUAAAAUAGACAUCUAACACUCUAAACUCUAACAUUUCAUUCGUUUUACCCCUUCCGUCAGUUUCUGGUUAACGGAGCUUGACGGAAAACUGACGGAAGGGGUAACAUGAAUGAAAUAUUAGAGUUGAGGGUGUUAGAUGUCUUAUUUUAGAAGUUCGAUGUGUAAAGUAAAAUUUCGCCAAAAUUCAGGAGGUCGAAGAAUGCAAUUUACCCUAUAUAUAUAUUAAUAUAAUAUAUAUAUAUAGUUAUAUAUAUACACACAAGUAAAAACGGUCUAUAGCGACACUUUUAAAUGUAGGUACAUGUCAAAAAAGUGAUGCUAGCUAAAAUUACCGGCACUUUUAAAAAGUGUUGCUAUAUGUGGGGUCGCUAGGUAUAUAGUGACAGUUAAAGAGUGUCGCUAUAACCUAAAAGAGUACUGCUAAUUUACCAACACUUAUUUAAGCAUUUAGCAACCGCCGAAACUCUAUCUCGUUGAUUGCGGUGGCGGAGGAGGACGAUAGGAAAGGCUCUUCGUCUAGAAUUUCAGUAGAUUGAGUGAAGAGAGAAGAAAAGAUGGUAAUUGAUUUUUCUUUUUUUUUUUUCUUUUCUGUUUGUAAUCGGGUCAAAUGGACUGGGUGUGGUGGAUUGAGUAGAGUAAUCUUUUAUUUUUAGUUGGAUUGGGCUUUAUAUUUAGGCAUAAGUAGAUAUUUUUUUAAGUUUUAGUAUAAAUGGGACACUUACUCAAAAGUGUCCCAAACAUAUGUCCCUAUAACCUAAUUCUGUUGUAGUGUUAUAUACACACACACGCAUACAGAAAGAGAGAGAGCCGUACAUACAUAUAAUAAUGAUAAUAAAUAAUAUAUAUUAUAUAUAUGUAUAUUAUUUUUUAAAAUGAAUGGUCCUACGUGUUAAUUAAUUAAUGUCCUAGAUUUGUGUGUAUACGUACUCAGUAGUAUAAAUGACACAUGGCUUCAAUUAAUGCGAGGAUUUUUGUUGACGUAUGAGACGGACGUCACGAGUGUCAUGCACGUAUACGUGCGGGGCAAAUAUACGGCCUCGUUUUGAUCUUCUACAUAAAUUGACGAGCUAUUUGUAUCGCGUGUUCCACAAAUUGGAUUUGACUGUAUAUAUAUAUAGAGUAGGGCUAGAAUACUUUUACAAGUAUCACCCAAGUGAUACUUGUGUGUUUUUAGCCAUUGGAUCUACUUUUUGAUUACUAAUAGUUCUUGGAUCAAACACUAUUCCACCUACCACCACCUAUCACCACCUACCACCAUCAUCUCAACCUCACAUCUCUCCAUCCAAGAGCUAAAAACACACAAGUAUCACUUGGGUGAUACUUUUACAAGUAUUCUAGCUCUACUCUAUAUAUAUAUAUAUUAAUGCAAUUGGGUUCUAAAAUUUGGAUUAAAAAAUGUUUUAUAUAUAUAUUUAUAUUAGUUCAGGAGUUCAUAUAUUUUUUUUACAUUUUUAGGAUCAAUAAAAGUUAAAAAUUGUAAGAUAUAUAAACGUUUAGUUUGUAUAAGUGUAUAGAUAAUAUUUGCUUUUUUGAAUCGGAUGGCUAAUCACGUUUGGAAAUAGAUCGUAUUUUGUGUUGACAUUAAAAAAAAAAGGUCGGUUCUAAUGCUAGCACGAUAAUUUUUACCCAAAUUUUUAUAUUUUUUAAUUGCAUGAUGAGAUAUGAGUGAAACAUUAAAUAAAUAUUAAUACUUAAUUAAUUGCAAGAAAGUUUCCAAAGUAAAGUGGAAAAUUGGAUAAGAUAAGAUGGGAAGCUAAUAAUGUGAGCAUAAGUAAUUAACCUUUUUAUUAUAUUAUGAUGCUUAUCCUACCAUGAGAGGUAGAGAGAGAGAGAAUGGUGGGAAUUAAUGAAAUAAAAUCAAACAUCUUAAAUGCAUGGUGUAGGUCAACUGUUCCUCCAAUGGAAAAUUUUCCCAACAAUGGUUUGUCCCUAGAAAAGUCAAAAGUGUACAUGCUAAACAUGUAUGUAUAGUAGCCUAAGUAUUUGAACCACUAAUACACUUUGGUGGUACCAAACAUUAACUUUAUUUAUAUUAAUAUAUAUAUAUAUAUAGUUGAGCUAGAAUACUCUCGAGAGUAAACGAGCCCGUUUAUUCUCGAGUUGUUUUCGAUGAUAGAGCUUCCAAAUUGACUAUCGGCUCCGUUAAAUAUGAUCUAAACCAUUUAAACUAUCUAGAAAUCAGAUUUCACGCACUUUCGAUAUUUUUUUAUAUCCAUCUAGUGAACAGAAAAAUAAAUGGUUGAAAAUAAAUAUUCUUUAAAAAAUGAUGAUAGGAGUCUUGUAAUCAAGAUUAAGAGUAUAGAUCUUGUUUUAAAUAGUUUAAAGAAUUUUCUAACAAAAAUUCAAUUGAUUUGGAUAUCUUUACACCGUUAAACGAGAAAACGUCUCUUAUCCACCAUUAAAAUUAUAAAUUUUGAAACCCUUUGAUCAUUAGGCAAAUGAUGUCGAAAAGAUUUGAAAUUUGAUUUCUAAACACUUCAAGUGGUAUAAAUCAUGUUCAACGGAGCCGAUCGUCAAUUUGAAAGCUCUAUUAUCGAAAACAACUCGAGAGUAAACGGGCCCGUUUACUCUCGAGAAUAUUCUAGCUCAACUCUAUAUAUAUAUAUCUAUAUAUCUAUAAACAUAUUUAGAUAGUACAUAUACCAAACAAUUAUGUCAACAGUUUUGAGGGGGACUCUUCUUCAUGGCUUAUAUUAAGUUCCUAUCACAUGUACUAAGGAAAAGAGACAAGCCACCUAAAGAAAAGGACAUUGAACUCAUUAGGUUAGAAAAGCACUUACCCUCUCCCCUAUCAACUUUUUAAUUAAACUAAGAUAAAGGUAAAGGAGAAACCCCCAACAAGUGUUAACCUACCAUUCACUUACUUUUCAUGUGAUUGGUCCAAAAUGAUGCUAAUGUUAGGGCACCACCAUACUCUAAUUUAAGCCAUCUUUUAAUUUUCUCUGUGUGGAGACCCCACCACCUCCUAACAACAUGCAAUACACAUUAGAUCCAUGAACACCAAAGUCCUAAAUUUACGCACAUCGAAUUAGAAAAAUAGAAAAUGAUAAGCCUAAAAUAUUAUACUCAUGAAAAGGAUAAAAUAAAAUACUAACUGGAACACGAUACGUGAGGUUUAAUUCAAAAAGGAUGACGUACUCCACGACGUCAACAAGAAAGGAUUUGAAAUUGUCAAGAAAAAGAAAAGUAUAUAUAUAUGCCAAGUUUUUUUUUUACUUUUUUUUUUUAUAAUCAAAGUCAAUCAAACUCAUUUGUUGUUAACAAGUUAUUGAAGUGCUUAGUCAAAGCUCUACCCUAUCUAAGGAGACUUUAUUCCUUAAUCCUUGCUUAGUUUAUAAUUAAUUAGAAGGUAACAAGCGCUAAUAUGAAAGCCAAAACACUUAAUUUGACUUCCGUCAUUUGUGUCCAAUAAUUGUUUAUUUUCAAAAGUUUACGCGACAUCAGAGCCCUUGACUUGUAAUAAGCUACGAAUAUGAACAUUGAAAUAAUGUGCUGGGAAUUAAAUUUACAAAUUCAGAACUAGAUGACUCAUUAAUAAAAGAACAAUCUCUAAAGAAAACAAAUGUUAUUCUAUGAUGCAUGCGUAAUUGAAUAGCUGCUAUUCUCUGAAAGCUUAAGCUGUAAUUCUUAAUUAGUAAAAUCUUCGAGAAGGGACAUUACUUAAAUCUUACCUCACAAUGGGAAAGCUAGGUUAUUAAGGGUUUAUAGAAUAAAUUAAGAUGGGAAUUUAAUUGGUUUCCCAAUUAAUUAUAUAAUUCCUUUUUAAUGUUUGUCACAUAGAGAUCCUGUUUUUUAUGUACUUUGUCUCAUCCGGAAUCCAUGGGGGGGAAACCACAUGGUGUUGGGGGACAAACAGCCGUUAAGCAACACUAAUUUGUAUCCCCUCCACUGCCCCCUUUGGGGAAUCCUUCUUUGAUCUCAUCUUAUUUUAUUAUUUCUAAUGCCAAGAAAUUAAUAAUUAGUACUAUAUAUGCUUUUCGUCGUUUUGGAUAUUGUGAUUCCUUUUGUUUCGUUUAUAUAUUUAUUUAUUUUUUUUGAGAUAUGAAUCCGGUUAGAAAUGUUAACUUUGAACUGAGGACCGUGGGUACCAACCAUUCAGCCCUUAUCCGAUUACGUUAAAUACAUGCGAUAUCGUGCUUCAAAAUCGUUAAAUUAGGGCUUGUUUGGUUUCUCUGGAUUUCCUGCAAAAUGGUGGCUUGGGUAAGUUCCUGAUUAGACUCGUUUUUGCGUUCUCUUUCGAUAAUAAUCAUUUCUGAUAUAAUAUUUUACAAAUAAAAAAUGUUAGUGCUUCUGCUUAAGUUUGGGAAUUAGAGAAAUGAGUUUAUGAGGCACUGAAAAGCUAAAAUUUGGCACUUCUACUUAUACAAAGAGCGCGACUAAGCAGAAACUAAAGUUGCUUGAAGAACCCUUAUUUAGUUUUUUAGUUGAAGCUAUAAAAAGAAGUUCAAAGUAGACAUGCUGUUUAGAAACUAGAAGCUUAUUUUCCCUCUUCGACUUCCUUUCGAGCGAGAAUCUCUAGACUUUUUCUUUUUUUUCCUCUCCCUCUUAAAACGCUUAGCAAAUGCACUUACAAUCUUUUGUUUUCGUUGUUGCGCUUCAUCUUUGCUUAUGUCAAAACUAAAACAAUAUUCAAAAUCAUCAACAACAUAACAUUAAGGAAAAUCCUCGGUUCUCGCUACGAUUUUAAACAUUUAUCCCAGCCCGAACCCGAACGGGCCCUGUAGCCCAUUUUCAUGUAGCCUCUCUAUUCUUAUUCUUUCUCCGUUUUAUUGGUUCUUAUAAACUUUUGCUUUUUAAAAUUUUUUUUUCUGAUUUCAGCUAUUUUUACAAAUUUUAUCAAAUAUGUGUUCAAUUUUGUAUUAAGAAACUCUUCAUAUAUAUAUAUAUAUAUAUAUCUGCACAUCAUCAUAUUGUUUUUACUUUCUUUUCAUUGUCUUUAAUUUAGUUAACUGUCGCGUAAAAUGAUUAAUCACGACUUUUCUCAACCCCCUCUUUCAAUGGAAUCUCUCUGCCAUUACAGUAAUCGCGGGGCCUUCAAUGAUUGAAAAGUAGCAUGAUGAUUAUUCUCAUUCCUAUGUUUCUUCUGCGUGGAAAAUGAUUAUGUACCUUUCAAUGUGUAAACUUAAUUUGUGCGUAAUAUAUCAGUAUCUACGUAUACCAGCAUCUGUAACGAUCGAUGCUCCUACAUGCGAUAGUUGCUGAGUGAGUCAGUUUGUCAAAUCUUAGAUACAACACUUGAAUUAGGCGCAAGCUCUGAAUGAUAAGCUACUAAUAUGACUUCGUCGUAUGUACCAAGCUGACUCAUCAGUGCUAAAAGUACAAGUCAAAAUUAAGCAUUUCGUCAAACAGCGUUACACUCAAAAGUAAGGGAGGGAACAAGCGCUUAUUCUCGGUUGGAGGGCCAAUUUAACAAUGGGCCGAGAAGGCCAUAUAUUGAAGCCCAAUGAUAAUGGGCUAAAAAACCUCGACUUCAUGGGCCUCGGGGCGGCAUUUCGCGAAGAAAACAUAAAUUUAAUUGGCAUUGCAAAAUUUAGGUUUAAUCUAAGUACCUUUAUCUUUAUAUAAAAAGAAUUAGAAAUGAAAUUGUAAGUCGCGCAAAAAAAAACGGUACAAGGAGUAUCUGUACAUGCAACGCUCAAUUGUAUGCCUUCAGUUGAAGGCCGUGCAAUCUCGUCUGAUCUGCCCCCGCCUGCCGGUCUUCACCCCGACCCUCCCGAGCUUGACCAUCGACUUUGCAAAUGCCGCAAAGAAGCUGCUUUGAUCGCCCGCGAAACCCUUAACAACCGGUUGUGACCGCCCGUCGGCAUACAACACCUCGUCGGAGGUGAAAAGCCCUAAACCGGCCGCUAGGUUCGCGUAGUAGACGUUGUCGAACGUGAUCGGGGUGACAGGGUCCAUGUUAACUGCGAUUGUCGGGCCAACAUUUGCAGGGCAUGCCUGCAUCAGCUCUCGAGCGUAGUCAGGGUUUAUCGUCGGGUCGACGGAUGACGAUGAGCCGAAUCGAUACAGGCGGUUGGUGAAGCGACUGCAGUGCGCAAAACCGACUGUGUGGGCCCCGGAGAGUGUGAUCAUGUCAAACAAAGUUAGGUUGUUUUUUCCGAAUAAGGUCGUCAGGGAAUCGAGAUUGAAGUCCGGUCCUGGGAGCUUUCCUGCGACCCGACUAGCCAGGGAGACAAGCCCGUCACGUCGACCUAACUCAACGGUGAAGUUCGGACCGCCCGACUGGAAAGAAAAACAUUAGUUUUUCUCAGACGUGUAAUCUUAAUACUGUUUUCUAGCAGCUUAAGUUUUUUAGAGAAAAUUGAGAAUUUUACAUGGUAUCAGAAUAUGAGGCCACUUACAAGUGCGACGACAUCUCUGGCGGCAAUCGUAAGUAUGUCGGCACAGGAGACCACUCCAGGGCACUGGGCUUCGACUGCCGCCUUAGCCUUGAUGACCGUGUCGAAGCCAUCGCCGGCGAGGGAGAGGUUGUCCGGUGCGUCCUUCUCGGCGUCGUUCCUCGGGGAUGCGAUCAUAACUGAUGCAUCGCAGCCCUACAAGUUUGAGAUUGGAUGUACUGAAUCAAAAGUUGAAUGUUGUGUAACACACACACACACACACACACACACACACACACACACACUGAAAAUAAGAACUAAUUAUUCUCCAUUAUGAUAGCAAAAUAGAAAUAGUGAUUGUAUUUAACACUUAAUUUAUAAUCAACAAAGCAGCUCCUAUAACGAAAAAAUAGUGUUAUUGGAUAAACUAUUAUCCGUCUAUCUUAAACUCUUUCAAUAGAUUCUAUUCAAAGCACCAAACUAGCUUUUUUUUUUUUGGUCGAUUAAUAUCUCAAUAUUUUUUUCAAGAAAAUUUUAUUUAAUAUGAUCGUUGGAAUUAACCUGAUCACUAUUUACACCACGAAUCCGUUACAUCAAUAAUAAUUUUUGCUCAAUUUAUACGACUUAAAACAACCCUAGCAAACCCUAGGUUUCAAUUUCAAAAUAUGCUAAAUUACAUUGUGAAAAAAAAAAAAAUGGUGGGUUAAAAGGAUCAAAUUUUAAAGGCCGAGUGGGCGCAACCCAACAAGGAAUUAUUAAUUAGCGUUAGGCCCGUGACACGGCAUCGAUUGAUGUGGAGUCAAAAUUGGACGUAUUAACACUUGCACAUGCUAGACCUGCUUGGUCCUUGUCGCUAGUGCACGUUACAAAAUAUUCGUUUAAACCUAACUCGAUCAAUUCAAUUAAAUAUUCAUUAAUUUCCCUAAUUUUACUGUUGAAUAUAUAUAUAUAUAUAUAUCUAGCAUGUUUCAUGUCGAAUUAGCAUGAAUUUUCUUAUGUAGAAAUCGUAUUGAGAAACAUUGCUACGUACAUGAAUAAUUUUAUUUAUGAUCACUAAGCUGCCGUAUCGAUACGAAUAUCUGAGCCGAAAAACAAUUAAGAUGCUAUGAACUAAUUGGGAGAUGGAUUAAACAGCUUCACAAAUUCUGAGUGAUCUUUUAGUUACCUCUACAAAGCAAUAUGGAAGAAGAGGCGAAGAGUGGCGGGGAUCGUGACGACGGUUUGGCUGAUCUUCUUCGCUCAGCCUCUCACGAUCUCCUCCACAUUCGGGCACGUCAAUCGGUAGAAGUUCGCCAUAGCUUGGCCUCUUCCUCCCCGCACUAUCGUCGAUAACACCAACACAAUGAACAAACUUCUCUAAUCAGCUCCAUCUCUCUCUCUCUUAGGUUUUUUUUUUUUUUUUUUUUUGAUGUAUCUUUCCUUAACAGUAAAAAGAGAGAGAGAGAGAGAGAGAGAGAGAGAGAGAGAGAGAGAGAGAGAAAACAGUGUGUAGGGGUGGAGGGGAUAGAGAAGAGAGAGUACAAAUAUAUAGGAGGGAAUGUAUUGAGUGAAAGAGGAGAAGGUUCCAAAAGAGCACAUAAUGGUUAAUAAUGGCUACAAUGUUGCAUGUGUAGUGUACAAAUUUGUUAGGCUCACACUCAAUCCAAAGCUUAGACCAUAUUUUGAGGCACUGAUUGCGAAAAUGCCGGUUCAAUCGGAACUCGACGCGUGGAACCAAAAUUUUCUCCCUUUUUUUUCCUGAAUUUUUGUGGUUAAAUGAGUUGGAAUGAGGUCCUACUAUAUUAUAUAUUUCACUAUUUUGAGUGGAUUCUAGUGCUUUAAUUUAGAGGGGGCUUCUUAGUGGUUCCACCACUAUACCAUGUGAAGCAACUAUUCCAAAGCAUGAAAGGAGCAUCUUUUGAUCUGUAAAGUGUAGCGAGAGUGAGAGAGAGAGAUUGGAUUUGGAUUCUUUUCUUUCUUUCUUUUUUUUUUUAAUUCUCUUUUUUGGUUGUUGAUUAGUUAGUUGUGUUUAAUUCCAAGUCAACAUCAUGUUGUUAAAAAUGAAGUUCAGGUGUUUAGGAGGAGCACAUGCUCUCCAACUGUUUCCAUGACAAUCUACAUUAAAGCAUUGUACUAUUCCUGCAGGUGGGGUUAGUUUGAACAGUUUAUUUCAAUUUAUUUUGUUUAGGAAAGCUCCAUUAAACUAUAAUUUUGAUGCGCGUUACCGUUGGAUCUAUCAAUGGGUCUAUCUGAAUGUGACCGUUGCCUGAUGCGCGGCGUGAUUAGUUUGAAUUCCAUGUUAUAAUUACUCACAUGAUUACUUUAUUUUUUCUCUAUUAUUUUAUUAGCUUGAUGCAUGAGGCUCACCCGAACUUACGGUAGCCCUAAUGCUGUGUAAACUAAAAGAUCGAUCUGAUGGAGUAGAAGUUUACUGCAUCUGAAUUGUUGGAAGUGUUCAUAUGUUGCUAUCAAACACAGCUAAGAGUGUCCAUGAAUAGCUGUGAGUGUGGUGUUGUACAGCUAAAGUCAGUGAUGGAGAGACAAAUGCAACCAACCAUUCAAAGAGCCAAAUCUACAUGUCCUUUUAGAAGAGGAAUAACUUUUGAGGCAAAAGCAUGGUCCACACAAAAAUUGAUUAAUUCCUUGUGCAGGAAUAUAUGAAGGAUGAUCACCUCCGUAACGCGGUUUGUUCGAGGACAUAUAUAGGUUUAAUUUCUAACCCUAGGUCAGGCGUUAGCGCAGAGCGAAUAAGCUGGCAUAAUUUGGGGCGAGUUUGUAUAAAAAGACUUGAAAAGGCUAAAGGUAUGUAUAGUUCUUGGCCACAGCGUCGAUCGAUCUUUUCGAAUAUACGAUGGCGUUCGCAUGCGAACAUCUCUAUAAAUCUACCUUAUGAUUAUAAUACUACUGCCUACGGAGAUAUUACGUUGACGAAUCUUGCUAGUGUUUGACGGACCAGUGAAGGUAUUUAUCAGUGGCCUACCAAUAUUAACCAUUGUUUUUAGGUUUUCUUAGGAUGAUUCCGCGUGUUAUAUAUCUUGGGUUUACCUCAUCAAAAUUAAAAGGAAAUUAAGCAGCAUUAAAAGAUUUGUAGUGACAUAUUAAAUGUGGCCCAAACUUGGCCCAUGGCCUAUUAUUGGUUACCCGAGCCCUCUUUGUUCUCAUAAAUUACAUCCUCUCUCUCCGCUGAUUGAUGCAGUACUAUCUGAAUAGUACUAUCAAACUAUAUGUAUAUAGAGUAAGGCUACUGUGCUAUUAGUAGCCACAGCAGCCCCUUGUGUUUCUAAUUUCUAACCAACCAUCAAGUUUGCAUGGUGUGUUAGAAUGAGAGAGGGAGGAAUAUUGGAAGAGAAUUCAAGGAGAUGAGAAAUUAAACACCCAAUUUCUUCCAAUAUUUUCUCCAUCUUAUUCUAACGCCCAUCCAACUUGAUAGGUGUUAGAAAGUUAGAAACAACAAGGGCUGCUGUGCUCCUAAUAGCACAGUAGCCCUCUUAUAUAUAUAUAUAUAUAGGAGAGAGAGAGAGAAGAGAAGAGGAAGAGAGAGAGAGAGAGAGAGUUGGAUUGGGCUACUAUUAGUAGCAAAAUUCAUUAUUGCUACCUAGUUUUUUUAGCCUAUGGAUCAACUCUUUUCAUUUAUUUCUAACCAUUGGAUUAAAUACUAUAACCCAGUAAGAAUCAUUCAACCUAGGGGGACACCAACUUUAACCGACUAAUAUCAUUUGACCCUUCAAGUUUUUCAUCCAAGAGUUAAAAACUGAUAGCCAAAAAGAGGUCUUUACUAUUAAUAGUAUUCCUGCCUAAUUCUAUAUAUAUAUAUUUGAUAGCAAAAUUUCAACAAAUAACUAUUAUAGCUUUGAUUUUGAGGCUCAAAAUUAUAUUUUGUGUUUUCGCUGCAUCAAAAGCUCCACAUAUAGAAUAGAAAUAGCGUUGAACAGAAUCUUAAUCCUAUAUAAAUAUGAUAUAAGUAAAUGAAAGCAGUAACUCAUCCUUAUCAUUCUUGGAGAACCAAAUAGGAAAAAGAGUUACAUGCCAUGAGAGAAAGUAGUGGUAAAAUUAAUUAUAGCAAGUUUCUCAUUACACCACUAGAGCCUUGAGCAUCAAAUAAUAAUAAUCCACAUACAAUUACAACACAGCGAAAAGUUAAAAAAAAAAAAAAGAAAAAAAAAAGAAGGACAAAUAAUUGCUCCAAUUCCUUAAAAACCCUGCCUUAAUAGAUGGAUACAAAGAUAGCACUAAUUAUGGCAAUGGCAAAGCAAGCAAGCAGGCUUAUCUGAUGAAUAAUACCUUCAGAUGUAGUGUCUGAGCUGCUGCUGCUGCUUGUGGGUGUAGCUGCAGAAGCAUUCAAAAACAUGUACAUGUAACAAGUUAAAGGAAUUUAGUUUGUGCAUGAUAUUCAUUCUGAAGCCACAUCAAAAUCCCUAUGCGCGAAUUUCCUACAUCUUCGUGCGCAGAUGGUUGGCUGAUCUAACCGAUCUAGUUGAUCCACCCUGAGAUAUGGGCGGCAGGAUCGACCGGUGCAUGCGAAUAUGAGGUUGCACGAAAUUUGUGCCCCACUAAUGCGCAAACUCCAGCCGAGCCAAAUAGGCUCAUUAAUUUUAACCCUAGGAUGUACUUCUAAAGAGAGUAAAAUUAGGAUUUGAGUUUGAGAUUUGAUUAUGUUUGGGUCAGUCGAUUUUGACCUAACCUCAAUCCAAAAUCUAAACCGAAAGUCCCAAACUCAAACUCGAACCGCUUCGAGUUGAGUUUGCUUAGAUCAACAUGGUAUCUAAUUCAAACUCAAAUUUAACAAAAAUGACUAGCACACAAACAGGUUAUCAAAUUGCACUUUUGUUGAAUUUGUGUAAAUAAUAGUAAUAGGAGAGGAUGAGUUUGGGAAGAGUAAAUUAAAAUUUACCUUUGCUAGGGUUUGUAAAAAUAGCAUAGUCAGGGGAGCUGGGGGUGAGAUUCAGAAGCCCUGUCACAACAAAGGAACAACAAGAGGGUACAUCACAUUAAUUAGCAUUCAACAUCAAUGCUCUAACCGACCAUCCCUAGAGCAAGUGGCAAAGGGCUUGGUGGUUGAUAUCCGAGACCCAAAUACGAAUUCUAAUUGAUUCACAUUUCUCGCUAAAUUUAUUUCUAAAUGAAAUAAACGAAGCAGGUAGCGUGCUACCUAUCUCUCAAAAAAAAAAAAAUAUCAAUGCUCUAAAAAGAAAUAAUAUGAAGUAAUAAUAAAGGUGAGAUUUAUAAAUUUUAUUUAGCUUGAUAUAUAAAUAUAGAGUUGAGCUGGAAUUUUAUCGGUAGCAAACGGAUUUUGUUGCCGCCCAUUUAUUUUUAAUGAUGGAGUAUCCAAAUCGACAAUCGACACCGUUGAAUAUAAUCUGUAACACUUGAAGUAUUUAGAAACUAAAUUUUAAAUCUUUUCGACAUUAUUGAUCUAAUGAUAAAAGGGUUUCAAAAUUUAUAAUUUUAAUAGUCCAUAUGAGGCGUUUUCUAGUUUAAGGUGUAAAAAUAUUCAAAUCAAUUGAAUUUUGGUUAGAAAAUUCUUUAAACCAUUUAGAACAAGAUCUAUACUCUUGAUCUUGAUUACAAGACUCCUAUUAUCACCUUUUAGAGGAUAUUCAUUUCCAGCCAUUCAUUUUUGUGCCCAUUUGAUGGAUAAGAGGAAAAUAUCGGAUAAGUAUGAAAUUUGAUUUCUAAAUACUUCAAAUGAUAUAGAUUAUGUUCAACGAUACCGAUCGCCGAUUUGAAGGCUCCAUAAUUAAAAAUAAAUCGGUGGCAGCGGAGCCCGUUUACUACCGAUAGCAUUCCAGCUCAACUCUCUAUAUAUUACUAUAAUAAUAAAUGAGAAAUGAUGUAACAUCAAACUAAUACUCAUGACUAAUCAGACUCUGAGUAGAAUUAUAGGAGGCCAAACUUCUGAUUCUCGAAAAAAAAUAAAAUGAAAUAAAAUAAAAUAAGAACUUAUCAAAACCAUGCAAUUAAUUAAACAACAAAUUCAGUUUGAGUGACUGCAUAUGACAGUCCCUGGAGUUGAUCAGAUCAUUUUUAUGUCCAUUUUCGAAAAAAAGGGGAGUCAAAUUAAUCUCCAUUUUGGCCUCUGCUCAUCUAACUCUGUUGAAAAAAAAAAGAAAGUAUAUAGAGAUAUAUUUCUGUAUUUUUUAGUAAAAUGACAAAACUUAUAUCGAUCGAAAUAAAAUUAUUGUGAUCUACAUUAUGUAAUUUUAAUAAUUGUGCUCUAAUUUGAAAAAUGAACAUUUCAAACGCAACCGCUUUAUACUUUUAGAAUGCUUUAAGAAAAGAGCAAUGCUUGGUUUACAACCCAUUUUUUAUUAUAAUCCUAUAACUUGGGCAACUAAAGGCCAAGUUACUAUAUAAGUUUGAUCACUUUUUUUUUUUUUUUUUAACUAAAAUCCCAAAAGGAUGGGCUAAAAUUAAGAGGUCAUUGGAUGAGUGGUUGUAAUCUUUACAACCCCUCUUUGACUAUGACUUAGCAUUUCUCAAUAUUAUAUAUAGUAUUUUAAGCCGAAUUAAUUAUAUAAAAUUUAUAACUAUUUAAAUAUGUAAAAUCUAGGAGAUUAGUUUUAUUUGCCUUUUGUAUUCAAUUUAAAAUUUUGGAAAAGAUAUAAAAUUUGCAAAAAGAUAUUUUAGUCUUUUAAAAGAAAAAUCCUCCGAAAAAAAAAAUAGUAAGAGACGAUGCGGAUUUUCUUCUUUUUGUUUUUUGAGAGAGAGAAAAAUAGCAUGUUAUCAUCUUUCUUCAUUUUUUGUUGAGAAUAAACUCAAUUAAAAAUAUGAAUCAACUAAGCUUCGAACUUAAGAUCUCGUGUAAAGAAUUAUAUAAUUUUAUAAAAAAUUUUCAAUUCCUAACUCCUGUGAUAAAAAAUAUAGAAAAUUUUAUAAUUUCAACUCUUCAUUUGUUCAGGCAUUUUGAAAAUUACAGUGAACCAAACAUGGUCAAACUUUUUGUAUUGUUGCAAUUAAGUUACACAACCUAUUUUUUCUCCAAAUAUUGAUAAAUUAUUGAUAUAAUAUAAGUAAUAUAAUAUUAUAAUUAUUAUCGUAUUAUUAAUUACAGUACUUUUCUCUACGUCAACAAUUGAUUAAUAUUUAGCCAACUAAAUUAGGACUUGAUUGUAGUAAUUUAAAAAAAUUAAAAUAAAAAUUAUAAUAAAAUAAAAUUUGAGUAUCGAAGUGUUAACACGGCUCGUAGUUUCAGGAUCAAAGUGUAAUUUACCCAAAAUAAAUUAAAUUAGGUUUGCUUUUCACUGCUUUGUUUCUGUUUUCUCACAGGGCAGUGGCAGUUGGGUCCAACUUUAUAGCGCUCUGUUUUUUUUCUUUUUUUUUUUUUGAGAAAAAAUACUAAGGUAUCUUGUUCCGUUUAUUUUUUUAAAAAAAAAUAAAUUUAGUUAAAAAAUAUAAAAAUAUUAAAUUUAAAAUUUAAAAUUUUGAGCAUUAAUCAUUAAGUUCUUAGCUAACUGCGCAACGUAGAAACGGUGGUAGAAUCUUUUCUUUAUUUCUACAAUAAAUUUACCUACGGGCUAACAUUUUUGAAUUUUUUUUUUUUUGAGAGAAAGUGUAGUGUCCGUUCCGUUUAUUUUUUAAAAUAUAAACUUAGCUGAAAAUGCAAAUUAAUUAAAAUUAAAAUUUAAAAUUUCGAAUAUCAACCACUAAGUCUUUGAUCACUUGCGUUAGAAUAUGUUAAGUUGAGCUUACUGGGGCAGUCAGUGAUGCUGGAGUUGACGAGCUUGCAGGCGGUGGGGAGCGCGAGGAGGCGGCCGAACUGCAGGCCGAGGCUCUUGGCGCUGGACGUGCCGGAGUGCGUCUGCUGGAUGACGUAGCACAGGCAGGCCGGGUCGGCCUUCCGCAUCGCCCCCACCGCGCUGCAGCACUCCCCCGACGGCGCGUCCGCCUUCGCCGUCGCGUAGUCCAGGCAGUUCGUCAGCUUCGCGAACUCCUCCCCGCACUUCGCUUGCAGAGGCGACGGCGACGACGACCCAGAGUCGUCGCCCACCGCGAACCUCACGACCACUUGAUCAGUGAUCAUCAGAAGAAGGAGAGAGAAAAUGAGGAGAGAGAAAAAAGUGUGGUGGUGGUGGUGGUGGUGGUGAGCACCCAACAUGGCCUACUAAGUUUGACGAGCACUAGGAAUGAUCGAUUGUAGAGUCGAUUGUAGAGAAGUCGUUAAAUCAGAACAAGGAAGAAAAAUAAACGAUAGUACUGUGAUUAUUAAAGUCAAAAAGAACAAGGGUCGGACGAUAUACUGCAGUUCAAGAAAAACUAACAUCCUUCCUUUCAAGAGUUAUAGGAUGGUUCAGAGGUCAGUCUUCCUGCACUUAUUAGUUACUCGUCCGUUUAAGAGUUCCAGGAUGACGCAAGUACAGAGACGAGUCUUUCUGUCCUUAUUAGUUACUAGUAUAAGAUCUUUCCAUUAUAGUUUAUAAGUUUCUGAUUACGGAGGUGUGUGUGUGUGUGUGUGUGUGUGUGUGCAUAUAAAUAGAGUGGGAGUGUCGGAGNUGUGUGUGUGUGGGGAGUUGUAUGUAGUGGAAAUGUUAAAUACGUGUGUGUGUAGUGGAAAUGUUAUAUUUAUAUUUAGGCUAAAUUACAUAAAAGUUUUUUGUCAAAAUCUAAUUUUUUAUUUUUUUUCAUGUCAUUUAAAAACCUACACUUUACUCUCUUGUAAAAUAAAAAAUAUUCACUUUGCCUCUUGCCGUUAGUAAUUCGUUUAUAAAAUAUUAUUAUAUAUUUUUUUAAGCCGAAAUUGUCCUCAUCCUUCUCUCCUGUAAACAUGAUGAGGAGCAAAAUGGUGAGGGACAAAAUGAUCAUUUUGUCAUCACAGUUCACAUCGUACUCCCUGUGAACAUUUUUUUAUUUUACAAGGGGGUAAAAUGUAGGUUUUUAAAUUACAGAGAGAAAAAGUAAAAAAUCAAAUUUUGACUGAAAAAUUUUCUGUAAUUUAACCUUAUAUUUAUAUAUGCAUGUAGGAGUGGGGACUGAGACUGUGAGCAUUAAAUAAGGGGACUUCAUGUGCAUUUCUAAAAUCUUAUUCCUAACGCCUCAAAAUCAAAAUCUAAUUUAAUUAUUAAAUAUAAUCUGCAAAAAUAUCUAAAUAAUAUAUCUCUUAAAGGGGGUUUUUGUUUAUUUAUUCCUAACUGCUAUUCAAAAUUUUUAAAUUUACUUUGAAAUCGCCAGAAAUACUCUUAUAAAAUCAAAUCCCAUUAGUACAUGUAUCCUAGAGAAAAUAGAGAUAUUUGAAAAAAAAAUUUAAAAUUAAUAAAAAAAAAUUUUGGUCCUUUAAAAAAUAAAUAAGAUAUUUUUAAAAUUUUGAUGGGCGCAUUAAGUGUUAUCUCCCCUCCUUUUUUUUUUUUUUUUUUUUUUUUUUCUCCUCCCUCUUUUUGACAUUUCAAAACCUCUUUUUGACAUUUCAAAAAGGUAUGUUUGAUGCUUUCAUGAAUACAGAGGUGGUUCUGGCCGUUGAAAUGGUUUGAUCAAGCCGGGAUUUCUCGCAUGGCCUCAUUCAAACAUUACGACUCUUCAUAUCCAACACCUUUUUGUUCUCAUUUCGCUAUUUUUCUUUCUCCUCCUUUUCCCUUUUUUGUAAUUUUUUUUUGCUCUGAACUGGAUGAAUAUAAUAUAAUGAAUACGAAUUAUCUAAUCAAAAUUUUCUUUUUGGGGGAGAAUAUAGUUGAACAAAGGAAACGUUUCUUCUUCCCUGCAUUCAGUUGUACGUUGUUGUUCAACCCUUUUUUCAGACCGCGCAUGGGCGUGUAAUAGAAAAUUUAUUUAUUUAUUUAUUUUCUUUAUUAAUGAAAUAAAUUGUGGGCAUAUCAAAAGCACUUUUGGUGGGUCGGACAAGUUUGAUUGUGUCUCAUCAUUAGGCUUUGCCUGCGCGCACCAAAAGCUUACCGAAAGAGAGUAACGACGACUUAUCAAUCUCUCUCUCCCACUCACUCUCUCUCUCUCUCUCUCUCUCUCGGCCCAUGUGGAGCAUUGCGAAUCUUGUUAUCCAUUUUAACGUCGGUGAUUUCUAAGUGGAAGACAGUUAAUUUGCAACUUUUACUUGGGCAUACAAGAUACGAGGCUAAAUUACGAAUAAGAGGCCCAGAUCAUGACCCAUGCCUUUUCACUUAAGCACACAUAUUGUGAAUGGGAGGCCUGGAACGUGACCCAUCCCCUAAUUACAUUUCAGCUCAACUACAACCUAAUCAAUCGGUUGAGAUUCAUAAUAACAUCUCGGCGAGAUGGAUUACUUGCCCAAACAAGAUUAAUAAUCCCCAAAACAUUCUCCUCCAACAUCACAAAUGAACACAAUAUAGAAUAGCAGCACUUAACCAGGUUAGUUAAAUCAGUAACAGGCUCAAACUGAAUGUUAAACAGACAUUUAACAGGACAAGAACAAAUCCAUUUUCCAAUCCUGUAGGAACAAAGUUCACUAAUUCACUCAUCCAUGUCUCACUAAUAAUUAUUCUAUAGAAUUUUCCAACUAAAUUGCCAAUGCUUGUUAUAUUAAAAGAAAGAAAGGGAGGGGAAAAGGCUAGAGCAAAUUCAGAUCUGACUCACACCGAACUACUGGGGGCCUCUGUAGAGCUUACCAAAGACAUGGAGGAGGGCGACAACAGCGAUGAACCCAAUGCUCAUGAUGAGGACAGUGUUGGGGGAUAUCUUGCGCCCUGCGGUCUCAUCCGUGUAGAACUGGAGCAUCGUGCUGGCACCCCCUGCUCCCCCACCGCCACCUGUCACCCUCCGCCUCCGCAGACCUGCGGCAGCCGCAGCGCUUCCCCUAGGUGGUGCUUCCCCAUUUGCCACCAUCCUGAUCGACUCUGUGCCUGAAAAAUAGGAUGAGACAUAAACAACAAGCAAUACACACACGGACAUGAUGCACUGUUGGGAGUUAUAUAAGUGGGCAAAGAUGCAUAAAACCAAUAACAAUGUAUUACUAUUCAGUGUAGAAUAUAUAUUACCCCGCCCCGGGACAGUUAAUGCUUACAAAAAAUAACUAAAAACAAUAUUCUUGGUCAUAAAUUGGACAAACUUAUGUGCCUGUUUAGAUGCAUGAAUAUGUUGUUCAGCAUGUCUUCUGUUUACACAAAGGAAAUGCAGUAAUUAGUUGAUGGGGAGUAUGAAAAACCUGUCUAAAACCCUAUAAGUAUAUGGCCUCCAAAUAUUUUCCGGGGAAUGCAACAUACGUCAUCUUGUAGGCAGGUUUAACCAUUUGAAGAAGUCGUAAGUAUUAAAAUUUCGAAGUAGGUAAAAAUAAACUUUUCGUUGCAAGUUCGCUAAGGUAAUUACAACAUAAUAAUAAUCAUGAUUUUUCAAGACAAAAGUAUUCUAACCAGAAGAACUUAUUCAAGCCUCGAAACAGGCAAUUGGCCUGCUUGGAUGUCCAAAUUUGUCAUCCUCUAACCUGCCUAACAAAGUAGCAUGAAGUAUUACAGUAUACGCAAAACUUUUAACCCAGCAAUAGCAAUAGACGGUNCCGAGCUUGAGCCUAGAUUUAGGCUCGAAAUUAAUUUCAAGCCGAAUUUGAGCUGACAUAAGCUCGCUCAAGCUCGGCUCGUUUCCACCCCUAGUUGUGAGCAUUGAAUAAGGAGAGAGUAUUAAUUCCAUGCACCAUGCGUGCAUGUAUCUCCUACACUUUGCUUCUAAAAUCUUAGUAUUAAGGUCUCAAAAUCAAAAACUAAUUUAUUGUAUGUAUUCUGUAAAAAUGUCAAAAUAAUAUAUUUUUUUAAGAAGCUUUUGCUUAUUUAUUUUUUACUGUUAUUUAAAAUUUUCAAAUUUACUCUAAAAUUUUCAAAAAUGCUCUUCUAAAAUCAAAUCCCGUUAGUAAAUAUAUAUAUGCUAGAAAAAAUGAAGAUAUUUGAAGGAAAUUUUUAAAAUCAAUAAAAAUAUUUUAGUCAUCGACCGUCUCCGGCGUAUAUAGCAAAGGCUUUGCUAUUUAGUAUCCAAGGUCCAAAAUUCGAAUCCUAUUUGAUUCAUAUUUUCAGCUAAAUUUAUUUGUCAAAAGAAAUAAACGAAGCGUACUUCUUUUCUCUCUCUCUCUCAAAAAAAUAUAUAUAUAUUGGUCCUCCGGAGAUAAAUAAAAUAUUUUUAAAGUUUUAUAUAGACUUUUUAUGUGAUAUAGAUUAUAUCACAUCGAUCCGAACCGAGUGCGAUGUAUUAUACACCAGGUGCAGUUAAUAAUUUCGUUUGAACGAGGGGUGUUGGAUGAGAAGCUGGAUUAGGUUGGUCGUGGUGGAGGGUUUUAAUGAGGCUUUUGUGAGAUUGUGUUUAAUGUUGUGUAGGUGGGAAUAAAGAUAUUAAUUGUAGUCAUUUAUGGCAUAUAUAUAUAUAUAUAAGUUUGGGUACAANGAACCCUCUCCCUCUUCCCCCUUCCUCUUCGCCUUUCUUCUUCCUCUCCCUCUUCCUCUUCCUCUUCUUCGUCGCCGGCGAGGGAGGAGAUGCAGCGGCGGCAGCGGUGAAAGCAAACCCUCUCCCUCUCCCUCUUCCUCUUCCUCUUCCCUCAUCCUCUCCUUCUUCCUCUCCUUCUUUCUCUUCUCUCUUCUUCAUCGCCGGCGAACCCAAUCCCACGCCGCCGCUGCCGCCGUCCACUCCGGUGGCCCAAAGAGGGAGAGAAAGGGAAGGGAAAGAGAUUUGGAGGGAUAUAUUUGUGAGGGUAAAAAAGUCAUUUCACAAAAAAAUUGUUAAAAAAUAACAGUUUCUUAACAAUUUCAACCGAAGGGACAUAUCUGCAUAACUUAGGACUUUUGCAGGGACAACUCAUGAAAUUUCUGUUUUGCAUGAAUAUUUCUACAAUUCACUAUGUUUGCAGGAACGUGUAUGCAAAUAACCCUAUAUAUAUAUAGAUGAUGAGAUGUAUACCGUAACCUAGCAAAUUAAAUAAGUGAGGCAUCAAAUUUGUCCCUUUUUUUUGCGCUCGUAGGUUCGUAAAUUUUUUUUUUUUUUUGAGAAAUAGGUAGCAAGCUUCCUGCUUCAUUCAUUAAGCAAAAUGAGUUUAGCUUACAAAUUGGAAGCAGCUAGGGCCUCCGAACCGAGCCAAUGGAAAAAGAGAAAACGAGAAAACGAGAAAAACCAGGUCCGUGUGACCAAACAAACAAGGGAAAACAAAAUAAACAAAGGGGAAACAAAGGGCAGAGCACGGGAGAGUAUCAAAGUGCUUCGUUCCAGGCUUCGAUCAAAACGGUGACACGUUCGAGUGCCCGGGAGACAUUGAGAGGCACGUCGCGGAAGCAAAUGUCGUUACGCUCCGUCCAGACAACCUACCAAAUUGCCGCCAACUUGGUUAAAAUUUUUGAUCUCGUUACGGCCUCGGGGAUGUCCGAGGUCUGAGUCCAUAGCUGACGUACAUCCCUCACAUCCGAAUCAGCAGCCACUAGUGCUCCUGCUUUAAAACGAAGAUAUCUGACGACGAUACAGUCGUGAAAUAGGUGGUCACAGGUUUCGGCUAGUGACACACAGAACCUGCAGUGCUGAUCCACAAGGCACCCUCGGCGAAGCAGUCUGUCUGCUGUGGGUAAUCUCUUUCGAAGUAGAAUCCAAAUAAAAACUUUGUGCUUGAGCGGGAUUUUUAGCCCCUAGAGUUGAUCAUACAAAGUAUCAAUUUGCCCUCCGUCGGUGAUGAAUUCAUAGAGUGAUUUGACGGUAAAAAUUUGGUUGGCGGUCCAACGCCACUUUAGUUUGUCCUGUGUAUCAGAUGGGCUAUAGUGGGAGAGUAGGUUUUUGAGCAACGCAGUCUGUUGGCGGUUCUGACCAAUUGUACGAGUAGCAACGCCUCUUGUUAUAAAGCGCCAUCUCCAUCCCCUUUCGUUCCAACAUUGUGAGACCGUGGCUUGUUGAUUUGCGCUUCUGCUGAAGAUUCGUGGAAAUCGGGUACUAAGAGGGGUUUCUUCGAUCCAAAUAUCUGACCACCACCUGAUGUUUUUCCCUCGCCGAGAACAUAUGAAAUCCCGCUUUUGAACACAUCUCGACAGCUCAUCACACUUCUCUACCACUGGGAGUAAGGUCUAAAGGAUCUGGCUUCGCGCAGCGGCCUUCUUCUAGUGUAGUAUAAUGCCGAGAUCAACCUCCCCCAAGACAGACAGACGCAGCGGCCUUCUUCUAGUGUAGGUUCGUAAAUUUUAAGAGCAUGCAAUGUGAUAGUUGAAAAUACAUUUUAUAAUACUUCACAAAUUAGCAUGGGUGGGGCAGUAUUUAACUAAUCGAAAAGUAUAAAUUACGAUGCGGUAAACAUGUAAUCCAACCAUUGAGUUGUAUAGUUUGUAAAAUAUUAUGAGAUUCAUUCAGAAGCAAAGUACAUAUUUUCUUUUUUUCUUUUUUUUUUUGAGAGAGAUAGGUAGCACGAAUCUCCGAGCUCUUAAUUUGUAAUUAGGAUGUUUUCCUCUUCUUUUAAACACGCAUUAAUUUUGAGUCCAAUUUGAAGGGCCUGAAUUCAGCAAUCUAGAUCUAAACCCAAAUGCGAUCUCACGCUUGAAUUGUCAAGGGUAUUCUGAUUUUUCGUAUGCACGCGAGUGAAAGUGUUAAGAUUACUGAGCUAUUUACUAUUACAUUAAUCUUUUUCAGUAGCAUUAAGCACUAAAUUUAUAAAUUAUACCUUCAUGGACAACAAGACAAUUUAACUUUUACUUAUUCUAAUCUGACCAUUUUGAUUUUAUUGAGUUAUUAAGGAUUAUUAACAUCCCUAUCUAGUUAGAGCAUUUACAUAAUAAGUGCUCAUUUAUUUUUUUUUUUGAACUAUUUAAAAAGUUUUAUUGAUAUAUUUUUGCUAGAAUCACUAAUGGUCAUGCCAAGCUACACCUUUAGUUUUUGCUAGAAUGUUUUAUCUUUUUCCUAUUUUUAUUUUCAACUAUAGUUAUAUAACAAAAGGUUUAUCAAACACAAAAUUUUGAGACUUUUAUUGCAAGAAAAGGUAAAAAUGAUAUUUUCGAGAGCUCAAAAGCUAGAAGCAUGAAUUUAGACCUUUUAAUUUAGGGUGUAUUUGUUUCAUAAAAAAUGGAGGGUGGGAAGUUGCUUUUUGGCUGUAAAUACUCACUUUAGUUGUUUGGUUCGCCAUAAAUUUAAUUAGCCUGUAAUUCAACUUUUCUAAAUUGUCAUAAUUGGCUUUCGCUUUAAGUGGUGCCGAUGUUAAUUGCAGAAGAAAAAGAAAUAAAAAAUAAUAAAGAAUUGUUCGUUGUAACUCUUUUAACCUUUCUAUAUGCUAAUGUGAAAUUUUUCAAUGAAACAUAUAAAACAAGUGGAAUAACUAUAAUUACAAAAUUAUUGACUUCCUAAUGCAAAAAAAAGAAAAAAGAAAAAAGAAGAAGAUUCCUCUGAAAUUUAACUUAAAGUUUUUUUUCAACCUAAAAAGCACUUACGAGCAAAACUCGUUUGGUUCAAGUAUAAGCAAAAACUAGUUAUUAUAGGAAUAAGUAACAAGUAUGGGGAUAAGAAAAAUAGUAUUUGAAUGAAAAUUGGAUUGUUCGCGGGGAUAAAAAAAAUAACGUUUGAAUAGAUAUUAUGGAAUAAAAAAAAUAAUGAGUAGUUAUAUAUAGAAAAUGGAGGGGUUGGUGGGAAUAGUUAUAUCAGAUUAUUUCAGAUAUCUGAGAACUACUAUUUUUGGAUAAAAAAUUCACGUUUGGGUAUAAAGGUGAAGGGGAUAAGGAGUUAUCCCUCCCCUUAUCCCCCAUCCAAACGGUGCCAAAGGUGCAAAAAAGACCCUAGCUAGUAGCCAAAGAGUGACAAAUAGAAAAUAAAUGUGAGGCAAGAUAACCAUGUGAUCAGUGCUACAUCUUUAAUUCCAUGUCCUAAUAUUGGGGCAUUAAUUUGUUAAGGAGACAAAUUCCACUUUGAGUGCUAAAGGCUCCCUCCUUUCAAUCCCAUUUCAGUAUAGUUAAUGGUCCUUAUUCAAAGAUAGUGUAACAUAGCAUUUCCCCCAUUGAAAUGUGGGACAAAAGGUUUAAAUUCCCCACUGUCCCAGUGUACUGUGCUGUGUUUGUGGUGUAUAAUUUGAUCAUUUAUUGCUUUCAUAUGGGGGGCAGGUGAGUGUUGAUUCAAGAGGGACAAUUCUAGUGCUCAAGCUUUCAAUGGUGUGUCAUGACAUUUCAUAAAUAAGCCAGGCUAUGAUAUGCUAGCCAUGCUUCAAUACCUUCCCACCCAACCACUCAGUUUCAAUGCACUUUAAGUUUACCGUCUCCGAUAUUAUAAAAUAGUGGUGGAAACUGUCAGCAAAGAACUAACUAUCAGCAUCGGAGGAGCAAAACUCCAAACCGUGCCUUUAGGACAGUCUAGAUCAUCUAAUCGACGUAUUCUGACCACUACAUCUCUGAACAAAAUCUCGGUGUUUUCUAACUUGACUUUUAGGACAGUCUCUGUAUAGUGAGAAUCAGUAAUUAGACAUUUAACGAAUAAUGGACAUCAAGCUUCGGAAUUUUGAGAUUUUCUUGUUAACUGUUAAGAUUUCAAAUUUUCAACCUACUAUAUUUAAGAUUUUAACUUUUCAAUCGCUUUUUAAGUUUGAAUACUGACUACAUCGUUGUUGCCGAUCGAGAGACUAAAAUAAGCUUGAUUUCCGGCCCUCAAUAAAGAAACCUUUCAUUUGAAGAUUUCACUUCUUUGAUGUUAGAAAGAGUUUCAUUGAUGUUUCGUUUAUCUGCUUUGCUCAAAUGAUAGUACUUUCUGCAAAUCUUUAACUAAGCCAAUCAAUUGUGCAUAGCUUAGUCCUUAAACUCAAAUGAUUGUGCUUCUUUUGAACUCAUUUUUAGAAUUACGCCACUACACUAUUAAUAGUACAAAGUUAUUGGUACUAUUAGAUUUUCAUUUAGUCCUUGGAUGAAUAGAUGUGCGGUUAAGAUGAUAGUGGUCUAGGGUUGAGUGGGUGGUUGGUUGAAUAGUAUGAUCUAACGGAUGAAAAUAAUUAAAAGAAAUAGAUUUAACAGUAAAAAACUAGAUAGCACCAAAUAUUUGAUACUAUUGAUAGUAUAGUAGCUGAACACCUCAUUUUCAACAGAAAUAUACUUAGGAUCCCAAACACUUUUUUUUUUUUUCCAUUUUUUUGGUUGGCCCUUGAUGCAUUGGUAACUGUAUGCAGCUUUAUAGAUGCUUAUUAUGUGUUGGAUAGCUUACCUAUAGGUGUACAUAAAACGAAAGUAGUAAUAAUUAUAACAAUAAUAAUAAUAAUAAUGUCAUAAUAACUGGAUAAUGAGACUUCAUAUUUAUUCCAACUUCAAACAACUACCAAACAAUCGAACAUAAAGAAGGCCGGCCCAGUAACAGCUUUGGGCUUACAUGGGCCAUGCUAAUCUUUAGCACGAAAAUAAGAUAUGUUGGAUUUUAUGGAGAUUCUAUCGACUUGACAUUCUCGACUGGUGUUGGAUCUGGAGGUUCUGUCGGAUUUGGACCUAUAUUGACUCGAAAUCUUGGUUGACAGGUGCCGACUCUGGAGGUUCGAUCGGAUCUGGACCUCGAGGAACCAAUCGCUCGAUUGACUUGCUAUCUUGGUUGACAGGUGCCGACUCUGGAGGUUCGAUCGGAUCUGGACCUCGAGGAACCAAUCGCUCGAUUGACUCGACAUCCCGGUUGACAGGUGCCGACUCUGGAGGUUCGAUCGGAUCUGGACCUCGAGGAACCAAUCGCUCAAUUGACUUGCUAUCCUGGUUGGCAGGUGCUGACUCUGGAGGUUCGAUCGGAUCUGGACCUUGAGGAACCAAUCGCUCGAUUGACUUACUAUCCUGGUUGGCAGGUGCCGACUCUGGAGGUUCGAUCGGAUCUGGACCUUGAGGAACCAAUCGCUCGAUUGACUUACUAUCCUGGUUGGCAGGUGCCGACUCUGGAGGUUCGAUCGGAUCUGGACCUUGAGGAACCAAUCGCUCGAUUGACUUACUAUCCUGGUUGGCAGGUGCCGACUCUGGAGGUUCGAUCGGAUCUGGACCUUGAGGAACCAAUCGCUCGAUUGACUUACUAUCCUGGUUGGCAGGUGCCGACUCUGGAGGUUCGAUCGGAUCUGGACCUUGAGGAACCAAUCGCUCGAUUGACUUACUAUCCUGGUUGGCAGGUGCCGACUCUGGAGGUUCGAUCGGAUCUGGACCUUGAGGAACCAAUCGCUCGAUUGACUUGCUAUCCUGGUUGGCAGGUGCCGACUCUGGAGGUUCGAUCGGAUCUGGACCUCGAGGAACCAAUCGCUCGAUUGACUUACUAUCCUGGUUGGCAGGUGCCGACUCUGGAGGUUCGAUCGGAUCUGGACCUUGAGGAACCAAUCGCUCGAUUGACUUACUAUCCUGGUUGGUAGGUGCCGACUCUGGAGGUUCGAUCGGAUCUGGACCUUGAGGAACCAAUCGCUCGAUUGACUCGACAUCUCGGUUGGCAGGUGCUGACUCUGGAGGUUCGAUCGGAUCUGGACCUCGAGGAACCAAUCGCUCGAUUGACUUGCUAUCCUGGUUGGCAGGUGCCGACUCUGGAGGUUCGAUCGGAUCUGGACCUCGAGGAACCAAUCGCUCGAUUGACUUGCUAUCUUGGUUGACAGGUGCCGACUCUGGAGGUUCGAUCGGAUCUGGACCUCGAGGAACCAAUCGCUCGAUUGACUCGACAUCCCGGUUGACAGGUGCCGACUCUGGAGGUUCGAUCGGAUCUGGACCUCGAGGAACCAAUCGCUCGAUUGACUUGCUAUCCUGGUUGGCAGGUGCCGACUCUGGAGGUUCGAUCGGAUCUGGACCUCGAGGAACUAAUCGCUCGAUUGACUCGACAUCCUGGUUGGCAGGUGCCGACUCUGGAGGUUCGAUCGGAUCUGGACCUCGAGGAACUAAUCGCUCGAUUGACUCGAAAUCCAUGGGUAGCAAUGACUUUGGAGUUCCCAUCAAGUUCGAUUCUUCGAAUGCCAAUCUCUCAACUGGCUUGAAACUCCCGGCAUGUACUGGGUCUAGAUGUUCAACGAUUCGCCGGUUGAAUCCCCCAUACAAAUCGCUACUCCGAGCUGGGGCGUCGACAAAGAACCCAUCAGGACCUCCAACUCUAAUACCAAAUGAAGUGGUGAGAGAAAAAGCAAGCAUUACGAAAAAUGAAAACGCCAGUCUCUCCAUUAUUUGUACGCAAACACGGCACGGAAAAGAGAUACUGAAAAAAGCCUUAGAAGAGGAGAGAUUUAUAAGCAAAUUGAAGGGGGAUAAAUUCAUGUCACAAAAUCACAUUCACAAAUCCUCUUUUUAUUUCUCUAUGAUUCUCAUUCAAUGCUUUCCUAUGGUUCUAAAUAGAAGAAUUUAUUUAUUGUAGCAUUAUAGGAAUAAUAAAUCAUCAAAUCUAUUUUUAAAAGGCCAGCGAAUCAAUUUCAAAUCCAACCCUUCAAACUUUUUUAGACUGAUAUGGUUCUGAUAAGAAUCUAUUCAAUGAAUCAAAUAUAUCGUACCCGAAUCAUACCAUAAUUGAAUUGGACCAGAUACGGAUCGGAUAUCAAGCCAAAUGAACCAAAUGAUACAAUAGGUAUAGAUGCAAAAAUCAGAUAAAGAUCUACUAAGAACCUUCCACUAUGUGCUAUCCUGAAUUUGGCCCCUCCAGUUUAUUAUUUUUCUUUUGCCACCCCACCAUUUUGUUUUUUGUUUUUUUUUUUUUUACUUUAACCUUGUUGGCAAAUUUAGAAAUUAUUUUAAUACAGCCUAUAGUCUUACAUAAAUGCGAUUAAAGCUGUUAAAUUUAAAGUAACCGCUAUUGAAUUUAAAUUUUCUGAUUAAAUUAACUAGAAUCACCCGCAUUUAAAAAAAAAGAGAAAAAGUUAAGGAGAUGUCAAUUUUUCUCAAAAAAGAAAUGUUAAGGGGUGUACACCAAAAUAGCCUAUAGUUAAGGGGGUCUCUAUACAAUUGUGAACUCCUGAUAUAUUUAGGCCACAAUGGGUGGACCCUCCAGGGCCGGCCCAUUCACAGUUGCUGGGCCCACUGCCACGUCGGCGUAUUUUGUACUAACACAGCAAAUAGAAUCGUGCCACGUAGGAUUAAGCGGUUCAUCGAAUCGGACGGCUAGAUUUGCAUCAAUCCGCAUAGAAAAUGUCUAUACGAGCGUCCGUAGAGCGCAAACACCAUUCUCUCGACUCCUCUCUCUCUCUCUCUCUCUCUCUCUCUCCUUCGCUUCUCCCAUCUCCGAAUCUCCCAAAUCGAUCUUCGACGAAUCGAUCCCACAAGCAUCGGAAGCGAGGUUAGAGAUUCAAAUCGAUCUCGUGAUCUCUUAUUCGUAUCUCCAUUGAUCACUCCUUUUUGUUCUCCUAUGAUUUUGCUGAAUAAUGAGUGAGUUCUUGGGAUUAUUAUUGUUCUACUGGUUGUUUCGGCGGAUCUUUUAGCGAUUUGAUGAUUUUAGUGUUUUGUAAUUUGCAAUUUAUGUGUUUUUUAGGGGUAUAGUGGAAUUUUUGGUGCAGAUUCGUGUUUCUAUGUUUGUUGUAUGGACGAUAGAUGUUAGGGUUUCAAAAGAGUCAUUAUACACCCGAGGCACAUCUUGGAAUUGUUGAAUUAGCGUGCUCAUAUUGCACUUGAUCAUGUCAAAAUCUUUUCUUCAGUGUUUGGAAUUGUAGCUGAACUCUAAUCAUUUGUGCGAUUAGUGAUUCAGAACUGAUUUGUAGAGAUUUGAUUGUGUUAUUGAUUGUUGUGGUGUAUCUAUUUGCAACUUUUUGUGGAUCUCACCUGUACUAAUUGGGAAUUAGGGCUGUUGAAUAUUGGGAAAUAUGAAUAUUAGCAUUUCAAAAUCCACGAAACAAACUUAUUGGUUUACUAGAAUGGAAUGCUUGAAUGGUUCAAAUUAUAUUAGAAUCCUUUCUUGAACAGUCUAUAAGGGUCUUAGGCUCCAAUCGUAUAGAGCGUCUUCGUGAUUUCUGCCUUGACUAUGUAGAUUUCUUACAAUUUAUUGUUUUAUUUUCUGGAGUAAUUUUUCUGCCCUUGUUGUUUUUUUGCUGUUUCAUUGAUUGUCGUGGUGUAUGUAUUUGCUGUUAGGGAUUUUAUAUUAUCUAGAUAGAUACUAGGGUUUUCAUAACUUACAUUUGCUCUUGUACCUUGGGAGAUAGAAGUGUUAGCAUUUCAAAAUCCACUGAAUUGCUUAUUGGUUUUGUAGAAUGGCAUUAAUUUAUUGCUCAUAUUAUCUCAAAAUCCUUUCUUGAGCAGCCUGAAUUGUUUUAGAGUCUAAUCAUGUAAAGGAUCUUUGUAAUUCUGCAUUGUGGUAGAGAUUCUUAUACAUUCUGAAUUUUCUUUCACUUCUUGUGUAUGGCUGCAUUUGCUCAUGUUCGAUACUCUUGAAUUGCAGUUAUGGAGGGGCUUUGUCAGAGGUUCAGUCAUUUAUUAUUUGUAGCUUUCUUGCUUUGUUUGCCACCGGUUUUUGGGAUUAGGUUUGUGAUAGAUAGGGAAGAAUGCUUUUCACAUGAAGCUCAAUAUGAAGGGGAUACAGUUCAUGUGUCCUUUGUCGUGAUCAAGGCGGAUACUCCAUGGCAUUAUAGUGAUGAUGGCGUUGAUCUUGUGGUAUGUUGUUAGCGUGUUAAUAUUUUUUUAUUUAUAAUUGCAUUCGUGAUUUGGAUUGUCUUAAGUAUGGUCAAGUUAUGGGUUGUUUUAUUAAGUUGUCAUGUUGUAUGAGAAAUUAAUAUUGAACAUUGUUUAUUCUCCAUUGAAAAUAGUUCUCUUCAUAUAGCACCAAGUUAGACAUUAGCACUCUUUGGUACGUAGCUUCUGAGUGUGUUCUACCGUGCAUUUUAUAGAUCUUAUUUUGUUUAUCAGUCUCUCUUGUGAAUAUUUCUGUAAAUACUAGGUCUUUUUAAAUAAUUCUCAAAUUUUUGAUGCACAGAUAAGAUGUACUUGCCCAGUGUACUCAAUUCAUAGCAAUAUCUGGUAUUUGAAGAUAAAUUCCUAUAGUGAAAAGUAUAUUUUAGUGUUAGUAGUACAUCAUGAACAAUGCCAACCACUUGUGCAGUUUAAGGAAGUUCACUUUUACAUUUGGUGUGUGAUGGUAUGGAGAUUAGGUGUUAUCAUGAUUGAAUGACAUAGAAUACUAACUGUGAUCAUGGGCUUAAUGUCAUUAAGUUGAAUUCUUUGUAUUCUUUUUUUUCCUGUACUCUUGACCUAAUAGCGAAUACCUGUUAGGUGGUUUUUGGUUCACAUGCAUGAUGGCUUUCCACAAAAGCAACAAAGUCUGGGGACAGCUAUUAUUUUUUACCUUGUUUGCGAUGUAGGCCCUAGUAAUCCAAGAUAGACCCCUUCAUCUUUUUUACAUGUACACUAGUUAAGUUGAAGUAUGAGAACUGUUUAUCUUGUGAUUUCUAAUGGAUAUAAAUAGCUAGAAGCUUAGCUCCUUCAUUGCAAAUUGUUAUUUUAAUAUGGUAAUUACUUUACGUAUAACAUAUUUGGCUUUUUUAUUUGUAAUUAUAUUUAAAGUAAGUAUCAUCAGGAGUUGUUUCUGCUUCAAAGUAAUUCAACUCUUCAUUUGUGAGCAUUUUGUUCUUUUUUCUUAUCCUAAAAUUUGUCUUUUGGGCUAUCUUGAAAAAUAAAAUUAGCUAUACCAUCUUGUGCUCUGAUUCUGUGGUUGCUUUGAUUUUACCAGGUAAAAGAUCCUUCCGGCAGUCAAAUUCAUGAUUCUCGAGACAAGACCAGUGACAAGUUUGAAUUUAUGGUCCAGCGAAGAGGUCUCUACCGUUUCUGCUUCACCAACAAAUCCCCAUAUCAUGAAACCAUAGACUUCGAUGUGCAUAUGAGCCAUUUUUCGUACUUUGACCAGCAUGCUAAAGAUGGUUAGUCUUCCAUUUUCCUUUUUUGUUUUCUGUUCUCUUCACUUGCUUAGAGAGGAGCAGAACAUGAUUCCUUUAUUUUUCUUUUUUUUUUUUGCAUAAUUAUGUGUGCAGAGCAUUUUGCCCCUUUACUGGAACAAAUUGCAAAGCUAGAUGAAGCUCUUUACAACAUUCAGUUUGAGCAGCACUGGUUGGAGGCUCAGACAGACCGCCAAGCUAUAUGUAAGUUUAUUCACUUUUUCUGCCCAUUAGGAGUGUGUUAUUAUAGAGCUUACGCGCAUAAAACAUUAUUGCCUGUUGUCUCUGACUGAUAUAAUAUAUAGAUAACUCAUUCACUCCCAUAUAGGGCUUGUUGUUUUGCCAAAUGUCAUAUAGACAACAUCCUUUAGCCAUUGGUGCAUUAAUCUAACCUAGUGGGUCACAUUCUAGAUUCAUCUAACUACAUCUAAAGCACUUCUCCGUUCACAUUUUAGAUUAGUCUAACUACAUCUAAGGCACUUCUCCACUCCCACGCUAUCUUUUCAUACAUCUCUUAUUCCCUUCACAAUGCAUUCCCUUCAAAUCAGGCAUCUCAAUCACUAAUAAUUACCAUUUAUAUUAUACCUUUUUCUUUGUAAUUUUCUUGUGUUAUAAACUGCAUUAUGCAUCGAACCAGAUUAAAACUAGUUUCUUUAUCAUUUGGAUUUGUGGGAAAUUGGGAAUGACGUGGUGGUCGAGUUGAAUGUAGUUCAUAAGAUUCAAUCUGUUAUAUUUCUACGUCUUCAGUCCUGAAUAACUAAGUUAUCCUAAUAUUGGGCAUAUUACAUCAGAGGACUCCAACCGUUUUGUGGGGUCUCAGUUAAGUCCUCUAUCCAUUUUCUAACAAUACCUUUGUAUUCCAUCUCAAUCUUACCCUUUGCAUUAAGUUUUCCCAUUAAAUAAAAAUGCCAACAUAACUGCAAUUUGUUGAGUCCAAAUGUCGAUUACAUGGCAAUUAGAUUACAAUUAUGUUGAUAUUUCUAUCCAAUUUGAUGGAUGAAUUUAAAUGUAAGGGCAAGUUUGAAACCGAUGGCAAAGUUUAAGAACCAAAUUAAGAGGGAAAACUAACACUGUGAUGGCAUAUUGAGGAUUGCUAGUGCAACUGGUCUCUUGUACUCUUCUCGAAACAUAUAUAGUAGCUGAAACCAUGUAGUGAUUAUCAAAAAAAAAAUUUCUUUUUUUCCUUUUUUUUUUUUUUGCAGUAAAUGAAGGAAUGAGCCGCAGAACAAUUCACAAGGCGCUUUUCGAGUCAGCCGUGCUGAUUGGAGCGAGUGUUCUCCAGGUCUAUCUCCUGCGCCGCCUCUUUGAGCGGAAACUGGGAACCUCAAGGGUUUAAUCCUCUAAACCCUGUUAACUUAUUUCUUGUGUACUUCUAGAUUAAGAUAAGAAAGAUCAGAUGCGUUUAUUAGGCUUUAUAUUAUUACUUUUAGUUAUAUUGUGGAUUAAUAUUCCAGAAUUUUGUAACCUUAUUUUGUGAGGUUAUUGCAUUAUUAUCAGAUAAUGUACAUUGUCGAUCAGGUGAAUCACUUUUCCUGGAAUGUUGUUCUAAUCUGGUAAUUAUGAUGUUAUUUGCACGCAAACUUACUUGGUAUGUACUAUGUAGGUAGGUGAUGCAUUGCAUUUUGAUAAGCAAGAAUUUUUUUUAAAAAAAAAAAAAAAACAAGAUGUAUAUUAUUCAUAGUAUUAACAAUUAAGUCCUUUUGGUUUUUUUUUUUUUCAACUUAAAAUUAAGCCUCUUUGGGAGUCGUAAAUCCGGAGGAAAAAACAUAUAUAUCAUAUCAAUAUCAUCCAUUUUAUCUCAUUAGCAUGAAGAUAUUUUAAAAGGCGUAUUAUCGGGAGGAAUUGAUUUUUUUCUACUUAGAGCAAAAUUUAGGGCUUAAUUAGUACAACUGAAAGUUGGGAGGAUUAUUUCUAAAUCGCUAAUGGCGCCUAAGGUCUUCAUACAUUUUGAUCAAAUAAUAAUAAUAAUAAUAAAAAGAUACUGCAUAUGAUUUUGCUCAAACAACAAAAAAAAAAAACAAUAAUGUUUGUUUGUUUCUUUGUUGUCUUUUAAUGUAGGGUAAAUUUCAAAUACCCUCCCGCUGGUUUUGCACUUUCUCAUUUGAGUACCCUAUAGUUUAAAACGUAGCAAUUUAGAACCUAUGAUUUUAUUUUUUUUCUUUUCGUCAAUUCCUUCGUUAACAUUUCGUUAAAUUAUAUAUAAAAAACUUCAGAUACCUUACCUAGGUUUGUCGAUUAUUCACUUUAAUAUCUUUUAGUUUUAACUUUGUCACUAAUUUAAAAAAAAAUUAAUGGAUGGGAUAAUAAAAGAGAAAAACGUACCCACGGAGUACUAAAUUGAUACACUUUAAACCACAAGAUACUAAAAUAAAAAAAUACGAAACCAUUGGAGUGGUAUUUAAAAUUUUUUCUUUAAUGUAUUUUAUAUAUAUAUAUAUAUAAAUAAAGAAUCUUAAGUAGCGGCUACAGGUUGAUCAGUUUGAUGCUUGCUUAAUUAAAUACUGCUGCUGCAAAAUAUGAAUAUUAAUUAAACAUAUCUUCUCAUUUUUCAGAGUAAGCACAUGAUCUCCUGCUCUUUUUUUUAUUACUCCGUUUUGGUUUUAUUAGGCCAACACUCCUGCUGUUUUGUUGUGUGCUGUUUAUGAGUGAGCUUCACUUACUAAGGACAAAACUUACUCUGAGACAGUUUAUAUAUGUAUGAGGACAAAGUUUCAGAGAUUCCAAUAGGAAUCUUUGCUAGUAACUCUCUCUCUCUCUCUCUCUCUCUCUCUCUCUCUCUCUCUCUCUCUGCAAAAAAUUGUCUACAUAUCCCUGCAAAAUAGUGAAAUUGUAUAUAGGACUCCAGAAAGAUUCGACUUAUAUGUGUAAACUUAUCCUUCUUCAUCUCUCUCUCUCUCUCUCUCUCUCUCUCUCUGCAAAAAAUUGUCUACAUUUCCCUGCAAAAUAGUGAAAUUGUAUAUAGGACUCCAAAAAGAUUCGACUUAUAUGUGUAAACUUAUCCUUCUUCAUCAGUUGACCAUUUAAAUUAAAGACCGUUCAAAACUAAGCUUUUUAUGCGUCUACAGUGAAAGAUCUUUUAAAAUAUGUUGAUCAUCAUUUUUUUCGCCUCUAACUCUCUUAUUUUAUCAUUGUCGUUAUAUUUGUGUAAACACUGCAUACUAAAUGACUUAGAUAUUUAAAAAAUUUUAAACAGAAUGAGAGAGACGGUUACUAAUCAAGUAAUAAUAGUUAACAAGCAAGAACAAAUUUUGUAAACAAAAUAAAUUUAGAGGAAUACGUAAUACAUUUGGGAAUUUAAGAACUUUUUGAGGUACAAAUAUGCGAGUUCCAUAUUUUACAGGGAUAUCUAUACAAAUGCUUCUCAAUUAUUGCUCAUUUUUAAUUCAUGGUGAGACCAGGAGCACAGUCCCUCUCUGAUUAAAUUGUGGCAAAUAAUAAUCCAAAAACAGUAUGACUGCUAUUUUGUUGGAUCUUGGAACAGGAAUAUACAUUAAUUUAUCUCCAAACAUAAAAUAAGAAAUUUGUUUUGCUUGCUUGUGCAAUUAAUAUUUCUGCAAGGGACUGUUCAUUUGCUAGUAUCAAUAAAGAUUGUGCUUAAACAGUUACAGUUAUUAGGGGCUCGAUGUUCUUAAAGAAAAUUACGAGCUUGCCCCUGCAUGAAUAUAACAUUUGAGUAGAGCUGCUCGAAAAAACACCACAGAAUCAUUAUAGAUGCAUACUCUUGCAGAUGUGUCAAUCUCCUUUCCAUAUUUACAAAAUAUUUGAAGCCAAUUUACCACACUGGUUAUCAACACUUUCUAGUUUGGGAUUAUAAGGGAUUAUUUUUAUUUUUUUUUCUAGUGAAAGCUUAGUUCAUUAUUUUAGAAAUAAAUUCGGUUAGAAAUGUAAAGCAGCUAAGCUUCGAAUUUGAGAUCAACCAUCAAAUUCCGAGUCAACUGCAUUAGGUAUGGUCGGUGACUGUAUAUCAAAGUUAUUGCAAAUUUGGUAUGGAUUCCUUCUCAAUCCAUGAAACAGUUUACAAGGCCCAAAUAUAUCAAAUACCUGUAGUAAUGUUUGUAUCAAUUUGUCAAAAUGAUUGUGAAAAAAAAAAAAAAACUUUGGUGAUUGUGUAAAAAGACCCAAGUUAACUAUUAGAAUGACAAAUGAGUUGUUGGAUCUCAGUUUAAGGUUUUCUUUUUCCAGAAUAGGAUUUAAAUAGUGAAACAUUCUUUGACAAGCUCCAAACCAAUUGAGCCCAUCCCCUAAAAUGUCUCAAGAAUCUCCAAAUAUACAUCUAGUGAGUAGUUGUGUGUAUGCUCUUUACAACCUUGUCCCCUUUCCCCACUCAAAAUAUGCUCCUCCUUAAACCUCUUCUUUAAUGUAAAGCAAACAAAAUGGACCAUUGUAGGAUUCUGGAGGUUGCUAAUUCAAAUGAGAAUCUCACAAGAGAGAGAGAGAGAGAGAGAGAGAUAUGUAUUAUACAGAAAGGGAAAAAAAAAAAAAAAAGAAAAAAAAAAAAGAGGGUGGAGAUAAAAACUACAAAACUACAUUUCACUUGACCUACAUGAGAUAUCUACUCACAGGUUCACUUUGGGAAGGGUGGAGGAUAAGCAUGGGGACCACCCCUUUCCCUACCCAAAUAUAUUAGACCACAUGCUAUCUCACUUGUGAGUCACCAUUCAAACCACAAUCCAAAGUAACAAACACAAUCUUUAUUGUUAAAAAAACUUUUUUUUAAAAAAAAAAUAUUAUCUGCACACUCUAUACAAGUGUGCAAAUCUUACACCAUUAGAUUCAAGGAUUAGUUAAAAUUUGUUUAGAGUUUUCAUAAUUUUUUUAAGAAUUAUCGGACACGUGAGCGAAUAUAAGCACGAAAAGAUUAGAGUAUAAAGUUUACACAUAUAUUAUAGAUGUCCAAACAUCAUUAUGUUAAAUAUAAAAAUAUUUAAAUAUCGUUUUCUAUUGGUGUAAGUUUUUAGAGAACAACAGUUGUUUUGUAUAAUUUAACAUAAUAUCAGAAUAGGAUAUUCUGAGUUCGAAUUAUUUCAGACUUGUAGCAUUAUAGAUUUUCUCCUAUUUAAUUCAAAUUCACGUCAAAAGUUAGAAAAAAAAUCUCAAGUUCAGAUGCCAGAAAGUGUGCUAAAUAUAAAAAUAUUUAACCGUUUUUUACCGACUUAAAUUUUAUAGAAUAAUAAUUGUUUCAUAUAAUUUAACACAUUGCUUUAGAAAAAAAAAAAAAAAAAAAAAAAAAAAAAAAAAAACUCUGUGUCUCUCCACCCUGGUGAAGAGACACCAACAAUCACAAGGCCACAACACACAGGCACAGCAGGAGUUGUGCGAAGUGCAAACAAUGACAUUGCCCAUCCUCAUGACCCUAUAUAAAAGAGGGAGAGAUAUAUAUAAAAACAUAAAGAGGGAGAGGGAGAAGUUAUCAUAAAAAAGUACACCAAAUUAAGAAGAGAGCAAAAGGAGGAAUCUUUACCCAACCCAGAUUCUCACAUCUCUGCUCCUGUUCUUCUACUACUAAAGCCCACUGAUUCACAAACUUUGGGGGGGGGAGGGGGGUCUCCUCACACUGAAGUUGAAGAUGAGUAUGAGAAGCUGGUGAUUAAAAUGAACCCACCAAGGUGAGUGAGUUGCUUCAUUCAUUAGCCCCUGUUCUAUUCAUUACUAUUUUGUCCUCUUGGACUCACUCACAUGGUUUCAUAAUCUCUUCUUUAUCAGGGUUACUGUGGAUAACACCUCAGACAUGGCAGCCACUUUGGUGAAGGUCCCUUUUUUCUUGUUUCUUUUUUUUUUUCUUUUUUUUUUUUGGGGUUGGGUGCUGUAGAGCAUGAUGAUUAGUGUUUUGAUUGAUUCAUUUUUUUUCUUUUUUUUUGAUGCAGGUGGAUAGUGUUAACAAGUUUGGGAGCUUGUUAGAAGUUGUGCAGGUUUUGACUGAUCUGAAGCUUACCAUAAGAAGAGCUUACAUUUCCUCUGAUGGAGAGUGGUUUAUGGAUGGUGAGUGAGUUGAGUGAUUCCACUUUCUUGUCCUUUUCAUUACCUAGUUUGAUAUCUUUUCUCUCUUCUACUUGAUUCCAUUUUCUCCUCCUUUUUUUUUUUCAGUGUUUCAUGUUGUAGAUAGGGAAGGGAAUAAGAUUUACGACGGCGAAGUUAUCGAUCGAAUCGAAGAGGUGAAAUGUUGGCAUUAAACUGCUUAUGUUGUUUGCUCUUGAAUUCAUAGUGCUUUCAUAGUUUUGCUCUCAAAGUUUUAUGAACUAAUUUGCAGUAGUUCUAGUUAAGGAAUUAGGGAGAUUUGGACUUGCAAAAUGUAGGGUUUUAGAUCAGAGAAUUUGAAUCUCUAUCUACCAAAAAAAGAAUUCACAGCACAAAUUUCUUUUUCUUUUUUUUUUUAACUAUUUCUGUGAGCACAUAAUGCAGUAGUGGCAAGUUUAAAUAUUCAGCUACUUGCUGAGUGAGUACCUUUUAAGCCAUUAUCAAGAUGAUCCUUUUAGCCUUUACUGAUAUUAGCCAAUCAUCCUAACGAAUCGAUUCCGGGCCACAUCGACUGCACCUUCUUUUUUGAUUGUUUCCCCCUGUUUUCUCAUCUAAACGUUGCUUAAUUUCUCGAACAAUCUCGCAAAAUUCGCAGUCGUUAGGAGCGAAAUCGUUUAGCCUUCGGUCUGCGACAAGAUCGGUCAGUAUUCAAGCUACUGCUGAAUACACUUGCAUCGAACUUCUAGGCCAAGACCGGCCGGGGCUCCUCUCGGAGAUUUUCGCGGUCCUCGUGAACCUCGAGUGCAAUGUGGUGGGGGCCGAGGUGUGGACGCAUAGUUUGCGAAUGGCUUCCGUAAUUUAUCUAACCGACGAGUCGACCGGCACCCCGAUCGAGGACCCUGAUCGGCUCAACACGAUGAAGAGGCUUCUAAGAUUUGUUCUGAAAGGCAGCGGAGAUAAGCGGAGUACUGCGAGGACAGCUAUUUCCGAAGAAGUGACCCACAUAGAAAGACGGCUUCAUCAGCUGAUGUGCGCCGAUCGGGAUUGCGCGCUGGGAGGUAGCAAGUGUUCGGACGAGGAAGAAGCUGAGCAGAGUGAGACGAAUAAGACGGUCGUGACGGUCGAGAGCUGCGUAGAGAAAGGGUAUACGGUCGUGAAUGUAAGGUGCAACGACCGUCCGAAGCUGCUGUUCGACGCUGUUUGUACUCUCACUGACAUGGAGUAUGUGGUGUUCCACGGAACUGUUAUCGCCGAAGGGCCAGAAGCUUAUCAGGUUCAACCUCGAAUUUGAAAUUUUGCUUGCUUUUUCCAUCUUAAAUCGGUUUCAUGAACUACUUUGGCAAUGUGAUCGCUUUUCUUAGAUAGAAACUGCGAACUACUCUCAUAUAUACUGUAGGAAUUCUAUAUCAGACACCUCGACGAGAGCCCCAUAAUCUCCGAAGCGGAGGGGCGGCGAUUAGUCCACUCCUUAGAAGCCGCGAUCGAGAGGAGAAACACUGAGGUGCUUGCAUUGCUGUUGAAUCCGAUAUUCUUGCUCCAAACUUGGAUGCUAAAAUUUCGUCAUGUUUCCACAUUUUAGGGAAUAAGGCUCGAGCUCUGCUGCGAAGACCGGUUCGGGCUCUUAUCGGACGUGACGCGAAUCUUUCGAGAGAACGGACUUUCUGUGACUCACGCGGAGGUCUCGACGAGGGGAGCUCAAGCAGUGAAUGUGUUCUACGUCAUGGAUGCGACAGGAGGUCCAGUCGAGAGCCAAACAAUCGAGGCGGUGAGAAAUAAAAUCGGGGAGAAAAUUCUGCAUGUUAGAGAUGAUCUCAAGUCGAAAUCGCCGACCAAGGACAGUGGGAGUUCCUCUUUCGGAAACAUGAUUAGGUCUAGGUCAGAGAAGUUUCUGUAUAAUCUGGGGUUGAUAAGAUCAUGCUCUUGAGAUUUAGUUUUUAGCAUUAAUCAGUGAGAACUUCUCAUCAACAGCUUGUUGAUCUUCAGUUUAUGGCCUUUGUAACAUAUCUGGGGAAGAGAGACCUCCUCCUCAUUUUGUAAAUAUAUGCCCUAAUCUCAUAAUCUGCUCAUCUGAACUGAUUUUUUUUGUUUUGUUUUUUUUGGGUUCAUUUACCUAAUUUUGUCGCAAGUUAUCAAACUAUACAUGGUUUUAUUAAUUCGUGUAUUAACACACAUGAUGAUGAUGCGACAGAUUUGUGAUUCGUUUAUGCACGCACUCAAAAUUUACACUCAUCACUGUACUUCCUCUGAAUUAUGCAGAUAAUUAAAAGAGAGAUGAGUUGAUAACUCUUCUUUCUGUGUUUUUGUAUGAUGAUAUUAAUUGACAAUUAAACUUAUAUCUAUGCGUUUUUAUUUUUUCGGUAUAUAUACGCUAACAUAUAUGCGUCAAAACUAACUCAUUAACUAUACAAUUUGAGAUUUAACUCUUUCAAUAAAGCUGCAUAUAUGGUACUUUAUAUAUGUCUAAUAGUCAAAUAAAUUCAAAUGAUACCUAAUCGAGAUUUAACCGAGUAUUAGUUGAGCAUGACAUUAUUUAAUUAAGACCUAAUGGGCUCCAACUGAUUCAAGGAUAUUAUGCCUAACCAGAUACUGUAAUAUUCCAGUAAUUUUAUAAAAGUGUUGAACGCCUCAUUAUUUUGAUAGUUAUAAAAAACAAAAAAAAAAAGAAAAAAAAAUCAAAAUUGACGAGCUAAUAAGUAAGUUUUAUCUCUCAGAAAAAAAAAAAAAAAAAAAAUCAUAACACCGAAGACAAGUCAAAAAAAAAGAAAAUCAAGUGAGGCCUUAACCAUCUACUUAAUAUAACAAGUAAGUUUUUACUUAUCUUUCAGUAUAUACAUGGGUUCAAAAUUUAUUUACCUGAUGAUGUUCAAAUUAUUUUUUCAUCAGUAAAAUCAACGUCAAAUGAAAAAAUAUGUUAAUUUGGAAUAUUUACAAUGGUUUGGCUAGAGGGUGUUUAUGUCAUAUUUAAAUAAUAGAGUAUAAAGUAAAACUUUAAUAAAAAUUCAGAGGGCUACCAACACAAUUAACCUUAAUAUUAAUCAUAUAUAUAUAUACUAUGUCUAGACGCGUGACAUAUAUAUUUAUCCAAAGUAGUUGGAUAUACAUAUAUAGUUUUCUUAAAUCCCCAUCGUAAUACCUGGAUCUUAGCUAGAGGAUCCAAAAGGUUGGUCGAAAACAACGAUUCUGAGUAUUUUAAUUUUUAAGGCCUUUGAUUUCAAUCCUCACAUUUUCAUAAUCUUUAAUUUAUUGAAUAUAAAUAUUAAAAAUAUUAUUUUUCGAUAGUUUAAUUUUUUUUUAAAAUAACGAUUAUUUUUUCUAAGCUUGUGUCUCAAAAUUUCUAGAAUAAUUAAUUUCUUACAAAAUUACAUCUCAAAAAACAUCUCCCAGAUAUAAUUCAACCACACCUCAAAAUAUUUUUCUUCCAUUUAAUUCAAGCUUGCAUCUCAAAAAUUUUCCCACUUGAUUCAAACUUAUAUAUCAGAUGCGGGGAUGCGUAUAAUUAAUUUUCUUCUAUUAAAUUCAAACUUAUAUCCUCUCAUUUAAUUCAACCUUACCUAACUUGAGAAAAAAUAUUGAAUAUAUAAUCUCGAGAAAAGCUAAUUUUCCGAACGUGAAAGAAAAUAUUAAAUAUGAAUAAUAUUAAUAGAUUAAUCUUUUAAAAAAUAAUUAUUAUUUUUUAUUAUUAAUAAAACUAAGGUUUCCGACACUUAUGUUCAAGUUUAAACUAAGCUAUAACAAAAUUACGUACAACACCACAUAAAAGUGACGUACGCCCCUCUCAUUGGAGUAAUACCAACGCCGACUUCGUAUAGCUUCUAAAUACUCAUAUUUAUAUCCAACGCCGACUCUGUCAAUGUUAACUGUAGGUUAAUUAUAAGUUGCUUUUGCGUGUAGAAUUCAAUAAGAAAGUAGCACCAAGGCUCCUGUACUACCAAAUUAUUUUCAAUAUUCUGACUUCCAAAUCGAUGAUCGGCUCUUUUAGACUUGAUCUACACUAUUAAAAAUAUUUGAAAACUAAAUUUCAUAAUUUUUUGAUAUNCACAUUUUAAACUUCUCAUUUAUUUUAAACCCAAUAGUGGAACUUUUCCCUUUUUUGUUUGUGAAAAUUUUUUUUCCUCUCAUUAUUUUAUACUUCUCUAUUAUUGAUGAAUAGAAUUUUGUUUCUUUCUAAUUUUAUAAGUAAAACCUUUGUUAUAUGAUCUCUCAAAUGUUUAGUAUUUUUAUUUAAAAAACAUAGUUCCCACAUAUUCUUGAGUAUGUAUACGUCCACCAAUAGUUAUCUCAACAAAAAUUUUUUAUAGUCGAAAAUUUCUCUAUUUCGCUCUAACCAUAAAGCCUACCAAGAAAAGGAGAUGAUAGUUAGCUCUUUCUUUCCAACUAUGCCCCACUUAUUGCUACUGUCUAUCCAAAGCUCUCUGGCUGAAAUAAAGACGCUUCAGGCCUUUUUAUUCGGCAGUGAUUUUUUUUUUUUGUCCUCUUGCGAAACCACGAUGCUUCACUCUGUUGCUAAAUUUAUCUUCUUACUGAAUAAAACGGUAGCAUGCUAUCUUUCUCUCUCAGAAAAAAAAAAAAAAAAAAAAAAAAAAAAAAAAAAAAAAAAAAAAAACAUAGUUAAUAAACACACUCGUGGCAGUGCUUUCCAACUGUUUACUGGCAUAUUUUUUAUCAGAAACUUCAGCAGAUAUAUAUUAUCUUUAAUCUUAAACUUGAAAGAUUAUAUAUAUAUAUAUAUAUAGAGAGAGAGAGAGAGAGAGAGAGAGAGUUGAGCUGGAAUACUAUCGGUAGCAAAUGAGCUCCGUUGCCACCCAUUUGUUUUCGAUGAUGAAGCCUCAAAAUCGACGAUCGGUGCCGUUGAAAAUGAUUUAUAUCACUUGAAGUAUCUAGAAAUUAAAUUUCAUGCUUUUCUGAUAUUGUUCUCUUGUUCAUCAAGUAGGCGUAAAAAUGAACGGCUGAAAAUAAAUAUCCUCUAAAAAGUGAUAAUAGGAAUUUGAUUAUAAUAGAAAUUUUGUAAUCAAGAUCGAGAGUAUAGAUCUUGUUCUAAAUAGUUUAAAGAAUUUUCUAACCAAAAUUCAAUUAAUUUGGAUAGCUUUACAUCGUUAAACGAGAAAACGCCUCAUAUCGACCAUUAAAAUUAUAAAUUUUGAAACCUUUUGAACAUUAGGUCAAUGAUGUCGAAAAGAUAUGAAAUUUGAUUUCUAAACACUUCAAGUGGUAUAGAUCAUGUUCAACGGUGCCGAUCGUCGAUUUGGAGGCUCCAUCAUCGAACACAAAUGGGUGACAACGGAGCCCGUUUGCUAUCGAUAGUAUUCUAGCUCAACUCUCUCUCUCUCUCAAAUCAUGUUCAACGGUGCCGAUCGUCGAUUUGGAGGCUCCAUCAUCGAAAAUAAAUGGGUGACAACGAAACUCAUUUGCUAUCGAUAGUAUUCUAGCUAGCUCAACUCUCUCUCUCUCUCUCUCUCUCUCUCUCUCUCUCUCUCUCUCUCUCUCUAUAUAUAUAUAUAUAUAUAUAUAUAUAUAGUUCGGCUACUAUACUCUUAUGAGUACGAUCGCCUUCGUACUCAUAAGUUGUUUUUGAUGAUAGAGCUUCCGAAUCGACGAUCCAUUCCGUUAAACAUUAUCUAGAGCAUUUAAAACUUCUAGAAAUCAAAUUUUAUAAUUUUUCAAUAUCAUUUAUCUUACGAUCAAAAACUCACAAAAUUGACAAUUUUUAAUGACCGGUAUGACAUAUUUGCUAGUUUAACGGUGAAAAAGAAUCGGAAUAUAUUGAAUUUUUUAUAGAAAAUUCUAUUCACUACCUAAAUAAAGAUCAAUAACUCCGAUCUUAAAUUGAAAAAUUCGAUCAUCCAUUUUUAGGAUGUAGUUCGAUUUUAACCGUUCAUUUUAUACCCGCUUGAUAAACUUUAUAAUGAUUUCGAAAAAUUAUGAAAUUUAUUUUCUAGAAGUUUCAAAUACUCUAAAUCAUAUUUAACAGUGUGGAUCGUCGAUUCGAAAGUCCCAAUAUCGAAAAUAACUUUUAAGUAUGAAGAGCUCUAUACUCAUAAGAGUAUAGUAGCCCUAUAUAUAUAUAUAUAUAUAUAUAUAUAGGAACUGUAAAUAUUCAAAAAAAAUAUUGCUUCCACAGUUACACCACAUCUUGUGUACCACAUCAGUUGCAUUGUUUUUGGAACUGCACUCUCUCCAAAUCACAAUUUUCAUGGUGGGAUUAUUUUUAUAUGAAUAGCAAAAAAUGGUGAACCAUGAAAAGCAAAAGGCAGUUCAAUUUUUAUAUCCAAUUUGUUAGAUUUUUCUUAGAUAAAUAUUUUUCAAAAGAUAGAUUUUAUAUGAAAUACUUGAAAUUUGAGCUUUAACGAAAGAAAAUAUUUAUACAUGUCGGCUUUAAUGAUGUAUAAUAUAUAUGUGUAUAUUUGUAUGUGUCGACUUUAACGAUCGAUGUUCCAAUGUUGUGACUAAUUUUAAUCAUGCUCCUCGUAUUCUUAGGCUUAGUUUGAUAUUGAGAUAUUAAAUAAAAUAGAGUUGAGGAAAAGACAUAUAGGGAUAUGCUUCUGCGUUCUCUGGUAGGACCGCAGAAAAUAUAUCGUAACUGACUCAUCGCAAUAUACGGAACACAAUAUUACAAUAUUAUGUAUAGAAACAGGAUAUUUUUCCAACGUACUUUCUCAUCGCACGUAACGCAAUCUCCCCGCAAUUCCAAACGAAACCUUAAUCCGCUUGGUUGAGGGUUAAGGGGUGGAAUAACCUCUUAACCCCUAUUUUAUUCCUAAACACUUCUAAAAAUGGGUGGGGUUAGCUAACCUCACCUCAAAUGGGUUAUCCCGGAUUAGCUAACCCCACCUAACCCAACCAAACCCCAACCAAAUACUAUUUUCUAUUCAUAAUAACCCACUAUCCUUCUUAUCCCACCUAUUCCAACCAAACACUAUUUUUCACUAUACUGGCUUAACUCUAACCUCCAACAAACACAAAAAUACUUUAACCCCAUCUUAACCCUAAACUUAACCCUAUCCCUGGAAUAACUAGUUUUUUCUUAACCCCGAACCAAACGGUAGCCGAUCAUGUUACUGUACCCAUACAACUUUAGACAACACUGGUCAAUCAUGCUUCAAAAUUCUUAAAAUUGUAUAUUUAAAUUAUCAAAUAUGACACAUUUAUAAAUUUUACGAUAUAAAACAAUUAAAAUUAAAUAAAAUUUUAUAGAAAAAAAUUUUACACUAUUUAGAUUGUGUUCGGUACCUUUAACUUGGUAUAGAUUGACACAAAUAAUGUUAAAAAAUUAUACAUUUUAAUUUUCAGAUGCCUUCAAUAGUAUACAUCAUAUGUAACCGGGCAAAUUGUCUAUUUGGAGAUCUCAUGCAUUAUCUAAAAUAAUUUGAAAACACGAACCCUCCGUUUGGUUCGGGGUUAAGAAAAAAAUAGCUAUUCCAGGGAUAGAGUUAAGUUCAAAAUUAAAGUAGAGUUAAAGUUUUUUUGUGUUUGGUUGGAGGUUGGAGUUAGUCUAGAAUAAUAAAAAAUAGUGUUUGGUUGGGUAGGUGGGAUAAGAAGAUAAUGAUUGAUAAAGAAGGAUAAUGAUUGGUUGGAGUAGGUGGGGUUGGAGUAGGUGGGAUAAGAAGAUAAUGAUUGAUAAAGAAGGAUAAUGAUUGGUUGGAGUGGGUGUGAUAAGAAAGAUAGUGGGUUAUUAUGAAUAGAAAAUAGUGUUUGGUUGGAGUUUGGUAGGGUUAGGUGGGGUUAGCUAAUCCGAGAUAAUUUAUUUGAUGUAGGAUUAGGUGGGGUUAGCUAACCCCACCUAUUUUUUGAAGUGUUUGGAGAUAAAAUAGGGGUUAAGAGGUUAUUCCACCCCUUAACCCCCAACCAAACAAGAGCGAAGAGUUCGGUGCAUUCAAAAGUUUUAUAGCUCCACUCUUCCAUUAAAAAUCAAAUUUGGUGUUUGGUAAAAUGUUGCUCUUAAUAUUAACUAACAUAAUACCGAAGAGAUUCUGAAGACUAGAUUUUGAUCCUCGUACAAAAAAGUAAUAUUAUCUGUACACUCCUUUAUUGGACGGCUAUUAAUGCUUCAUCUUUGAAGCAGUAUUAUUCUAAAAUUUUGGAUAAUUUAUAAAAAACUUAUAAACUUUAGGGUAAACAACUGCAUGUUUGAUUCUCAGGCUGUGAGCGAGGUGAUAUUCUGAUCUUCAAAUUUUAAUUAAUUAUAAUUUCUAGUUCAAAAUUUUAAAAUUAUUAUAGAUUUUCAAAUCUAUAAGUUAAAUUUAAUUUUUAACAAAUAUAUAAUAAAUUUGAAGAGUAAAAUUUCACUCGUCCCGUAGUUCGGAAACCAAACAUGCAAAUCACUUGUAGCGACACAAAAAAAUUGUCGGAUCGUUAGCGCUAACCAUUAAUCCCAGAAGCUCAAGCUGCUAGAAAUACGCAACUAAUUCACUUAAAGUGUACAGAUACAACGUUCGAACAUGAUUCGGCCCAUCUAACCUCACGCCAUUUCGAACAUGACUCGACUCAACAUGAUCUCUCAGCCACGGCACAGAAUGCCGGUCCAUUUAAGCCGCAAAAAGUGAUCUGUCAGUGCUUUUCCGAAUAGAGCUACUCGCCGCGCAUGGAAUUGUCACGUGACUCGGCACGGGUUGGGGCUCGGGAGGGAGGCACGUGGCGCGAGACCCAAUAAGGAUCCGCGAGAACCGCCGCGUCACGGGGCUCCGCACGUGCCGCCACAGGGACACGCGUAAAGCGCAGAUGAGACCCGCGAGAAAGCAACCAUUCGAAUGUUGCACCACCUCGAAUCUCGGGCCCACCACGUUGCUUGCUGUAUACGAAUCCUGUUCAUAGUAACUGGAAAAAAAUAUAUAAAUAAACUUUAAAUAUUAUUUCCGUAAAUUUCGUACUUUUCUAUUUUACUGCCGGUUAAAACAAAUCAAUUUAGUAUUUUUUUUUUUUUUCAUCAAAUUCUUCGUUAAUAUUUUGUUAAAUUAUAUAUAAAAAUUUUUAAAUACCACAUCUAAAAUUAUCGAAUAUUUAUUUUAAUAUCUUUUUAGUUUUAACUUUAUCAUUGAUUUAACGAAAAAAAUUAGUAGAAAAAAAAAAUAAAAAAAAAUAAAAUUAGAGAUACGAAAUUAAUAUAUUUUAAAUUACAGAAUAUUAAAAUUUUAAAAAAAAUGAAAUUAUAAGCGUGAUAUUUAAAGUCCCCCCCCCUAAAAAAGGACAUUAGAAAUAAGUAAAUUACACUUUUCGUCCUCAAACUAUGAGCCAAGAUUAUAGUUUGAUUUCCAAACUUUAAUCUAGUAAUUUUUCUUAAAAAAAAGUAAAAAUUUCUCUUAUAGAUAGGAUUCAUUUAAUUCUAACAUAAAACUGUAAAAAAUAAUUUUUUGUAAAAAAAAUUGAUAGAGAAAAAAAUUUACUUUUUGUAGUACUUGAUUUGCGCGAAAAAAAUAUAUUUUUUCAUCGAUAUUUGUUUGCUUGAAAGAAAAAAAAUUUAUAUUUAUUUGAUACGGUGAAAAAAUAUGAAUGAAAAAAAUUUACGUAGCUUGAAUUUUCGUUUUCUACUAAAAAAAUAAUGAAAAAUAAAAACUUAAAUUUUUCUCCAAAUCUGUAAAAAUAUUUUUACGAAAAAAUAAUUUUACGUCAAACCAAACAAGCGUAAAAAUAUUUUUCAUACCGAACAAUUUUAUGAUUUAUUUUAUACGGAACUAACUUUUAAAAAAUUGUAAAUGUUUCUCCCAUAGUUAGCGAUUUUUUAGUUUAAUACACUGUAGUUCAAGCAUAUAACUUAGUACUUUCUAGUUUCAUUUUCACUAUCUGUUGGUCCCUUAAUUUUUUUUGUAAAAAUAUAUAAAAGAAACUUAAAAUAACAAUCCAGUGGUUUACCACCUUCUCACUUUAAUACCCUCUAAUUUUAACUUUAUUAUUAGUUUAACUAAAAAAUUAACAAAAAAAAUAAAAUCACAGAGUAUUAAAAUGAGACAUUCAAAAUAUGAGAGUACUAAAGUGAGAAUGCUAAACCAUAGAAAAGAUAUUUGAAGUGUUUCUUAUUCCAUAACUCUAACUUAAUUGAUAAAAUAUUAACAAAUUAUUAUUCUAGAAAUUAUGUAAAAAUAUUAUAAUUAAUGAUACAAUAACAAUUAAGAUGCUAUAUUAUUAUCACAUUAACAAUGUUUUCAAACCAAAAAUUGCAACAAUGACAAAUUUAAAGACCAAAAUAUCAUGCACCGCGUAAUUUAAGAACCAAAAGUGCAAAUUACCCUCAGCAGAGUGUGAGAUGGGUUCACCCAACAAUAACAUUGCUCUUAUAGAAAACUUCUUGUUUGAAAUUGGAUUAUUCUCUCCUUAUUAUUAGUUUUUUUUUCUUUUUUCUUUUUUUUUUUUUGCCUACUCGGAAACUAUAAUUUUAUGGUUAACUUAAAGAUACUCUGUAUCUCAAAACAUUGUAAAGUAGUUUCGUGAUUAAUCGACUUCAAACAACCCUAUUAACUAAAGCACUUGUACACACAAACACUUCGCAGCAAAGUGUUAAGUAGAAGAGAACCAAGAGCUUAGACUUGGUAUUAUGUAUUGUAGUAUGUAUGCAUGUACGUACAUACACACCUGAACUUGAGUUCUUUACCAUAGGAUCUUUCCCUACCUUUGAUUAUUAUCCCCCACCUUUAUUUGGUUCACAUCUAUUUUUUGUGAAAAUAAUAACAGAAAUAAUAAUAAUAAUAAUAAUAAUAAUAAUAUGUGUGCUUUAAAAAAAAUUGUUUUCGAUUUGAAAAUUGUUAAUAUCGUCGAGCUUCACAUCUAUAUUUGAAAACGAUUUGAAAAUUGUUAUUAUUAAUAAUAAAAAAUAAUUGUUUCCGAGUAGGUUUGAAAAUUGUUAUUAUCUAUAAUCGAAAAUAAUAAUAGAUUUGGAAACGAUUUGAAAAUUGUUAUUAUUAAUAAUAAUAAUAACAGUAAUAAUAACAGUAAUAAUAAUAAUAAUAAUAGUAAUAGAUAAAAUAGAGUUGAAUGUAAGUAUAUUAUACUUCUGAAUUUUUCGAUUAGACGAUAAAAAAUAUAUCGUAACUAAUUUAUUGUGAUAUACAAAACAAAAUAUUAUGUACAAUAUAAAAAAAUAUUUUAAAAAAUGCCUGACACUGACACAGUUAGAAAAAUGAGUUGCUAAAGAAUGGAAUUGGCCAAAUCUAGUGAUUUGGAGGUAUAGUAGUAAUCAAUUAUCACUCCAUAUAAAUCUUUUUUUCAUUAAUCCCCUUCACUAUACUCUGCAAAUUCACACUCUUAAUUAGGGACUCUGCUUAAUUUCAAAAUUGAACCCUAUUUAUUUAUUUUCACAAAUAUUUUAAACCAAAAACAAAUAUCAUGAAAAAUAAGAAAGAUCAAAACUAAAAAAAUAACUUUACAAACCUAUACAGCCGAAGAAGGAGAGGAAAGAAACCGAAACCGAGCUCUCAAUCUUCGGGGCGUUGGAUCUCGCCCAUCAUGAUGCGAUUGCUGUGGACCUUGAAACCCAGAAGCGACGGGUCGAUUUGCCGACCCUUCUUCCCCUUUUUCUUAAUGUUGCUCUUGCUGCCGCUACCCUGCAUGGAUUCUGAGGAGUCGGAAGGAGCAGAAGCAGACGCGUCGGCUUCCAGUGUGGGCUUUUUGCUGGUGCUCUUCAGCAUGUCGAUGAAGGAAGGCUCCGACGCUCCGGCAAUGAUGCCACCUGACGGCACUCGACGAAAUGUUGCAUCUUUCUUGGCAGACGAUGGAACGUCUGAAACGCCUCCAGGUUCUCUCUUAGCAUCUGCAUGUCCACGAAUAGAUCAUAAGCUUAUUUUUAAAUGAAGAAUUAAAUGCUUACUGAAGUGCACGAAGUUUCCUUUUUUUUCCCUCUUUGAAAGGAGAAAAGAGUUCUAACAAUUCGAUUAUGAAUAGGCAGUUUCCUCAUAGAAUAUAAACCUAUCUGAAACACACACUGCAUAAAUAUCAACGCACAUACUGUAGAGCAUCAAUAGAAGCAUAUACAUAGACACGACAAAAGUAUACGCGCAUAUGAGGGUAAACUUCAUUAAGGGCCCAGUGGUAUUGGGCAUCUCAUUCUAGUUUUCUGUACUGACCUUUCUGUUGGUACCAUUGGGUUUUGCUCCAUGAUAACCAGUUUGGAUUAUAUUUUGGUUCAGGUUUUGAACUGACCCAAUCAUGUAAGAAUUUGGUUUUGGAUUUGAGUUUUGAACAAAGUAUAUAUCAAAAUGCAACCGUGACACAAUCCAAACCUGUUCAUUUGGAUCAAAACCCAUUCCAAAACAGUGCUGACAGGAAGUCCUUUCAGAAAACCAGAAUAGCACCCUCAAGUGAGCUGAAGUGAUACAAACAAACCACAAUGCAUCGAUGUGAAAAUGCACUAUACACAUGGCCCCUUUUUGAAGUUUACCAUACAUAUAAACAUGCAUCUAGAUUGUGUGCACAAAAGAGAUGAGAGAGAGAGAGAGAGAGAGAGAGAGAGAGAGAGAGAAGGGGGCUUUAGGAAUCCUUACCUUUGACAGGAAGAGUAGAAACUAACUCCGAAAAUGCAGCCUCUGAUGAAACAGAAGCUCUCUGAUCAUGGGCGAGCUUUAGUGUUGAACUAUCAGUCCCCUUCAGAGUAGCACUAGAAUUCCUAUCAGGAAAAGAGUUUAAGCAAAAGUGAAGGUAAUUUAGCUAAUAGUAGAAUUAUAUAUCCACUACGAUUACAUUGUCAUUAGCUACUUGGUCCAAUAUAAAAUCAAGGAACAGUGAGAUAGUUAAUUCUUUAACAACUCUUUUACUUUGCGAUGUCAUUCUGGUAGUUUCAAUUUCAUCUCUUUCCUCUCAAAAUUGUUUAGCAGUUCUUCGACCAUUUACCAAUACCCGAACUAUAAAAAACCCUGAAAAAUCAAUAGAAUUUAGUGUUCCCAGAAAGCAGUCUAAUACAAGUUAACCUACUUUUCGGAAACUCUAAAGCAACUAUUUUCCGAGAGUAUGAUUAUUUCAAUUCUUCCUAUCUAAUAUUUAUCUUUUGAAAAGCUUAGUAAUUUUUCACCAACAACAGAAACCAGAACCUGAAACUCUGAAAAUAGCCAAAACUAAACUCAAGAAGCCUACACUGAAGCCUAUAUUGGGCUUUCAGUGAUCUAGUUAUACCAUCAAAUCGCAGUGAGACAGAUGUAACAAUGGCUUCCAGUAAUACAUAUAGUUGUUUCAGCAAUUGUGGACUAAUUAAUUGGAACAUAAGAGAGAGUGCAUAAGCAACAUGCUAGCCAGAGGAAUUAAGAAGUUCAGUUAUGAAAAUACUGCAAUAUAUUACUCAUAUUAUCAAAACAUACUGAGCAAAGCAUUCAAGUAAUAAGUAAGCUUACAUAUGAGAGUUUCAGACAUUCUGGAAAAACUUCACUAUUUGCUACUUGUCAUAACAUUUGAAAGAAAUUUAUAUACCUGUUCUUGCUUAUCUCGCCAACAAAAGCAUUAUCAUCUCCAACCUCAUAAUUCUGAAAGAUAGCAUCCCCACCUGGACAAAUCACAGUAAAGUUCACAUGGAUAUUGUGAAGUAGAAAAGGCAGGAAAAUAAUAUUUAAAGAAGAUUCUUCUACUAAUCACCUGCACUGCCAAAAGUGGCAGGUCUGUUAGGAGCAGCAACUUCCAUUUCUUCUUGACCUCUGCCUACCAUUUGCCCAACCCCAGCUUCAAGAUUGUCCAGAAUAGAUUUACCCAUGAAAUUAGCUUUAGAACCAGGUUUUGUUCUGCUCCUACCGUCAUUUGGAUCGGCAAAGUUCAAUCUUUCUAUAGAUGGAUUGCGACCCAUGGUAUUUACAAGCUCUUCUUUGUGAAUUCCAUCAGCAUCUGUGGGGAAAAGCUUCUGUUCUAGAAACAUUCCACUAGUAGAUUGAAAAGGCAUACCUUGACUGCCAAAAUUAGCAUUUACUAAUCCAUCCUGUGAUGCUUGCCUUGUCGUAGCGAAAAGAGAAUUUUCUACCAAUGAUUCACUGUAGUCUGUUCUAUCUGCAGCAAGCUUACAGGAAUUGUCUGCAAUAGGAUGAGAAUAGAGCCAAGAAGGCUCCCCACGGCCAUAAGAUGAUGAAGGAGAGACAUCAGAAAGCCCUAAUGACUGAUGAGAUUGCAGGACCAUCUUUUGGUUCAUCAUAUUUCCUAAAUCAUGUUCUCGGUUCUCAAAGGAUGAACUCAAUUUCACACCUCUCCUCUGCCUCUCUGCUUCAAUCUGGAACUGUCUCAACUGUGAUUCUAUAAGGUUAUUAGACAGCUGCCUAUUAGAGUCAACCAUCAAGUGCCCCUCCAUGGCAUCCAUGAGUGAACCACCAUACUGUUCAGGCAUCCUAUGUUGAUAGGGAUGAACACUAGAAUGAAUGUGUGAAAGGUCAUUCACAAGGUCAAUGUUUGGCGAGAGAGAGGUCGUAGGUAAUGAAAUUGCCCUAUCAAGAGGAUGGAUCCCCUGACCUCUGUUUAAUAGCUCAUGCAAUGCAACAUUCCGCUCAAUUUGGUUGUUGAGCUCAACGGACGAGGCUCUCUGAGGGGGGUGCACAAAAUCCAAUGGGCUAAGUCUAGAAGAAUGAUUAAGGUGUGCACUAGGUGAUGGCUGGAUGAACUGGUUAAAUCUUUCUUCCAUGUGCGAUUGCUGCCUCGAAGGAAUCGGAAAUUGCUGUGCUCGGAGCAUCUGUUCCUGCUGAAGAUCUAAAAGCAGCUUCUGUUGUUCGAAAGGAAGCAUCUGCCUACUGUUGGAAUGAGAUAAGAUAUCCAACAAAUUCUGACCAUGCUGACGGUUUUGCAUGAAUUUUGCUUGGAUAAGCUGCUCGACAAGUGCAUCAUGCUCUCGUUGAAGAUAGUGGGAUUGCUGCUGUGACUCAUUCAACAGGUGCUGCCUCAACAGAACUUCAUCAAGGAUGUUGUUAUUUCUGUGGCGUGGAUCGCCAUUUAAUUGCUGAUGCAGCAUUUGCUCCAGCAAUAAUUGCUGCUGCUGCUCCUGCUGCUGCUGCAGAAAUUGCAUCUCCUGUUGAUGAAGCUGUUGUCUUAUAUUCUGCUGCUGCAACUGCUGAAGACGUUGCUGUUGGUCAAGUUCAAACUGGAGUUUCAACAUGUGCUCCAAAUCCGGCACUUGGUGAUUAUUAGAUUGUUGAUGGUGCAGAAAAUCGAGAUUUUGCUGGGCCAGUAACUCUUCCUGCUGUAGUCGCUGCUUAAGUAACUGCUGGGAGAGGAGAUGCUCUUCUAAGUUGAACUGGUGUUCAAUAGUGGGCAAAUGACUAGCACCAAUAGCAUCAUGAAGUACAUUUGAACUACUAUUCUUCCUAUACUUGGUGGAAAAUUCAUCAGGAACCAUAUGUUGUUCCUGUCUAUGGCUAAAAAGAGAUACAUCCUUCACAGCCGCAGUUUCAGGAAACGGCUGAUCAACUGACAAAAGAGGGUUCUUUGGCUGAGUUCCUUCCAGCUCAGAGAAAAGUAAUCUACGGGAAUUCAAAUCAUUAUCUUUUGGGUCCCUUUGAUUAGGUAAAGAGACUUGUCCCACUUCAGAUGCCAUUAGAAUAUGACCACUAGAGGUCUGUAACAAAUUACUUUGGUCGCUAGUAAGAUUCACCAGUGGCCUAUCCAUACUCAUAAGCUUUCCCCUGUACAACACUUCUGCAGCAAAUAAGAAAGAAAACAAUCAAUAAAUUGAAACUUCUAAAAGAAUUUUUUUUAUUUUGGGGGGGGGGGAGGGUGGUGCCCCGUAAAGAAAACUAACCGUCAGCAUCCUGUACAGCAAAUUCAUGAAUUCGAGACUCAGAGUUGCCUCUAGCAGACUCCAAAGGCUCGAUAUUUUGAACAGGAGAUACAACAGGGACUUGUUCACUUUUUGAAGUCAAAUGUGGUAUAAGUUCACCAAGUGGCCUGAAAGGAGUGCCUUCUGGGGCAUCUGAAGGGCACACAGGUAGAUCGGUGCCAAAAUAUCCUUCUUCAAGCCAAGACAUAAUAUCAGCAACAAGAAAAGGGCCCUGUAUCCUUCCUUGCGGGUCCCGGUAAAACAAACUCAACUCCUCGGGAGGAGUAGAAGGAUUUGGAGCAACAUCACUACUAUUCGAUAAUUCAAUUGUUUUCUGAAUAACUUGGACGGUUGGUGUAACAAAGAGCGAACUUGAAUCAUAUGGCAACUUAGCACUAACAUCAAAAGUAGCAGCUGGGUCCACUUCUUCCAACUUUGAGUUCUUUAGAAAAUCUGAAUUUCUAGCAUGCCCAUCAUUAUUAAGCAAUUUUCGCUCACCAGGUUUCUCUACAGAGCCAUUGGUACCCAAGGAGACCUUUGUAUCAUAGAAAGCAUCAUUUUCUGAAAUUAGUGGAGAUAUGCGAUCAUUAUCCACUGCAAUAGUUAAAGAUUUGACAUUGUCGCUGAAUUCUCCAAGUAUGUAAUCUGAUCCUGAAAAAAUUGAUCACCAAAGUCAACUAUUCAAAAUCUAGUAGAAUUAACCAACAAGCUAAUAAAAGAAAAUUGUUAUUAAUGAAAAAAAAUGUAUCAGAAAUUGUUCUUACCUAUCUCAUUGUCAACUCCUGUCGCGUGCUCCUUACUUGGAGAAUCUGCUUCACUGCUAGUGACCUUUCCCUCCCAGAUAUCAUUUACAGCUGCCUGCAACCCACAUAAUUUAAUUCCCUUAGAAUAACUAAGUCAAAGAAAGUGCUUAUUUCCCUAUAAACAAAAUAACAUAUCAAAGCAUUUUUGCUAACUGAAAAGAUCACAUGGCUUCUUUCCUGGAUCAGGAUUUUGAAGAAAGAUGGAAGGCAAUGGGGAAAAAACCCAAUUUCUAAAAUAGUUAAUAAUCAUGUUAAAACAAGCAAAUGCAGUGUCAAGAUGCUAUUUGAGCAGAUAUGAACCUCAAAAAUGGAAAUCAUUAACAAUUACCACACAUGUAACAAAGGCGUAAAGUUCAUUUCGAGAAAACAAAUGAGGCAUGCACUUUUGAGUCAGAUUGAAGACACCUGCAUAUUGACACCUCAAUGACCGGCUAAAUGAAAAAAUGCUUUACUGAAGCGAAUAUAGAUAAGCAAUCUCCGCCUUACAAUCCAACUUAUAGGACUUACUUUUUUGGAUACAAAAAAUCAAAACAGGAGAAGAACAGUAUAAAUAUCAAAUCACAAUUUGACCCUUCAAAUCCUUUAUUUGUACAGUAAAAUACUGGGAAGAAGACUGCAUUAGUUGCAAUAAAACAAGGCGUCAAAAUAAGAGAGUCCAGUUAUAUUUGCAGUAAAAUCAACAUCUCUUAUCAUGUACAACUUAAAACUUGUCUAGUCAGCAGAAAAAAUCAUCUUAGAAAACAUAAGAAUAAAGUCAAAUAUAUCCAUUGGUUUGCCUUGUCCCAGGUCAGGAUAAAAGAGAAGGCUUGCAGUAGGUACUUUGACAACAAAGCAAAACUUUUGACAGAGAGACUGCUAUUCAACAUGAUUCAGCCUAACCAAUAAAAAAUGUGCAACAACUUAGUACAAUUCCCUGGUAUAUAUAAAAUUUACUAACUUCGCUACUCAAUUAACAUAACAAAAAAAAAACACACUUAAUCCCAAAGCUCACACAAAAAUAAGAACAACUUAGAUUGCCUUAGAUGUUCUGGGAAUAAAUCGCACAAUGUGUUGGCUAGGUUUUUGCAUAUAUUUAGAGAAGUAUACACAAAUGCAUCUAAUUUAAGGGCCAUAUGUGCAACAAAAUUAGCAAACAGAAAAAAUAAUACCAUUCUUUCCGUUACUCAAAUCAAUACCAUCCUUCAGCAAUUCCCCUUCUUCACAAGGCAUUACGCUUUUGCAGAGAGAAUAUUAUAUACUAGUUAUACUCAACUAAGUGAUCAGAACUUGGUACUCAACAUUCUUUAUAAACAACCUUUUCUACCUUGAUCAGUAUGAAUUGCCAUUCCAAUGAUACAAAAAAAAUAUAAAGCAAAUUCCCAUAUUGAUAUGAAGAAAAACUUUUGUUCUCAAAGGGAAGUUAAUAAAAGCACUAAUCUUACUUAACUAAAAAUUAAGCAUACCUUCUCAUCAUCAUCUAGUGUGAGGAAGGCCAAUGGAGUCACAGAACUAGACAACGUAAUGGAAGGAACUUCUUCUAGACCCUCAGGAGUAGCUUCAAAUGAUGGCAGUGUCCUCUGCUUCCUAUAAAUGUCAAGAAGCUUUCCUCUUGGAUACCGAAAAGUAUGAACAGUUUCAGACACAUUCCUUUCUACUGGCAAAGCACCAAUAGGCCCAGUAGAGAACGACCUGCUUAAAUUUGACCUACCCCUUCCAGGGGCAAAUCCCACAUUUGAUCCCUCUGCACGCCCUUUCUCUAACCCAAAUCCAGGAGCCCCAUGAUGGGCCAUAGUGGACCCACCAGAUUGAAUUUCCUGGCGGUAGCGAGGCCGCCAUUUAUCACGUGAGUCUGACUCCGACAAUGGACGGAGCCCACCAGAAAAAGGCAGCUGCUGCUUUUGAACAUGAGAAUCGUCCUUGUCUACAUCCAUCUUCUUCUCCAGUCGAGAGUCCUUCUCUUUGUCUUCUGGGCCCCACCUCGAUGACCAUUUGCUAUCAGCAACUUCUCUCAUAGAGAUAUUAUCAGAACGGCGAUUAUUUUUGCGAUAUUCAGCAGUUUCUCGAUCUCCUUCCUUUCUACGCUCUCUCCUACCAAGUAAGCUAGUUUCUCUUUCCUCUUCAAGCCAACGACGAUUACUAUCAAUAUCGGGCACAUUCCUUCUCCAUUCUUUCUUAUCCAGAGAACUAUCCAACCGCCACAUAUCUUUUGGAGUGGGUGGGCGAGCAUCCUGUAGCAAGAAGCACCAUAGAGAAAGUAAGACAAAAGAAGAAGAAGAUGAAGAAGAUAUAGUGGGAGGAAAACAUGAGAAUGCAAUACCAUUUGAUUGCUAGCAUUGCAAUAGGUAAUUUGAGACCCAAAGUCAUAAAAGUUGUCUUAAUAUCAACUCUUAUGGAUAAACGUUCAAAAGAACUAAAGCAGGAUGUAGACUAAACAGUGACAAUCUUAAGCAUCUUAUUUUACAAAACAUAGAACUACAUGUCUCAGACUAACAAUAAUCUUAAAUAUCCUGCAAGUCAAAAGUUUAAAUUUUUAUCACAUGAGUACCAGGAGAGAUGCAACUCGGAUAAACAACAAAAAAUGUAACUAGAUAUAGAUGAAGAUCGAGAAUGAAUAACAAAAUGUUAAUAACAAAGCAGACCAGUCAAUUUAAAAAAGAAAAAUGAUGACCUGCAGCUAAAGCAUUCAUUUCCUUUCUUAGGUGUGUAGUUAUGGGUCUUCCCAAUAGACCUGGGAAUUGGAUUUCAUUAACUAGGUUAUCCAUCGGUAUUGCAGAUAUACAACCACGAUCCAGCCGUUGGGCCUUCUAACCAAUCUUAGAUUCCUUUGAAGCCCACUAUUCCUCUAUACAUGUUCACCAAUCAUACAGCAACCUAUGACUGACUAGUUUCAAAGAAAAAGGAUUAUAAAACCAUCUUCCUGGACAUAUUAUGAUUGCUAAUUCUGCAAUCCUGAUAUCAUACAGGAGUUGAACUAACAUCUUCAAGAGUCAAGACAUUGAAAGGAAAGAGGAGAAAAGGAAAGCUAAAACCUUAUAUCUGAUAUUACAUCUAUUAAGUAUAAUUUCCCACUGAAAUGACAUGAAUAAGACAUAACAAGAAAGAAUUAAACCUUCAAAGAAGAGGCAACAUAAAUUUCCUCAUUAAAAAUGUGCAUUUGCAUGCUCCAUUUAUCGAAUAGCUACACAGGUUGCAUAAAUUUAGGGGGAAGAGAAUAGACUAAUACCCCUGAUGCAGCAACAACACCAAACUUGCUAUCAGCAGGUUUAGCAUAAAGCCAUUGUGGCGAAAGAGGAAUGCUAUUCUCAGCCGAAGGUUGAUCUGCAGACAGAACAUGUAAAUUAUAAAUACAGUGGUUGCAGAUACAUCGAAAAAUUAAAAAUAAUAUUGUCAGCUUGUAAAAAUAUAAUCCACUACAAAAGACUAAAAUUUGUGCAAACAAUGAAACAUAUGAAAGAAACAAACAAUGCACACAAUCUUUUAUGACAAGCAGCAACCAGAAAAGGUAAUGUAUGUAUUCAAUUGAUGGGUGGCUAGAACAUCGUGAAGUCUGCGGAAACCAUAAAUACAGUAAUAAAUAAGGCAGCAAAUAUCAAAAAGGUGUGCAGAUGGUAGUACAGUAUUCUCACUCGCACCUUCUUUAAACAACUUAAAGAUUGCCUAACGAACGACGAAUUCCAAGUUCUUCGUGUACAACAGUUCUACCAAAUUUCAUAUUUAAAUUUUUCAUCAAAUCCGCCAAAUCAGCUAAAUCUAAAUCAAUCAAAUACUAGCAAAAGCUCUGAGUUUCACAUUUCAAGCUAUGAUAGAGUUACCAAACUCUUUACGGUGAACAAUCUACUGCUGCAUCAAGCAUCAAGCACAACCGGAAAGAGGCUGCUCUCCAAACCCACUAAGUAACCAGGCGUACUACAUAACCUCCAGAAUAUAAUAAAGCUGCCUGAGAAUCACCCCAACUUCCACAACAAGGAUGAUAAAACUAUGAACUGCUUAAGUACUACAAAAGUCAUCGGCGAGAAACUACACGAAAUCACCUUUUGAUUCAUUGAGAAAUCCCACAAGAGCCUUCUCGUCAUCAUGCUCAGCAGAAACACCACCUGCCAAAUUUAAAGGCAAAAAAAAAAAAAAGCCCACCAACCAAAUUAGCAAAAAAGGAGCAACCAACAAGCAUUUAAACGAAGAAAACAAAGGAAAAAGGAAAGGAAUAACCACAGUAUCUGUAUACUUAUAUGCUCAAAUUAAGGCCUCUGAUACAAAUUAUAUAGUAAGAUUAAAAAAGUAACACAGUUUCAGAUCCUUCGCACAUCAAAAUGGAAAACCAACUAAGAAGUUUCCAAAAUAUAAGCACUUAUCAACCACAAACACCAUGGACUGAAGCUACUGUAGAACCAAAACAGAUCUUAACGCAGAGAAACACUAAUCGCGCAACAAAAACCCUAAAUCUCCGCAUGCGGGUAACAGAGAUCGAACGGGUAGGGAGCACGCGCGAUCGAUCCCGUCCGAUCGAAAUGGGGGCGAGGGGAUGGCGACAAGCUCACCUUUUGCGGCCCACGCCGCCACCUCCUCCGCCGCCGCCGCCGCCGACCUCGCGGCCCGGCGAAGGUGGUCAAGGGGGCCGAAUUAGGGUUUCCCCGGAGUUGGAAAACCUAGGGAUCGGAGGGGUUCGAGAGCGAGAGUUUGCAAUCGAUCGAGGGAUCGAGGGUUUGAGAGGGCUAGGGUUUCGCAAACGAGCGAGCUUUGAGAGGGUUGUGAGAUUUUUGGAAACACGAGAGCAAGAGCGAGAAAAAACUAAAGCGAUGAGAUGAGAGAGAUUUAUCUGAAGGAAAUAUGCAUUUAGCUCCCUAGCCAAUCACUUAUUUACAACCCCGUUAAAACCGAAAAUGGGUUCAACAUUUUAUUAUGGAUAAUAAUUUUAUUUUAUAAAGUAGUAAUUACUGUAUAAACUAUUUAAUAUUCUGAAACGAUCUAAGAUUUUGUAAAAUAUGAUUAUAAUUUAUACUUUUUCCGUUUGGUUCGGGGUUAAGGAAAAACUAGCUAUUCCAGAGAGUUAAGUUCAGGAUUAAAGUGGGGUUAAAGUUUUUUUGUGUUUGGUUGGGGGUUGGAGUUAGUCUAGAAUAAUGAAAAAUAGUAUUUGGUUGGGUAGGUGGGAUAAGAAGAUAAUAAUUGAUAAAGAAGGAUAAUGAUUGGUUGGAGUACGUAUGAUAAGAAAGAUAGUGGGUUAUUAUGAAUAGAAAAUAGUGUUUGGUUGGAGUUUGGUGGGGUUAGGUGGGUUUAGCUAACCCGGGAUAAUUUAUUUGAGGUGGGGUUAGGUGGGAUUAGCUAAUCCCACCUAUUUUUUGGGAUGUUUGGGGAUAAAAUGGGGGUUAAGGGGGGUUAUUCCACCCCUUAACCCCCAACCAAACAAGGGCUUAAAGAUCAUGUGACAAUGCUAUUAGAGAAAAUUAACGGAAGUAAAACAUAUUUUAUCGGUUGAAAUAAUCAGAUUUAUGUGUUUUUUUUCUUUAAAUUUUUGAAAAUUUUUUGUCUGAUGUGAAAUUUGCUUGAAUGUCCUGCAUAUUUUUUAAAUUUUUUUAGAAUAGUAAUCAAUAAAAUGUCGAAAAAAAUCGUGUUUUUUGAUUUGAAUGGACGAAUAUUUAUCCUCUUUGGUGGGUAAGAAAAUAUGUAAUUUUUUUUUAAAUCAAGUUCACAGAUAAAUUUUAAAAAUUCUUUAAAUUUUGGCUUAAACUUGCCCCAACAGCUAAUGACUUAAAUAAAUGAAUUCCAUUAAACUUUUGACUUAUCACUGAAUCAUUUUCUAAAUAUGAGUUAUGAUUAAUGAUUGUGAUGUUGGAGCCUAUUAUUAGUCAAUUAAAUUGGACCUGACUCAUAAUAUCCCAAUCCAAAUAUGAAGGAAUUCUAAAUAGGUGAAAACGUAUGGAAUUUAUCUAAAUUAUAAACCAUUUUGAAUUGGUUGUCAAUUUUUUUAAAAUUUAAAUUUUACUAUUCAAUCUUUUUAAUUUGUUUGAUUUGAAUUAGUCAAUGGCACUUUGAUUUUAAAAUUUAAAUAAAUUUAGUUAAUAUAUACUUUAUAUAAUUUUGCAACUAUACAUUUAUUAAGUUAAGUAAUUAGCUUAAAUUUUAAAGUCAAAUUAUCGUUAACCGACUCAAAUCAAAUAAAUUGAAAAUGUCCGAUAGUAAAAUCAAAAUUUUAAAAUGAUGGGUGGCCAAUGCAAAAUAGGGCAUAAAUCAGAUAAGGUAUGUAUGAUUUUAUCUUCUAAAUAUAAUGAAACUUUCACUCACUUUUUAUUUAGUAAUAAUAUUGUAUUAAAAAUGAUAUUUAUAAACUUGUAAACAGUUGUAAAUCUUAUGACUCAUUCAUUCAAAAACUAAUUUUCUCUCACUAGUCUUAAAUUCAUGGAGUUACAAAUCAAUUCAAUUCACCUCGAUUUAGCACGAAACAAAAUAUAACUAAUGAUUGAUAAAUUUUGCAAAAAAAAAAAACUUUAUUUUUUUAGGUACAAAAUUGAGUAUCAUGGAUGGUAGUGAGUGUCCAUAAAAGGUGUUCAAAUCAAGUUUUUUAGAGUCUAUUUGGAUGCAUGAAGAUUUUAAUUAAUAAUUUUUUUUUCUAUUUACCAAUAAUGUGCAUGAUCAAUGUUUAAAAAGAUAUAAAAUAUUGGGCCUCGAAAUCAUUCUAUGAUAAAUCACCUCCUGGUGUGGCUUUUAAACCUUUUUAAUGAGCUAAGAUCAAUAAUAAAAAUGAAGUACUCGUAAUAAAUAAUUUAUAACUAGGUAAUUUAUUCGGACAAUUAAACGAAUCAUUUAAACAUUCAUCAUUUAGAUGUUAUUUCAAAUUGUACGGAGAAUUAAUGCAUUAGAUACGGUUAAAAAAAAUACAAUAAGAAAAUUUCCACCUGCUAUCCUAAAGAACUCAAUAAAAAUAAAUUAAAAUACAAACAAUUAUCUCACUUAAAAGUGGAAUUUUAAUGCUCCUUCUAAAAAUUUUACAGUGAAAAGAUACUUUGGGGGUGAUUCCAAGGAAUUUCAGGAAAAAUAAAAUAAUAAUAAGACGAGAAGAUAGAAAGAAACUUCAAAGUUGAGCUCUCCCAUAACACUUCACUAAGGCUGCGUUUGGUUCGGGUAUAAGUAAGAACUGCUAGUUCUAGGGAUAGGUACAAGUUCAGGUAUAAGCAGGAACUAGACCAAUUUUGCGUUUGGAUGAAAAUUGGGUUGUUCCUGGGAAUAGGGUAAAUAGUGUUUGGAUGAUUAGAUUGGAACAAGAGGAAUAAACGUUAUAAUUUAAAAUUAAAAUUAUAUUAUGUAAUUAAUUAACAUAAAAAUAUUACUUAAAAAUAAAUAAAAAAUUAAUUAUUAAUAAUUAAUUAUAAAUAAUAAUUAAUAAUAAUAAUUAAUUAUAAAUAAUAAAUUAUUAAUAACGAUUAUCUAAUUAAUAAUAAUUAUUAUUAUUAUUAAUUAUUAAUAAAUAAUAAUAAUUAUUAAUUAUUCUUAUUAAUUAAUUAUAAAUAAUAAAUUAAUAAUAAUAUUGAUUAUCUAAUUAUUAAUAAUAAUUAAUAUUAAUAUUUAUUAAUAAAUAAUAAUAAUUAUUAUUAUUUAAUUAUAAAUAAUAAAUUAAUAAUAAUAUCCAUUAUCUAAUUAUUAAGAAUAAGAAUUAUUAAUUAAUUAUUAAUAAAUAAUAAUUAUUAUUAAUUAUUAAUUAUUAAUUAUAAAUAAUAAAUUAAUAAUAAUAUCGAUUAUCUAAUUAUUAAGAAUAAAAAUUAUUAAUAAUUAUUAAUAAAUAAUAAUUAUUAUUAAUUAUAAAUAAUUAAUUAUAAAUAAUAAAUUAAUAAUAAUAUCGAUUAUCUAAUUAUUAAGAAUAAAAAUUAUUAAUAAUUAAUAAUAAAUAAUAAUAAUUAUUAAUUAUUAAUAAUUAAUUAUAAAUAAUAAAUUAUUUAAUUAUUUAAUUAUUUAAUUAUUAAAAUAAUAAAUAAUAAUUUAAAUAUAUUAAUUAGAUUAAUUAAUAAUUUACUGCCAUUAAAAUUAAAUUUAGAUUUUAAUUAAUUUUGUUCUCAUCAAGGAACAAGCUUGUUUCAGUAAACAGGUGGAACAGCAGUUCCAGCCUUAUUCCAGCUAGUUCCAGAUUCCCGGGAACUACUGUUCCCGGGGGCAAAACAUAGCGUUUGGGAACAAAGGGGGGAACAAGGGCUUAUUCCCCCCCUUGUUCCCCAACCAAACGCUACCUAAAGAGUUUUUUUUAUCUUUAUUUAAAAAUUAUAAUCUUUUUAUGAAUAAGUCAUAAGAUUGAGAUAAAAUUAAUAGUGCACAGCGAAUCGAAACUCUCCAACAGAUCAUUAGAGUGAGAUAAAAUUAAUACGCGACAGUAAAUUACUGAAUUGAUAUGAAACAAAUAUAGUGACAGCGAAUCGAAACUUUUUAAGAAAUUGUUGGACUAGAUAAGAUUAACACGCGACAGCGGACGAGGACAUCCAAGGAGACAUUUUAUCAAAGAAAUUGGGGAUGUGGGGCCCGCAAAUGAUGGGUGGGGGCGCGAGACGCGUAAAACUGAAUUUUAGAAUUAAUUUUAUACAGCUAAUUUUUUUUUAUAAAAAAAAUUAGUCUAUAUUUAUAAAUAGAAAUGCAAACGAAACAGAUCAGAGCUUAAACAGAUCAGGUCGAGAGGGAUCAAAAUAAAAUAAUCAGAGCUUAAACAGAUCAGGUCGAGAGGGAUCAAAAUAAAAUAACAGUUUCUGUAUAUUUUGUUCUCACUCAUCACCUGAAUCAAAACAAAUCGGAACAAAAGAUCCACCAACCCAAAUCUCUAAUCCACCAAUUCUUUCUUUCUUUUACUGUCCUUAAUUUCUGCAUUGGUGAUUUAGCUCAAGCGAAUCAUAAGGAUCGACAUAUUAACUGAUCUAACAGAAUAAAAAUGUAGUAUGAGAGAAAUUCUUUUUAAAACCAUAUAAAAUUGGUGCAAUAAUUAUUAUUCACAUAAAAGAAAGACAAACGCACAUUCAAUCAUAUAAACUUACAAAUGUUUUUUUUUAAAAAAAAUUCAUAACUGCGAGAAUAUACUUUUAAAUACUCCUCACAUAUUAACCAAACGAAAGUGUCAUAGCACACAUUCUUAAGCGUCCCCUAAAAAGUCUCAAGAUUUGGAACUGAGUGGCAACAGGAAAAUAUUCAUUAAAAAUAAAAAACACAAUUCAAAUAUUCAAUCAUCUAAAGCCCAAAUCCAAAGUGUAUUACCUUAGAAUUUUAAAAAGAGACUUGAAAAAAAAAAAAUGGCAUAUUUGAGUUCCUCAAAGCAACAACAAAAACUCUUUUGUCCGAUUCAGGCGACUACGAUUACCACCACUGCUAAAGUUCCUGCCCCAAACUAAGUAGAAAACAUGAAAACCAAAAUUUGAAGAGAAAAAUCUAGCUCAUCCUCUGAGCAGCUUCCUUCGCGAGAAGCUUUUCGCGAGCCUUUGUUUUUGCUUGUGAUUUCGAUCCCAUAAUACCGCCGCCCCACUUCUUCCUGAUCUCGUCAAACUUGUCGUUGAAGUUCGCCUAAAAAAGGAAGAUCAUCAUUAGUAAAUAAAGUAUAAAUGUAUAUACAAUUGCUAAAAUGCAAACUGAAAAAGAAAAAAAAAAAAAAAAAAAACGUUUUAACAUUCCCACCUUAAUAGCCUCAAGGAUCUUGCUGAAUUCGAGCUUAUCUUCAUUCUUGACUGUGGUCAAACAGAGGACAGCUGCGUUCUUCUUGUGAACAAUCUGCAUGUCAUUUAUAAGAGAGUAUAAAUAUUAGGACGCAUAAAUUGAUCUUAGAAAUAGAAUAGAACCUCAAUCAAAUUAAGAGACCAUACCGCUCCAAGCCGCGCUUUUCCCUUGACGAUGCAGUAAGGGAUCUCCAUUUUCCUACACAACGCAGGAAGCCAAACAACAAGUUCGAUCGGGUCGACGUCAUGGGCUAUGACUACCAACUGUGCCUUUUUCUGCAGAAAAUACACAGAAAUAUGCAAUAGCUCAAUUAUAUUUUCCAUGCAAAAGUUCAGUUUCUCGAAAAUAAUUUGAGGAUAAGAUGCUUGAAAUAUAGCAGCGAUUGCUAGAAAGAACCGUCAGCAUAAAAAAAACGCUAUGCAGUAAAUGAUAGAAGCAGAUAGAAGACCCAAUAUACCUGCUCGAUGAGGUAGGUAACGUGGUUGAGGCCAUAUUUCACCACAAUGGGCUUUUUAGAUUCGACAGUCUUUCCUUCAGCCUCAGCCUUAGCUCUAUUCAGAAGCCGCUCCUUCUUAGCAGCUCGGUCUUCAGGGCGGUACUUCAAAAGCAUUUUGAAUAGGUUGGUAGCUGCAGCCAAAAUGUACCAAAUAAACUAUUAUAGGAAAUCUACAAACUUUUCAUUUCAAAAUGCAUAAAUUGAUUGUAAUCGUUCGAUUUCAAGAAGGCUGGAAAGUCUAGUAACACUGGAAACAAUAAUUACCAGAAGCUGAAGUAUUAAUUAAAAAAACAACUGACAGAUGAAUAGAUGGCUCAAAGAGAGAGAUUAAAGCCGACCUUUUUUUACAUAUUUAUUUGAAAAGAGUAUCGCUUAAUCAUAUCAUUUUGCCCCCAGUGAAUCAGGAAUAACUAAGACGCAGGUACCCCAACAAUAACACAAUACCUCGCCCAGAUAAAACAAUACAUCAAACGACUCAGAAGAGGAUAAGCAGAAUACAUUGGUUUUCAUACCGUGACUGACCACGCAAUAAUCCAUCAUUACAAGCACAAGAUACAAGUGGUCAAAUAUUAACAGCACAGGAGAGGUUCAGCAAUUCAUUGAAUAAGAUAUGGUCAAAACAAGAUAAAGGGUUAUAGGGUCCUUUCAAUCUCAUUUCUAUGCAAUUGAGUCGACAACCGGGACAGAGAAGUGAGAACAAGGGUAAAUAACCAAAUAUAUGAAUCAUACCAAACUGAUUCAUCAAUCAUUCAUUCCUGAGCAACUAAAACACUGAUUAGACUUUUGCAUAGGAUUCAUCAAAUCAUGACAAUCUUAAGAUUUUGAUGAAUUCUUUUUCAUGCACUCUUCAUGAAAGAGCUUCUAUGUAUAGAUUGCAUUGGUUUCGUGCAUUAACAACUUAAACAUUUAAAAAGGUUCAUCAGCAAAUAAUUCCUUAAACAAACUCGACAACAAUACACAUGUGAAUACUACUAACAAUUCAAUAAAGAUGAGGCAAUUGCAUUAACAAAAUCUCUAUCUCUAAAACAAAAAAAAAAAAAAGAAGAAGAACAUUAGUAGUUUACCGAGGUUCUUAUCAAGGGUCCUGGUGAACUGGUUCAACGCCGGGGGCACCUUCAACCUCUGCUUGAGGAUCCUCCUCUGCCGCUGGAUCCGCACCACCUUCGGCCACUUCACGAAGCGGGUGAGGUCCCUCUUCGGCGGCAGGGCCCCGCCGAUCCCGAACUGCUUCGGCCUCUUCUCGAACAACGGAUUCACGACCUUCUCCUGUGGAAUUCGCAUCAACACCACAAAAUGUAUCAUCAUCUAGGGCGAAAAAACAGAAAAAAAAAAAACACCAAUAAAUUCUUAAAAUAAGGCGAUAAUGUAGAUCAAUACCGUCUUCUUCUUCGCCGCGACCGGGGCCUUCCCACCUCUCUUCGGGGCCUGUUAGAUUCAAACACAUAGUAACCCAUCAAACCCUAAAAUACCAAAAAUUGUCAAAAAUUAAACGGAAAUGGAUGUUUUAUUUAAGAAAUUUACAAAAAUCAACGAUUUUAAGCGAGAAACUGGGACGAAGAACAACAAGAUCGAUUAGUUUUACACAAAAAGCGACGGAAAAAUCCGAUUUUGAGAACACAAGAGGGGUUUAGGGAUCGGAGGAGGGAUCGUACCAUGACGCCGCUUCGAGUAGAGCUAGGGUUUCAGGGUGCGAGAGAUAGGAAGGAGAGGAGAGGGUUUAUAAAGGGCAAAACCGAUCUCCUAUGAUCUCGACCGUCGGAUAUAUUGAUGAAAAAAUGUUCGAUUCAUAUUGAUCGUCCGAUUGAGAUUUGUAAAGGUUUGGAUUAAAGGAAUGUACAGAGUCUCCUUUGGAAACGCUUAAAACUAGGACGAGUUAGUAAUAAGUGGAAGUGGUCCACCAUGUUGGCCGUGGACCGCCAUAUACUCUCCAUUCUUUUCUUUUUUUUUUUUCUUUUCUGAUUUUUUUUUUUUUAAGAUGCAGUUAAAUUUUGUGUUUAAUUUCCAAAUAUACCCAAAAUAACAUGUCAAUAUCCAUUUCAAUUUUAAUUAUCAAUGAUAUUUAUGACCAACGCACCAGUUAUAAGAAAAUUUUUAAAAUAUAUAUUUAUUUUGUUUUUUGAGUUUUAGUGAAUAGAUGCAACUUUUAGUAAGUAGAUGCGACUCAAAUUAGAAAUUGUGACUCUUGUUGGUGAAUGAAUGUGAAAAAAAAGGUGACUUGUAGUGAAAGAAUAAGAUACAAAAAGGCGCAAAUUUAUAGUGUAUCCUCUCGUGAAUGUAUGUCCAUUGAAAUUAAUUUUUAUAUUUAUUGAACUUGUCUUAUGUAACUGGUCGAUAGUUAUGAUCAAAUAAAAGUCAUUUUAUAAAACAUCCGUUCAUAAAUUAUCACUUCGUAAAACACUCGUUCGUUGAAUAUAUAAGUCCAUAACGUUGAUGCUGAAGGACAGUUGAAAUUUUCAAAUUUCUAUUAAUAAUAAUUUUUUAUUUAUUUUUAACAACUUAAUCGAGUAAGUGCUAAAGACUCGACUUCGUGUGUGCAAACAUAGUUAAAAUUUGUAUGUUUCUUUAUAUUCUGAGAAACUAUUCGGUGACCCAAUGCACACCGAACUAUUCGAACGGUUGAGACGAAUUAAGCUUUAAGAAGAAUAGUAUUGCUACACAUCUUGAAGUUUUUUUCAUCUUUCUAAUUUAUAUACUUUUUCUACACAAUUUCUCCAACACAGAGUUCUCAAAAGAAAAAAAAAAAAAAAAAAAAACAUACUUUUUAUUUUUCAAUCGCCUAAUUUUUUAUUUUGUGUUUUGUUCUCGUGCUAAAUAUAUAUUCUUGAGAAAAUUUAACCCAGUGUUUACUAGCAUUAAGUACGUAAGGUGAUUUUUCAGUGACUAUUUAGUUUAUAUUAAUUACUCUUCUUGAAGAGUAUUUUACGAAGCUUUAAAAUUCACUUCUAUUUUAUUUUCUUUUAAUAUGGAACUAUAAUGAUAAUAAUAAUAAUAAUAAGUUGGUCCGGGCCCAGAUUCAGCUCAUUCUGGUCUGACAUUGGAAGUUGACCUUUCGGCCCAACAAAAUGGGCCUUGAAAAGGCGCUUUUUCUCCAAGCCUGACCUAAUGUACUAUUUUAUUGUUGGGCCGAAUGGUUGAUAAAAUACAAUGUAGAGAUUGAUAAUCAUUUUAUCAAUCUCUACAUUGUAAUUUAAAUUUAUUUUUAUUUUUCUAUCUUGUACUAUUUUCUUUUUUUAUAGAUAUUACCCGAGUAUUAUUUUUUCUCACCAAUAUCUAUAUUACCGUUAACAAAUUUAUUAUAUUAGAUAAAAUUGAACAACUUUGUUAAAAAGCACUAGUUAAAUAGUAGAAAAAAAUAUAAAAUAAAUCUCCAUACUAAACUCAUUAAGGGCGUGUUUGGUUCGCUUCUUUUUCACCCUGGAAUCGGAAUCGGAAUGGAUAAAUCCGUUUGUGGGUGUUUGGUACGCGGGAGUUCCAUUCCGAUUCCGAUUCCCGAGUGGAAUGGGAAUCUCCCAAUUAUCUCUUUUUUCAAUCCGGUUUAGGAGGCCGGAUUGAAAGUUGAAUUCGGACGGAAUGGAUAUUUAUUCGGAUUAAAUUUAUUUUUUCAACUUUUUUAAUUAAAAUAUGACUUAAAAUUUUAAAAUUAAAUAUAUAAUUUUAAAUUUUAAUUUUAACUUAAAUUAAAAAUUAAAAUUUAAUAAAGUAUUUCGAAUCUAACUUAUGAAUUUGAAUUUAAAUUAAAUUUUAAUUUAUAUAAAAUAUUAUUCAAAUUUUAUUUCAAACUUAAAUUAAAUUUAUGUAUUCAAAUUAAAAUUUAAAUUGUAAUUUUAAAUUUGAAUGUGAAUAAAUCAAAAUUUAGUUUCAUAUUUUAAAUUAUCCACUCAACUUCAAAGUUUAAUUUUUUUAAAAAAAUAGAUUUAAAAUUUUGGCAUUAUUUUAAAAUUUUGAUGUAAAUUUUUAAUAUUUAAUUUUUAAUUUGAAUUUAAAUUAAUAUAUUAUAAAGAUAAUGUUAGUAUAUUAAUUUAAUUACAUUUUUUAUAUCCACCUGAACCAAACACCGACAAUGAGAAUGAUUUAUUCCGAUUCCGAUUCAGGUGAUGAACCAAACAAAAUUAGGUAAUGAGUCAUUCCGAUUUCGAUUCUAGCUUAUUUUGAUUCCGAUUCCGAUUUCGAUUCCGACUUCGAACCAAACGCGCCCUAAAAGUUUAUAUCAAAUUAUUUUUAAUUAUUUUUAUAUAUUUUAUUAUUUUUUAUGUCAAAAUGAGUCGAAUAUAUGCUCUGCAAAUUUUCACCGGCAUUUUUUAACAGCUUUUAUAUAAAAUUAUAGGUUUAUGGCUUACAAUGUAGGAAUUGAAAAAAGAAAAAAAAGAAAAGAAAGAACAGUUGAAUGGUGCAUUUGAAAAAUAAAAAAUAAUAGUACGACAUAGGAAGUGAAUUUUUUUUUUAUAUAAAGUACAAUGUAGCAUUGUGUAAUUAAGCCUAAAAAUUUUGAAUGGACACAAAAAGCUUACCUUCGACAAGUAAUGAAAACACUCCAUCUGAGCCCAAAUAUUAUUGUCCUCUUUAAUUAGAUAAGAAUAAUGUAACUGGAGUUGAAUUCCAAACCCAGAUACACUACUUAUGACUCACAGAUAUAUAUAUAUAUAUAUUCUUUUUCGUUUGUGACAAUCUAUAACAACAAUGAAUGAUAAAACUGCAUGGGCGUAGACAAAAUUAAAAGGAGAGGAAAAAAAAACUCAAAAAAUGAUGAAGAAUUGCCGCAGAAGAAUAUGGUACCCUCUCUCUUUCGUAAUUCCCAAUUAAGAAAAUAGGAAAAAUGCACCUGCAACCAAAAAAAAAAAAAAAAAAACAAAAAGCAAGAGUUGAGCUUGAUUGCUUUCAGUUGUUUUUGCUGUUCAAAUAGUCCCAUAUCAGAAGAUGAUAAGAGCGACAAAAUCACGGGAUUUAUAAACUCAGGGAGACAUGCGUAACCACCAUGUGAUUGGAGGCUAACAUUUAAGUUAUUACUACUAGUAAGCUAGUUCGGGCUCUUAGUGGAUAAUAAUAUAUGCAUAUUAUAUGCGUGGUAAUACUAACAACUUUUGUAUUUUCUAAAGUUAUAACAUGGCCUAAUAUAGUACUGAUACUGAACUAAAAGCUUACCGGAUUUGGUAUGUCGCUUUUUCUCACUCUCUUUUUUUUGGGGGGGUUCUUUUUAAUGUUGAUCGCCAUCUUCUAAUCAUUAUCUGUUCCAAAGUAUCUGUCUCCAAACUCGCCCAUGCCGGGAAUGACGCGGUAAUCAUCAUUUAGGCCAACCUCAAUCUCCGAUGUCACAAUCUUGAUUCUUGGGAAUCUUUUACAAACUGCAUGCACCCCUUGAGGAGCCUGAUGAUAAGAAGGAAAUAACACCAUUCAUAUCAUAGGCUAAAUUGGUAAGCAAAACAUCCGUAAACGAGUAAAAGGGGAGCAAAAAACCAAAAAAAAAACACAAGGAAAAUUUUCAUGCUGGCACUCAAAACUUACAGAUAUGAGAUUAAGAAAUAUAAUGUUGCCUUCUUGUACACCCUUCUGUAAAAGCAAUGAUAUAGCUUGAACAGCCGAAUUGCCUACCACAGGAAUUGGAGAAAAGAAAGAAAACAGUCGUCAGAGGAAGCUCUCAUAGCUACUGUGAAUUAUCCAGCCUAGCACUUUCUAAGGUUGUGAAAAGUAAUUCAUUCUGAAUUCAUGACUAAAUCUUUCAAGUUGUUCAAUUUGAUAGGUUUAUAGUAAGCAAUACACUAACCAAAAGAGGUCCCUAUGAAGGCCGUGUUGUAAAGGAACCACAAAGAGUAGGAAUGUAAUGUUGAGAAGAAAGUGAAUCUGAGCAUUCAACUAGAAGAACAAAAGUUUAAACGAAGUAAUAGCAUUAAAAUAUGAAAGCAUUGAGAAAACUGCUCAAAAUAGAAGGUAUAGAAGCAAAUGGUGUGCUCAGAUGAAAUAAUAGCAAGUGGAGCUUGUAUGUAAUCAACAGAACUUGGUGGGAUAAACUGACACUGGAGCAGAAAAAAUAUUCUAGAUGAAUAAUGGAAGCCAUUUACAGUUCUUGAAUCCGACUUCUUUGGAAAACAACAUUGCCAACUCAAGAAACUUACAUUAGAAAGACAUUUACUAGUAACUACUGCAAAUUAUUGUAGCUUUUAAUCUUCCAUUAAGUUCAAUAUCAACAUAAAGUAAUAAUUCAGAAGAUGGGCAAGAAACUUCCAUUAAGAAAAUGGGCAAGAAAGGUACAACCAUGUUAGCACAAUCUAACCAAAAGAUUCAUGUAAACGUGUUGAAAUAGUAAACCAACCUGUACCAAGUAUAGGAUCCAGCAGCAGAACAUGUCUAUCUGAGAUGUCUUUUGGGAGAUUUUGGUAAAUUAGCUGUAUAAAACUUGAUUCAUCAGGAAAUCAACAGAAGCAAAUGUAUUGAAUAAUUGAUUGACAUAGUGCAAACCUGCUGACCAUUAUCUCCUUCCCUAUGAAUAAGAAUCUUGCCAAUCUUAAUACCUUUACAACAAGCCCGCAGUGCAUUCUCCAUACUCUCACCACUGUUAACCAUAGUUACUAUAUUAUGUUAUACUCAGUUUGAUAUAUAAAGGUAGAUUAAGGGGGGGUUGAAAGAGAGAGAGAGAGAGGGAAUAAUUAUUUAAUUUUUAUACAAAUGAUGUAUCAUUUCAAAAUUUUUCCCUCGGUCAAUAUGUCUCAAGGUGUAAUUUGAUUUCGACUGAUAAUCAACGGUGAUGCGUGAAGUACAAAAAAUUGAGAAUAUUCUCUACUGCUAGUAGAGAAUAUAAGAGGUCAUGGCAAGCUGCAAAUCAAAUGAUUACCUUCUGAUCACCGAGAUACCGCAUAACCUCCUACAGAAUUCCACCCCAGUAUAUACAGCUCCUGCACAGUGACCAAAUAUUAAGUAUCAAUGGCUCUACUACAUAGAAAGAAGUACGAGCAAAUUGGCGGUAUCACACUUAGCAAGAUAUGCAUAGUUAAAAGGAAAAGAAGUGAUUCCAUGAGAACUUGAUGGUAAAAGAGCAUCAGAACAACAUGCUUCUAGCAGUAGAUCUCUUUAUGAAAGUUAAAAAAGACACAUUAUGGAGAACAAUCACACACUCUCUCUCUCUCUCUCACACACACACGCACACAUCAUGGAGAUCAUGGAGAUUCAUAUUUGGUUAAUUGUGAUCCAAUUGUGUGAAUACGCAUAAGGUGUAAUGUCUGGUUGCUCAGGUAUCAUCCCCUCUCUCUACUAUAUAUAUAUAUAAAGAAUUUUCUAUCAUGAUGUAACCUGAUUUGAAUAUUUCUACACUAAUUAAACUUGCAAACUGCUCACAUUGACCACUAAAAUUGUUGAAUUUGAGCUCCUUCGAUCACUAGGUAAAUAAUAUCGAAAAUUGUGAAAUUGGUUUUCUAGAUACUUCAAAUACUCUAAUCAAGAUUAAUGAAGCCGAUCGACGAUUCUGAAGUCACAUCAUUAAAAACAACAUAGAGCAUGGAGAUCUCCAUGCUGCUAAAAGCACCUUAGCUAAACUCCUAUUUAUGUACUAGUGUAGAGACUAGAGAGAGAGAGAGAGAGAGAGAGAGAGCACUUUUUCUCCCACAAAAGAAAAGGAGUAUUGAGAAUCUGAAUCAUAGAUAACCAAUUUGCUUUAACCCAGUAACAACCACAAAGGUACACAUUUUCUGGGAGGUCUUCUUAGUCAAUUACAACUCAGAUAAAUCAUAGUAAAUUCCUAAUUUCUCUAUGGUGUCGAGUGCUCACUUGAAAAGGUCUAUAGUAAGGGGUAAACCAAAUAGCAGUAAAUAGAGAAGCGGUCUUAUAGAAGGUCAGAAAGUCUUUCCCUUUCUUUCUGUGUAUGUCGUUUUAUUUUGGAAAAGAGGGUGAAUCCCACUUUGUGCUUGCAAAAUAGAAGACGAAAGGAUCUAGACGGUCUAAUUUGUAAUCUUUACUGCUAGUAAUUUACAAAGGAUUAAGUGACACAAAAGCAAAAUACAUAAACAUUCACAUAAUCACAUGAAAAUCAAGAUCUACUUACCAGUAGGAGUUAUCACCUGCUUUUCUUUGAAUGGAAGAUGACCAAGACCAUGCUCAACAACCUAUUAAAUUAAAAAUAUUUUAACAUCAGAAAUAUCAACCCAUGAAGAACUUAAAACUAAACGAAUUCUCAUACUAACCAAACGAAUUAGUCUAUCAGCAUAAAAGAUGAAAUCAUGCUUUGUAGUUUCGGCAUCACGUAUUAGCGUAUGCAUGCCACGUAUCUGUAGAAGUAUCGGGAUUUGCUUGAUGUCAGAAGAAAACAUAGAUAUAGCUAUGAAUGCACGAAGAACAAUAGCCACGAGUUGCAGCAUUUUCUUGAAAACAAAACAAAUAUGAAGGCUAAAUGGUAGAUGACAUUCAAGUUUAAAAAUCACCUGAAAGGUUGAUUGAAUGACAUAGAGAUUUGGAUAUAUUUUACAAAGAUCAUGCUGACCAAGCUUAGUGCGAAUAUGUUGCACGAUCAAGUCAAUUGCCACGUGAUUGUCUCCACCUCGGGGAAUGAUAAUAUCAGCAUACUUCUUCGUCGGGAGUAUGAAGUCGUCAAAAGCAGGUUUCACAAAUUUUGAGUACUGCAAACAAAAAAUAGAAAAAAAUUAUAUUAGCAACAACAGGAAGAGAGAACUACAUAAAAUUACAAGCCACUUCAAUCAUUGACAGAAAUAGGAGCUCCAUGGUUGGUUGAAACAUGAAAAUUCUUCUGCAAUUCUUUGUUCAGCUCUUUAAAGUUUGGAUGGUGAUCGGUAAUUGCCCUAGGUCUCCAGGUGUCUGGCAAAGUUUCCUUAAAAUUUCAUAUUCUGUUCGUUGUCAUCCAUGCAUAUGUUCACAUGUCACUCCGAAGCACUCAAUAGCAUCAGAUUUUAGCAUACACCAGGGUUGAAGAGUUAAAUUGCAAUGCCAGUCCCUGAACUUUUAGUCAAGUUACACUGUGGUCCUCGAACUUUUAAGGUGGACACUUGACACACGGGACUUUUUGGAAGUGCUUCAUUUUACUCCUUAUUGUACCUACAGUUAGAGAAAAGUUAUUGCCUGCAUCCGGGUCAUCAGAAGUUCAGAACAUCUGCACACCAUGAGCCCAUUGGCUGCUCAUCAAUCUAGUACUUUCAAUCUGGCCAUCCAAUUUCGAAGAAGAGAGAAAGAAAAGAGGGUGGUAGGCACUGAAAUAGGAGAUGGUAUCAAGAGUCAAUGGGAAGCAUGAUACAUGAACUAAUGGAAGCACUGUCGGGGGCAAUAGUUUGUCCUCUAAAAAUAGAUGAGGAUAAGGACUGAAAUGAAACACUUUCAAAGUUUUUGGUAUGGAAUGUCCAACUUAAAGUUUGAUGACCAACAUGAAACCUGCCUAAAAGUUUGGGAAUUGAUACUGCAGUUUACCCAACUAGAAAAGGCACAACUGGAUAUAUGUUGUGUAACAGCUGAAAUGUCUACUUAUUUGAUUUUGAUAGUCCACAAUCCCUAAUCUGUCAAUUAUGAUGAAUUGGCCUACUAGAAGCUAUAAACUAUUAAGCAUCACCCUAAAAAGAAAAAAAAAUGUGAUAAUUAUAAGCAAAAGAUAUGAUCGAUAUAUAACCUGAUCGAGUACUGUUCUGACAUCUCUGCCCUUUUCAACAGUAUCACGGCAAAUCCUCCUUGCUAGACGUAUAUCAGCAUCUGCUCAGGUUGAGAAGUAGUUAUUUUCUUAGAAAUGCAAUAGUAAAUCAGUUACAGAAGAUUAUGCAGAUUUCAUGUAUUUUCACAAAAGUCAAAUUUUACAUUUACGUGUACAUGAUAUUCUUUUUUUCUGGUGUCUAUAACAACCUAAUCUUUAACAGAAGAUUAACGCAAUAGUAAAUCAGUAUCAGACAAUUAUGUAUGUUCGAUGUAUUCCAAGAAGUCAAACUUCAUAUUUAUGUGCAUAUUUAUGUGUUAUUUAUUUUCUGAUGUCUAUAAGAACAUAAAUAGAAGGAAAAACAAGCUUACAUAUAUAUAUAUUCAUACAAGAGAGGAAAGAAAUAUGACCUGUGUCAACAAAGAUCUUCAUGUUCAUUAGCUCCCGAACAUGUGAAUCAUGAAAUACUAAAAUCCCUUCCAAAAUAAUUACAUCUGAAGGGUUAACCUGACAAAGAUUGGUGAGGCUUUGGAGUCAACCCUUUCCAGAAAACAAACAAUAAAAAAAAAAGACUGAAAAUACAUCGAAUCAUCUCGAGUACACAGAAAAGAUAGUUAAGUUUGCAGCCUUUAGAGUUGCGUAGGACGUGAAUGCAAAGGCAGAUUGUAACCAUUUAAUAGCAAUACAGAUUAUCAGUUUAGCUAGGUAAUUUUUUUUUUAAUUAACAAUCAUUUUCAUGCAGAAUUAAAAUGACAGUGAAUGGCAAGAAAUAUGACUGUGAGUGCAUUCAGAGGAUAUCUUUUCAUAGCAUGAUCAAGUCUUGUAGAAAAGAUUAUUAGAGUGCUUGGGCUUUGUAAGGAUUUACUUACAUUUGUCGCAAGUACAAAGAGCAAUUUGCUGUAAAAUUUAUGUUUUACACAAAAGAAUUCCACCAAGUAUUCCAGGAAUGAUGGGCUUGCAACGAAAAUUCAUAUGUGAGAGCAAAAUGAAAUACUAGCAACACAGGGAAGUACUCUAUUGCAAUCAGCACGAUGUUGUGUAAAUGAAAAUGGACAAACUAUCAGAAAGUGCGGUAUACCUUUCGGGCCGGCGAUACAUUCCUAUGAGUUUUGAGAUCAUAAUUAGGGAUAUCAGCAGGCCUUCCGUGCUUCAAAUUCUCCAUACAAGAAAGUAACUUUUCAGUAUCAAAAGCGUCUGCAAUGAAAAAUAGGUUCAAUAUAAGGAAAAGCAGGCUUUCUCAUAUAAGUUCAUUUGAAAAUAUAAUACUAACUACCGGUGAAGUAGCUAAAAUGCAAAACAAUACAAUCAGGUAACAUUUGUCGCCAUGCAUGCAUGUAGAUAGGUAGGCGAUAAUGUGCACAAAAUGUUUCUCGACAACGUGGUAACUCCACAGUAUUUCACUACAGAGAAAUCGGCUGAUAUUAGAAAAUAUAGAAAAACACUCGUGCAAGUGGAAAUAUGGCUAUUAGUGUGGUGAGCAAUCUUGAUCUAAUAUUGCUGAUUUUCCUAAGAAAGCACCCUAAAUAAAACUUAAAAGGAAGAUAAGAUGUACCAGGAUGGUCAAAAUUGUAUUCAUGAACUCGACUUGAUUCCUCUUCUGAUAAACUAUGGUAAAAAGAUUCCUGCAACAGCAUAUUUGAAUAGGUCAAUGUACCAUAUAAUGAACAAUAAUUCAGUUAAUGGAAUGAUGUUGAGAACUGUUGCAAGAAUAAAAUAGUAACUCACAUAAUUAGAAUGAAAAUUCAGAUUACUUUCCAUGCUCAAAUAGGCCUUACUAUUAUGCCAUUUACACUUAAUAAUUGCCUCAAAAAUAAAUUAAUCAAUCACACAGGGAGCUUCUUUCAUCUCUACAGGAUACAAUCAGCCCCAGGACAACUGUCUAGAGUUCAGUAUCUGGUCAACCAAGUGGUUCGCCAGUUAAUCAACCAACAUAGCUGAUGACCGGUCAAUAAUCAACUGUUCCAAGCAAGAUCAUGGUUUAGACAAUUUCAAGCUUACUUGACAAGAAAACUUCCUGUAUGGUUCUUUAUGCUUAAAGUUCGAGGUGGUUUCAGGCUAUAAUUCUUUGCAGUGUGCUUUUAAACAUCAGAAAAAAGGAUAUUCUCGAUUAAUAGAAGCUUAUUUUCCCUCCUAAGAAGGCUUUCUUACUUAAAAGAGAACAUCUUCCCUUAGUCAAUGAAAGCUAAUUUCCUUCCAAAGAAGGCUCUCUUUCCUUAGAUCAAUUAAAAAAAAGUAUGAUGAAUAGUUUAGUUUCGACUUUCCAGUCUCUGGCCAUAAGUUGACCAACAAAAUGCAGCCACAAGAGUAAAUUAUAAAAUAAAUAGGCUUAACUAGAAACUUAGUGCACGAUCGUUAGUUUGUAACAAAAAGAGGAUUCAGAAAUAGUUUAGCGUUAUAAAUGAUUUGCCUCUGUUAGAUUGAAACAAACUGAAAUACAUUGAAGUAACAUACAAGAUGGCAGAUUUGCACUACCUGAUUUACAAGGACAACACGUUGAUCAUGUAGCUGCUCAAUAAUCAUCUCACAUACGGUGCUCUUUCCUGAAGCUGCACCACCACCAACACCUAAAAAUGGGGGGUGGGAGAGGUGGGGGAAUAAUUCUAGUCCACUUGAAUAUUCCAUUCAAAACUUCCACUUAAUAAAUAUUCUGAUACUUGUAAAUAAUCACACAAAUAGCAAAAAGCAAAUCACUAAGAUUACCGACCAAUAACAAAGGGUUCUCUGUGUCCAUACUCCUUUGGUGAGGUUGUUGGUUUUUUCUCCUGUUGAGAACUUUUUAGCUGCGACUCAUCCAGAUGAAGUCCUGAGAAAUGAACUCCAGCAGGGCUCUCCAGAAAACCAUUCACGGAGUUUGAGCCCAUUAGAAGGGAGCUUAUGUGGGGGAAUAACACAUGCAAAACAGAAUUGGUUCUUAAGAUGAGAAGAAUCUUCCAAAUUAUUAAUAUUUCAUAAGCUUCAGUCCAAAUAUAUAAUUCCUCAAUAAACUAAUGAGAUAGCAUCAACAGGUUAUCUGAUAUGCCAUAACCAAUCAAACUGCUAAAAAGCUAAAAAACGAUACCCAGCAAGUCUUCACCGUUUAUUUCCAUUUAUAGUUUAAUCUUCAAGGUAAAGGCCCAAGGAAAUACGGCCAAAGUAGAAAUUCUGCUGGUAAGCCUCUAAUUCUCCAAACGACCAGAUAUAUUACAUUCGUUUACAAUAACAAGUUGAAUCCUGUGCUGAAGCAAACAUCAUUAUGCAUAUCUAAGAGCUUAUUUACUCUUCUAAGCCUAACAACGAAAACAAAUGGUUAAAAGAACAAGAUGUUAGGAAAGAGUAGAUUAAUUUGGGGUGGUGCUAUUGUGCUUUUGGAACCAUGGAGACCUUCAUGGUUCUGCUUCACUUUCAAUAACAUGGCAUCUGAAUCAACAGUCACCACUGUUAAACAUGGCCUAAGGUAUUUGAACUACCCAAAAACCAAAUUUCAUGAUUUUGGAUAAAAAUUUUCUACCACAUCAAUUGACUACAAAACGAAUGUCAAAACUAAACAGCUUUCUUAAACUGGAGAAUAAGAUUGUUCAAUUCGGGGUUGGGGUUAUUGAUCUAAAUCUGGACAGUGAAGAGAAUAUUCCCAGAAAAAAUAGACUGAUUAAAUGAACAAACACCAUGUCGGUCAUCAAACUGUCAACUUUAACAUCUUUCGUUCAUCAGGUAAAUAUACCAGAUCACCUUUAACAAUGUCAAUCGACAAUUGUGAUGCCCUAUCAUCAAAAAAUAAAGUGGAAACACAAAAGGCAAUGGCCUUCGUUUUGUGGUGCCUCCGUGCUACUAGUGGGAUUAAUCUUGCAAACAUAGUCACAUCCCGAUAGUAUAAAUCGAUAAUUUAACAAGCAAAUGCACCUCGAUUUGAUUCCCAACCACAAAUCACUUCGCUAAACCCGAAUAACCCUUCCACAAUCUAAUUAACGGAAUCAAAUAAAAAGGACAGAUCUCUUGAAAAAAGAAAAAAAAAAAAAAGAGAAAAGAUUUGGAGGCAAUGCGAGGAUCUAAACAACAACAGAAUCCGAUCAGAAUUCCGAUCGCGACAUUAUGGAACCAAUCGUACUCAACGAGUUCCCAGAUCCAGCUAGAAUCUGAACGUACAAGGGUGUGGAGAUACCGGUACCGAUCGACUCCUCCGCCUCCGGCGAUCUCCGUGGCGCUGCGUCUCCGAUCGGCGACAAUGUCGACGGGGAUCGAAUCCGAAGAGAUUGGGGAAUAAUGGGGAAAGAGAGAGAGAGAGAGAGUGUGUGUGGGGUUCGAACACCUUUGCAUGCGCUCGAAUAGCGGGGCGAGGGGGACGGAGGAGGAGGAAACUAGGACGAGAAUGUAAUUUAAAAAACAAAAUAAAAAAUAAAAAAAAUAAAAGGAAAGAAGAAAAUGUAUGGAGACCCCUCAACUAUAUUUCGGUUUGCAACAGGUUUUUUCUUUGGGUAAACUUCAAAUAUCACCCCUGUGGUUUCUCACUUUUUCACUUUAAUACUAUGUGGUUUAAAGUAUACCAAGUUAGUACACUGUGGUUUUAUUUUUCUCUUUUCAUCAGCUCAUCCGUUAAUAUUUUAUUAAACUAUAUAUAAAAAUUUCAGAUAUCCUAUCUAGGUUUAUGAAUAUUUACUUUAAUACCCUUUAGUUUUAACUUUGUCCCUGAAUUAACGAAAAAAAAUUAGUGAAAUGGAUAAUAAAAAAAGAAGGAUGAAAUCACAGGGUACUAAAUUAAUAUACUUUAAACCACAGGAUACUAAAGUGAGAAAAUUAAAAAUCACAAAAAUAGUAUUUGAAUUUUUUUUUUUGUUGUGCAAUAUAUAUAUGUACCUCUUACACCUCUGAGUCAUAAUUUUUUAUUUAUCAGAUUAAUUUUUUGAUUUUUAUUAUAAUUUAUUUGGAGUUUUGUGAAUAUUUUUAUUUUUCUUCAGUUAAAAUAUACAAAGGAACCCCACAAACCAUUCGCCGUUAAAUUGCACUAGUUUUAUUUGAUAAAAUUGAUUAAAAGAUUAUUAAAUUUGAUAAAUUUACCAAUGAAUUUGUCAGAAUUUCUAACCAAAAUUGGUUAAAUUACAUUAUUCAAAAUAUUUUCGAGUAGGGUGGGUGUCGUUUUAAAAAAAAAAAAACUUCAAAUAUUACCCCUGUAAUUUCACACUUUUCCACUUUAGUAUCGUGUGGUUUAAAGCGUACCAAUUUAGUGUCAUGUGGCUUCAUUUUUAUCUUUUUAUUAUUGAUUCUACUAUUUUUUUUUGUUAAAUCAAUGACAAAGUUAAAACUAAAGAGUACUAAAAUGAAUAUUCGAUAAAUAUAAUUUGAAUUAGAAAUCAAAAGUUUGCAAGGUAACUGUUAGAAAUAAUUUGAAUUAGAAAUCAAAAGUUUAGAGCUAUUAAUAAACCAUUCAUAUUCUUUUGAGAAUAAUAAAAUAUUAAAAUUUGAAAAAUAUAAUUUCAAAUGACAUAUAUAUUCAGAAGUUUCUAUUUUAUUUUCUGGCGCUCGACAAAUCUUUUAUUUGACUGCUUGAAUAUUUUAUUACAUUAACAAAUGAAAAAAAUUACAAAAGGCAUUGAUAACUUACAUUUAAUGCCAAUAUAGUUCUUUAAACUUAUUAAAAAAAAUUGUAAAUGUAAUUAACUUAGAUAACUCAGGUGAGAUAUAUUAGUAGCCAAUAGGAGAGGGGUCUCGGUGCAUAUUUACCACACCCAAAAAAUAUUAGCGUUCUGUAGCUUUUUAAUGCGAUGGGGUCGAGAGACCUCCACGUGGACCCGUGGAGGGCCGCAUGGUGUACUUUUCUGUGUAUUGGGUCGGUGAGGGACACGUGGCGCGAAAUGGUAGGACGGUGGACGGUACUACGCGAGUGGGAUUGUCGGAGAAGUAAUCGAAGAAUCCGGGGGAUGAAGCGGUGGGAUUCGCAGAUUCCGGAGCGAUAGGUGGGGACCACGGGCCGGACCGGUUCAUCUCCGACCGUCCGCAUAAAAGCCCUAUAGGGACAUACAAAUAUCUACCGUUCAUUUUUUUUUUUUUUUGGGUAAAAUGUAUGGAGACCCCUCACCAAUAGAAUUUUGAAAUAGACUCCCCAACUAUAGUUUCUUUUUUUUUUUUUGAGUUAUUAUAUUUAGUUAAGUUAAAAAAUUUUAUUAAACUUAUGGCUAUAUAUAGUAGCUACUAGCCACCAAUUAGUCCAAGUUUAUAUUUGCUAUAAAAGUGAUUAUAGAAUCCAAUUUAAUAAAAUUCUCAAUUUCAUUGAUUAAAACAAUUGAUCAAUUAUAAAAAAAAAAAACUAAAAGUAAAACAAUCUCAAUUAAAAAAAAAAUUGAGGAGGUAAUUUUAAAGUAGCCCUAUAGUGGAGCAGCAAUAUUAUCCAUACACCGUAUAAUAAAAUAUAAACUUUACAUCCUAGACUUUUUGGUGGUGUAUAUAUGAUUUCACUUCUCACAUUAAUUUUUUUAAAAAAAAUUUAUAAAAUCUAUUGAGAUUUUAUAAAUCCUUAAAUUAAGAGGAUAUAAGAUGUACAUCCGUUACAGGUAUACAUAUAUUUUUUCCCAUAAUUGAGAGGCACAUCUUCAAAUUUUUUUUACUUUUCACUUUUUUUUGGAAAAGCUUCAAAACUCAGCCCAAUAAUAUCGCACGAUAAAUAAGGAUCAAACUUCUCACUUCAAAGCAAUGCACUGAUCGUACCAUAUCUAGCACAUUUGGUUAAAAUCUUAAUGAUUGGCAUAUAAGAUUUUAAAUUUAAAACUUUAUUUUAUAUUUUUAGCUAACUUUAUUUUUUAAAAAAAUAAAAAAACGAUAGCAUAGUAACUUUCUAUGUCACAAUAAUAAUAAUAAUAAUAAUAAUAAUAAAAGCUCUCCUGGAUCUGAUAAGUUAUGGGUCUCACUGUUACUGGAUCUGGGAGAAGGAAGGAUAGAGGAGUUUUAAAAUAUAAAAUAAUGUACAAAUAGUUCAUAUACUCUUUAGUAUUGUAAAAUAUUUGUUAUACUAUUUGUUUGGCAAUAUUGAUUAUUGAGCUUUAAAAAGGUUGUUUCAAGAUAAAAUUUAAUAAAUUAAUAUGUAUUUAUUUUACCACUAGAGUGUAAUAUGAAUAAAAGUUCAGAAUCUGAGUAUGUAAGUACGGGUAUAUAUAUUUCACAUUUUAAAUAAGAAAAACAACACCUUAAUCCUCUCAACAACACAUAUAAGCAUUGACUCCCUUUUGUUGUUUCUAUUUUAAAGCCCGUCUGGUAGGGAGUUUCAUCUAAGGCUUAGUUUAGGAUUGCGGGGAGAUAGCGUUACGUGCGGUGAGAAAGUACAUUGAAAAAAUAUUAUGUUUAUUUUCGUAUUUAAUAUUGCGUUUCGCAUAUCGCGAUGAGUCAGUUACAAUAUAUUUCUGCGGUACCACCGGAGAACGCAGAAUCAUAUCUCUAUAUAUUUUUUUUCUCAACUCUAUUUUAUCUAACAGUGUUUGAUAGGCCUCAAUACCAAAUUAAGCCUAAUAUUAUUAUGCAAAACAGAGUUGGAGGAAAAAAUAAAAUAAAAUAAAUUUUUUUGUUUUUUGAUGGACCAUAAAAAAAAUAUAUCUCAUUACGAUUUGCGUAAUCGGACUUUCUCACUGUACGUACGUACCGCAAUCUUCUUAUAAUUCCAAACAGAGUAAGUAAACUGAAAUGUACAUAUUUGCUAGCUAAAUUUCAGACGAAGAUGAAAAAUUUAACAAAACAGCUCCCGUAAACAAAAUUCUCAACUCAUUAAGAAAAGAAAAAGUCGAAUCAAAACAAACAAAUUAAAAUUAAGAAGUGGUGAUGAAGAUUAAAUUAAACUUAGUUUCAUUGGAAAUAUACAAGCACAAAUUACAAACAUAUAUGUGAGUGCUAGGGUUUUUGUGUGUCCACUUAGCCGUUGGUUUGGUGGGAGUUCUAAGUUUGAAUUCGGUGGCGACUGCGACGUCCCAACGUAGGUGCAUGAACAUGAAGUUGUUGAGUUGGUGCUUUCAUUCGCAUCAUCAUCAGCACAUGAAAUGUAUUGUGUUAGAAACUUAAUUGUUUUGUACUCAUGCUAUGGGUACUUUUUAGUGGACCCCUCAAUAUAUAUACAUGAGUUAGAUUAACUUUGGAACUUACCAUUGUACUUUGGUUCAUGUUACGUUGUAUUACCGGUUAUCUCAGCAUGACUAAUAAUCCGACAUCUGUUAUUCAGAUUACUACUAAUGCUGUAUUACUUUAUUUGGUUCAAUACAAUAAUAUAAUAUCGGAUUACUGUAUAUCUUGUGCUAUUAGUAUUAAUGCUGCAUUAUCAAUCGGAUUAUUUGCGAGAUAAACCAAAUAUAAUAAUUUGAAAAUAUAGUAAUAUGAAAAUAUUCUUGUAGGAUAUUCUAUAAUUCUGACAGGAUAAUGCGAACCAAGUAUCUUGAAUUUCUAAAUGAGAUUACUACUAAUGAUGUAUUAACGCGUUUGAUUUAAUGCAGUAAUGUAAUACUAGAUUAUAGUGUUUAUAACAUUACUAUAUUUGAUUCAGUCUGUAAAAUUUAGUAAUUUUCACAAUAAAAAAUAGUUUAUUUCAAAAUCAUCCUUAGCCAUAUUUGGCAAACUUUUUUUUACUGUUUACAAAUAAUAUUUUUUUCACUAAAUUUUAUUUUAAAUAAUUUAAAUUUUUAAAUUUUAAAUUUAUAAAUUUAAAAUCUAACAUUUUAAAUAUAAAUAUAAAUUUAAAAUUUAAAAUUUAAAAUCUAAACUUAAAAUUUAGAAUUUAAAAUACAAAUUUCAAUUUUAAAAUUUAAAAUUUAAAAUUUUAGAUUUAAAUUUAGAUUUAAAAUUUAGAAAUUUAAAAUAAAAUUUUAAAAAUUUAAAUUAAAAUUUAAAUUUUAAAAUUAAAAUUUAAAUUUAAAUUUUAAAUUUUAAAUUAAAAUUUAUAAUCUAUAAUUUUAAAUUUUAAAUUAGAAAGUUGACUAUUCAAAAUUUUAAAUUAAAACUUUUAAAAUGACGUAUUGAAAGGAUUCGAGAGUUGGAAGGGUAAAUUUGUAAUUUUAUAUAACAUGCAAGAUUAGUCGCUUUCAGUAAUUCAAGAUACACACCUCCUCGAUAAUAUUUUCAGUGUAAUCUUACACUUUGUAAUGCCGCAAUACCGAACAACGCAAUACCGAACAUAUUACAUAUCAAAUAAACCAAACGCAGUAACUCUGACAGGAUUGUUUGUUAUCCUGCCAGGAUAACCCGAACCAAACGCACCCUAAUGCACAUAAUAAUAAACACCAGGCCGAAGGAUGGUGCUGGGCAGGAUAUCCAUGAAUCCGGCCCGGCACAGCCUGGCCCAGAUUUUGGCCCAGGCCGCCGGUGAAUGUGGGCAGUCCCGCAUUACACCACUCAGGCACACUAGCUCCAGUCAUGUGGUCAGAAUAUACUAAAAUUAAGUACUUCCACAGAUUCUACUUCAUACCCUUCACAUAAGUACAGCAGUUGAUAGAUUUGAUUCUGAACGUUACCAAGGAAUACUUACAAGUUCUCUUGCUUGCUAAUAUACUCUCCUAAUAACAUGCCAAUUGUGUCAUAAUCUCUUUCCAUUUUGAAUUAUGGAAAUAAAAGUCGAGUAAUGUUUAGAAAAAAAGAUGCUUGAGAAGCAGUUUCUAUUAAGAGUAUUAGUUCCACAAAUUACGCAGUUUUCAGAUCUUCUCUCCCCAUUUCCGUACUUCAACAUCCAGAACAACAAAAAGACUAUUAAGUCAAGCCUACAAAAAUUUCCAUUGGCAAAGAUUGAUCGAAAUCGAACAAUUAAAGCAAUAAACUGAAACUGAUCGACAAAACCAACAAUUAGGAAGAAGAUGGUCAAGACUAGAAAAUCAAUAUGGACAACCAUAACAAAAAUCAUAAGCCAUUUAGAGCCCCUCAACAAAUAGCCCAAGCCGUAAUUGAUCAUUCCCACAGUCAUAAUAGCAUGUACACCAAAAAAGUAAAAGAAAUCUAACAUCCGAAAGCAUUACUUCGUGCUAGGAACCAGCAGUCAUACCUUCUUUUGGAGCGCAAGUGACACGCAGAAUUGCUUGAGCACUUAAGGGAGGAAGCUGUUUUUGGCAAAAGGAUUCCCAAGAAUCGAUGUCCGAUUCCUCGAGAGAAUCUUUGGAAGUUUGGGCUUGAAACUUUCCAUAGAAGGUUUGCAAUUCUAAUGCAAGGAUCCGAGCAGCCUCCCUCGAUUCAGGUAGUUGGUCGCUAAGCUGAGAUGCCGCAAUCUGGAUUAGCUUAUCGAUCCCAUAUGAUUUAAUUCCAUCUAUUCCCUGUAAAAGAUAUGAUUGUUAUCUUGUAUGCAAAUAAAUUGAACCUCAUACUUAGAUCUAGUACUGCCGGCAUAAAACCUGUAUGCCAUGGUUGAAUCUAUAACAAAUAAGUUACAUCUUAUUAACCAAUUUCUGAAGCCAUGAAAUUUUCAUUCAAUUGCAGUUCUUGAGAUUUACCCCUUGUUCGACUCGCAGUAGAAAUUGGAUAUAAGACAAGGGUAGCCAUCUUCUCCCAUUGCUAUUUCUUAUUUACUAUUCUCAAGUUAUUUCAAACUUCUGUCUAAAACAAGUUACUGUUUAAGAGAGAUACUACAUAAAGACUUGUGCAGUAGAGGUUUCUCAGAAACCUUCGAUGGUAUAACCAAAAACAGUGUUCCUGAAAUGUAGUUAAACAUAUAGAAAAUCUAACCGUGUAUAUAUAGUUACAUACAUACUUAUACAUCAAAACAAAUCCAUCUAAUACACCUUUAUUAUAAACCAAGAACAAGAAAAAGCAAUAAAUCAAGGGAUAAUGACAUUUAGAAUCUUAGAUAUUUUCAAUUGGCAAGAAAUAGAAAGAAACAUAGCGACUUUGAUGCGAAACAGAACAUGCAACAAACUACCAAUUAGACACUUCUAUAGGAUGCAUCAUAUAUUGAAAACUGAUAUAUUUGUACAACAGAAAAAACCUAAUGAGAAGAAUAACACUUUGUGCAUAGAUAAAAAGCUCUUAUGACUUUAGUUUGCACAGAAAAACAAUAUUGACCAGUAUUCUGGUCAAUUGUAUUAUAGAGUCAAGUUAUUUAGUUACUCAAUUUCUAAUCUGGUUGACAACUGAAGGUCCCUUGCUUUGUGAACUUCAGAAGAAGAGAAAAAGAACAAAAAAACAACCUCCCCUCAAGGUUGCAGUACAAUGUAUAGCAAUGAUUAGCUUCCAUCGAGAAAAAAAGUAGAAUUGCUUGAAAUGUUACAUUACGAGAGCACCCCACGUGGCUAUGGGAAAACUGCCGAUUCAUGUAUUUGUAAAGAUGAGUCAAAUAUGUAACUUACAAGUUGAGGAACACUCCUGCUGAAACACAUUGAUGCCUUUGCUCGUACUCGAGGAUUCUUGUUCUUGAGAUACGGGUGCAAUUUUGGCAACAAUGCAGAAGGAGAGACCCAAGUUGUCAUGGCUAUUAGGGCUGCCUCAGCCGCUUCACAAACGAAGCGUUUGUCUUGUGAAGAUUUCAGAAGCAGUUGUACAAGCUGAAACACCAGCACAAAGAUUUUUUUUGGUUAAGAAGAUUUUGAGAAUGCCUAUUUAGUUGCUAGCACCUAGUAAAUAGAAUAUAAUUAACCAGUAGCCUCUAAACUUUUGCAACAUUGCUAAUUAGUCCCUGAACUCACUCAAACACUUUAGCCCCUAACUUCCUCAUAUAUUGAAUCGCAUCCCUGCCCCCAGUCUGCCGUACAAAAUACCCGAUGUUUAGGAAGUCACAUACUCGGCACAUGACCUUUUCCCUAUAAAAUUACACAGUUAAUCAGAAACUGGGUCGAAAUGGUCAUUUAAAAAUAUUUGAUAUUUUGGAUGGCAAGUGGGUCCAAGGCGGUACCUGCAAUAAAUAGGAAAGUUCAAGGACUAAAAUGUACAAAGAGUUCUGGGACUUGGUCACAAUAUCGCCACAGUACAGGAACAAUCUAUAGUAUCUAUCUUGAUUACAGUUCAACCGAACAAAAUGAGAAAUUAAAAAAUAUAUGAGGACAUACCAGUGGAUCAAGUGAAUCAACUAUUAAAUCAUUGUAAACCUUAAAGAUGUCUGCCGAUGUCAUAAUUGCAGUUUUACAGACCGCACUCCUCGGAUUUUUUACCGACUUCACAAUCAGUGGAAUCACAAUUCCCCUGUUACAUAGAUAAUUUUUUCUAAUUACAAUAGUGUUACAAAAAUGCAAACUAAAUGGGGAAGAAAACCUAUGCAAGUGAAUUAUAUAUAUGCGAAAAAAAAGGACUUACAACAGCUCAAACAGCUUUUCCUUGUGGUAUAUCGAUAGUUGGCGAACAUUAUUCAAUGCUUCACAUAUCACCAUCCAAUCCUUUGAGUCCAAUCUUUUAACUAGUGUCUGCGCAAGAUUAUGGAAGACAUUGAAGAUAUUAUUACAAAUGAUAAAAUGAAAAGGAAUACAUGAUGAAAAUAGAUCUGAUAAGUAAAAAAAACAUUCUAGAGCCAUUUACAUGUAAAUCCCAAAAUCAACUAUCUUACUCAUUUACCCUUUAUAAAAUUUUAAAAUUUCAUUUCUAAUCCUUAAAAUGCAGUUUCUUACAAAAUUAACUCUAUCUUAAGUUGGGGGGGAGUCAUCCACUUCAUGGGAUGAACUGGUAUUGUAUUAUAAAGAGGGACGUCUCCAAAAGUAUGAGGCUAUAUAUGUAAAAUAUUAAGUUUUUGAAGGGCGUAGAUGAAACUUAAGAUUUAGCAGGAACAAAUAUACAAAUGAAAAAUUCUGCAGGGAUAUAUACAUGUAAAUAGCUCUACUUUUAAAUGAAGAAAUCAAGAAGCGGAUAUUAAGUCGUACAGUAAGACUGGAAUCAACAUCUGAAAGAUCUGUCAGGUUCUCAGAUUCUAUAUACUCGAUUUCUGAAUUCCCAACUUCUGAUCCAUUAACUGCAGCAUUAACCUCAUUUAGUGGAGAAGAGGUCACAGAGGGAGGAUUCUUGCUCUGCGACUUAUCAAUACUCUCAUUGCCGUUCCAGAUAUAAUGCUUAGUGAUAUUUCCUUUAGCAGAGCUUUCAUGUAACUUUUCUAAUUCUGUAAGUGGAAGUACGUUAAGAUCUCUCAGGGCUGUUCCUGACAUGUUCACCUUGCAACUCUGGAUUGAAAGGGCAAAGAAAGGAGAAACAGAACACAUAGCAAAUGAGGAUUAAAAAGGUACUUCCUCUAACCACCGAACAAGAAAAUAAAAAAAAAAAGAAAUUAUAUAAAUCAAAGUUUGGGUGAAUCAAAAUUUUUGCUUGCAAAAUUGCAACUUGACCAAACAUUCGCAUUGAAUUUAGAGAAUAUGCUCUCUCUUUGCAAGCCAUGUCUGUGCAUUACUAAUUGUCCAUAUUCAACCAUGCGGCAGUACUUAUGAUUUGAGACUUUUAAAAUGGAAAUUUAUUUUCUUGAUUCCUUAUUUAUGGUAUAUUCGGUGAACAUAUUGCCAAAAUAUCCUCCUUUCAUGUUGAACCAUGUAAUGCAAAUUAUGCAGCUCAUCAUAAGAAUCAAGAGGCAGUCUCCAUCAAUGCAUCAAUAAUCCCUUUCAGCCAAAUCAACAAGAGCCCUCAGAAACCAGUAAGCUUGAAUAACUCUCAAGAAAACCACAGCACCCAAGAAAAAUCAUCUUUCGUGCACUCUAUGGAACACUCAAUUGACAAAUCAUGCAUUUCAGGUUGGGGCUGGAAGAAAAUGAACUUAAAAAGAAAAGUACUUGAAGAAUAGGAAAAGUAGUUGCGCCUGCAUUAGUGCAGGUUCAGAUCUACAUGAUGGGGCAAUAACAUUAAUGUAAUCUCCUGAAACGAGAACAAUGAUGUCAGAGAUGUAAGGUAAAGCAAAGGACACACAGCCAGCUAGGAAGGGAAAGGAAAAGAGGUACACACUGUGAAACCAAAUAUGCAACAAAUGUAAAGCAUGCCUUUAGAGCGCAUUCAAUACGCACUAGAUCUAAGACUUUUAAUCAGAAAAAAGGAGAUACAUGGAUACUAAGCAUGGCCAUUCAUGCAAAGAAUUAAGUCACUAAUAACGCGUUGACUGCCAUAAACCAAUGGUAAGAUGCUAAACACAUGAUAGACAAGAAAAACUUCCUUUUUUCCUAUGUUUCUAGAUUCUAGAUUUUGCACCUUACCAGUUAUCAAUCUCGUGUUGUUGUUGGAUUGUAACAAGAUUUGCCAUCUAGGAAAUGUUCGAACAGCUGACAACUAAUGCCUCUUAAAAUUCUAUAACUUUCCAAAUGCAUUUUGAUGGUACAAUCAGUUUUGUAUAAAACUAUAGCACUGAAUGAAAGUGCUACUGCUGAACAAUUCUGUGACAUCCUCAAAUGUGCAUAUACCAUUAUGCACCUUGGCAUAUUAACAAAGUGAGAUGGAAGCUCUGAUCAUCAUUGAACACAAAUACGCUAGAGGAACAAAUGGAAUCAUCCAGUUCACACAUAUCACCCUGUAUGCAGUAGUAGCAUUAACUAUAGUACUGUUCUACACUACACAGUAUCGGCCAAGUAAAAGAAAUCAUUGUGUCCAUUUUGCUUCUUUUUUUCCCUUUCCUUUUCUCUCUGCCACUCUAUGUGGAAGACUAAUUCACUUAUUUCUUCUAAGGCAGUGGUCAGUUGUAGACUGCAGAAUUACAAAAGAAGAAAAUGAACAGAACUUUAGGUCUGCGCGCCGAAAAGAUGUAAACAUUAAUUGAAAAGGACUUGCACAACAAAGUUAUAAUGAUAAGUAAAUGUUCUUAACAGAUCUAGGCUAGAGUACACGGAAACUCGCCUCAUGGGAGGUCAUUAUCAAACCUUGCCAAGAUAGUUACAGCACGAGCAAUUUUCAAGUUACGGCACCCAAUAAAUUAGGCGACUAACACAUCAAUUCAAUCAAAUAUUUCGCUUCUGCCUGCAUCACAACCGCAUAGACUACACAUCUAAAUCUACAUACCGAUCAAUCAAUGCAAGAUCUCAUCAAAGAAGUAGCCACAGCGAACGAUCACAUUCCCAAAAAAAUCAUUUCUUACUCACUCACUACUUAGAGACCAAUCAUGAACAUAAUUGAACUCAUCUUCACUCCCUGAACUCGACUUUGUUACCACCUUUCAGCUCAAAACUACACUGAAAUUCUCCAACAAAAUACCCAUUUCAUACUAAUUUCGGCUUCAACAACGAUGAAAGUGCAAGUAAAAACCCUAAUCAACAGCUACAACUUCUUCAGAUCACGCCGGUCUCACUCCCAAAUCUCAUAGCGCUUAAUACAAGAUCUACCACACGAGAUCCGACCACGAAUCACUAAAGAAACGAAUCUGACAUCUACGAAUCUCGAAUUAGUACAAACGCAUCAAAUCGAAGAGCUUAACCCAUUAAAAAAAACAAAAAACCAGAUUCCUGAACGAGAUCGAACAAAACUUACAUGAGUCGAUUCGAAAAGAGAAGUGUAAACAGUAACCAAUUGGAGUAAGCGGAGAGGAUCGGCGAGGAGAGAGCGCUUACCGAAGAGAGCGACGGAGAGGGAAAUGGACGGGACCGUAGGUAGCGAAGGGAGGGAUCGCUCUCGCUUCUCUCUCCUCUCUCCUCCCCUCUCUCUCUCUCUCUCUCUCUCUCCGCCUCGUGGAAAUGUCGGGAGUUAUAGUUUUUUUUUUUUUAUUCUUGUUUUUUGUAAAUUAAUUUAUUCGAAAAAACUACCAUUAUUAAAAAAAAAAAUUUCUAUUUAUGAGAGCUGUGCUAUUUUAGUUAUAGUUUGGCUUUACGUACCAAGAAUGUCCCCCGCCAAUAACUUUGUGUGUUUAAUUACACACAUCCCUUAUUUUUACCAACCAUUUAACUUUCAUCUUGCGUAAAUUGCACGUUGGUCCUCAAACUAUGAGCUCGGUGAUAUUUUUGACCUCAAAUUUAAAUUUAUUGUAAUUUUUAGCUUAAACUUUUAGAAUUAUUACAAUCAUAUUCUGCAAUCUAACUUAGUCGACUAAAUCUUGAUGCAUCAUUAAUGUAAAAUAAUAUAACAUCUUAAUUAUUAUUGUAUCAUCAAUUAUAAGACUUUUAUAUUAUUUUUAUAUUACUAAUUUAUUAGUCGACUAAAUUAAGUAAUGAGGUUUAAUUAAUUAUAAUAAUUCAAAAAUUUUCAGUUAAAAAAUACAGUAAAUCAAAGUUUGAGAAUCACAGUGUUACACAUAACUCAUAGUUUGACGAGAGAACUUGUUAUUUACCGAUUUUUAAUAUAAUUCCUAAUUUUUGAGAUCUUAAUGUCUUUUCAAUUAAUUUCUUUCAACAAAAAUCUUAUCAACUUUACUGUAUGAAUUCAAAAAUAAUGUUUGGAAUAGUAUUUGAAUUCAAUUUACAAUCUCACCUACAACAAUUGGCCAGAAAUCAAUAAUCCAAUUUUAAAAAUAAAUAAAUAUAAUUUUAACGAUCAAAUAAAAAUUAUUACCUGCAGAAUGCGAGAAAAUGAUAAAUAAAAUUGGCAUAGUUAUAAUGAUUACGUCUGCAAUUUCACGAAUUUAUACCAUCUAUCUAUACCAUGAUAUUAAACUGUAAUAUGUUGUCACAUUAAAUUCUUUCCUUCACUUGGAUUGUGGGCUAUACCUUUAAGUAGUGCUCCUUUGAACUGAAUCCCCUUAACCGGCCCACAUUUUUUUCUUAGAUUGUCUUUGAACUGAACUGGUCUAUUUUGUUAUAUACUAUGUAUUGAAUUAUAUUCUUCACUAAACCAGCUCAUCUUUUUUUCCUAUUCUUUCUUUGAACCGAACCGAUUUAGUUUGUUAUAUACUUUAUUUGAACCCGAUUCUUCUCUUCUUAUCUGAACCAUACUGGCUCAAUUGUUGCUUUUCUUUAUUUCUUUAUUUGAACAAACCAGCUUACUUGAAUCAAAUUCUUCUCUUUAGCCUAAACCCUAAAUCGUUCUUCAACCGAGAUUUUCUUCAUCUGCUUCAGCCAUGGGAGGUAAAAGGUUAUAUAACUGUUGAACAUAAAGGCUCUAUAACUGUUAUCAAAAACUCAAAGAUCAUGAGACAACUCUUGGGAUUCACUUUGUAAUGAUGAGGGCUAUUUUCUUUGUUUUAGUAGGCAUAGUAGGUAAGUAAUUGUGAGUGAUUAGUUGCCAAGUUUGAUAUAUUUUAGAACAUAUAAAUAGGUAGGUUGGCUAAGAUCAGAAAAUAGUAAAAUGAGUACAUAUAAUAUUUAUUUCUAAGUAGCGAAGUACAAGGUGCCCUCUUUUUUUAUUGUCGUUUUCUAUGCGGGGCUCAAAUCCUCGGCACAAAGGAAAAGGCAUUUAGGUAUCAAAAUAUCCGGAAAAGAUGAAGAUAUAAAAAGUGAGUGAAAAUGAAAAGAUGGAAAUGAGAAGGAGAGGGAAAGUAGUAGUACAAGAAAAUGUUUGAGAGAAGGAAAAAAAAAUAUAUAUAUAUAUAUAGCACGUCGAUUCCUAUUUUCUACUCGCCGUUUUCACUGCUGUAUUAAAAAAAAAGGGAAAUUUGGUAAAAAAAAAAAGGGGGAAAUUUGGUGUUUAAAAGCGAAGCAAUGUGCUAGGGUGAUUUUGGGGUACCCAUAAAUAUGAUUUAUUUGAAAAUAAGUAAAAUAUGGGGGCCUCCGAGAGAUGGGGGUGUUAGGUGGACCGGAUUGUUGACUCGGAUGGUGGGAAAACGACCCGCUAUCUCUCCACAGGUUAUAACUCCUGGACCCGGCCCACCGCAACAUCCAACAGCUACGCAACUUUUCCCUGCACCUUGUGUACCGUACACCGCCCUCCCAAAAAUCCAAUCAUAUAUAGAUGCAUCCGAAGAAAAAAAAAAAGUCAAAUUAAAAUUCGACUACAAAAUUUGAAAUCGGUUGAAUCUAAAGCCGAGUAUUUAAUAUGUCUUAAAUUAUUAGAUAUCAAACUAAAUUUUGAUUGGGCAACACCGGGUUUUGGAUAUUUUUUUAAUCCGACCGUCCAAUACCUCUCGGUUCUGCCACGUGGCAGCAUCAGAACCCCGCCUUCAGAUACUGUAAAGAAGCGGCCAAUAAAAAUGAGGGCCGGCUGCAACAGGGGGAAAUUUGCCUGGACCGUGGUGCACGGUGGACCGGCUACUUAAACCCAAUCAGAGAAGUGUCAUGAGGCCCGUGAUAGUUUAGGCAAAACAGAGUAACGGUGAAAACAUACAGCAAAAUAAUUUUUCAUUUUCUGAGGAGAUGAGAAAAUAUACCGUAACUUCUUCCCAUAUGCGGCAUGCGCCCCAUAUGGAAUAUAUUCGAAUUAUUAUCGAGUCGAACACGAGUGAGCUGGUCUUAGCUCCUAUUCGGCUUGUUUAUUAAACAAGCUGAAAAUUUCAGUUCGUUUACUAAACGAGCAAUUCGAUCUUAAGUUUAUUUCGAACCGAACACGAGCUGGCUCGCGAACAGCUAGCUGGAUUGCUACCCCUAAACAUGGGUAUUUUAAAUUAAGAGAUAUUCGCUGGUUUUUUCACUGUUAAAGCGGCUAGUAGGUAAUUUUAAAAAGCAAAAAAUAUAUAUAAUAUAUCUAAUCUAAACUACUAAAAAGUAAAUACCCAUUUGAUAUAAAAGGUUACUUGACUUAAUACUGAACUAAAGAUAUAUAUAUGCUUUAUCAUUUAUCGAAACAAAUAAAAUAUUUUUUCAAUCUGAUAUAUUCUUUAACCAUAUUUUUUUAUCUUAUGUAAUGUAUUCUGUCUAUAAUAUAACGUAGGCAAUAUAGAUACACAUUAGAAUAUUAUUUGGUUGUAAAUUGUAAUCUUUAACUUGGUUAGGCUCAAAUUUGGGAUGAUUUAAAAAGUAAUCUUUAAGAUAAAUUUUUGUGCAUAUCUUAUUUGAGGAUAGAUAUGAUUAAGUAAUAUCUUGAAGAACAACAUUAUUAUGAGUUUAUGACAUCAAAUGUGUAACAACCCAUAUUUUCUCUCUCCUCUCUCUCUCAACUUCCUCCGGGUGGCAAAAUUUAAUCCGACCCGUUUAUUAAUCCGAUCCAACUUUAAAAAAAUAAGUUGAUUUGAAUAAAAAUUUCGGUUCGGAAAAUUGAGUCCACGAAAUUCUUCUAUGGCUAGUUUAAAAAUCGGAUCGGAUCCAGAUUAAAAUAUUUGAAAAAAAAAAUCUUGUAAACUAUCCGAUUUCGUGUUAAUAGUUUAAAAAGCAAAUUUUAUCAUGAUAUUAGAUAAUUUUUUAAAGUUUUGACUAGUUUGAUUUGAAAUUAUAUAAAAGCGUCUCUAUGAUUACAGUACUUUCAUUUUUAAUGUAUAACCAUGCGCUUUAAAUUUUAUUUAUUAUUAUAUUUUCACUAAUUUGAAACAUUGAUUGAUUAAAAAUUAAGCCAAAUCGGAUGUGAUUCGGACAUCCUUCUCCCAACCGGGUUUGGUUUUUCGGAUCGAACAUGCCUUCCAAACUUCGAAUCCGGGUCCGAUACGUGAACACGGUAUAGUUCGCAUUUUAAUCCUUGCACCUGGUAUUGCCAUAUCUAUACACCACAAACUUAUGGGUCCUUAUUCAUCUCAAACUUUCAAUCGAGUCCGUCAAUUUCUAAUUUUAAGGAACAUCUCUAUUGUGAGAUCGUUAAAUCAACCGUUCAUCACUGCUUUGAUAUUCGGGCAGGUGAUGCACGGUGGAUACAUGGUCCGCAUAAAAUAUUUUCGUUCCUAGAGGUGCACCCGGUGCAAGAAAGAAAGGACUUUUACAAACGGAUUAAUUACAUAUUGGUCCCUGUAAAAAUAUAGUAAGUUGCAAAUAUAUACUUACAAAGUUUAAUUUUUAUAUGUUGUUUCUACAAAAGUCCUAAUAUUUUCAAGUAUGUCCAUACCGUUAGAAAAUUUUAGUUAAUUAUAAGUUAAAUACUUAACCCUGAUUAGUAAACGAGGUAACUCGACAUUUUUAUCCUUUUUAUAUUAUAGCUUAUGCUCUUAAUCAAAAUUUUAGUGACGAGAACUCUUUUUCUUCCCCUUUCAAUUCUUUUCCUCUUUUCUGUCCUUUCUCUCCUUCGUGUUGGUUUCGAACCCACAGCUAAAAUUUCUCCGUCUCCAUUUAUCCACGAAGAUCACGAUGCAUGUUGCUUUGCCCACGUGUUAUUUUUCCAUUCAAUUUUCUCUCUAUUUUUUAUGGCUCAAAAAAAAGUUUAGAAAAAAGAGGAGUGAAAAAAGAUAUUGCAACAACGGUGGAAUGAGUUGAAUUUUACAUAAGAAGAAAAUGAGGAAGAAGAUAAACAUUGAAAUUUUUUGGGGAAUAUUUUUGUACAAUUAUAUAGUUGUUAUGGCUUUUGGAGGGUAUAUUGUGAUGGUAAAAUUGAUAUUUUACAUAUCUGCUGUUAAAAUAUAAAUAAUUCUCCAACGGUAACAAAUCAGAAUGAUAUAUUUAAAAAUAUUAGAAAUUUACAUGAACAGAUAUGAAAUAUUUAAAAAUAUUAAAUUUUUUACAAAAUAUAUAUGGAAGUUGAAUUUCAUAAAAAUAUUUUUUAAUUUACUAUAUUUGCAUGUACUGUAUGCAUUUAAAUAAAAAAAAGAUAAACUUCAAAUAUCACCCCUGUAGUUUCACACUUUUUUCACUUUAGUGUACUAUGAUUUAAAGUGUAUCAAAUUAGUGUCUCGUGGUCUCAUUUUUAUCUUUUCGUCACCUUCUCCAUUAAUAUUAUCGAAUAUUCACUUUAGUACCCUUNGGAGGCUCAGCGACAGCUCCCCGCUACGCGGACGGCGGUGGCGGAGGAGGAAGUGUACGAGAGGGUACCGGUGCCUCUCUCUCUCUCUCUCUCUCUCUCUCUCUCUCCUCUCCCCCCCAAAGUUAAGAAAUUCAUGAACCUUUAAUAACGGACGUGGUCCACAAGAACAUAUGAAAUAUACGGCGUGGCUUAUAAAGUGCUAGACUUUGUCAGUUUUGUAAAUACGUACAAUUUAAUCUAGUUGUUUGGGCCUCUUCUCAAACUAUAAUUUAAUACCCUUUGCUAUAUAGCAACAAGAGUUUUUUAAAUUUGAUCGUUUCUUGAUACAAAAAUCAUAAAUAUAAGUUACGACAUGUUUCUUAAUACUCAAAACUUUUUAGAGAAUAAACUCUUAGUCUAACUACAAAAAUUAUAAAUAUAGGUUAUUACGUAUUUCUUAAUAUCAAAACUUUUGAGAUAAUAGACUCUUAUUUCAUUAAAGAUUCGGAGGAGGAUUGGAGGAGGAUGAUCAGCACGAAGAGGCCGGCGAAGAGGGCGAAGGUCGAGGACUUGCUCCCAUUCGGCUUCCUCGACCCGCUCCCGGGGCCGGCCCCGGUCCUGAUGCCGAUGCCGAUCUCCGUCGUUCGCCCCCCGCCUCCGCACGAGGACGAAGAGGAUAAAGAUCGGGAAGAAUGCGCGGUCGCGACGGCGGCGGCGCGGUGCAGGCAGUUCUGGAAGGCCGGGGAUUACGACGGGCCGCCGCAGGCGGAGGAUUCCGCCUCCUCAUCCGGUAAACUGUUUUUUUUUUUUUUUGUUUUUUUUUUUUUGUGAAUUUGAGGACAUAAUUCAUUUUCUUCGGAUAUAUCUUUUGCUAGAUUACAAAAAAGAUGCAUGAUCAAGUCACAAUAUAUUUCUUGGGUGGUUUAAUGAUUAACCAGUAGCUUUUUAACAGUAUAAUAUAUUGAUCAGUCUCAAUUUUAUCGCUCCAUACAUCUGUAUCUAUAUAUAUAUAUCGAGCGAGGUUGGUAUUUCAAGAAGUGCGGAGCCCUCCGUAUUUUUAAGUCUUUUUCAAUAUUGAAACUUUCGAAUCGACGACCGGUUCCGUUAAACUUGAUCUAGAGUAUUUGAAGUAUCUAGAAAAUAAAUUUUGUGAUUUUUCGAUAUCAUUUGCCUAGUGAUCAAAGGGGCUCAAAAUCAAUAAUUUUAAUGGCCGUGGUGAGCCGUUUGCAAGUUUAACGAUGUAGAAAUAUCCAAAUCACAUAAAAUUUUGAUAGAAAAUUUUUUAUACUAUAUAAAACAAGAUCAAUAUCUUUAUCUAAAAUUUUAAUAUCAUAUAAUCACAUUUUGUAAGAUUUUUAUUUUCAGCAGUUAAUUUUGAGCUCCUUCGAUCACUAGGCAAAUGAUAUUGAAAAGUCGCAAAAUUUAUUUUUUAGAUACUUCAAAUACUCUAGAUCAAGUAUAACAGAGCCAAUCGUCGAUUCGAAAGUCCCAACAUCGAAAACGACUUGAAAGCAUGAAGGAUUCCAUACUUCCAGAAGUAUACCAGUCUCACUCUAUAUUUAUCUAUCUACUUACAUAUAUCUAUAGUGUACAGUAGAGGUGAUUUUAAAUAUACAAAAGCCUUCGUGCUCCCAAUUUUUUUCGAUUAUGGAAUUUGCCGAAUUCGGUGAUGGGCUCCAUUAGAUUUAAUCCAAAGUAUUUGAAAUAUUUAGAAAAUAAAUUUUAUUAUUUUUGACAUCAUUCACCUAGUGAUCGAAAUGAUUUAAAAUUAUCAAUAAUUUUAAUAGUCAAAGUGAGCCGUUUGCAAAGCUAAUGGUGUAGAAAUAUUCAAAUUAGACGAAUUUGUGGACAAUUCUUUAUAUUACCUAAAAGCAAGAGCAGAAUUUCAAUUGAUUUUUUUUUAUAUUAUCUUAAAAUAAGAUCAAUAUCUUUUAUCUACAAUUUUAGUGUUGUAUUAUUAAUUUCUGUGAGUUUUAUUUUUAAUCAUUAAUUUUGAGUCUUUUUAAUAACUAAGUAAAUAAUAUUGAAAAAUCGAAAAAAGUGUUUUCUACAUACUUCAAAUUAAUAUUCUAGAUCCAGUAUAAUAGAGUCGAUCGGUGAUUUAAAUUUUAUCAUAAAAAAAAAAAUAACUUGAGAGUACAUAGGCUUCAGUGCUUCUAAAAGCACUUUAGUUGGACUCCUUAUAUAUAUUAGCUUUUGAUAAAGCUAUGGUUCUUUUAAAAUUACUCAUUAAUUUGAAUAGUAAUAAUUCAGACCUUUUCUUAAGUUGAUCCUUGAAAAAUUUCUAAUUUGCUAAAUAACCUAAUUAAAAUUUUAAUUGAUGAACUAGUCUAUUUUACCUAACUCAGCGUCAUGUUGGAAAGAGAAGUGAAAGACGGUGAAUCAAGUUACUGAGAUUUUUGUGUGGUUAACAGGAUUGUAUGCGAAGAAUAUAAAUUAAAACAGUGAAUUAUUCAUCGUUUUCUUUCUAAAGAGAAAAACGGUGAACGAUUUAUUAAUUGGCUUUUAUGUUUUAUUAAGAACAGUGAAUUGUUCAGCAUCUUUGAGUUUUUACUCUACUCUGGCUCUCAGUUAGAAAAAAAACAGAGUUAUUUGCCCGCAUAAAUUUGUAAAGUAGUUAUUUUGGCCAAAUACAAAUUUUUUAAAGGGUAUUUUGUAAAAAGGUCCUAAUAAUCCUAUGUAUAUAUUUUUUUAAAACUUCUAUUGGUAAAAGAAAAUCACAAUUAUUUUCUCUUCUUUUCAGCUGGCAUGGAUCAUGUAAGGGUUCAUCCGAAGUUUCUUCAUUCAAAUGCAACAAGCCACAAGUGGGCUCUUGGAGGUAAUCUUAUGCCAUGAGACUUAAUAUAUUAAAAACAUCUUUUUAACUGUUUCCUCACUCUCCACAUCUUUAAAUGCUCAUUUAGCACUGUUUACAUUUUGUUUUUUUUAUCAACCUUUUUUUUUUUUUUCUUUUUUCACUCUAUAUGGUGAGAGGCAUCUAGCCAAGGACUAAUUGUUUAGUUUUUAGCUUCUUGUUGCUUAACUAACAAUUUAAGAUAAAGAAACAGAAAAGUGUACUACAUAUAUUUCGUUUUUAGCUAUCGAACAAAUCGCGUUAACAUAGAGUUUUUAAGUCUAAACAAAUAGAAAACAUAUGCGGCAAUGAUAGACAUGUGUGCAUUUAACAAACUAAUAAAUAUAUCUUUAAUCAUUUCGGCAGCAUUCAUGUUAUAUCGUGUAAACUAUAUGUGUAUUACUGGCAAAUUUGAAUCAAGUUUCUAGUUGUGCUGCUUUAUUCGACAUCUAACUAUACUUACUUUGAUUUAUCUAUCCUACUAGCUUUGGCUGAGCUUUUGGACAAUGCUCUUGAUGAGGUACCUUUUCCUUAAAUCAAAUUCAUUAAAUAAAUCUGUAAAUAAUUUCCCUAUCAUACCUAGUAAACUUACAAGUUGCAUUUUCAUUUUCUCUAAAGGUUUGCAAUGGAGCUACAUUUGUUAACGUAGAUACGCUGGAAAAUAAGAAGGGUAGGAGCAAAAUGUUGCUUGUUGAAGGUAUUUCCUAAAUUACUUCUUGAUUGUCCAAAUAAGACGUAUAUAUAUUAAUCGGUUCUUUAACAAUAUCUCAUGUUUAUGUUUUCCGAGUUGUACAGAUAAUGGAGGAGGGAUAAACCCUGAUAAAAUGCGACAAUGCAUGUCUUUGGGCUAUUCAACUAAGAGCAAAUCAACGAAUACUAUUGGACAAUGUGAGUUCUCACAUUUAAAUGAAAAAUAUUUGUGCGAUAACCUGGCCAUUUUCAUCAUUUAUUGUCGUUUAUUAUUAUUAUUAUUAUUAUUAUGUUUUCUUCCAAGAUGUUACCAUCAUUCUAUAUUCGUUUCGAACUUUAUUCAGAUGGAAAUGGCUUUAAGACAAGCACCAUGAGGCUCGGAGCGGAUGUGAUUGUUUUCUCCCGUUGCAGUGGAAAAGAUGGAGAAAGGUUUGUUGCCUUUUUUGCAAUUCCACUUUUGUUAGAUUCCUUGUUUUAAGUAAAGGAUUCCUCAGAUAAAAUUUUAUUCAAUUUGAGCAAGUUUUAGUAAAACAAACAAGUUUCCUUGCAUAAUAUUUGAGAGAUCUAUAUCAAAUUUAAGAUUUCAAAUUUCAAGUUUUAAUUUCAAAUCAAUGUGGUAGUUAUGUGUUUUGUGCUUUUUUAUCUUUUCAUAAAUAACUUUAACUGGCUCUUUUUUGGUUCUUCUCGGUCUUUUAGUCCUACUCAGAGCAUUGGAAUGUUGUCCUACACAUUCCUUACAUCUACUGGAAAAGAAGAUAUUGUAGUCCCCAUUGUAAGUAUAUAUAUUCUGUUCGUUGAUUGCUCAGAUUGAAAAGUUGCUUGUUAACACUAUUCUUUUUAAUUCUCUAUGUAUACCAAUGUAUGGAACUUGUAAGUGCCUUUGGAAAGCAUGCUAAAUCGUUAUAUAAGACUCCUUUUUAGUCCUACAUAUUAUCAACAUCUCUGUGGAAAUAUAAACUCUGUACAAACGCACACUCAUGCGUAUAAGAUAUUGUACUUGUUCAUGCUUGUGGAAUUAGAAAUUAACAUAAUAUAUUUUGAUAUUAUACAUCACUUGUACCCAUGCAGGUUGAUUACGAAAGAAGAGAACAGGGAUGGAGUAUGCUAACGCGAACAAGUGCGGAAUCGUGGAGUAAUAACUUAGACACUAUAAUUCAAUGGUCUCCAUAUUCAAGUGAAGCUGAUCUUCUUCAGCAGGUAAGUUGUUUUUCUUUUCUGAAGCUUUUCAGAUUUAAAUGUUUAUCUUUCAAGCCAUGUCCUCUAUAGGACUACUAAGAUCUAAGGCUCUAUUUUGGCAAUUUUUAAAUUUCAUUUCACAAAAACCCUUUAUUUAGACAUCAGCUCACAGUUAAAACAGAGACUUCUUUGGUUAAUUUAUUGUUUUAGAUAUUUCUCUGGGCGAAAAUUUUAUUGCUUAACAAUAGAACCAUCUAAAUAUCCACUGUAACUUUUUUCUCUACACGAUCAAUGAGAGUUGCGUCGCACUUUUGUUUUUCUACAUAUUAGUUGGCAUGCCGGAUACUUAUCCACAUAUUAUACAUUUAUGUGCAGUUCAAUUCGAUGACUGAUCAAGGAACUCGGAUAGUCAUAUACAAUCUUUGGGAGGAUGAUGAAGGAGAACUUGAACUCGACUUUGUUGCUGAUGAGCAUGCAAGUUUAAUUUGUUUAGUAUUCUAAAUUGAUGAUUUAGAAAAUUACUCAAUUAGUGUGUUCAUCUCUCUCUGUACUCACUCUUAUGCGUAAUAUGAGUUUUAACAGUAAGAUUCAAUGGUGGCAGGACAUUCAAAUUAGAGGAGUCAACCGAGACGAAAAGAAAAUCGAAAUGGCCAAGAAGUUCCCUAAUUCCUGCCAUUUUCUAACCUACCGCCAUUCAUUAAGGGUAAUUCUUUUGUGCUUCUUUUUUCUUUUUCAAUUAAGGCUAACAUAAAGAUAAGCCAACAAAUACAUGGUGAUGUGCAAUUUCCCCCAAUACAUAGAGAGGUAAAAUGCAGGAUUUUUUUUUUUUUUUCCAUUUAGUGAGUUGUUCUAUGUAGGUUAAAAUGCAAAUCAUGAUUUAUUUAGUGGCCAUCGAUAUUUUUCUUGUUCUUAAUUGAUUUGCAACAAGCUACAUCCAUUUAAGAAAAAUGCAUAUGAGUUAAUUUUGUUGCACUUAUUCGUCUGCGUUAAAAUUCUUUCUAAUUUGGGAAUUUCGUUAUUUCUGAUAGAGCUAUGCAUCAAUUCUGUAUCUUCGGCUUCCUCCCAGUUUUAGAAUGAUCCUGCGCGGUAAAGAAAUCGAGCAUCACAACAUUAUCGAUGAUAUGAUGAUGAAAACCGAAGUCAUUUAUCGUCCCCAAACUUUUGCUUACGGGCCUUCGAAAGAUCCAAAUGUAACCUUUUCUUUAUUUUCUCAAAUCCCUCAGUUCGUAGUUUUCAAAUCUUUCGCGAAAUAAUUGCUAACUUUGUGUGGCUUUUUCCAUUAGAUGUGUGUUGUUGUGAAUUUGGGCUUCGCGAAGGAUGCAAAAGAUCACAUUGAUAUUCAAGGAUUCAAUGUCUACCACAAAAAUAGGCUAAUAAAGGUUGUAUUAAAACUUCUUUUGUAUCUCUGAUAUAUAUUAUUUUUCCUGCAUAUAAGUCUUAGUAAAUUCCCCUUUUCUGUUUGUGAUAAAUUCAAAGAAGAAGUUAGGAUGUAGCUUUAAUAUUGUCACUUCUUAGAAGUAAACUAAAACUCGCUUCGGCAUUAACAAACAAAAAAAAGGGUCUUCUAGGGGCCUAAAUUUGCCUUUCAAUAGAUGGAUUAAUUUUUCUCCCCUCAUCUCAGCCUUUCUGGAGAGUUUGGAAUGCCGCGGGAAGUGGUGGGCGUGGAGUAAUAGGUGAAUUUUCUUAAUUUCUAUGCUUGUCAAUAACUUGAUUUUCAAAUUUUAAUUUAUGCCGCUAUUUACUUGUUUAUUUUUUCUCUCUUUUAGGUGUUCUUGAGGCCAAUUUUAUCAAACCGGCUCAUGACAAGCAAGAUUUUGAGCGGACGACCGUGUUUACACGGCUUGAAGCUAGAUUAAAUUGGAUACAGAAAAAUUAUUGGUUUGCACUCUUCAUCUUAACUUUUUCAUUUCUUUUUUUUUUACCCACCCUACAUGGAGAUACUGAGAAUUAUGUUAUUUUAACGGUGUUCAGGAAAGACAAUUGCGAUCGAAUUGGUUAUGCUGCGAAGAGGAAGAAGUCGACAAACGAGCUAGACGACAGAGGUACUUAAAUAAACAAAAUUACUUUAGCGAGGACACUCAAUCGCAGUUUCCUUUUGAUUCUAAACAUGUUUGAUUUUCCUUUCCUUUUCUUUUCUCAACAGAAAGCCCAGAAAACUUGUCGUCUAAGAACAAUCCUAAUCAUAAUUGUUCUUCGCGAAAUGUGUCUCCUAAUAACGACGACAAAUUAAACGAUUUUGGCAAGUGCCAAAUACCCAAAAAGGUUUACUCGCAUUCGAAUUACCACAAUGUGGAGAAAUGUGGUGGUACUCGACAUAAAGAUUCUGCAGAUACCGCGGAAUCAGGAAAUGUUAGUCACAUUCCAUCUGCCAGGAGGAAGGAAUCGCAGAAUUUUACGAACGGAAACUAUGUUGAAGUAAAAAAUACAGAUAAUUGCAGAAUGGCAGAAGCUUGUACUUCAAAUGGAGGCACUCAAAUUGCCAAAAUUCCUCGCGGAUAUAAUGCGGAGGUAAUCUAUAUUUUGUUUUUUUGCUAGCUAGAAUGUGUACUUUUAUAAUUUUGCGUUUUAAUUUAUUCAAAGAUGAUGAUGAUGCUGAUAGUAUGAUAAUUGGCAGGUACAAGACACCAAGAAUAUUAAAUUUAACGGAGAUGGCGCAAGCCGUACUGACUCUAGUCUGAGGAUUGAACAGUUAACUUCUCAGAAUGAAGCUUUGAAGAAUCGGUUAGUAUGGUACCCACAUUUUCUGGUUCUUUUUUUUUUUUUUUUGGUUCCUUUUUUUGGUGGAUUCAAACAGUGUUAUUUUCGAAUCGUUCAGGAUAAAGGAAAUUGAGCAGUUAAGCAUGAAAGAGAGGGAUAGAACCAAAUUACUAGCUGCCAAAGUAAGUCUUAUACCCAAUUAAACAAACAGUAAAUGGAUUUCUCUGAAAAAUAAUGUUCUUUGUGGAAUGUUCAUGCAAUAUUUGGCUAAUUUCCAAAUUUUUGUGUUGGUUUUUUCCUUUUUCUUUUAUGUUUCUUCAAACUCAGUUGGAAGAAGCAGAACAACUGGUGGAAAAGCUAACCAAGGAACAAGAGGCUCUUCUCGACAUAUUCGCCGAAGAACGCUGUCGGAGGGAUUCAGAGGAGGAAAGAUUGAGAAAGAAACUAGAGGUUUGAAAAAUCAUACCAAAACUACAUUUUAAUCUCCUAAUCUUAUAAUAUUUUGUGCGGUAUUCAAUAUAACAUAUUACUAAUCUGAUUAAAGCUAUUGCCCUUUUUAUAGGAUGCUACUGCAGCCAUAAGAGAGUUGGUAAAAAAGAACUCCACAGUAUCCAAUGUGAAACUGGAACACUAGCUAGCUCCAAGAGAAGCAGCAGAGAAGUUUUUUUUUUCCCUUUUUUUUUUCCUUUUCUUUCUUAUGCAGAUUGGUUGCCUCAUCUAGCAGGUUUAUAGCAUUCGAAGAUCGAUAGAUGGUUAGGAAAUUAGUAAUUUUAAAGCGCAAGUGACGGUGCUCCUAAGAGCUUAAUCAUUUAUUAUUCUUUUCUCGCGGUGUAAUUUGUUGUUCAGAACUUCUUGCAAGAUGUGAUAGUUUGUACAGUUUAAUGUAUAAAUAAAUAAUAAACAGGUCUUAUGAAGUAGAUUAAUUUUUGGAUUGUUUCCAUUUGCUCAUUUUAAUUAUAUGUUGUGAUAUAUUUGGUACUCUUUUGCAUCAUAUGAGAUGCAGUUUUGGACUCUCCAAUGAUUCUGCAAUCAGAAUCCAUUAAUCUUGCAAGAGAAAAUAAUAAAAAAAAAAGUAUCUUUGAAGCAGUAAAAAGAAUAAUUUGUGAAGUUUUGUACUGACAGAUAAAAGUGUUUGUUGCAAAAAGUCCUUGGGGCAUAUUUGAUUCAUGCUAUUUAACCAGAAUUAUUGAGAAUCUUGCAAGGACUUUUUUCAACUUCUUUUAGUUCAUGAUGGAUGUAAUCCCGUUAACAAUACCACAUCGUUAAAUACAAAAUUACUCACAUUAGGAUUACUGGAAUCUUAUGGGAAUUUUUUUUUAAGAUCAUUACAUUUUGUUCAUCCCGUAUGUAAUCCUCCCAAUAAUAUAGAAUUAUUACUAACAACACAUAAUAGAGUCGGUGAAUUAAAUUAUAUAUAUAUAUAUAUAUAUAUAUAUAUGAGUCCGGCUAUGGUACUUGUAAAAGCACCAAGUACUUGGUGCUUGUGAAUUUUUUACUGUUAGAUCUACGCCUUUAAUCAUUUUCAUCCAUUAGAUUAUACUAUUCAACCAACUAACCACUCAACCCUAAGGGACCCACACCAUCCUAACCGCACAUCCCUUAAUCCAAGGGCCGAAAACUUACAAGCACCAAUGACUUGGUACUUUUAAAAGCAUAGGAGUUCAAUUAUAUAUAUAUAUAUAUAUAGAGAGAGAGAGAGAGAGAGAGAGAGAGAGAGAGAGAGAGAGAGAGAGAGAGAGUGAGGUUACUAUGCUUCUGGAAGUACGGAGCCUUUCGUGCUUCCAGAUCGUUUUCGAUGUUGCGACUUUCGAAUCGUCGAUUGGCUCCGUUAAACUUGAUCUAGAGUAUUUGAAGAACUUAGAAAAUAAAUUUUAUGAUUUUUCGAUAUCAUUUGCCUAGUGAUCGAAAGGACUCAAAAUCAAUAAUUUUAAUGGCCGUGGUGAGCCGUUUGCAAGUUUAACGGUGUAGAAAUAUUCAAAUCACGUGAAAUUUUGAUAGAAAAUUCUUUAUACUAUAUAAAACAAGAUCAAUAUUUUUGAUUUAAAAUUUUAAUAUCGUAUUAUCACAUUUUGUAAGAUUUUUAUUUUCAGCCGUUGAUUUUGAGCCUCUUAGUUCACUAGGCAAAUGAUAUCGAAAAAUUGCAAAAUUUAUUUUCUAGGUACUUCAAAUACUCUAGAUCAAGUUUAACGGAGCCGAUCGACGAUUCCAAAGUCGCAACAUCGAAAACGACCUGGAAGCACGGAAGACUCUAUGCUUCCAGAAGCAUAGUACCCUCACACACACUCUCUCUCUCUCUCUCUCUCUCUCUCUCUAUGUAUAAAUAUAAUGAGCAGGCUGUUGUGCUCUCAGGAGUACGGAGGUCUCCGUGCUCCUGAGCCGUUUUCGAUGAUGAAAUUUCCGAAUCGACGAUCGGCUCCGUUAGACUUGAUCUAGCGGAUUUGAAGUUUCUAGAAAAUAAUUUUUGCGAUUUUUUGAUAUCAUUACCUAGCAAUCAAAAGGAUUCAAAAUCAAUAAUUUUUAACGGCUGAAAAUAAAAAUCCUAUAAAAAGUGAUGAUACAGCACUAAAAUUUUCACUUAGAAAUAUUGAUCUUGUUGUAGAUAGUAUAAAUAAUUUUGUAUUAAAAUUUCAUCUGAUUUGAAUACUUCUGCACCAUAAAACUUAAAAACGGCAGAUAUCAACCAUUAAAAAUUAUUGAUUUUGAACCCAUUUGAUCACUAGGUAAAUGAUAUCAAAAAAUCACAAAAAUUAUUUUCUAGAAACUUCAAAUAUGCUAGAUCAAGUCUAACGGAGCCGAUCGUCGAUUCGAAAAUUCUAUCAUUGAAAAUGGCUCAGGAGCACGGAAGCCUCCGUGCUUUUGAGAGCAUAGCAGUCCUACUCAUAAUAUAAUUGAGUUAGAAUAUUUUUAGAAGUUUCACCCUCUUGGUGCUUCUAGAUUUUUAACCCUUGGAUCUACUCCUUGAUUACUAAUAGCUCUUGGAUCAAACACUAUUCCACCUACCACCACUUGCUACCAUCAUCCCAACCUUACAUUUCUCUAUCCAAGGGUUAAAAACUCAAAAGUACCAACCUCUUGGUGCUUUUGAAAGUUUUCUAGCUCAACUCUGCCUCUAUAUAUAUAUAUAGAAUUGAGCUAAGAUGCUUUUAGAAGUACUAACCUAUUCGUGCUUCUAGGUUUCUAGCCCUUGGAUCUACUCUUUCAUUACUAAUAGUCUUUGGAUCAAACACUAUUCUACCUACCACCAUCAUCUCAACCCUACAUCUCUCUAUCCAAUGGCUAAAAACUCAAAAGCACCGUUCCCUUGUUGCUUUUGAGAGUAUUCUAGCUCAACUUUAUAUAUAUCCUUCUAAAGUAGUAUAUCUUUUUAACUAUAAUUUAAAUUAUUUAUUAAUUUAAUACUUUUAAUUUAACUUUUAUACAAUUCUAUGUAAGCUAUAUAUUAUAAACUCUAAAAAAUACUCUAAUCCUACCUUAACCUUGAACUUAACUCUAUUCCUAGAAUAACUAGUUUUUUCUUAACCUCAAACCAAGCGGUAGCUAAAUUUUUUUUGAAAAAAGCUAUUAUUUUACCGGAACAUAUCAGUUGAAACAGUAAAAAUUUAACGGUUAAC
This 181821-nucleotide long non-coding RNA is filed under the name Ananas comosus (pineapple). RNAcentral's name for it is "long non-coding RNA (ACOM_LNC008352)". Lineage: Eukaryota; Viridiplantae; Streptophyta; Magnoliopsida; Poales; Bromeliaceae. The record is from RNAcentral.